Molecule: long non-coding RNA, 224826 nt
Filed under: Ananas comosus (pineapple)
Lineage: Eukaryota; Viridiplantae; Streptophyta; Magnoliopsida; Poales; Bromeliaceae
Description: long non-coding RNA (ACOM_LNC024106)
Source: RNAcentral
UCCAACCGGCCUAAGAUUUGCUAAGUCCACUAAGACUCAACCCUAGGCUCUGAUACCAAAAUAAUCUGUCACGCCCCGGGACCCAGCGGAAGCCCGCCCGGUGCGUGUCCAGACCCGCCAUACGUCUAAAACAUAUAAGGCAUCUAAAAUAAAAGAUAAAUGAAGCAAUAAUAGAAGAAUAUCUAGAAGUAUCAGAGCAAAGUACAACUAGAUUCUACAAUAGAGAAGAUAAACAAAAGGCUAAAAUUCACUAAAUAAAACAAUAAAAUAGUACAUCAAAAAUCCAAAUACAAAAGCUAAGAAUAAUAUAAAGGUGGUCUCUAUACAUGGUACCAAAACUCUCCUUACCAAAAUACAAAAAGGAGAGUAAACCACCUAGGAGCGAAAGCAAGCUCCACUAUCUAGCUAUGCGACUCCCUUGCCGCGAUCCCGUGCCUCCGCCGGUACUGAAGGCUCUGAAAAAGAACAUCAAACAGAGGGCGUGAGAACUAUUAAAUAAUAGUUCCCAGUGGACAAUUACUGACUUCAGCGAAGUGCGCCACUAGGCCGAAAACUGAAAAGGGGGGUAAGUACAAGUAUGCAAUAAAUCAUAGGCUACUAACAUAAAACUUGCUAUAACAUGAUAGGUCUAGUCAACAUGAAUUUGCAUAAGUAUGAAAGCUACUCUAACAUGAGUGCAUAAGAGUAAAACUAGCAUAUGUCCACAAGCUAAAUAGUAAAAUAUCAUUGUUUACUAUUCUAGUCAAAGUCCACUCGGUAUACUAAGUCAACAAUAUCCAAUCCUGGAGGAUCUACCCAUAGGUAAUCUGGCAUGUGCCGUACCUGAUGGCCCCGUGGUAGUCAACAUCCCCACUCUAGGAAUGAGCCUCCCCCACGGCAUCCCACUUCGGCGCCCAAUUCCGCACGGGCGAGCAUUUGUCGCGAUGGCUAUCUCCGGAGUGCCGGCUUGUGGGGAGCGACCCUCACAAGUAUGUGCGAAUGAGCACAAUGGCAUGCAAGCAUAAAAUCCGUCUCAAAUACCAAGUCAUCAUGUCUAAAAUAUGGAAUGUGGCAAAUAUCUCAAUGGCCUAUCACUAUGUCAUCAUGUCUAAAACAUGAAAUAUAGUCGAUGUCACAAUGGCCUAUCACUUGUCUCUAUGUUGCAGUUUAAUAGUUUACUAGUUCGGGUGCCCCUUUAUGGCACUUUUGCUCACUAUAUCCAAACAUGAGUUUAAUGUUCCAAAGUAUACAUUUCUAGUUCUCUUCAUCCCAAGAGACAUGUUUCCAACUUAUAAGGUAGAAUACUAUUUAUAUGCAUGAGUAUCCAACAUAGACCUCUACUACAUGGAGUCAAAUUUUCAUGAAACAUAACACAUGUAUUUAAAGUAUUCUAAAAUUCAUAAAAAUUCUAUCUAACAAGGAUAUGUAUGCAUUUCAAUGAAACAACAACAUUUAAUCACUUAGGAGAGGUUUUCUCCUAUUCCAUUAAAGCCAAACCCACCGUGACUUUACGAAACCCUUCGUUUACGUCGACGAAGGUGCCUACUACCUUCCUAGUACCCUAAAGGUAAUAUUAGAAGGGUUAAACAAACGAAACAAACAACUAUAGCAACAAACUUUAAUCAACCCAACAAAUAGGGUGAAAACUCAUCGAAUACGAAGGAAACUCUCUCGAUCUCCAAAUAGGAGUUAGAGUCCUUCAAAACUAAUCUAAACAAAGGUUCUAAGUCAAUCAAUUGAGAUAAAAAAGCCUCAAAUCAAAAAUCCCCAUUACUAACCCUAAUAUGCUCAAUUUAGGGUUUCAACUUGUAAAAUCCACUAAAACAUGGAUUAAAGAAGAGAUUGAGCUUACUAACCUCACAAGGUGCCCCAAACCAAGCUCCAAGCAAGCUAGAGUUGGAGUUCACCCUCCAAACAAGCUCCAACAAAAGCUCCAAAGCUUCUCCAAUGGUGAAGAACCAACAUAGAGCAAGGAGUAGAAGGAAAAAGAGAUCAAAACCAACUAAAAUCAUCAAAAAAAUAGAGAAGAAAUCAAAAGGAGAAGGGCUCACCUUGUUCUCCCUUGGUUUGAGCUCAAGAGAGCUCUCCAAGGGGGCUGGGGUAGUAUAUAAAGAGUUGCAACAAUUGCAAACACACCCCUCAACAAAAUCAGCUCGCAAAGCAAAGUGUAUCGGUACACGAAAAAGUGUAUCGGUACAAGUCCUGCGGGACAGCAAACCCGAGCCUCGGGUUGGCAGAAAAUCUCAUCUGUACCGAUACACAGCCCUGCUGAGGCAACCCGAGAGGAGCCUAAGUCCAUCAUUUUGGCGACCUUAGCACUAUUUUAAAUACUACAAUUCUCGAGAUACGAGCCAUAGGUCGGACCACUGUCAACGACUCUCCAGAAUAUCUGGUAAAACUCGAAACAUUGAUCAAACACUCAAGCCUUGCAACUUGCAAAGGUCUAGUGUGUUACACUUAAUUCUAGGGAUAGUAGAGAUCCCUACCGUUGAUUAUGCAUUUGGCAUCCGUGCAGCAGAGGCACGUGGACCCUUGUAGAUGGGGUAUCCUCUUGUGAGGAUUGGAUCAUACUCACUAGUCUGUUUUCGCUUGUCGGUGGUCGCUCCACUGAAGUAGUGGUCUCCGGAGUACUUCACAUUAGGGACAGACGUAGUUGUCCCGCAGGCGGUCUCGGUGUGCGAGUGCAGCUUCUCUUCACCUAUGAGAUUGAGAGUGAGUCGUGGCGAACCUUCGGGCAAGCCAAGUGGAUUGUGUAAAGAACAUGAAUAGCAAAGUAGAAUUGCAUUCAUUUCCUGAUUAGACAUAGUGUAUGUUGUAGCUUGCAUAACUAUGUGACAUGAUACUAGUAUGAUAGAAGAACUGAUGCAUAUUGACACUGCAUAUUCAUUGAUUUCAAAGGCAUGGUAGAAUAGUUGUUAUUUCUAUCUAUCUAUCUAUCUAUCUAUCUGCUUAUGCUUGCUUAGACCUAGUGGGAAGAUCGGCGGAGUUGGCGGCCGAACCCACUGAGAACUAUAUUUAUAUAGUUCUCACCCCACUUUAUUGCAGGGCCGAGUACCAGUUUGCCAGGCGAGGACCGCGGCAAGGGCAUAGAGCCCUAGUAGAUAGCGACUACCUACUGCACUAGAGUACCCCGGGUACUAGAGGAUUUUGGGUGUAUAUCGAAUCAUCGUUUAUGUUUAAAAGAAAAACAUGUAAAUAUUUUGGAAGAUGUAAAUGUAAUAACUUGUGAAUGUGUAUGAUUGUAAUAGCUAGAAUUCCUCUCUUUGUUUACUUGUAUGCUUACUUUUGCUCUUGUAUCUGCAUGUAUGUUUACUUGCUAGUUCAUCCUUGUGGAUGCUUCGUGUAUGUUGUAUGUCUACCUGGGCGACUGAAAUGUACACGAUUGUUGUUGCGAGCCUUGGGCAGAUAGGGGAAACUAUGUCCGUACGGCGUCUGUUCGACGUGCCCGAACUGGACCAAAUUGGUAGCGGUCUCGGGGUGUGACAGUUUAAAUGGUACCAGAGCAAGUAAAGAGCAAGUGAGUGCAAGUAAAGAGAGAAGUCUAGGAUGGACCUAGGAGACCCUAGGUUGGUAACUCUAGGACUAUAGGUACUUGAGUGAGACGUGGACCUAAGCCGUGUGCAGAAGUGAUUCGAUUGGGUCGAAAGUGUAGUAUGUCUCUACUUGUUGUUAGAGAUGGAUUCAAGUAGUAUUGUUUCUUGACUCAAAGUGGUUUGUGUCGGCGGCCGACGACAUGACGCUAAGAGCAUAGGUUUCGGACCAAUAGAGUCUAGGAGUUUCCUACAGGGUCAGGUUGUCAGAGAAGAUCCAAACCACUAUGCCACAGAGGGGAGGGCCCAGGUCCAAGUACAGGCGAGGAGAGCAUUAGGCCCAAAUCUGAAUAGGGCAUUGAUUCAAAGGCUUAGAAGCCUACUUAUAUUUCAAUUCUCAGUUUAGUACCAUAAGGUUUAACAAUUUACAUUUUAGCAUAUUGUUAAGGAAAUAAGAAGGCAGGAUGUAACUGAACAAAACUCAAAUUUUAUGGAAAUUAUUUUUCUAUUCUCAUCUCCUCCUUUCCUACUCAACCCUAAUUAUUUCUCUAUCUCUUCUCUCUCUCUCCAAUUCUUCAAUCCUUACUCUUUCCUUCUUAUCCUCUUAAUCACAUCACGAUUAUCCGAAUGAAGCAAUUCUUUUGGAUUGUGUGUUAAUUGAGACCCAUCAUCCUCGAAACCAUCCUCGACUCAACGAAAUCUCAUCAUAGACAGGUUGCAUUGAGUCAGGUACGUAACAAAUAGUAUCAAAGAUGUCCAAUCUUAGGGCAUUGUGUGGUGGAAUCGCUUACUAACUCCAAUGUCAGCAUAUUUGAGUUGAACCACGAAUAAAAUUCCUAUGCCGCUCGAUAUGAUCUCAAGUUAGAUCUAGGCAAAAGGAAUCACCACAGUAAUAAUCCUAGUCUUUGAACCACCGAUCUGAGGUCUAAGGACACCCCCUCUAUCCUCAGAUCUAUAGGAUCCCAAAUUGGCACGAUGACUCUUAGCCAAUAGGAUUCACUCUUAGGGAACCAUCACAAAGCAAUACACACACACACACACACACACACACACACACACACACACACACACGAGGCGGCCGCUCAUUAAACCUAUAGCUGCAUUUUAAGGCAUAUCUUUUGGAGUCAAGAUUAGGGGCAAAAGAGGUAAUAAGUUCAAAUUCAAUCAACAAGACUAUUUGGAAGGAAAAAUAUGGCGGAAAAGGACUAGAUUAAGAGAUUGUGAACAUAUCCAUUCUUUAGAAGAGAGAUUUCAGAAGUUGGGAACGGAGCACCAAACUAAGAUGGAAGUAUUUACUCAUCAAAUUUCGGAGGUGCGGGAAAUUGGACAGAAAUAAUAUAAUGCAUUACAGGUCGAGGCUACAAGACGGCAUGAAGAGCUGCUGAAGCUUUUAACAGCUCAGCCACCUGCAUUCAAGACCCAAGGCAUGGCGACCUCUCCUGAAAGCAAAAUACCACAUUACGGCAAACCUAGGAGCAGCACUACCCCACUAACAAUUAAGAAGAAAGAGGCAAGGGACUUUUACCUACUCUAGUGAGGCAACUAGAAGUAGAAGAGUACCACACUUCACCAUGGACUAAUAGGAAUCACAAUAAUCAUCGACAACUACCCUAUCCCAGGUUACAUUUUCCUUCUUUUGUUGGUGAAGACCCUAGAAGUUGAAUUGAGAACUGUGAGCAAUAUUUCGAGUUAUACCAGAUACCCGAGCACCAAUGGUUAAGUGUGGCAACUAUGCAUUUGAUUGGUAAGGUGAAAACAUGGAAGCAAGGAUAUUUCAUCAAUAAACAGGUGGUUUUGCAGGACGAAUUCUGUAAUAUACCAAAAAUUCGGAAAAUAAAUAUCGAACUUUAGUCAAAUUGACCAAAGUGCGAGGAUGGUACACUUCGGAAGGUCCGAAGGAGUUAAAAUGACCAAAAGUGAGUUACGGGAGGUUUUCGAGAGCUAAAAUUGUGAAAUCUGCAUUCUGCAGGUUUUCAGCUCUCGGGGACCGGUCCCUGGUGGGAGAGAUUGGUCCCCGAACGCGUAUGAUUUGAAACAGCCGAAAAAUCGGCUAAGUCCUGAGAAAGUAGCUCUCGGGAACCGGUCCCUGUCCGAGAGACCGGUCCCCGAGAGACCGGUCCCCUAAAGAGAGACCGGUUGCCCCGCGCGCAGCAGCUCUGGCUGCGCGGGGAGAGCCUUCGGGAACCGGUCCCUGAAGGAGAGACCGGUCCCCGGCUGCGCGAACUACCCAAUUCGGGCAGUGUAUUAAAGUAAAAGUUGAGGGGUUUAUUAGCAAUUUUGCAACCCAUGGGUUAUGUAGAGGGCUGAGAGAGCCUUUUCUCUCAUUCUCUCCCUCUCAAACACUCUCUUCUCUCCCUCUCUCUCUCUAGAAGAAAAAGGAGAAGAAGAAGAAAGGAAGAAAAGAAGGAAAAGAAGGAAAAGAAGGUGAAGGAGAAGAUCAAGGAGCAAAGAGGCAUCAUCUUCUUCCUCUCUAGGGCAAGAAAGGAGCAAGUUUAGAGGUAAGCCUUGCCUCUUCUCAUGUUAUAUUCCAAACUAGGGUUUGGAUUAGAGCAAAGAUGGUUUUUAUAGAGCAUUUUGAGUCUUUGAAGCUUUUCUUUUGCUUCAUUUGAGAUCAAGACCAUGAGGUUGGUGUUGGAGGUAAAGCUUGAAGGAGAGCUUGACCCCUUUCAUGGUGAAAUCCAAACUAGGGUUUGGAAUGAGCUAGGAAUGGUUCUAAUGGGCUAUUUAGAGUAUAAUGAAGCUACUUUUGCUUCCCAAUGAGAUCAAACCCUAGGUUACACAUGCAAUAGAGCUAGGGCACCCAAAUUGGAGCUUUUGCUCAUGGGGAUUUCUAAGUGAAAUUGACCCUUCAAAAACCUAAUUGGGGGUAUUUCCGACGCAUUGGUGUGCUCGGAAUAGCGUUUCGAAAAGUGUAUGUAAAGUUAUGGCCCAAUAAGCCUAAUUUGGCUUCGUUAAGUCGUGUGUGUUGGCAAGUUUCGUGAAGUGAGUCGGAGUCUUGAAGAAUCGGUGCGUGUUGUCGAAGAUCGAAGAAUUCAAGAUUUCGAAGAAGUUGGAAAAUAACUCACACCGUGAAUCACGAUGUCCAGGUAAAGUGUUAAUUCAUGAUCAUGGUGAUUCAUACUUAGUUGUAGACAUUAGAAUCAUAAUAUCAUUGUCUAACGGAUUAGAAAGUGCAUUGGAACUUUGCAAAACCCGAAACGGCGAAAAUUUGCAAAGUGUACCGGUACAGCAUCAGAAGUGUACCGGUACAAAAUGUGUACCGGUACGACCAUCAAGGGUGUAACCGGUUUCACUGUUUCGUCUGGUUUUUCGUUCCGUCAUUGUGUAACCGGUGACAGCCUAAAGUGUACCGGUACACAAUGUAAAAUCGUGAAAUCUUUCUAAUCCGACUCCAAUUGAUUCUAAAGUCUAUAAAUAAGCUAUUGGGCUUCUCUAACACAUCAAGCAUCAUAAGAAUACAUGUUUGAGAAACCCUAGAGGCUCGGAUUUCAUCUUAAACCUAUUUUCUACAAAAAGCCUCUUUUAGAUCAAAUCGAGAUAUUGAAAUUUGAUAUUAAUAUGUCGAUUUGAUCUCCGCUUCGCUUGGAGUUCUAUUCCCUGGUUUUCUACGAUACUCCUAAGCGAAGGAUCACCAUACUCAUGAUGCUCUUCAUGAACGGCGUCGUGGAUUCGGCGUGAACAAAGGCGGUUCGUGGAUUCGGAUCGUUGGCUCGUGGAUUCGAGUGGCGUCGUGGAUUCGGCGUGAUUGAAGCUUCGUGGAUUCGAAGUGGAGGCGUUCGUGGAUUCGGACGUGAGGGCGUGGACAACCCGGAGGGUAGCGCGAAGAUUCAUAGGAGGUUAAGAGAGGUAGAGUCCGUGGAGUCGGUAAUCACCUUGUAAUCUUUUCUCUUAGUGAAUUAUUUUUUCGCGUGUUGGUCCCGUGGGUUUUUCUCCAAGUUGGAGUUUUCCCACGUAAAUCUCGAUGUGCUUUUUAUUUUCAGCAUUUAUUUUUAUUGCAUCGAGAUUUGUGAUUUUUGGCCGUUCACCUAUUCACCCCCCUCUAGGUGAUAGAUACAAUCUAGAUAGAUCCUUGGGCUCCUCAAAACUUUCAGGGACCCAGCGGAAGCCCGCUCGGCACGUGCACAGACCCGCCGCGUACACCAGACAACCACGAUGCACACAAGGCGUCUACCAAAAACUAUAAAUGAACAAGAUAAAGUCCUAACAAGGCUAUCAGAGCGAGUAAUAUAAAAUCACUAAUGUUCUAGCAUAAAGAGAUCCACAAUAUGUACAAAGUGUAUACAAGUAAAUCCAAAAGUCUAACAUAAUCUCUAAACCAAAAUACAAUAAUACAUCUUUCCACAAAGUAUAAAAGAAAGAUGAUGUCGGGUCCCUCUAAAAUAACUCCGUAGGGGCUCUAGCUAGUCGCUAACCCGUUGUCACGAUCCCUAGCCACUCCUGAUGCGGAUUGCUCUGAAACAAACAACAAAACAGAGGGCGUGAGAACUAUUAAAUAAUAGUUUCCAGUGGGCAAGUCGCUGACCUCAGCGAAAUACACCACGGCUAACAUAGGCAUGCUAUAAAGGAAGGUAAUUAAGCAAUUAUAUAAAAGCAAGUACUUAAACGAGAUUAAACAUGGACAUGCCUCUACUAUAAUUUUAACUAUCAUGUAUAUGAUGUUCUACUUUCACUUGAUCAACUAUAUGUCAAUGAUGAUUAACAUGCCAAAUCAGAUGUAUGCCAUUGUCUAUAACAUGCAUAAUCAUAAUGUCCAUAAUGCUACAUAGAGUAAAUUAUGCUUUUCAUUGUUAUUCUAUUCAUGCAUCCAUACAAUCGAUGUAGAUGUAAAAAUACUACCACUAGAGUGUCAAUGCUAUGAAUGACUAACACAAGGUCCACAAUAUGCACUAUCAUGCAUGUCCACUAGACCAACUAAUGUGCACCAUCUAGUAGUAGUUUCCACAUUACGCUUUAAGUACCAUAGUUCAAUCCUCGUCAUGGAUUUACACGUGUGUAGUUCGGCUUGCGCCGUGCCAAAAAUGGCUCCGUAGUAGUCAACAUUCCCACUCUAGGAAUGAGCCUCCCCCACGGCAUCCCAUUUCGGCGCCCAAUCCCGCCCGGGCGAGCUUGUGUUGCGUAGGCUAUCUCCGGAGUGCCGGCUUGUGGGGAGCGACCCUCACAAGUAUGUGCGAAUGAGCACAAUGGCAAGCAAGCAUGGUCAAUAGUAUCCAGCUCCCGGUCAUCAUGUCUAAAACAUAGAAUAAGUACCAACGACCCAAAGGUCCAAUAAAGUAUCCCAUUGUGAAGGUUUAGUCAUUUACUAAUCCAAAUGUCACUGCAUGAUGUUCACGUUUACUAUGUCAAGUAUAAGUCACCAGUUUAUAAGCACAUAACACUUGUCAUUAUCCUAUCUAGGAUAGUUCACAAUUUCAUGCAAGUCUCCAACUAGGUUCAUGACAUGCAAUUCCAAUAAUUGUUCAAAGAAAUGUUUACUAUGCCAUAUGCAAAAGAACUAUGAAAUGUCCACAAGUAGCCCAAUGCAUAUUAUGCACAUGCCUUUCCACUAACAUUCCCACUGUCACGCCCCGAGCCCCCGCCUAUUUGGCCAGAAUUGGGCACGUCGAGAGACUGCCGAACGGACAGAGUCUCUCCUGUACGUCCUAGGCGUCGCAAUCAAUAUAAUACAAGAAGUUCCAACCAGGAACAGUAUUCAACAUACAGAUUGCAUAAGGAAGUAUCAAACAACAUAAACAGCUAGACUAUUACAAGCAUUCCCACAACAUGCAUUUUACAUCCCAUUUACAAUUCAUUUUACAAUCAACUUCCAAAUACAAUCAAGGUUAUUACAACUUUUACUUAUUUACAAAUUUGAUACAUCUUGUUCUUUUCAUUUUCCCUCUACCCCUAAGCUAUGCCAACUCGGGAUACCGCUAUCUCUGGUCUCUAGGUAGGGCACUAUCAAUGGAGCGAUGCCCUUGCCUCGCGCUGCCGCACCGCUCACGUGCAAACCUGUAACCCCCAAAACCACACGAGGGUGAGAACUAUAUAAAUAUAGUUCCCAGUGGGUACAGCCACCCAAGGGAAAAGCUCGACCAAUAGGUCCAAGGAGGCACUACAAUAUGUUAGUCCAACAAUAUCCAACAGAUAUAUAUAUAUUCAAAUUAAAAUAUAUGUCAUGCCUCACAAUAUGCAAUAUAAAAUCAUGCAACUAUGCAACUACGGAGUUCACUAGUAGAUCCAUGGAUACUACUUUCGAUCUUGCCAAUCAUAGCUCAUGCCAUCUAGCUGUAAGGUUCUACUUACCUUAGCUCCACAGCUCAACCUCAACUAGUGUCUAAGGUCUCUACUGCCUUAGAUCAUAUCAUAAAUCACUAGCCUUUAAGGUUUCUACUAUCCACCCGACUCGGCCUUGAGUCAAUUAUCGCGGACUAUCGCGCACUAGCUGCAUCUCUACCACAGCCUGGCUACCGUCACAGCCUACCGCAUCUCUUGACUUAGCUAUCUGGUGGCGAACGCGUUGUCUUUACCCAGCAAGGUCUCAAGUCAUGACUUAGCCAUCUGGCGGCGAACUAAUCGCAUCUCACCAAACAAUGGUUCAGGUCACGACUCAGCCAUCUUGCGACGCACGCAUUGCCCUUACCCAGCAAUGGUUCAAGUCAAUCCAGGCUGUUAAGGAUUUUCUAUGUUGGCGGAUUUCGUAAAGUCAAAUGGAGUCUUGCAAAUCAUAGCUCAUGCCAUCUAGCUCUAAGGUUCUACUUACCUUAGCUCCACAGCUCAACCUCAACUAGUGUCUAAGGUCUCUACUGCCUUAGAUCAUAUCAUAAAUCACUAGCCUUUAAGGUUUCUACUAUCCACCCGACUCGGCCUUGAGUCAAUUAUCGCGGACUAUCGCGCACUAGCUGCAUCUCUACUACAGCCUGGCUGCCGUCACAGCCUACCGCAUCUCUUGACUUAGCUAUCUGGUGGCGAACACGUUGUCUUUACCCAGCAAGGUAUCAAGUCAUGACUUAGCUAUCUGGUGGCGAUGUGACGCCCCGACUUCCCACGGGGUCACCCAUCCUAGGACUACUCCCGUCCUAGCACGCUUAACUCUCUUAACCUCUUGGGUCUAGCCACCACCCAAAAUGCUUAAGCCGGGUUAAGAGUUUAGCCCUAUUAUAUCUCAUAUAUAGGACUAUCUGGGAUCUCACAGGCGAACUAAUCGCAUCUCACGAAACAAUAGUUCAGGUCACGACUCAGCCAUCUGGCGACGCACGCAUUGCCCUUACCCAGCAAUGGUUCAAGUCAAUCCAGGCUGUUAAGGAUUUUCUAGGUUGGCGGAUUUCGUAAAGUCAAAUGGAGUCUUGAAGAGUUGAUCGCGGUAGUUUGAAGAGAAGAUUCAACUUGAAGAGCAAAGACUCAUUUGAAAAGCUCGGCACCUCAGGUAUAAAGAAUAGAUUAUUUUUGGUGAUUUUAUCUAACUACAAUAAGUUUAGAAGACUUGGAUUGCAAUAGAAAACACAAACUGAGGUUUUCAAUAUGCUGGGACCGGUCCCCUUAGAUGAGAGACCGAUUCCCGAGAGUUCUCUCUGCGUGGAUGUCUAAUGCAACCGGUCUCCUAAUCUGAGGGACCGGUCUCCUGGUCGGUGCAACCGGUCUUUGUCAUGAGAGACCGGUUCCCGAACGUUGGGAUUUUUGACUCGCAGGGAGAGACCGGCCUCUGGCAUGAGAGACCGGUUCCCGAACAUUGUGUUUUCUGUCACGCAGCGAGAGACCGGUCUCCCAUUCAAGGCACCGGUCUCUGACAGACCGGUCUCCUCGAGAGGACCGGUCCUUGAGGAUGACACCAGUUUUUAAAAUAGACUUUUUGCAAUCCUAGUCUACUUCUAAGUCUUCUAAACUUAUAAAUAAGCCAUGGGGGUUAUCAUAUGGGUUGAGGAUUUGAAUUUCUACUGUUCAAAAACCCUAGAAACUUAUUUUCAUGUUCCAAUGAUUCUAUUCAUAUAACAAGUUUCAUAUAAUCAUUGAUCGACUUGAUUCUUCAAUUUUAACUCAAGAUAUUCGUUGAGAAUCAAGUAGAUGUUUGAUUAGAAAGUGAACCCUCAUUGCUUAUGGGAUUCUAAGUCUUAAUCACCACAAAUCAUCAAUUCUACAAACUCCGGAAGGAGAUUCGGCGCGUGGAUCUCGCGUGGAGCCGAGGACUCGGUGGACGCUUCGAGGAGCUGAGGCGUUGACGCAGCAAGGAGUUGCAGCGGGGUCGAUUGGAGGAUUCCUAUCGAUCGAGGACCGGCGAAGAACAUCAACAACAGGAAUUCGGUAAAUUGAGUCUUGUAUUUUGGUUAAAUCACUUGUACUCAAGUUUUCUUAGUGAAUUUUCUUCGCGUGAUCGGUCCCGUGGGUUUUUCACUCCGGAUUGGAGUUUUCCUACGUUAAAAUCUCGGUGUUUUGUUUUUAUUUUCCGCUAUUCUUUUUAUUUGCAUCGAGAAGUUUUGUUUGUGCCGUUUUACACCUAUUCACCCCCCUCUAGGUGUUAUUUAUCUUUUAGAUCCUCGGGAUCCAUAUCUUACAAGUGGUAUCAGAGCGGGUAUAGGUUGUAAAUCAUGGCCGAAGGCGAUAACAUCAAUCGACCCCCUCUUUUCGAUGGCACUAAUUACGCUCAUUGGAAAGUCCGUAUGAGGGCGUUUCUUAUUGCCAUCGACGAGCGGGUAUGGCAAGCCAUUGAAUUUGGUUGGAAACAUCCUACCGAAAUUGUCAAGAAUGUUACCGGUCCGAAACCUAGAAAUAAAUGGACGAAAGAGAAAAACGAACUAUCUUCAUUCAACGGGAAAGGUAUCAAUGCUUUAUUUAAUGCCUUAAAUCAAACUGAAUUUUUUCGUGUCUCGGCGUGUGAAACCGCCAAAGAGAUUUGGUACACUUUACAAGUUACACACGAGGGUACAAGCUUGGUAAAGAUUCAAAAAUUACAAAUGCUUACUAGUAGAUUUGAUUCUAUCCGUAUGAAAGAACAUGAAUCUUUUACCGAGUAUUAUACUCGUUUGCAAGACAUUGUAAACACGUGUGCUAACUUAGGCGAGAAGAUUCCGGAUUCCAAAAUUGUUAGAAAAAUUUUGAGGACCCUUCCCUAACGAUUUCGUCCUAAGGUUGCGGCCAUUGAAACGGUAAAACAUCCGGAUGAACUUAAGGUAGAAGAAUUAGUAGGUGCACUUCAAAUGUAUAAUAUGACUUUUCCUUCUAAUUCGUCUUCUUCCAAAUCUUCUUCUAAAGCUUCAGGGAUGGCUCUAAAAUCAACAAAAAGAGAUGACACUACAACUUCAUCGGACUCGGCGUCGGAGCAAACAUUGGAGGAGUUUGAAAAGCAACUAGCGCUUCUAACGAAGAAGUUCCGUCGGAACUUUAGAAAGAAGUUUCCUCCCAAGGCUACUUCCUCCAAGUCAAGCAAAUCAAAAGGGAGUUCUUCUUCAUCUUCUUAUUCUAAGAAUAAAAAGUCCAAAAGCUCUUCUAAAGAUUUUUCAAAAGAGAAGAAAACUAAUGAAGGUCAAAUCCAAUGCUAUAAGUGUAGAGGAUUUGGUCAUAUUGCAUCGGAUUGCCCUAAUAAAAAAUCUUUGAAAAAGAAAGCAAUGCAAGCUAUCACUUGGGAUGACUCGUCUUCGAGUGAGACAUCUUCAAGUGAUGAGGAUGUUAACGCUAUGGCACUUAUUGCACAUGACUUUUUUAUGUGUUUAGCAUCUACAGAUUCUAUCUCUAUGUCAUCCCUGCAUGAAAAAUCUUAUUCGGAGAACUCAUCGGAUGAAGAAUCGGAUGAAGAUGACAUGGUCGCAGCAUAUCAACAAUUGGUAGUCGAAUCAAAGAAGGUGGCAAAACAUAACAAGAAGUUGCGGCGAAGUCUACAUGACUUAGAACAAGAGAAUUCAAGAUUGGCCUCAUUGUCAAAGGAUCUAGAACAAGAAAGAGAUGGUUUGACUAAGGCCUACAAUUCUUUAUUUGAGAAGUGUACAUUACUUGAAAAGGAAAAGGAGACUCAUGUUGAAAACAUCAAUUUUCUUACCAAGCAAUACUCGGAAGCUAGAGAAGCAAAUAUGGAAUUCACCAAGACGAUUAUUCAACUUAAAUCAGAUUUAAAUCAAUUCUUGUCUGGCUCUAGCAAACUUGAUAAGAUGCUUGGACUUGGUCAAACAAAUAAACUUGGACUUGGAUACGAACAGACGUAUAUUGAUCAAGCAAUGAAGAAAGAUGACGAACACUCGACAAAAGCAGUUCCUAAGCUUUAUGGUAAGUUCGUCCCUCCUAAAAACACUUUGGCUAACAAAACUUGUCAUCUUUGUGGUGUUUUAGGACAUAUAAAGAAAUUUUGCAAACAAAAGGGUAAGAGCUCCACAACACCCUUGAAUCAAAGAACAUCUUUAAUGCCCAUGAAGAAUGAUCCUAAAUCAAAAGGGAAGUCAACUUGGACUCUAAAGAAGGAUGAUCAUAUGAAGAAACAAAUAUGGACACCAAAGAAGAAUAUUCCGAAAUCAAAGGCAAAACAAGCAUGAAAACCAAAGAAGGAGGAUCUGAAGAAGAAGUUAAUUCAAAUCGUCGACAAGCCACGAUCACCAAAAGCAAGUGAACCGACGCAACCCAAAACACGUAAGGUUUGGGUGCGCAAAGGUGAACUCUUCCUAUGCCUUGUCAUUCACACUUCGCUUCUUGCUUACGAUAAUACUUCUUGGUAUCUGGAUAGUGGUUGUUCCUGUCACAUGACCGGUGAUAAAAAUUGGUUUACUUCUUUAAAUAAAAUCUCCGGAGGACUUGUUGUUUUUGGAGACGGUCGAUCGUCAAAAAUCGUCGGAAAAGGAACAGUGACUAUCUCAGAUCGCCCUACUUUGAAUGAUGUUUUUUAUGUUGAGGGGCUAAAAUCUAAUCUCGUAAGCAUAAGUCAAUUGUGUGAUGAUGGGUAUUCUGUGACGUUUUCUGAUAAAGAAUGCUAUGUGACUCGAGAUGAUAAUCUUUUCUUAAAAGGAGUUAGAUCUCAGAAUAACAUAACACUGUUAUGUAGUUCCUAGUUCUUCAACUGAACAUUGUAACCUAGCGUCAUUAGAGACUGAAACUUUAUGGCAUGAACGACUAGGUCACAUGAACUUUAAGGAACUAUCCAAGAUAACUAAGAAGGAGGUUGUUAGAGAUGUACCUAAGAUAGACUUCAAAGAGAACACUGUGUGUGAGGGUUGUCAAUUGGGGAAACAAACUAGAUCCGCACAUAAGAAUGUGAACCACUUAGGGACAUCUAAACCGUUAGAAUUACUUCACAUGGACUUGAUGGGACCAUCUAGGAUUCAAAGUUUGGGUGGAAAACGUUAUAUCCUGCUUAUUGUUGAUGAUUUUACUCGAUUUGUAUAGAGUGCCUUCUUACAUGAAAAAGCUGAUACUUUUAAUUCUUUUUCUGAGAUUUGUCUUCGUCUUAUGAAUGAGCGUAAUGAUAAAAUUGUAUGUAUUCGAAGUGAUCAAGUGGAAGAAUUCAAAAUUCAAAAUUUGUUGAUUUUUGUGUUUCAGAUGGCAUAAAAUAUAAAUUCUCGGCUCUUUAUACACCUCAACAAAACGGAGUGGUAGAACGUAAAAAUCAGUUUGUACAAGAGAUGGCACGUGUUAUGCUUCAUAGUAAGAAAAUUGCUUUACAUUUUUGGGCCGAAGCGGUUAACACGGUAGUCUAUGUUAUCAAUCGGAUUUAUGUGUGUCCGGGUACUUUGAAUACUCCGUAUGAACUUUGGCUUGGUAGGAAACCUAAUAUUAAAUACUUUCUUGUCUUCGGGAGUAAAUGUUUUAUCCUUCGGGAUCGUGAAAAUCUUGAAAAAUUUGACUCCCGAAGUGACAAGGGGAUCUUUCUUGGUUAUUCUACUACAAGUCGUGCUUAUCGUGCGUACAAUUUUCGAUCUAAGACGGUGAUAGAAUCUAUCAAUAUAAAAGUAGAUGAAGCUUCUUCUGUAAGUUCUUUUAUAAAUGGUUCUUCUAAUUCUCUGGUGAAUGAUGAUGAUAAUGAUUCUCCAUUUGUAUUGCCUGUGAAUGAUGAUGUUUCUGCAUUUGAUUAUCCUAUUGCAUCUUCUGAAAAUGUUGCAUCAAAUGAUUUAUCUAAGCCUCAAAGCACCUCAUCUGAAAUCCCUAGCACAUCACCUGAGACUACAUCCCUGACAGAGUCAAGAGAUCAUCCUUUAUCGAAUGUUAUUGGGGAUCCUAAUGUUGGUGUACGAACUAGAAGUCAACUUCAAUGUGAAUUUGCAUGUUAUGUAUCUCUAAUUGAACCAAAGAAUAUUGACGAAGCUCUUCUUGAUGAAUAUUGGAUAAAUGCCAUGCAAGAAGAACUUGGUCAAUUCAUCCGCAAUGAUGUAUGGGAAUUAGUGCCACGCCCUGAGCAACAAAAUGUUAUUGGUACUAAAUGGAUUUUUAAAAAUAAGAAAAAUAAGGAUGGUACAAUUGUUCGAAAUAAAGCUAGACUUGUUGCUCAAGGUUACUCACAAAUUGAAGGGAUUGAUUUUGAUGAAACCUUCGCCCCAGUUGCUCGACUCGAAUCUAUUUGUAUUCUGUUCGCGAUAGCUUGUCAUUUUAAAAUUACUCUUUAUCAAAUGGAUAUCAAAAGUGCAUUUUUGAAUGAUUUUCUAAAAGAGGAAGUUUAUGUGGAACAACCAAAAGAUUUUAUAGAUUCUAAAUUUCUAAAUCAUUUUUUUCGUCUUAAAAAGGCACUUUAUGGACUCAAACAAGCACCGCGAGCAUGGUAUGAACGAUUAACCAAAUAUCUUUUAGAAAAGGGGUACAACCGAGGGGUAGCGGAUAGAACUCUUUUACUAAACACACUAAAAUGACUUUAUUGUGGCACAAAUUUAUGUGGAUGACAUUAUCUUUGGUGCAACUAAAGAUACUGUUGCGACUGAAUUUGCAAAGUUGAUGACUAGUGAGUUUGAGAUGUCUAUGAUGGGAGAGCUUUCAUACUUCCUUGCUCUUCAAGUUAAACAAUCAAAGGAAGGAAUUCAUUUGUCUCAAACCAAGUACGCAAAGGAAUUGGUUAAGAAAUUUGGUUUGGAUGGAGCAAAGGAUUUUGAUACACCGAUGGGAGCAAGUAAUAAAGGACUUGGAGUAAAUGUUGAAGGACAGAGUGUGGAGGAGAAAUAGUACAGAAGCAUGAUUGGGAGCCUAUUGUACUUGACUGCGAGUAGACCAGAUAUUGCUUUUAGUGUUGAACUUUGUGCUCGCUAUCAAGCUAAUCCUAAGGAAGUUCAUCUGAAAGCGGUUAAACGGAUCAUUCAGUACGUUAAUGGUACAACUGCAUAUGGCCUCUGGUAUCCUAUGGAACAUCUCUUGAUCUGAUUGGAUACUCAGAUGCUGACUGGGCUGGCUCUGCGGAUGAUCGGAAAAGCACUAGUGGAGCUUGUUUUUACCUUGGACAUUGUUUUGUUGCGUGGCAUAGUAAGAAACAGAACUGUAUUGCUCUUUCCACUGCCUAGGCUGAGUAUAUUUCUGCCGGCAGUUGCUCUACACAGUUACUGUGGAUGAAAAGCUUAUUGAGUAACUAUCGGAUCUCCUCCACCACUUUUACAAUUCUUUGUGACAACACGAGUGCUAUUAAUAUUUUCAAAAAUCCUGUUUUACACUCACGAACAAAGCAUAUUGAACUAAGAUAUCACUUUUUGAGAGAAUUGGUUGAAUCAAACGUUCUUCAACUUGAAUAUAUUUCAACUAAAAAUCAACUCGCAGAUAUUUUAACAAAACCUUUGGAUCAAAAACUUUUUCUACAUUUAAGAAAUGCUAUUGGUAUAAAUCCUUCAAACUAGACAUAUUCCAUUGGGCCAUAGAUCAUGUGCAUGUUGGAUUUUGUUUCUGUGCAUUUUUUCGUUUUUUCCUGAUUAUUCUUGAGAGACGAUUGAAUUUCAUGAAUGAUGUCGCUGUUUUUGUGAGAUAAAUUGGUUUCUGUUAGCUCUAUCUUAUGACUUUAAUUGUUUCAUAUUAAGUUUCUGAUUGAUCACUGUCAAUGUUAUUCUCUACUGUCAUAAUUUUUGAACGAUCAAAUCAUUGAAAUCCUGUUCAGUAUACUGAAUUAAAUUCAACACCUCAUGAUUAGAACUUUGAAUGUUGCAAUUGUUUGUUUGAUUAUUAGUUGUGAGAUGAAUAACUCUUUGUCUAUUUUUGAAAUUGCAAUAAUAUUUUUGACUUGAGGGUUGCACUAAUUUAGGGCGAGUCUUUCCGACUAUGGUUAUGAAAGUAUCUUAAAUUCAAAAAAAUGUGGAAAGAGUUACAUCCCUGUUGGGAGUGUAAAAACUACCACCACAUGGAGGAAAGAGCUACCACCCCGGUCGUCCGGUCAGUGUGUGCAGCUACCACAUGAUGAUCAAUAUAUCUCUAUGUGCUAAAAGCCAAUAAAGAAUAAAUAAAUAUGAGAUGUUAUGGAAAUGGUAAAAUUCUAAUACUAUAUUUAAGACAUCUCUUAGGGGAUAUAAGGUGGUUUGUUAAAAGAUGCUCAAAGAGCCACUCCUAUCUCGAUUUAUGUGCAUAACUCAAAUUGAAAAUAUUCUUUUAAUUUCAUGAUUAUGAGAUUUAUUUAUUCAAUUUCUUAACAAAUAUGAUGAUAAAACGAUACAAUUAAUCCCUAGAUCUUGCAUGAUGUGUGGAAUUUUAUUUGAUACUUAUCAAGAAUUUUAUUUGAUUUUCGGAUCAACAGUGUUUGACAAAUUGAAUAUCUUUGAGAUUGAUUUUUCAAAAUUUAUUUAUGAAAUUUUAUUGGAAGUCUUUGGGGAUAGAUAUUAUGUAUUCUUGAUGUUGGACAUGUUGAGGAUAUUAUAUAAAAUUUUUGAAAAUUAUGAACGAAGAUUUCAUUUUUUUUGGUUUUGGCUCUGGGACCGGUCCCCGAUUUGGAGAGACCGAUCUCUCCGCCCGAACCGGAUUUAAGGGUUUGCGGUCUGUUAUUUUUUCACUUUACCAAUUUCGUUCAAACUCCUCUUCUGAGCUUCUAAUAUCCCCAGGGCAUUUUUGGUUGCUUUCUUCAUCAUUUUACACUUGAUUUAGGUAUGAUUCUCGGAUUUUGUUUCUUUGUUGCAUUAUAAUCCGAAUUUUUGCUUUAUUUUUAAUUUUUAGGGCUUGUUCUCAUUAUGAUUGUUGAAUCUCUUCGUUUAUGCCCUGAUCUUCCCUCAAAGAAUGUUAGUUAGGAUUUUCACACAUUGUUUCAUACCUUGAUACAAUUGUUUGGUUGAUUUUGCAAAGUUUUCAUCAUCAAACCCUAAUUUUUCAAUUUUUUUGAAAAAAAAGUGAUUUUACAGAUUUUGAUGCAUAAUGUAAUCAUUGUUUUCAUGCUUAUGUGGCCCUAGGAUUAUCUAGCAUAUUACAUAUCAACUUGCUAAAGUUUUUAAAAAAUAAAAAUAAAAAUAAAAAUAAAAAUAAACCAACAGUUCUUAUGUUCAAUAUGUGUAAAUUGUCGUAUUUACAGGGUCUUCUUCAAAAAAGUACUCGUGGCUGCUUGUUUUUGUGGUGCUUAUGGCUGGUGGUGGCCGUGGGAGUAAGCGUCAGCGUGCUUCGACCAAGCGUCCUGUUGAGCAACAUUGAGAAGAUGAGGGGAGCGAGUAUACUCCAGGUGAAGAAUCUGAAUCUGAUGAGCCCGAUUGGGAGGUACUUACUCCUGAAGUGCUUUCGAAGAAGAAGGGUAAAGCUCCCGCAGAAAAAGAACGAGAGAAGGGAAAAGGAAAAGGAAAAGGAAAAGGUACUGAAAAGGGAAAGGGCAAAGCCACUGCUCAAGGGACAGAUACGGGAGGUCGAAGAAAGUCAGGUGGAUUUGAGAUUAGAGAGCCUGUUUUUGAGCCUCCGCGAUAUUCUGUUCAGGAUGUUGAUUCCCGCCGACGAUCCAUGUACUCCUCAAAGCACUGCAUUGGUGAACGUGAUGUAAGCGUCGCAGAUAUUAUUGAGCGUGUGCCGGAAUUUCAAGCUCUAUUUGAAAAUGGUAAUUUGCAUGAAAUUUGUAGCUUUUCGGAGCAAUCAGGUUUCUGCUUGGAGCUUAUUAGGGAAUUUUAUAUGCGAGCGGGACAUCUGAUUGACUCUUAUAGCGGCCCAUACAGGUUCACUACUUCGGCACGAGGCGUCGAGUUGUCUAUUACGCCUGAUACGAUAGCUUCUGUGCUGGAAAUAGAAGCUCGUACCGAUGGAAUUGAGUACUUACAGGCCGGAUUUGAUUCGUUUCGGGAUUGGGCGCGUAUUGUGAAUGCAAUCUGCAUGCCGGGAACUGAAUCUAAUGGAAUUAUGGUUUUAUCUAAAGAUUUUAAGAUGGAGUAUCGUUUUCUGAACUUCGUGGUUUGUUAUAACAUUUUGCCCUUGGCAAACACGAAGAUUCUGCGUUGGGAUCGUCUUCUUUAUAUGUACUUGUUGGGUCACCCGGACAUUGUACAAGCAAAGAACAUAAACAUGAACAUUCCGUUUUUAAUUUGGGGGCGGAUGGCCAAGGACAUCAAGACAUCAGGGCAGAAUGACAGGUUGCCAUUUCCAUUGAUUAUUAUGCGGAUUCUGCGAAUGUAUGAGGUGGAUACUCGUUGUGCGUCAUACGAGCAUAGUCUUGGGAGGAUAAGUGACACGACGUUUGUGAAGUCCUCUGUGCAGCUUCGAACUCCGUCUAAACGAACUUCUUCACCUACUGCUGCUCCACCUCCUGCUGCUCCUAGUUCUUCCCGUCCUUCUAUGGAUAUUUCUGAGGAGGAUAUCUCGGUUUCAUCCGUGUAUCGUGAGCAACAUAGAUUAUCUGAAGAGCUUCAAAAACUUUCAGCGGAUCAGGCUCAGAUAAGGAAGGAUAUGAGCAAGAUUAGAUGAUUAAUGAAAGUGAUCUUCGAUAAAUUAGGUUGUUGUAGCUCCGAUCUUCCUCCGCAGGGUGAUGACUCCGACUGAGUGGUGCGGGGUUCCUCCUUUUAUCGUUUUGUCGGUUUCUUGACAAAAAGGGGGAGAUGAUGAUGAUGUUUUUUAGUUAAUUUUAGUUGUUAGAUGCAUGAUUUUAGAUGUUAGAUGCAUGUGUAGGUGCAUGAUGCUGUGCUGAUGGUGAUGUUUUUAGAUGAGAUGCUGAUAAUGAUGUAUUAAGAUAUGACUGUUUAUGUUUGAUCGUUAAUGAAAUUUCUUGGAUCUUGAUUGUGUUUUGAAAAUGUUUAUUGCAGGAACUUUCAAGACUUCAAGACUUCAUGUCUAAGUCAUAGAGUUUGUAGUAAGAUUGUGAAAAAAUAUAAUUUUUUCUUUUAUUGAAUCGAUCAUGCAGGAGAUUGUCGUUUGGUGAUUGCGAUGAUCUUCUUUUUAUUGUUUCUGAGUUGUGUACGAGUGUUGUAAUAUGUUUUGUCACGAAAUCGCCAAAGGGGGAGAUUGUUAAGGAUUUUCUAGGUUGGCGGAUUUCGUAAAGUCAAAUGGAGUCUUGAAGAGUUGAUCGCGGUAGUUUGAAGAGAAGAUUCAACUUGAAGAGCAAAAACUCAUUUGGAAAGCUCGGCACCUCAGGUAUAAAGAAUAGAUCAUUUUUGGUGAUUUUAUCUAACUACAAUAAGUUUAGAAGACUUGGAUUGCAAUAGAAAACACAAACUGAGGUUUUUAAUGUGCUGGGACCGGUCCCCUGAGAUGAGAGACCGGUUCCCGAGAGUUCUCUCUGCGUGGAUGUCUAAUACAACCGGUCUCCUGAUCUGAGGGACCGGUCUCCUGGUCGGUGCAACCGAUCUCUGUCAUGAGAGACCGUUUCCCUAACGUUGGGAUUUUUGACUCGCAGAGAGAGACCGGUCUCUGGCAUGAGAGACCGGUUCCCGAACGUUGUGUUUUCUGUCACGCAGCGAGGGACCGGUCUCCCAUUCAAGGCACCGGUCUCUGACAGACCUGUCUCCUCGAGAGGAUCGGUCCUUGAGGACGACACCAGUUUUUAAAAUAGACUUUUUGCAAUCCUAGUCUACUUCUAAGUCUUCUAAACCUAUAAAUAAGCCAUGGGGGUUAUCAUAUGGGUUGAGGCUUUGAAUUUCUACUGUUCAAAAACCCUAGAAACUUGUUUUCACGUUCCAAUGAUUCUAUUUAUAUAACAAGUUUCAUAUAAUCAUUGAUCGACUUGAUUCUUCGAUUUUAACUCAAGAUAUUCUUUGAGAAUCAAGUAGAUGUUUGAGGAGGGACUGUUGGAGCUCGGAUUCGUCGCCGCCGUAGUGCCGCGGAGUCGUUCGAGCACACGUUUGUCGUCGUGGUGCUGUGAGGAGCUCGGGCGGGCCUGGAUUGGACGACGUGGCGUCGACUCUUGAAGGUUUUCAAGGUGAGUGUUCGGUUGGAAUCACCUCAAUUACUUUAGCAUCAUCAAAUUUGAGCUUAAGUGCUAUUUUGCUUUUUUUCGCCGUCGAUCGUUGGUGUUUCAGCUCGUACUCGGCGUAGGAGCGUCGGUUUUCGACGAGACUUGGUUUGUUGGAUUCAAGACUUCGAGAGGAAUCAACAAAGCCCUUACUUACUAGAUUUGGUGAAGGUUAGCUUGGUCAAAUCCCUUUUCUACUCUGUUACUGCGAGAUUCGGACUGAAUUGGUGGAUUUUGAUCAUAGAGCUUGGAGUUAGCUCGAGUACUAGACUUGGAGGAUUCCAGUUGAUCCAGCAGGGCUCACUUUGGUUCGAGGCUUCGUUCGCUGCUAGGAGCUAGCUUCUUGAGGUGGGUUUACAUCGGUUUUACUCCUAAGUUCAUAAUCGUCGACAUGUAUAGAUUUCGAUUUUGGAUAAUCUAUUCUAGCUCGAAUUCAUGGAUUAUUUUGUAGAUUGCAAAUUUGAAUUUGGAACAUGUGGUAAUAAAUUGAGUAGUUAAUACAUGUUGGACUUGGACUUGACUUAGGAGAAAACGCGAUAAUGAUCGGCAUAUGCUUAAACUGCCUGAUUUAGCUCUAGGAGCCGUUAUUAAAUUGUACUGUCGCAGUAUCUUCGAGACGAGUACUCCAGGUAGUUUAGAUUAUAUUUACGCUCGUGCUGGUACGCCGAGUGAAUUUUUACAGGGUCAUUUGGACUAUUUCGGACUUUUGGGCGCCGUUGGGGUGGACGGUGGGCCCGGUUCGCCGUUUUGGCGUCAGAUUGUGCCGAGGGCACGUUACUUGUUGGUUGUUAGACUAGUUAGAGUCGGUUACUUGGACUUUGGCUUGACAGAGCCUGAUUGAGCUCGACAGAAAUACGCUGCAUACUCGGUUGGGUAGCGCCCACGAGUGCCACUCCGGAGACGGGCUUUGUGCUUUUGCGUUGGUGUCGCUCAUGCCGGUUGGACUUGCUUUCCACGGACCAGUUAGUGUGGAGGUAGCUAGAUAGUCGCAACUGGGCAGGGACGGGUGUAUUCACAGUCCCAGGGACGGGUAUGUUUACAGUCCCGAUUGGAUUGGGUCAGAUUUGAUAUUUCCUACAGUUGGUUAGUGUAGAGCAUGAUAGUGUAGUGAUUUGUAGCGGUUGAGUUUAUUUCCUGCAUUUUCCUACUAUCUUGGCUCCCCUCUGUAGACUUAGUGGGUGGACCGAUGUUGUUUUGGGCGGCACCCACUGAGGACUACUUGUUUUUACAGUAGUUCUCACGCCCAGUUGUUACCCCUGUUUUGCAGAGCCAUAGGUUUCGGCUGCUGCACCUUCCGAGGCAGAUCGAGGUAAGGGCGUCGCGAGUUAGAGCCCUACCCGACGUGCUGAGUUAGAGGUGCCCCUACUGCAGGUAGAUGUUUUGUUUCGAGUUUAUGUACAUAGUAGACUUAACUCGCUAGUGCGAGUAACUUUAUAUUUUGGAUUGGGACUAGGUAUAUGAAACUCAGUUUGUUUAGCUUCUGUUUUCUCUAGCAGCUCUCUACUACUGUUCGUAGUAGUGUUUGAUUUACAGGUAUAGUUGUCGCUUCGUAUACAGAAAAAAUUUCUUUGUAUACGGCGGAUUUGUCGGCGUGCCCAGGGAACGAGACAUCCGGGGCGUGACAGAUUAAGUUGGUAUCAGAAGGUGAACCCUCAUUGCUUAUGGGAUUGAUUCUAAGUCUUAAUCACCACAAAUCAUCAAUUCUACAAACUCCGGAAGGAGAUUCGGCGUGUGGAUCUCGCGUGUAGCCGAGGACUCGGUGGACGCUUCGAGGAGUUGAGGCGUUGACGCAGCAAGGAGUUGCAGCGGGGUCGAUUGGAGCAUUCCUAUCGAUCGAGGACUGGCGAAGAACAUCAACAAUGGGAAUUCGGUAAAUUGAGUCUUAUAUUUUGGUUAAAUCACUUGUACUCAAGUUUUCUUUAGUGGAUUUUCUUCGCGUGAUCUGUCCCAUGGGUUUUUCACUCCGGAUUGGAGUUUUCCCACGUUAAAAUCUCGGGGUGUUGUUUUUAUUUUCCGCUAUUCAUUUUAUUUGCAUCGAGAGGUUUUGUUUUUGCCGUUUUACACCUAUUCACCCCCCUCCAGGUGUUAUUUAUCUUUUAGAUCCUCGGGAUCCAUAUCUUACACAGGCGGCAUCAUCCAACAAGCUGAAUGGGCGAGGAGAACCAACAUACCCAUUUCAAGCUCAAGCUCAUGGCAUACUGGGCGAAGAGAACCAACAUACCCUUUGAAUCAUUGCCGGGCGAAGAAAACCAACAUACCCGCAGUUAUGAUUCUCAUUAGCCAUUCCACAUACCAGGCGAGGAGAACCAACAUACCCGUUGAAUCACUGUCAGACGAGGAGAACCAACAUAUCCACAGUCUUGAUUCACUUUGUUCAGUUGCAAGUCUCAUUCGCUGCACUAGCAGCCUUCAUUUCUAGGGAUUCCGGAAUCAACUUCACAUAGCUCAAGGGUUGGUCUCAAACCCUAUAGUUUCGACCUAUCUAGGUCUGUUGUUCUUUACUACCUAGGUCCUCUUGACUCUAGGUUCAAUGUCUCUAUCACAUAACCUAGGUUUACUUUAACUCUAGGUUCAAUCCACAACCUAUGUUCUUUGACACUAGGUUCGAUGCCACUCACCUAGAUCUUGACUCUAGGUUCACUUGUUCAACCUAUGUUUGCUAACACUAGGUUCAAUGUCAUUCAUGUUCAACCUAUGUUUAAUAACACUAGGUUAGAUGCCACUCAAUCUAAUAUAUAGAUGUCCGCAUGCACAUUUCAAUUAACAUAAUCCUCUAUAUGCUAACUUGCAUCCAUCUAGCAUUCACAUUAUGUCAUCAUGCAUUUUCUUAGCAUUAACCACAUGCAUUCACCUAUCAUUGCUAUGACAUGCUCAUCAUGCAUCAUGUAUUCAUCUAGCAUUUUCCUCAAUGUAUCAACAUACAUAUCUCAUUGGUAGGCAUUAAACAUCAAGCAUAAUAAGAUUCAUGCAUCUUUAUUAUCUCAUGCAACCUACCUCUACACAUGUAUGCAUUAAUAGUAACAUUACUCUUAGACAUAAUGGCGACCUAGUCGCUUCGGUGAGCACAAUCCACCUCAAUUCGCUCUCCAAUUGCUCGUAGUCACUUGCAAUCGGCCGCCCGCGGUACCCGCUAUCCGACUCGGCCCGAACUCGCAAUUGCGCACCAACCGUGCGCCGCUUCGCAGCCCCGAAAAUUAUAGGUCUUCGGUUAUGUGCUACGGUGUUCGGGAUCCAUUUUCAUAAUUUUUGGACGUCUCCUCGGCCCUCCAAGCGGAAACGAAGCUAAAUCGCCCGUUUCUUCAAUAUCUUUGCACCGACUCGACGAAUCGCCGAACCGACUUCGCCAACGCGUCAGGAAAACCUAGCAAUUAGAUUUACGAAAGGUCAAUUGAGAUCAAACCCACAUAUAUACUAAAACCCCAAUUUGAACCCUAGGUUUGCUACUAUUGCAAAACCUACCAUUAAAUCUCUAGAUUCUAGCUUUGAUCAUCUAUUUAGCAUUAAAUGGGUUAACUAAAAUCAAUUCUAGAGCAAAAGGUCCAAGCCCUAGAGUUCUACCAUUAAUGGACACAAAAGCUUACCUCUCUAAGCUUUCUCCAAGCACAAGAAGACGAAGAUGAAGGUGAAGCUUCUUCUCCAAGCUUCCUUCUCCUCCAAUCCCUCCCUUUGUUUUCCUCCUUGAAGAGAGAGAGAGAGAGCUAUUCUAGAGAGAGAGAGGGAGAGUGUGUGUAUUAGGGUGAGAUAAAUGAGAGGGGAGAGCUCCAACCCUCUCAUAUACACUCUAGUUAUGGCAAUUUUGCAAGAAACCCCCCUCAACAAUGCAAAUAAUGCACAGCCCGCACAGGGCAAUUUCGGGCUACGGGGACCGGUCCUUGGAUGAGGGACUGGUCCCUGAGGGACUCGUCCUCGUAAGUCUCAAUUUCCAGACUUCGCCAAAUUUCAACCUUUUUCGUUUUCGCUCCGUUUUCGCUCGUUUAGUCUCCGAUUCAUUUCAAAUCGAACCGAGACUCUCCAAACAUAUUUUCGAACAUGUUUUCAUCAUAUUUUCAUCCACGCAAAUACCAGAUUUAGUCCAUGAUCCGACAUAGCCUUUCUGGUUCCGUUUUCGCGCCUAUGCGCUCUGAAACGCCCGAAUGCUUCCAAACUUCACCGGAACUAUUCCAAUGGCUCUCCAAACCAAUAUAAACCGUAACUUCAUUAUUUUAGAAGUCCGGUACCUUACAUCCUCCCCUCCUUAAAAAGAGUUUCGUCCUCGAAACUCAACUCACUUAUAAUCCAACCCACACCUCAACUCAGCUUAUUGAGUAGUCGAGGGUUCUAAUGCACUUUCGCACUCCGGAGUGACCUUUCACUCAUUGGAAUCAUUCAAAUGUUCACUACGGAGGAUGUGAGGCCAAUUUCACUCAUAUUUGCCAUGUGUAAGUCCAAAAGUGCAUUACCAUCAUGCAAAGAACUACUCCUUGCAUUCACACCCAAGCGGGAAAUUUACCAAUACUACGUAGGCCUGCCGCCUAAACCUGUCUCAACUACGCACGACGUCCCUCGCUCGCACGUAGACCCAAUCAUCAUUGGGCGAAAUUCUCAUAGGAGAAUUCGCACACACUCCAACCAGGAGCAAUCAAGUUCCUAAACCACGUCAAGUCCUCGGGUUGGGUCACAACCGCACUCUCAGUGCAUCCUCGAUCUCAUGAUCCAACACGUGGCAUUCCACGCUCCCGGGUCUAAGCUCGGACUACCGUCCUGACCAAAACUCUGCCCUACCCGUAGGUAUCGAGCCGCUGUCUCAAACAGCUGACUACGCCUGCCCAAAGGGCCCAGGCUCCACAGUCCACAAUUGGUCCAGGCACAGGUCAUCCCCAAGCAACACCCGCCGUCGUCGUCCUACACGACAUACUCUAUCGAGCUAUAAGCACCACCACCGGCUCCUAAGCACCUAGUGCGAGCCACCAGCCCCAUGAAUAAUCCAUGGCCCGCUGCACACUUAGCAAUGCUACAGUGCUACUGCCAUCUCACUCACUCGGCUGAAUCGAAACCGCACCCUACGAGUAUCUACACUCUAGCGUCGUACGCUUCCUAUACUAAAUUCAGCAUUAGGCGAUUUUGCCUUAGCGCACUAGCCAUGCAAGCACAACUCAUUCACCUCGAUUCAAGGUACUACAGGGCCCCACAGGCCAAACUUGGCGCUAACCAACCGUUCUCUCAACAGUGAUUCCACUUUCACUGUUCGAUCCACCGAAACUAUAUCCGAAAUUCCCGGACUCUUCGGGUACCUCAAACAUCUUGGCUCAACUCUCGCAAUCUCCUAUCCAUUGCCUUAAGAGUCACUUCACCAUUUCAUGUUCACCACGAGUCCCAUUCCUGGUCCAAGAACCAUUACUAGCCAUUUGCUAGUACCACUUGGCUCUCUACCUACCCCCGCAGGCGCGACUCUGUUACUGCAUGUGCAUGCCCGGGUAUCCACACUCAGCCGUCCACUCAGUCCCUACUAUACAAUGUAUAAAUAGUAGCAACUAACCUUAUGAUAAUGGCAUGCAAUGCAUCCACCUGACAUCAUACAAAAGCAUAUGCUUGCUUAAAUUAACUCAUACCUGCAAGCUAACCCGGAGAGAAAAAGGCCAUCGCCAGUGUCAGGUCCCGGCUAUCACCCUGCGGACACUCAUAGUUCGGGGGACCCGGUUGUCCACAUCGGGUGCAUCUACCUUCCUACUGCACGCAACGUCGUGCCCAAUGGGAACCACCGCAGAUCACGCAUCCUGGGGAGGAUCGAGUAGAGGACGACUUCGAGUGGCGCCUAGAACUUGAUUGUCCACCCGAACCGCUCGACAGUGGCCUCAUCCUUCCCCGCUCAUGCCCGGAAGACUCAUGCUUCUCUCGCACAAAAGCCUCUCCGUGCUCUGCCAACAACGCUCGAUCCAACACCUCCGCGAAGGUUGCGAGCUUGAAGAUUUGCACCUCCUGAUAAAUCUCCGGUCGAAGUCCACGUAGGAACCAAUCAGCCAUACCCUUGUCAUCCCGUACCACAUCCGGGACACAAUUCACGAAACGGGAAAACUCCUAUUCGUAUUCCCUCACAGAGCGGUCUCCCUGUCGCAGCUUUCUGAACUUGUCCUGAAGCUUUCUUUUUUCAACGUCGGGGAAGUAAGUCGAAAACGCUAAUCCUCGAAGUUUAUCCCACGUCAUAGGAGGGAGACUAGGCGAUCGAUUCUGUUGAAUGUCUUUCCACCACACCUUUGCCAACAGCUUCAAGCAAUGCACGGCUAGGGGCACCUUAUCCCGCUCCAAGGUGUACAGCUCCUCGAAUAGGGUUUCCAUAGAGUCAAUCCACAUCUCCACGAUCCACGGAUCGACAUUCUCUCCAUUGAAGAUAGGCGGAUCAAACCUCUUGAAGGUCAUAAGGGCCGCCAAAGCCCGCUCUUUCUCCACCUUCACUAACGCACUUUCAGAAGUCGGAUCGUCCGACCCCAACGGAGAGAUCUCCGCCGCGACUCCUGGCCGUCCUCGACGAGCUGUAACUGGCGCAGCCACCAACUGAUCCACCGUCUCUUGGAGUCUUUUCAUCCGCUCCUCCUGGCGCAUAGCAGCCUCCUGCUGCCGCUGCACCACAUCAGCCUGUUGCCUCACCACUCCGACGAGAGUGGCCAACUGAUCAUGAAGCUCCAAGUCUCCGCUCGCGUCGGUUUGCUCAGGGGCACCACUUGUCCCCUCCCGCACCGAUCUGGAUGAAGAUCGCCUACGCGGUGUCAUCGUUUCCUGAAACAGGACAACUCGAUCAGGUCUCGACCCUCUAAGUCGAACACGAGACAACUAACAUCGACUAAAAUCGGGCAAAAGUCAAGCAAGGGCAUCUAUUCUCAUCCUUUGGUUUCAUGUCGUGCGCGCCCAACAUGGACAUCUCCGGUCGAGAAUAAACGACACCGCGAGUCUACCUCUAAUAUCCGUCUUAGAGGUUUCGACACAACCCAAUCGAUCAAUCUUUCGCCACAAGUCACCAGUCCUCGUCUCUCACGAGCCUUAUUCUCCUAUGGUUUACUAUCCUAGGGUCUUCUAGGUCCAGCUAAACUAUUUUUCCAUUCUCUACUUUAUGCUCUGAUACCACCUUACCUGUCACGCCCCGAGCCCCCGCCUAUUUGGCCGGAUUCGGGCACGCCGACAGACCGCCGAACGGACAGNCAGACCGCCGAACGAACAGAGUCUCCUCUGUACGUCCUAGGCGUCGCAAUCAAUAUAAUACAAGAGGUUCCAACGAGGAACAAUAUUCAACAUACAGAUUGCAUAAGGAAGUAUCAAACAACAUAAACAGCUAGACUAUUACAAGCAUUCCCACAACAUGCAUUUUACAUCUCAUUUACAAUUCAUUUUACAAUCAACUUCCAAAUACAAUAGAGGUUAUUACAACUUUUACUUAUUUACAAGUUUGAUACAUCUUGUUCUUUUCAUUUCCCCUCUACCCCUAGGCUAUGCCGACUCGAGGUACCGCUAUCGCUGGUCUCUGGGUAGGGCGCUAUCUAUGGAGCUAGGCCCUUGUCUCGCGCCGCCGCGCAGCUCACGUGCGAACCUGUAACCCCCAAAACCACACGGGGGUGAGAACUAUAUAAAUAUAGUUCCCAGUGGGUACGGCCACCAAAGAAAAAAGCUCGACCAAUAGAUCCAAAGAGGCACUGCAAUAUGUUAGUCCAACAAUAUCCAACAGAUAUAUAUAUAUAUAUAUUCAUAUUGAAAUACAUGUCAUGCCUCACAAUAUGCAAUAUGAAAUCAUGCAACUAUACAACUACGCAGUUCACUAGUAGAUCCAUCGAUACUACUUUCGAUCUUGCCAAUCAUAGCUCAUGCCAUCUAGCUCUAAGGUUCUAUUUACCUUAGCUCCAUAGUUCAACCUCAACUAGUGUCUAAGGUCUCUACUGCCUUAGAUCAAAUCAUAAAUCACUAGCCUUUAAGGUUUCUACUAUCCACCCGACUCGGCCUCGAGUCAAUCAUCGUGGACUACCGCGCACUAGCUGCAUCUCUACUACAGCCUGGCUGCCGUCACAGCUUACCUCACCUCUUGACUUAGCCAUCUGGCGGCGAACGCGUCGUCCUUACCUAGCAAGGUCUCAAGUCAUGACUUAGCCAUCUGGCGGCGAACUAAUCGCAUCUCACCCAACAAUGGUUCAGGUCACGACUCAGCCAUCUGGCGGCGCACGCAUCGCCCUUACCCAGCAAUGGUUCAAGUCAAUCCAGGCAGCAUCAUCCAACAAGAUGAAUGGGCGAGGAGAACCAACAUACCCAUUUCAAGCUCAAGCUCAUGGCAUACUGGGCGAGGAGAACCAACAUACCCGUUGAAUCACUGUCGAGCGAGGAGAACCAACGUACCCGCAGUUAUGAUUCUCAUUAGCCAUUCCACAUACCGGGCGAGGAGAACCAACAUAUCCGUUGAAUCACUGUCGGGCGAGGAGAACCAACAUACCCACAGUCUUGAUUCACUUGCGCUCAGUCGCAAGUCUCAUUCGCUGCACUAGCAGCCUUCAUUUCCUAGGGAUUCCGGAAUCCACUUCACAUAGCUCAAGGGUUGGUCUCAAACCCUAUAGUAUCGACCUAUCUAGGUCCAUUGUUCUUUACUACCUAGGUCCUCUUGACUCUAGGUUCAAUGUCUCUAUGACAUAACCGAGAUUUACUUUAACUCUAGGUUCAAUCCACAACCUAUGUUCUUUGACACUAGGUUCGAUGCCACUCACCUAGAUCUUGACUCUAAGUUCACUUGUUCAACCUAUGUUUGCUAACACUAGGUUCAAUGUCAUUCAUGUUCAACCUAUGUUUAAUAACACUAGGUUAGAUGCCACUCGAUCUAAUAUAUAGAUAUCCACAUGCACAUUUCAAUUAACAUAAUCCUCUAUAUGCUAACUUACAUCCAUCUAGCAUUCACAUUAUGUCAUCAUGCAUUUUCCUAGCAUUAACCACAUGCAUUCACCUAUCAUUGCUAUGACAUGCUCAUCAUGCAUCAUGCAUUCAUCUAGCAUUUUCGUCAAUGUAUCAACAUAUAUAUCUCAUUGGUAGGCAUUAAACAUCAAGCAUAAUAAGAUUCAUGCAUCUUUAUUAUCUCAUGCAAUCUACCUCUACACAUGUAUGCAUCAAUAGUAACAUUACUCUUAGACAUAACGGCAACCUAGUCGCUUCGGUGAGCACAACCCAUCUCAAUUCGCUCUCCGAUUGCUCGUAGUCACUUGUAAUCGGCCGCCCGCAGCACACGCUAUCCGACUCGGCCCGAACUCACAAUUGCGCACCAAUCGUGCACCGCUUCGCAGCCCCGAAAAUUAUAGGUCUUCGGUUAUGUGCUACGGUGCUCGGGAUCCAUUUUCAUAAUUUUUGGACGCCGCCUCGGCCCUCUAGGCGGAAACGAAGCUAAAUCGCCCGUUUCUUCAAUAUCUUUGCACCGGCUCGACGAAUCGCUGAACCGACUUCGCCAACGCGUUGGAAAACCUAGCAAUUAGGUUUACGGAGGAUCAAUUGAGAUCAAACCCACAUAUAUACUAAAACCCCAAUUUGAACCCUAGGUUUGUUACAUUGCAAAAUCCACCAUUAAAUCUCUAGAUUCUAGCUUUGAUCAUCUAUUUAGCAUCAAAGGGGUUUACUAAAACCAAUUCUAGAGCAAAAGAUCCAAGCCCUAGAGUUCUACCAUUAAUGGACACAAAAGCUUACCUCUCUAAGCUUGCUCCAAGCACAAGAAGAAGAAGAUGAAGGUGAAGCUUCUUCUCCAAGCUUCCUUCUCCUCCAAUCCCUCCCUUGUUUUCCUCCUUGAAGAGAGAAGAGAGAGAGCUAUUCUAGAGAGAGAGAGGGAGAGUGUGUGUGUGUUAGGGUGAGAGAAAUGAGAGGGGAGAGCUCCAACCCUCUCAUAUACACUCUACUUAUGGCAGUUUUGCAAGAAACCCCCUCAACAAUGCAAAUAAUGCAUAGCCCGCACAGGGCAAUUUCAGGCUACGGGUACCGGUCCUUGGAUGAGGGACCGGUCCCUGAGGGACCUAUCCCUGGCCGAGGGUCCCAUCCCCGUAAGUCUCAAUUUCUAGACUUAGCCAAAUUUCAGCCUUUUUCGUUUUCGCUCCGUUUUCGCUCGUUUUCGCUCGUUUGGUCUCCGAUUCAUUUCAAAUCGAACCGAGACUCUGCAAACAUGUUUUCGAACAUGUUUUCAUCAUUUUUUCAUCCACGCUAAUAUCCGAUUCAGUCCAUGGUCCAACAUAGCCUUUCGGGUUCCGUUUUCGCGCCUACGCGCGCCGAAACGCCUGAAUGCUUCCAAACUUCACCGGAACCAUUCCAAUAGCUCUCCAAACUAAUAUAAACUGUAACUUCAUUAUUUUAGAAGUCCGGUACCUUACACCCACUACACGGAGUAAAGUAAUAUGAUGCAAAUAAUUAAUUCCACUAGUAUUACAUGCUAUUAUCUCAAUUAGGGUUCGCCUCAAAGGCUUUACGCUCUCAUUUCCUCAUGUCUAAAACAUGGAAUAUAACUAUCGAUCCCUAGAUCGACUGCAAUAUCACAAUGGCCAAUACUAGUUGUUCUACUAGAUUAAAUGCACCGAGUUACAAUGACACAUGUUAACUUCUAGUUGUUCAACUAAGUUAAAUGCACCAAGCUUAGCUUCAAGAUGACCUUAUCAUGUGCUAUAUCUCAAUGUCGCAAUUACCUUGAUGACAACAAGUAUAAUGUCAUCAUGCAAGUAAUUCUAAGUUAAAUGCCUCUUUAUGCCAUUUUGUCUACUAUGUCAAUAUGAGUUUUAAGUCCGAGAGCAUGUUUUCCUAGUCAAUUUCAUUGCAUGAAAUAUGUCUCCAAACCCUAUAAUAGAAUGCUAUUCUCAUGCAUGAAAACAAUGCAUAUAUCUCUCUCUACUAUAUAGAGGUAAUUGUAUAAAAUAUAGCACAUAUAUUUUAAGCAUUCUAAACAUCUCGUAUGCUCUAUAUAGUAUGAAUAUGCAUGCAUUUCUAUUUUACGACAUUUCAAAAUUGACAUAAAUGGAGUUUUUCACUUUUCGAUGAGGUCAAACCCACCAAAACUCCUCGUAACCCUUCGUUUGCGCCGACGAAGGUGUCCACUACUCUCCUAACUCCCUGAGGUAGUGUUUGGUUGGGGAACAAGGGGGGAAUAAGCCCUUGUUCCCCCCUUUGUUCCCAAACGCAAUAUUUGUGACCCGGGAACAGUAGUUCCAGGAUUUCAAGAAUAAGCAGGUAUAAGGCUGGAACUGCUGUUCCACCUUUUUACUGGAACAAGCUUGUUCCUUGAUGAGAACAAGAUUAAUUAAAAUCUAAAUUUAAUUUUAAUGAUAGUAAAUUAUUAAUUAAUCUAAUUAAUAUAUUUAAAUUAUUAUUUAUUACUUUAAUAAUUAAGUAAUUAAUUAAUAAUAAUUAGAUAAUUAUUAUAAUUAAUUUAUUAUUGAUAAUUAAUUAUUAAUAAUUAAUAAUUAAUAAUAUUUAUUAUUAUUUAUUAAUAAUUAUUAUCCUUAAUAAUUAGAUAAUCGAUUGUAUUAUUAAUUUAUUAUUUAUAAUUAAUUAUUAAUAAUUAUUAAUUAGACAAUCGCUAUUAUUAUUAAUUUAUUAUUUAUAAUUAAUUAAUGAUAAUUAAUAAUAUUAUUAUCUUAUUUAUAUAUAAUAUUAAUAAUUAUUUAUCUUUAAUAUUUAGAUUAACGAGUAUUAUAUUAAUUUAUUAUUUUGAUAUAAUAGUUAUUAUUAUACUUUAUUAUUAUUAUUAUUUAACUAUAUUUAUUAUUUUCUCUUUUCUUCCCCUUUUUUCUUUUUUUUUUUUGUCUGCGAUUGAGCCAUCCAUAUAUCUAGAUGGCCUUUCGGUGCAGAAGUGGAUGGGAAUCUUCGAUGUUUCUUCGGACCUCUCAAUACCCCAUUCGAAGUCGUUGAUGAUGGAAUGGAUGAUCUACAUUGUUGCGACCAUCUCCAGCAUGUUUGGUUUGAUACUUUCGAAAGAAGAGGGGAGGGGGAUCUUUGAUUCCCUGUUUCUUCGGACCCUUCAACAUUUCUUCGAUAAAUAUCGAACCAAAUUUGCCGGCCGAACAGAUCCAUGCCACUGUUAACAACUCCGUCGACGACAUCUACAAUCGCCGUUUUGAUCUUUUCGAAAGAAAAGGGGAGGGGAAUCUUUGAUUCCCCGUUUCUUCGGACCCUUCAAUAUUUCUUCGAAAAUGUCAAAUCAAAUUUGCCGGCCGAAUAGAACCGUGCCAUCGUCAACAACUUCGCCGACGACAUCUACAGCAUCGCCGGAAAAGUAUCGCCAGAAGAGGGGAAGGGAAUCUUUGAUUCCCCGUUUCUUUGGACCCCAAAUCAAAAUUAAAACGGGGAUUUCUUCGGACCCCAAAUUGGAAUCAAAACGGGGAUUUCUUCGGACCCCAAAUCAGAAUCAAAAGGGAAUUUCUUCGGACCCCAAAUCAAAAUUAAAAUGGGGAUUUCUUCGGACCCCAAAUCAAGAUCAAACGGGGAUUUCUUCGAACCCCAAAUCAAAUUGAAAAAUCAAAUCCAAUUGGAGAAUCAAACGGGGAUUUCUUCGGACCCCAAAUCAAAUUGAAAAAUCAAAUCCAAUUGGCAAAUCAAACGGGGAUUUCUUCGGACCCCAAAUCAAAUUGGAAAAUUAAAUCCAAAUUGAAUAAUCGAACGGGGAUUUCUUCAGACCCCAAAUCAAAUCCAAAUUGAAAAAUCAAAUCCAAAUUGGAGAAUCAAACUGGGAUUUCUUCGGACCCCAAAUCAAAUCCAAUUGGAGAAUCACACGGGGAUUUCUUCGGACCCCAAAUCAAAUUUGAAAAUCAAAUCCAAAUUGGAGAAUCAAACGGGGAUUUCUUCGGACCCCAAAUCAAAUUCAAUUGGAGAAUCACACGGGGAUUUCUUCGGACCCCAAAUCAAAUUUGAAAAUCAAAUCCAAUUUAGAGAAUCAAAUGGGGAUUUCUUCGGACCCCAAAUCAAAUCCAAUUGGAGAAUCAAACGGGGAUGUCUUCGGACCGCAAAUCAAAUUAAAAAAAUCAAAACGGGAAUUUAUUCGGACCCUAAACCCAAAUCGAGAUAAAAAGGAGAUUCAAAAAGGGAUUUCUUCGGAUCCGAAUCAAGUUGCAAAAGAGGAUUGCCUCGAACCCAAAUAAACCCAAACCAAACUAAGUCCACAUACAAAACCAAACCUCAUGGACCAAAUCCCAUGAACCAAAACCAAAUCUCAUGGACCAAAUCCCAUGAACCAAAACCAAAUCUCAUGGACCAAAUCCCAUGAACCAAAACCAAAUCUCAUGGACCAAAUCCCAUGAACCAAAACCAAAUCUCAUGGACCAAAUCCCAUGAACCAAAACCAAAUCUCAUGGACCAAAUCCCAUGAACCAAAACCAAAUCUCAUGGACCAAAUCCCAUGAACCAAAACCAAAUCUCAUGGACCAAAUCCCAUGAACCAAAACCAAAUCUCAUGGACCAAAUCCCAUGAACCAAAACCAAAUCUCAUGGACCAAAUCCCAUGAACCAAAACCAAAUCUCAUGGACCAAAUCCCAUGAACCAAAACCAAAUCUCAUGGACCAAAUCCCAUGAACCAAAACCAAAUCUCAUGGACCAAAUCCCAUGAACCAAAACCAAAUCUCAUGGACCAAAUCCCAUGAACCAAAACCAAAUCUCAUGGACCAAAUCCCAUGAACCAAAACCAAAUCUCAUGGACCAAAUCCCAUGAACCAAAACCAAAUCUCAUGGACCAAAUCCCAUGAACCAAAACCAAAUCUCAUGGACCAAAUCCCAUGAACCAAAACCAAAUCUCAUGGACCAAAUCCCAUGAACCAAAACCAAAUCUCAUGGACCAAAUCCCAUGAACCAAAACCAAAUCUCAUGGACCAAAUCCCAUGAACCAAAACCAAAUCUCAUGGACCAAAUCCCAUGAACCUAAACCAAACCUCAUGGACCAAAUCUCAUGAACCAAAACCAAAUCUCAUGGACCAAAUCCCAUGAACCAAAACCAAACCUCAUAGACCAAAUCCCAUGAACCAAACACCACGAACCAUACCCAAGUCCCAUAAACCAUGAAUCAAGUUCGUGAACCAAACACCACGAACCAUACCCAAGUUCAUGAACUAUAAACCAAACCCCAUGAACCAUACACCAAAUUCAUGAACCAUAAACCAAAUCCAUAAACCAAGUUCAUGAACCAUGAACCAUGAACUAUGAACCAAGUUCAUAAACCUCAUCCAUGAACCAUAUCCAAGUUCAUGAACCAUAUACCAUAAACCAUAAAUCAAGAUCACAUACCCAACCUCAUGACCCAUACACUUAGUUCAUGAAUCAUAAACCAAGUUCAUGAACCAUAUCUUAUGAACCCAUGAACCAUACAUCAAGUUCAUAAAUCUCAUCUAUGAACCAUAUUCAAGUUCAUGAACCAAAUCCCAUACACCAAACCUCAUGAACCAUAAACCACAACCCAAGCCCAUGGACCAAAUCCCAUGGACCAUAUACCCAACCUCAUGAACCAUAUGCCAAAUCCAAUGAGGCAUGAACCAAAUCAUCUUCAAAUCUCAUGAACCAACACCCAUAUCUCAAGAACCAAUACCCAAAUCUCAUGCCCAAAGUUCAUCAUGAACCUCUUUUUGCUCUAACUCAUAUACCUAGAGUGAAAAUUAAAUAUCGACUACCCCUAAUACAUAUACUUAGGGCUAAGUCAAUUGCCUUAGCACAUAUAACUAAGGCAAAACAUCUCCAACUCGACCGAGUUCUAAAUUAUACUUAGAAUUCAAUCAAAUGAUAUUCGAACUCUAACACAUAUACUUAGAGUUCAUUCGACUAACCCUAAUACAUAUCCUUAGGGUCUAGUCAACCUUUUACUCUAGCACAUAUACCUAGAGUGAAAAUCAAACCAAGCUCGACUAGUCCUAACCCAUAUAUUUAGGGUCUAGUCAGUCUUCUGCUCUAGCACAUCUACCUAGAGUGAAAUCCAUACCCGAUCGAGCUCUAAUACAUAUACUUAGAGCUCAAGUCCGACGAAGCCUAACAUAAUACCUUAGGGCUUAGUCAGAUCCUCACUCUAGCACAUGUAACUAGGGUGAAAAAUAUAUUAAACUAGGUUAAUCCUGAUACAUAUACUCAGGAAUUAACCACCCUCUACUUUCGGAUAAUUCGACCCACCUCAAUACAUAUACGUGAGGUCGGGCCACAUCUCUACCUUAGAAUAUACAACCAAGGUGAAUAUAAUCGGACUCUAAGACAUAAACUUAGAGCCAAUUAGACUCUAAUACAUAUACUUAGAGUUUAAUAUCGACUAGGUCUUAACACAUAUACUUAGGACCUAGUCAAUCUCAAAUCCAAUUGAAUCUUAAUACAUAUACUUAGGAUUCAAUAAACCAAGACACGAUUCAUCUCAUCUCAUCUAUAAAGGUCUCUCAAUCGAAGGUACCCCAAUCUACAGGGGGUAAUUAACAGUAGAUGCUUGCAUCUAUUGGAAGCCAUGGACCCGCAAUACCUAAUACCCAUAUACAUAUACAUACUCAUCUGAAUCAUGAAUACUACCCCAUGGCGGAAAAUCCAUCGACCAUGCGAGGUGCGUCAUUCGUGAUGGCAGACAUAGGGUUGAGUCUUAGUGGACCUAGCAAACCUUAGGCCGGUUGGACUAUAGGAAAUAGGCUCGUGAGAGAUGAGGUCUAUUUGAUUUGUAAGCGAAAGUAUCAUGAUUCGGUUUCAUUAUAACUCUAGAAAGUAGAGUUUAAUCGAAGUGUAUAGCUUCUAACUUUGCGGAGGGUUACGUUGGCGGCCGACAACGUAACAUCGGGAGUUAGUAGUGAAGAACACUUCCUUUCUUUCGCAUGAUUUGGGUAUUAUCUUCUUGAGUGGGGAUUCGUUAGCAUGGGUUUUACUAACUUCCGCUUUUAUGAUGUUGUAGUGAGAUGCCGAUUACUCGCUCUCAAUCUGCCGGAGCGAAUAAUGCUGCACACUUGGAGGAGGUCGAGACCUCCGCUACUUCCGGAUUCGGCGAGGUCCGUGAGUUGAGGAGCCAGCUUGCGGCCCUCACCGACUUGGUGACUCAGCAGGCGGAGGUAGCAUGACAGUAAACGGAGGCGGCGAGCCUACAGGAGGCGCGGAUGAAGCGCCUGGAGGACCUCCUACUACAGCAGGCGGCUACUCGGGAGGCUCAGGUUCCUACACCACCCGCACCUGUGGAGAUAGUUGCACCCAGGGGGUCGUCUCCCCUCCUCGACACAUCGCGGACGACACCUGCGGUUGCACCGCGGGGGGAGGAGUUGGUGGCACCACCCGUUCUGGUGCCUUUGGCGUGGGCAAUUUUUUCCGUGACAGCUGUUAGAGAGGAGAGGGACCGACUGAUGGAGCACCCCAAUGAGUUUAGGAGGUGCAAUCCCAGGAUCUUCGACGGCGAGAAGGUCGACCACUGGAUCGUGGAAAAGUGGUUGAUGCACAUGGAGAAGCUUUUCUGCGACACCUUCAUGGAGGAGAGGGACCGAGUUUGGCUCGCCACCCACCACUUGGACGGCGAGGCCUACAGCUGGUGGUUGGACAUCCAGAAGGAUCCCAACACCGACCUUGCGGCUAUUACUUGGAAGAAGUUCAAGGAACUUCUACUGGCGCAUUACUUCCCCGACAUCGUUAAGGGGAAGAUGGAGCAAGACUUGCGCAACUUGUGCCAAGGAGACCGGACUGUAGCCUAGUUCGAGAGGGAGUUUUCUUGGCUUCUACAUUGCGUGCCUUUCGUCAUACAGGACGACGAGGACAAGGCCCGCAUUUUCGAGCGGGGAUUGUGACCGUCAAUCUUCCGGUUCGUGCAAUCCUCUAACCUCCAAACCUACCGGGAGGUGGUGAAUCGCGCGCUCAUUGUGGAGAGCGGCAUGGCGGAUCUGCAGGAGUGGAGAGAAGGCUUGGAUAAGGGUAAGGGCAAAAGGCGAGUGGCUGAGGGUGCGAGGCAGAUGCACUUUAGGAGGCCGCCGAAGCACCCUAGGAGCCAGCGACGUGGGCGCGGCUCGGCAGCGCAGCGAGGAGGUUCUGAUCGACGCCGAUCUUCCCAGUGCGUGAUCUGUGGUAGUCCCCAUAUUCCACCGCAGUGCCCGUAGCGGAGAGGGAGGUGCUUACAGUGUGGCUAGGAGGGCCACUUCCGAACCGAGUGCCCGAAGGGUUCAUCACCGGCACCGUCGACUGCAUCGGCACCGGCUUUACCAGCCACCAGCCAGGGGACUCCAUCGGCACAGUACCAGCCCGAGCGGCCGUCCGUCUAGCAUCAGAGCGAGGGAUCUUGACAGGCCCCCAGGGGGCGUUUGUAUGCCGCUCAGACCGAGAAGGCGGCAGCAGCCGAGGAUGUGGUUGCAGGUAUCAUUUUACUUGAUGGCAUUAGAGUUUGUGCAUUGUUUGAUACCGGUGCAUCGCAUUCAUUCAUUGAUCGGCUGUUUGUCGAGUUGCAUGGCAUCCCGUUGGUUUCUUUGUCACAUCCGAGACAUAUUGUAGUACCCGACCACAUUUUGAAUAUUAGAGAUUAUUGCCCCAGUUGCCCUGUUCGGAUAGGAGACUGGAUUAUGCCCGUUGAUUUACUAGCCUUGCGCAAGCUGAGAGAGUUCGAUAUGGUCUUGGGUAUGGACUGGUUGACCAAGUACUAUGCCACUAUCGAUUGUAAAAAUCGAAUGAUUACUUUUAGAGAAUCGGGGCAGACUGAGGUGGUAUUUAGAGGAUACCGGAGUUUGCUAUUUGCGACGACGAUCAGCUCGUCUCGAGCUAGGCAGUUGAUCAGCAGAGGUUGCAUAGCCUUUUUGGCUAGUGUUGUGUUGAGGGGCGAGGAUGACAACCCUAGGGUCGAGGAUAUCCCGGUGGUGCGGGAAUUCCAGGACGUGUUUCCAGCGCAGCUACCGGAUAUGCCACCAGAUAGAGAGAUUGAGUUUGUGGUAGAUCUCAUCCCUGGGACUACCCCAAUCUCAAAGGCGCCCUAUAGGAUGGCACCGGCGGAGCUCAAAGAGCUGAGGGUACAACUGCAGAAUUUGUUAAACAACGGCUUCAUUCGACCGAGCGUCUCGCCUUGGGGAGCGCCAGUUUUGUUCGUCAAGAAGAAUGACGGGUCACUUCGUCUAUGUGUGGAUUAUCGUGAGCUUAAUAAAGUCACGAUCAAGAAUAAGUACCUGUUGCCGAGGAUCGACGACUUAUUUGAUCAGCUUUAGGGAUCGUGUGUGUAUUCCAAGAUAGACUUGCAGUCGGGAUACCACCAUGUUUGAGUAAAAAAAAAAUGAAGUGACAUCUAUAUAUAAGAAUAAAAUUAGAGAAUAAUUAGACUAGGAAUCCUAGUUCAUUCGAAAUCAAAAAAUAUAUAUAUAACAAUAAAAAUAAAAAAUUAAAAAAAUUAAAAAAAAAAGGAAAUAAGAAAAAAAAAGAGAAGGAAAGAAUAAAAAAGGAAAAAAAGAAGAGAAAGGAAAAAAUUUCUUUGAUUGAAUAUCUAAUUCCUUAUAAGAGGUGGAGAAUAAUAAGUUUCCUUUGGAGAAACUUAUUUUGAAUUAGUUCUAAAAAAAAAAAAUGAUUCUUCGAUCCCUAUUAAUUGGUCCAAGUUGUAAAAUAAAAAAAGGAGGGAGAGAGAAUUCUCUUUUCAGCAAGAAAGAAGGAAAAAAAAAAGAAGAAGAAGAUCCGAAGAAGCAGAAGAAAAGAAAAAGAAAGGAAGAAAAGAGGUGAAAAAAAAAAGGGGGAGUUUAUAUACUAUCUGCCUCUCACUCUCACUUCAUCAAUCUUUCUCACUCUCUCUCUCUCUCGACUGACAGAGGAGGGGUGCCAUGUGCACCCCUCUCCAAUCCGUACACAGCACCAAAAAAAAAAGGUAGGUUUUGACUCUAACAACGACGCGACGACGACGACUUCGACGACGGCGCGACAACGACGACCACAACGAUUUCUACAACAACAAGAGAUACGCAUGCGUACGCAUAGCGUAAGUGUGAUUUUUUUGUUGGUUUGAUCAACCCGACCAUCUUCGUGAUAGGUUUCGAACCGAUCAAAUCUAACAUCAAAUCGUCACUUCCGCCGUGCGUAUGUAUUGUUAAUCUCCAAGCCGUGUGGCCAUCUUCGCGAUAGGCUUGACAUGGUCAAAAUAAUUGAUCGAACCGGAGAUUUUAUUACGUAAGCCAUGCGGCCAUCUUCGUGAUAGGCUCGACAUGGGUAUAAAAAAAAUUGUGCGGCCAUCUUCACGAUAGGCUCGACAUGGCCGAAAGUGUAAACCGUGCGGCCAUCUUCGUGAUAGGCUCGACAUGGUCGAAAACGUAAACCGUGCGGCCAUCUUUGUGAUAGGCUCAACACAAUUAAACUCCGCAUACUUGAACAAAACGCGAUAAAAAAAAAUAAUAAUAAUAAUAAAAAAUGAACGGGUUCUGUUUCGAUUCGCCAUCCUCGUUCGAUCCGAUUGUAUGACUCGACGUGAUCAACUUCGUUUAUUUGGACAAAACAAAAAAAAAAGAAAGAAAAAAAAGAGGAGAGCAACCCUCUCUCUCUCUCUCUCUGUUUCUCAGUGUCGUACAGAGAGAGAGAGUUGGGUUGCAACUCUUUCCCUCUCUCCUCUGUCAGACUUCAAAAAAAAAAAAAAAAAAGGGAAACACAACAAGUAAAAAAAAAAAAAAAAAAAAGAAGUUGGUAUUUCCCCACUCUCUCUCUCUCACAAUCAGCAAAAAAAAAAAAAAAAGAAGAGAAAAAAAAAGAAAAGAAAGAAAAAAGAAAAAAGGAAAAAACAAAAAAACAAAAAGAAAACAAAAAGAGAUUUGGGUUUUCCUCUCUCUCACAGUUAGCAAACAAAAAAAAAAAAAGGAAAGAAAGAAAAGAAAAGAAAAGAAGAAAAAAAAAAAAAAAUUUGAAGAAUUCGAUUUGUUUUAUUUUGACAAUGGUUCAAUCCAUUAUGGGCCCAAUUUCAUGAACAGUCAAAAAAUAAUGUAGAGCCCAUAUACGAAUUCGGAUCCAAGGCCCAGAGUAUGUGAAGUCCAAGACUAAUCUCAGUCCAUAUGCAAAUUCGGGUCCACAACCUGUAGGGUCCGAAAUCCAGCCUGUAUGCAGAUUUGGAUUCAAAACCAAUAAUAAAAAAAACCCAGCCCGCAUACAGAUUCGGGUCCAGAAUAUUAAAACCCGAAACAUGUCUCAGCCCACAUGCAGAGUUGGGCUCAGAACAAAUAAAAUCCAAAAUCUAUCAAAGUCCACAAAUAAAGAUCCAAGACCUAUCAAAGUUCACAAAUAAAGAUCCAAAACCCAAAAUCCAAAAGCCCACAAAUAAAAUCCCAAAACCCAAAGCCCACAAAUAAAAUCCCAAAAAUCUCAAAGUUCACAAAUGAAAUCCCAAAAAUCCCAAAGUCCACAAAAAAUCCCAAAAAUCUCAUAGUCCACAAAUAAAAUUCUAGAAAUUCCAAAGUCCACAAGUAAAACACAACCAAAUCUACUAAACCUAUGUCAUUCAAAUACCUCCGACCCAAACCGAAUUCAUGGGCUUUCCAAAUGGGCCCUUUAUUAUGGAUUAAUUCUAUGAAUUAAUUUCUUGGGCUUUUUCAAAUGAACCCUUAUCAUGAAUUAAUUCUAUGAAUUAAUUUCAUAUGCCCUCCUUGUCAUAAAUUAAUUUCAUGAAUUAAUGGGCCUUCCAAAUGGCUCAUUAUCAUAAUUAAUUCAAUGGGCUCUUUAAAUAGCCUCUAAUUAAUUCAAUGGAUUUUAUAAAUGGACUCCCAGCGUGAAUUAAUUUCAUAAAUCAGUUUUAUGAACAUCUCAAUUUCAGACGACCGAAACGUCGUUAAACUAAACCGAAACUCAUUCGACUGAAACGUCGUUAAACUAAACCCAAAUCCAAUUUUCAUGAACAUCUCAAUUUCAGACGACCGAAACGUCGUUAAACUAAACCGAAACUCAGUCGACCGAAACGUCGUUAAACUAAACCCAAAUCCAAUUUUCAUGAACAUCUCAAUUUCAGUCGACCAAAACGUCGUUAAACUAAACCCAAACUCAGUCGACCGAAACGUCGUUAAACUAAACCCAAAUCCAAUUUUCAUGAACAUCUCAAUUACAGACGACCGAAACGUCGUUAAACUAAACCCAAAUUCAAACGACCGAAACGUCGUUAAACCCAAAUCCAAACGACCGAAACGUCGUUAAACUAAACCCAAACUCAAACGACCGAAACGUCGUUAAACUAAACCCAAACUCAAACGAUCGAAAUGUCGUUAAACUAAACCCAAACUCAAACGGCCGGAACGUCGUUAAACUAAACCCAAAUUCAAAUCGAACUCUAACACAUAUAUUUAGAGUUCAUCCGGCUAACCCUAAUACAUAUACUUAGGGCCUAGUCAACCUUUUGCUCUAGCACAUAUACCUAGAGUAGAAGUCAAACCAUACUCGACUAGUCCUAACCCAUAUCCUUAGGGUCUAGUCAGCCUUUUGCUCUAGCAUAUCUACCUAGAGUGAAAUUCAUACCCGAUCGAGCUCUAAUACAUAUACUUAGAGUUCAUGAUAUCAAAUCCGACUACCCCUAAUACAUAUACUUAGAGCUUAGUCAGAUCUUCAUUCUAGCACAUAUAACUAGAGUGAAACUCGGUUAAUCCUGAUACAUAUACUCAGGAAUUAGCCAUUCUCUACUUUCGGGUAAUUCGACCCACCUCAAUACAUAUACUUGAGGUCUAGUCACAUCUCCAUCUUGGAACAUAUGACCAAGGUGGACAUAAUCGGACUCUAAGAAAUAUACUUAGAGCCAAUUAGACUCUAAUACAUAGAGUCUAAGAUCGACUAGGUCUUAACACAUAUACUUAGGACCUAGUCAAUCUCAAAUCCAACUGAAUCCUAAUACAUAUACUUAGGAUUCAAUAAAUCAAAACUUCUAUCGAUCACUAGGUCGCUAGAUUGGGUAUUUAGUCUUCAUGUACAGUGGGGGUAUGCCCCUGCUUAAGCCAUGUACACGGCAAAUUAUAUUAGUAAAAUUUUAUUUGCCCGUUUUGUCUCUUUUAUUAUCAGCAUUUAUAUUUGGUCUCUUAAUCGAGGGUUCCUUAACACUGAAAGUAUGGGGUAAUUAACAACAGAUUCUUGAGUCUGUUGGAAGCCAUGAACCUAUAAUUCUGAUUUUAAAAUAAAAUAUAAACAAAUUUUAUCUCUACUAUGAAUGACCACUCGCCUUAGAAACACCCUACGGCGAGGCCGGUUCGUUCGCGGCAGACACACCAGUUAAAGAUUAAAUCCGAAGAUGUAUCGAAGACGGCUUUUAGAACACGGUAUGGACAUUAUGAAUUCAUAGUUAUGCCGUUCGGGCUUACUAAUGCCCCGGCAGCUUUUAUGGAUCUAAUGAACCGUAUUUUUAAGCCUUAUCUAGACCGGUUCGUCGUGGUGUUCAUCGACGACAUCUUAGUUUAUUCCCGAAGUGAUGCAAAUCACGAGGAACAUUUGAGGCUUAUACUUCAAAUACUUCGGGAAAAGGAGCUUUAUGCCAAGUUGCGUAAGUGUGAAUUUUGGCUUCGAGAAGUGGCAUUCCUUGGACAUUUGAUUUCGGGAUCGGGUAUAGCCGUGGAUCUCAAGAAGAUUGAGGCUAUCAAGGAUUGGUCGAGAUCGACGAGCGUCACGGAGAUACGCAACUUUCUUGGAUUGGCGGGUUACUACCGGAGAUUUGUUGAGGGGUUUGCUAAGUUAUCUACUCCCCUCACGAGGCUCACGCAUAAAGAUGUCAAGUUUAUUUGGAGCGAUGUGUGUGAAAAAAGCUUCCAAGAGUUGAAGCAGAGAUUGACUACCGCCCCGAUCCUAACCCUGCCAGUUGUUGGAGCAGGGUAUGUGGUUUAUAGCGAUGCUUCAUUUAAUGGAUUGGGUUGUGUAUUGAUGCAGGAUGGCAAGGUAAUUGUGUAUGCUCCUCGCCAAUUAAAAGAAUAUGAAAGGAACUAUCCUACUCACGAUUUAGAGUUAGCGGCCGUAGUCUUUGCAUUGAAGCUAUGGCGCCACUAUCUUUAUGGCGAGCGGUGUGAAGUAAACACGGAUCACAAGAGCUUAAAGUACUUAUUCACUCAGAAAGAGCUGAAUUUGAGGCAGCGCAGAUGGUUGGAGCUGCUCAAGGAUUAUAAUCUGAUUAUUCUCUACCACUCGGGUAAGGCUAUUGUGGUGGCGGCUGCGCUAAGUAGGAAAGCGACGGAAAACUUAGCGAUGCAUGUUGUUACUCAACUGCAGUUGAUUGAGCAGAUGAAGCGGUUAAAGUUGGAGGUGGUGACACCUGACAUACCCUUGAGGUUGAUGACCUUGGUAGUGCAACCUACACUUUUGGAUAGAAUCAAAGAAAAGCAAGUUUUCGAUAUGAAGUUGCAAAAGAUUAGAGAUAAAAUGGUCAAUGGUUGCACUGGUGAGUUUCUUGUGGAUAACCAAGGGUUGAUGCGAUUUCGUCGACGGUUAUGUGUACCGGUGGAUUCGAAAAUUAAAGAGGAUAUUCUUCAAGAAGCACACCGGGCGCCCUAUGCUAUACAUCCGGGAGGCACCAAGAUGUAUAAGGACUUAAAGUUGCUCUAUUGGUGGCCCGGGAUGAAAAAGGACGUUGGCGAGUUUGUAGCUCGUUGUCUAACUUGCCAAAAAGUAAAGGCGGAGCACCGAUUACCCGCGGAAAAACUUCAGAGUUUGCCGAUUUUCGUGUGGAAGUGGGAGAAGAUCACCAUGGACUUUCUCAUGGGAUUGCCCCGCUCACAGGCCGGGCAUGAUGCUAUUUGGGUGAUCGUGGAUAGAUUGACGAAGUCGGCGCACUUCAUACCUAUUCAUACUACUUGGACUUGGGAGAAGCUCGCACAAGUGUACCUUGAUGAGAUUGUGCGACUUCAUGGAGUGCCUACAUCGAUUGUAUCUGAUCGCGAAGUGUCUACCUCGAUUGUAUCUGAUCGAGACACCCGAUUUGUGUCUUACUUUUGGAGGAGCCUGCAGGACGCAUUAGGCACUCGAUUGGAUUUCAGCAUUGCAUUCCACCCUCAGAGUGAUGGGCAGUCGGAGCACACCAUACAAACUUUAGAGGACAAACUUUAGAGGACAUGCUCCGAGCAUGUGUGAUAGACUUUCAGGAAGGAUGGUCGCAGCAUCUACCGAUGAUAGAGUUUGCUUAUAACAACAGUUAUCAAGCAAGUAUCAAGAUAGCACCAUUCGAAGCACUUUAUGGACGGAAAUGUAAAUCGCCACUUCAUUGGAGUGAAGUUGGCGAGAAAUUGGCUUUAGGCCUUGAUGUGCUCCAGGAAGCUGAGGACAUGGUUCGUAUUGCUCGGGAGCGACUAUUGACAGCACAGAAUAGGCAGAGGAGCUACGCCGAUCGACGGCGGCGAGACUUGGAGUUCCAGGUUGGAGACCAUGUUUUCUUGAAAGUCUCGCCGACCAGAGGGGUCAGGGGAUUCGGGAUUCGGGAAAACUUGAGCCCCGGUUUAUUGGACCGUAUAAGAUCUUGGAGCGUGUGGACCUGGUAGCGUAUCGACUUGCUCUACCACCGAACCUAUCGGGCGUAUACAACGUCUUUUAUGUAUCGGUCCUUCGGAAGUAUAUCUUGGACCCGGCUCAUGUUUUGGAUGGUACACCUAUAGAGCUGCGGGAUGACUUGAGUUUUGAGGAGCAACCCGUGAGGAUAUUGGCUCGCGAGGUGCAGAAGUUGCGGAAUCGGGAUAUUCUGUAUGUGAAGGUUCUUUGGAGCAACCACGAGGAGCGAGAGACCACAUGGGAGUUUGAAAGCGCUUUGCAGGAGCGUUAUCCCCAUCUCUUCCAGAUGGAGUCUCCAGGUAUGUUGCUUUUGAGUUUCGCGGACGAAACUCCUUUUUAGGAGAGAUGAAUGUAACACACUAGACCUUUGCAAAUUACGAGGUUCGAGUGUUUGAUCAGUGUUCCGAAUCUUUCCAGAUAUUAUGGAGGGUCGUUGACAGUGGUCUGACCUAUGGCUCGCAUCCCGAGAUUUUUGGUAUUUAAAAUAGCGCUAAGGUCGCCAAAGAGGAGGACUUAGGCUGCUCUCAAGCUUGCCUCAGCAGGGCUGUGUACCGGUACAACAUUGAUGUUGUACCGGAACAAGUAGUUGUACCGAUACAGCAUCGGAAGUGUAGCGGUACAGAUGAAUUUUUCUACCAACCCGAGCCUCGGGUUUGCGCGUACACUGGGUUUGUACCGGUACACUUUCCCGUGUACCGGUACAUAGUGCAGUGCGUGCUGUUUUCGUAGAGGGGUGUAUUUGUAAUUGUUGCAACUCUAUUUAUACACACCUCAGCCCUCUUAGGAGCUCUUUUCAGCCCUAACCAGUGGAGAAGUAAGGUGAGCCUUCUCCUCUUUGAUUUCUUCUCCAAUUUUGAUGGUUUUUGGCUAGUUUUGAUAUCCUCCUUUUAUGUUUUCUUGCUUCUUGUUGGUUUCUACAAUGGGAGAAGCCUUGAGCUCGUGAUUGCAGCCGUGUGGAGGGAAAAUCUUUGAUUCUAGCUGGGUUCUUGGGUGAUUUGAAGCUUCUUGUAAAGUUAGUAAGCUUAAUCUACCCUUUGAUUCAUGUUUUAGUAGGUUCUACUAGAUGAAACCCUAGAAAUGAAAAUUAGGGUUUAAUUGGGGAUUUUUGAUUUGAGACUUUUGGAUCUCAAUUGAUUGACUUAGAACCUUCCUUUAGGUUGGUUUUGAAGGGUUCUUGCUCUCUUUGGGAGAUCAAGAGGGAAUUUCACCAUUAUCGGUGAGUUUCUAACCUAUUCUUCGAGACGGUUAAAGUUUGAACUUUUGGUUGUUCGUUCGAUGUUUGUAACUCUUCUAAUAUUACCUUUAGGGUACUAGGAGAGUAGUGGACACCUUCGUCGGCGCAAACGAAGAGUUUCGGGGAGUCACAGUGGGUUUGACUUCAUGAAUAGGGGAGAAAUGUCUCCUAUGUGUUUUACACUUGUCGUUUCAUCGAAAUGCAUGUAUAUUCAUGCUAGAUAGGAUUUAUAUGAAUUUUAGAAUACUUAAAAUGCAUGCACCAUGUAUCAUGAAAAUUCAACUCUAUAUAGUAGAGCCUUAUGUGUAUUAUGCAUGCAUGUGAGUAGUAUUCUUUCUCAUGGAUUGGAAUUAUGUCUCUUAUGAUGAAAAUGACUCGAGUUAUGAACUCCUGAACACUAUACUCAUGCUUGGACUUAGUGGACAAAAGUGCCAUAGAGGGGCACCCAAACUAGUAAACAGUUGAACUGCAACAUAGUGACAUAUUGAUAGGCCAUUGUGACAUCGACUAUAUUCCAUGUUUUAGACAUGAUGACAUAGUGAUAGGCCUUCGAGACAUUUGCUACAUUUAAUGUUUUAGACAUGAUGAUUUGGGACUUGAGACGGACUUUUACGCUUGCUUGCCAUUGUGCUCAUUCUCACAUGCUUGUGAGGGUCGCUCUCCACAAGCCGGCACUCCGGAAAUAGCCAUCGCGACACAUGCUCGCCCGUGCGGAAUUGGGCGCCAAAAUGGGAUGCCAUGGGGGAGGCUCAUUCCUAGAGUGGGGAUGUUGAAUACCAUGGGGCCAUUAGGCACGGCGUAAGCCGGACUACCCACGGGUAGGUCCUACAUGAUUGGGAACAUUGGUGAUUUAGUAUACCGAGUGGACAUUGACUAGAAUAGUAAAUAAUGGCAUUUUACUAUUUAGCUUAUGGACAUUAUGAUAGGUAUGUUCAUGUACAUUUAUAUUACAGUAGCCUUAUUACUUGUGCAAAUUCAUGCUAAGUAGAGAUAUUAUGUUGUAGUAAGCUUUCAUGUUUAAUUGCUAUUAUUCAUAUCGCUUAUACUUGUACUUACCCUUUCAGCUUUUGGGUCUAGUGGCGCAUAUCACUGAAGUCAGUAAUUGCCUACUGGAAACUAUUAUUUAAUAGUUCUCACGCCCUCUGUUUUAUGGUUUCCUUUCAGAGCCUUCUGCACCGGCAGAGGCGCGGGAUCGCGGCAAAGGGAUGGCAUAGCUAGAUAGCGGAGCUUGCUUUUGCUCCUAGGUGGUUUACUCUUUUUUGUGUUUUGGUGAGAAAGAGUUUUGUUACCAUGCAUAGAGACCACCAUUGUAUUACUUUAGCUCUUGUAUUCGGAUUUUGUUGUAGUACCUUAUGAUUAUAUCUUAUUGGAUUAGCUCUUCUAUUUUCCCGCAUUAUCAUAGAAUCUAGAUGUCGUACGCUCUGGUAUCUCUAGAUCUUGCUUAUUGUUGCCUUAUUUAUCGUUUUGUUGUAGAAGCCUUAUAUGUUGCAGACAUAUGGCAGGUCUGGACACGCGCCGGGCGGGCUUCCACUGGGUCUUGGGGCGUGACAGGGCGUUAGCAUCACCCCGCAACACAAUAGUGGCCAAAUAGGCUACGCAGCCUCUGCUAAUCACUGCCUAGCUCGAGAGGAGCUAAUCGUCAUCGCAAACAGCGAACUCUGGCAUCCACGGUAUACAACCUCCUCCUGCCCCGGCUCUCUGAAAGUCAUCGUUCGAUUCUUGCAAUCGAUAGUAACGAAGUACUUGGUCAACCAAUCCAUGCCCAAGACAACAUCAAACUUUUCGAGUUUAUGCACGGCUAGCAAAUCCACGGGCAUGAUCUGUAACACACUGGACCUUUGCAAAUUGCGAGGUUCGAGUGAUUGGUCGUGUUCUGAGUUUUUCCAGAUUUCCUGGAAGGUCGUUGACUGUGUUCCGACCUAUGGCACGUGUCCCGAGGAGUGUGGUACAAAGCCUUGCACCAAAAUCCAAAAAUUUGGAUUUUGGUCAGCUCUCGGAUUGGCUGUCUGGCGGGCUUGUACCGGUACAAGGUUGGGCCUGUACCGGUANAAGAAGAAGAGGAAGGAGAAGUCCAAGAAGAAGAGGAAGAAGGUCUUCUUCCCUCUCUCCUUCAAGCUAGGGCAAGCUUGGAGCUUGGCUUAGAGGUGAGCUCCAAACCCACUCAUGGUAGAAUUUUUAGGGUUGGGUUUUGUUGCUUAGAAUUGGUUCAAAUGGAACCUAGAGGAGAUAAAUAGAAGGUUCGAGCUCGCAAUUGAAGCUCGCACCACGGAUUUCUUCCCCGUUGCCAUUCUAGGGCACGGAAUGGGGAUUUUUGAAAUCUAGGGUUUUGAUCUAAUUAGUUGGGUCGCUAACCUAAUUGAUAGGUCUCUGAGCGCGUCGGCGAAGACGGUUUACCGAUCCGACGAGCGAGUGCGGAGUUAUCGCCAAAUCGGGUACUCGAGGGCUCGCUUUGCCCCGAGGAGUUCAAGCGGCGUGCAAGAAUCGCAACGUCGAGCUUUCUACUAUCGCGGCAUCGCCAAGAGGUGGGUGGUGUCCAUCCCGAAGCAAUCGGGCUCCCUCCUAUGUCUUAGUACAUUUCGAUCUUGCAUCUUGUAUUAUUGCAUUAUAGGAUUAUUAUGUAUUGCCUUUCCUUAUGCCUUCCUUGAUGAUACCAUAGCAUGCAUUGGAUAUUGGAUAUAGAGGAUUGGUGAGGAUUGGGUCGAGUCUUGCAAAUCCUAUAAUGUAGAGAAAAUGAUGAACAAAGAACGAGUGGCAUCUAGUCGAUAGUAAACAAUGGACGAGUGGCAUUCAGUUGAUAGCAAGCAAAAGAACAAAUGACACAUAUGUGAGUCAUAGUGUAUAGGAAACCUAUGGACUAUAUGAUGAUUGUGACCCUAGAGGACAGGGUAUCCUCGAGCUUAGAGGAUUGGAUCAUGCUCACGGUCUGUUUAAAUCUUGUGAUGGAAGCCCCACACAAGUAGUGCGCUCCGGAUAUUGGUCACGCCAGGGAUUGCCUAUAUGGCCCCGCCAGACGGUCUCGGGUCCGUAGUGUGAGUUGAUUCUCCCUACGUGUCGAGAUGGCUAGUGAGCUGUAGGCGAGCCUUCGGGUAAGCCAUGAGAUUAAUGAACAGGUAAAUGAGGUUAACGAACGAGUGAAUAGCUUCACCUUUGGACAUGAUGACAGGUUAGUUGCUUACCUAUUUCAUUGGACAUGCAUUCAUAUACUUGUGAUUGGGCAUAGUAGAGUAGUUUCAUUUCCGUCAUUUACAGCUUUUCCUAUUAUCUAUCCAUCUAUCGAUAUCUACUUGUGCCCGCUUGGACCUAGUGGGGAGAUCGGCGGAGUCGGCGGCCGAACCCACUGGGAACUAAGGAAGUUAGUUCUCACCCCCAUUUUACUACAGGUUCCAGUUCGGGUGUUCCCGGUGAGCGUGAGGAUCGCGGUAAAGGCCCGGCGUUCUAGUCGCAUUAGCUACCUCCCUUUUGUAUUAGCUCUCACCCCCCUUCUUUUAUAUUUGAGAGUAGAUGAUGUAUAGGGUGAGGUUCGAGUGAUUGUAUUUAUAUUUUGGAAGAAUGCAAAAGAUGUAUUUGAAUGUAGUAAAUCAAAUGAAUGUAAUAGAUAGCCUCUUUUCUCUUAUGUACUUGUAUAUGUUUUUAUACUUGUAUCUUGCUCUUGUUUAUAGCACUGGUGGUGCUUCUUGAUCGUGUAUUUAUGAAUUGAUUCCUGGAUAAAUUCUUAUGCACGAUCUAUUGGUUAGCCUUGGACGGAUAGGGGAGGUCCUGUCCGCCCGGCGUCUGUUCGACGCGCCCGGGCCGAGCCAAAUUGGUAGCGGUCGCGGGGCGUGACACUUAGUAUACCGAGUGGACAUUGACUAGAAUAGUAAAUAAUGGCAUUUUACUAUUUAGCUUAUGGACAUUAUGAUAGUUAUGUUCAUAUACAUUUAUGUUACAGUAGUCUUGUUACUUGUGCAAAUUCAUGCUAAGUAGAAAUAUCAUGUUGUAGUAAGCUUUCAUGUUUAAUUGCUAUUAUUCAUAUCGCUUAUACUUACUUGUACUUACCCUUUCAGCUUUUGGGUCUAAAGGCGCAUAUCACUGAAGUCAGUAAUUGCCUACUGGAAACUAUUAUUUAAUAGUUCUCNGUUUUUCAGAGCCUUCCACGCAGGGAGAGGCCAGGGAUCGCGGAAAGGGUAUCGCCUCGGGCUAGCGUGCUUACCGAGGGAUCGUUCGAUAGGUGGUCUACCUCUCGUGUUAUAUGCUUGUGAGAGGUUGAGAGUUGUACCGUAUAUGUAUAGAGACCACCAUUUUUGUACUAGAGACAGAUAUUGUACUACUUAUGAUUUCCUUUAUUGUCUAUCCUUAUCUCUUUACUUUGGUGUAGAUGUUAGAACUAUUUUUGCUCUGAUAUCAUUAGUUGCUGGUUAUUUCCCUUCUUUUACUUGUUCUAUUUCUUGCUUUUCUUCCGCUUUAUUGUAGACGCCUUAUAUGUGUAGACAUAUGGCGGGUCUGGGCACGCUACCGGGAGGGCCUCCGCCGGUCCCGGGGCGUGACAUGAUCUAAUCUCCUACUCGAAGAGGGCAACUACGGCAAAACUCCCUAAUAUCCAAGGAGUGGUCGGGGACAACAACACGUCACAGAUGCAACAAGGAAACAAAGAGGAUGCCAUGCAACUCGGCAAACAACCGAUCUAUGAAUGAAUGCGAUGCACCGGUAUCAAAUAAUGCACGAACUCGAAUGACAUUUAAUAAAGUGAUACCUGCAACCACAUCCUCGGCUGUUGCCGCCUCCUCUGUCUGGGCCGCAUACAUGCACCCGCUCGGGGCCUGUCGUGACCCCUUCAUCUGCCUCUGAACAGGUGGCCGCCCGGCCUGGUAGUGAGCAGAAGGCGUCCCCUGGCUGGGACUCGGUGAAGCUGGUGCCGAUGCUGAUGACGGCGCUCGAACAGAUCCCCUCGGGCAAUCCGACUGGAAGUGGCCCUCCUAGCCACACAAGUAACACUUACCCCGACAGCGCGGGCACUGCCGUAGUUGAUGAGGACCACUGCAAAUCACGCAGCGCGGAGCCUGUCGAUGGUCAGAUCCUCUACGCUGAGCAAAUGAGCCACGUCCUCGCGACUGGCUCCGGCUCCUCGGAUGUCUCGGUGGCCUCCCAGAGUGCGUCUAGCUCGCACCCUCAGCCGCUGGCCUCUUACCCUUACCUUUGUCCAAGCCCUCGCGACGCUCCUACAACUCCACCGCAUCGCUCUCCACAAUGAGCGCGCCGUUCACCACAUCUCGAUAGGUCUGCAGGUUGGAGGACUGCACCAAUCGAAAGAUCGAGGGCCGCAAUCCUCACUCAAAUAUGCGGGCCUUGUCCUCGUCGUCCCGCACCACGAAGGGCACACAGUGUAACAGCCGAGAGAACUCCCUCUCAUACUCGGCCACGGUCCAGUCCCCCUGGCGCAUACCGCGCAAGGCCUGCUCCAUCUUCCUCUUGACACUGUCUAGGAAGUAAUGCUCCAGUAGGAGUUACUUGAACCUCCUCUAAGUGAUCGCUGCAAGGUCGGUGUUGGGGUUAUCCUGGAUAUCCAACCACCAACUAUAGGCCUCGCCGUCGAGAUGAUGAGUGGCGAGCUAAACUCUAUCCCUCUCCUCCACGAAGGUAUCACGAAAAAGUUUCUCCAUAUGCAUGAGCUAUUUCUCCACGAUCCAGUGGUCCACGUUCUUUCCAUCGAAAAUCCUGGGGUUACACCUCCUGAACUCGUUGAGGCGAUCCAUGAGUCGAUCCCGCUCGGCUCCUUCAACCAUCACGGGAAAAACUACCCCCGCCAAAGGCAUCUGAGUUGGUGGUGCCGCGACCAUCUCCUCCCGAGGAGCAGCCGCAGGCGCCAUCCGCGAAGUGUCGAGUGCAGGGGACGACACCCUCGGUGCAACCACCUCUACCGACGCGGGUGGUGUAGGAAUCUGUGCCUCCCUAACAGCCGCCUGCUGCAACAGUAGGUCCUCCAGGCGCUUCAUUCGUGCCUCCUGCCGGCGCGCCGCGUCUGCCUGCUGCUGGGCCGCCGCCGCCUACUAAGUGACCAAGUCAAUGAGGGCCGCCAACUGGCUCCUCAACUCACGGACUUCGCCGGAUCCAGAGGUAGCGGAGGUCUCGACCUCCUAAGCGUGUGCCGCAUUAUCCGCUCCGGCAGAUUGAGAGCGUGUCAUCGGCAUUAUCACUACAACAUCAUAAAAACGCAAGUUAGUAAAACCCACGCUAUCGUAACCCCGCUCAAGCAACAAAUACCCAAAAUCAUGCGAAAGUAAUGAAGUGUCCUUUACUACUAACUCCCGAUGUUACGUUGUCGGCCGCCAACGUAACCCUCCGCGAAGUUAGAAGCUAUACACUCCGAUUAAACUCCAACUUUUUAGAGUUAUUCAAGAUACCCAAUCAUGAUACUUUCGCUUACAAAUCAAGUAGACCUCGUCUCUCACGAUCCUAUUUCCUAUAGUCCAACCGGCCUAAGGUUUGCUAGGUCCUUUAAGACUCAACCCUACGCUCUGAUACCAAAUUAAUCUGUCACGCCCCAGGACCCGCGGAGGCCCGCCCGGCGCGUGUCCAGACCUGCCUUAUGCCUGCACAUAUAAGGCGUCUACAACAAAGCGAUAUAAAUAAUCAGAAUAAACAAAUAUCUAGAGAUAUCAGAGCAAGUAGCAGCUAAAUUCUAACAACAAGUAGGAUGAAAGAGAACAUAAACAAUCAGGAUAAAACAUAGCGCAAUACAUCAAACUGCCUCAGAUGCAAGUACUGCAAUAUCCAAAAUGAUAGUAUCUAAGUAGGGUACAACCACUCUCAUUCUCUCCAACAAAAAUAAAAGGAGAAAAUGAUCCACCUAGCAAGACUCCCUUGCUCGCUAGCUCGAUGCGACACCCUUGCCGCGGUCCCAACCUCUCCCAGGAUGGAAGGCUCUGAAAGAAAAUAUAAAACAGGGGGCGUGAGAAUUAUAAUUUAUAGUUCCCAAUGGGCAAUUACUAACCUAAGCACAAUGCACCACUAGGCCCAAAAGCAGUAGAUAAAAGAACUACUAGUAAGCUGCGAAUAUGUAAAGCAUGUAAUGAUAUGCUAAUCUACAAUGCCAUAAAUAUACAUUAUGUCAACAUGGUGUACAUCUAUUCUAUCAUGGUCCAAUAUGUCACUACAUGACUAGGAUGCUCCAACAUGGCAAACAAGUAUGCUAUAAUGUAAUAAGCAAUACUAUCAAGUACACUACAUGUCCAAAUGCCCAGUAAAUCCAACUACUAUGAACUGUCUAGUAGUGAUUAUUACUUAUAUGACUCCAUGUCGAUUUUCAUUUCUAAUUAAGGACCUACACAAGGUAGUCCGGCUUGUGCCGCCUAAGUGUCGGUGGUAGCCCCAACAUUCCCACUCUAGGAAUGAGUCUAUCCCUCCCGACCCCCGUAGGCUUCUCGAUACCGCACGAGCGAGUAUAAGUCGCGUAGGCUAAUUCCGGAGUGCCGGCUUGUAGGGAGCGACCCUCACAAGCAUGUGCGAAUGAGCACAAAUGGCAAGCAAGCAAAGUCAUCAUCUCAAGGAUCCGGUCAUCAUGUUUCUAACAUGGUAAUAGUCACUAGCAACCCAUCGGUCUAGUUCUAUGUCUCAGUGUGAAGUUCCAACAUUCACUAGAUCUAAUGCCUCUUUAUGACAUUAGAAUAUUGCUAUGCCCAAGCUCAAUCCAUAUUCAAUGCCUCUUUAUGGCACUAGUUCACUAGGUUCACAUAACUCUAGCUCUAUGUCUCUUUAUGACAGUAACUCACUAAUUUAUACAUCAUUCAAGUCUAAUGCCUCUUUAUGGCAUUAAGUUUUCUCCUAUAUCUAAUAUGAGAUUUAUGCCCAAGAGCAUUUUACACUUGUCAUUUCCACUAUAUGAAAUGUAGUCUCAAGCCACAUAUAGAAUGCUAAACACAUGCAUAAGUCCCACAUGCAAACUCUCUACUACAUAGAGGUCCAAAAAUGUAUUGUAUAUAACAUAAGCAUUUUAAGCAUUCUAAAAUUCAUAAAUAAUGCACCUAGCAUGAAAGUGCAUGAUUUUUUAUUUUACAAAACUUAAAUCAACAUAAACGAGAUUUUUCUCAUUUUUGAUGAGGUCAAACCCACCAAGCGCUCCUCGGAACCCUUCGUUCGCGCAAAAGGAGAUGUCCACUAGCCUCCUAGCUCUCUAAAGGAAAUUCUAGAGGAGUUCAACACAAGGAACGAACAUCCAAAGAAGAGAACAUUAACCGUCUCGAGAAAAGGGCGAAAACUCACCGAUAGAGUAGAAAAUCUCUCUCAAUCUUCAAAUAAGAGCAAGAACCCCUCCAAACCAACCUAGAUGAAGGUUCUAAUCCAAGAGAUCGAGCUCCAAAAACCCUAAAUCCAAAAUCCCCAAAAUCAACCCUAAGUUUUCAUUCUAGAGUUUUAUCUCAAAAAAACCAUCAAAACAUGAAUCAAGAAGUAGAAUCAUGUUACUAACCUCAAGAGAAGCUUCAAACAAGGCUCAAAUUCUAGUAGGGUUGAAGAUCUCUCCUCCAACAAGCUCAACUCCAAGCUUCAAGCCUUCUCCCAUGGUGGAAAUGCCACCAAUAGCAUAAAAGGAGCAAAAGGAGAAGUUUAAUCUCUAAAAAUUCAAGCAAAAAGCAAGGAAAAUCAAUGGAGAAGAAGUGGAGGGCUCCCUACCUCGCCUUCCCUGUUUCUCAGCUCAGGGGAAGCUCUAAGGGGCGUGGGGACUAAUAUAGAGAAGCAACAAUAGCAAUAACACCCCCCAACUAUGCCAGUUCGAAAUCUGUCAAAGUGUACCGGUACACGAAAAAGUGUACCGGUUCAAAUCCCCCGAACACUCAAACCCGAGCCUCGGGUUGGCAGAAAAGCUUAUCUGUACCGGUACAACCAUCAAGGUGUACCGGUACACUUUCUGUUCUGGUACAACCAUCAAAGGUGUACCGGUACACAGCUCUGCAAAGUGCAACCCGAGAGCAGCCUAAGUCCUCCACUUUGGUGACCUUAGCACUACUUUAAAAACCUCAUUUCUCGGGAUACGAGCCAUAGGUCGGAACACUGUCAACAACCCACCAGAAAAUCUAAAAAAACGCGAAACACAGCUCGCACACUCGAACCUCGCAAUUUGCAAAGGUCCAGUAUGUUACAGGGUUAGUCUGUUAUAAAUUGUAGUUAUCUAAAGGAUUGAGAGUUCACUCGGUGUUCCAUGUUUCCCUUUUAAAGAAAAGUCCUCCAACAGCAGUCCUGGCCUCCCCGAGAGUACCAACUAUAGGUGAGGAUGGUGAGCUACUGGUAGAGCCUGAGAAGAUCUUGAAGAGGAGAAUGGUAAGGGCGGGGACAAGGCCACGACCAAGGUGUUGGUAAAGUGGGUAAAUCUUCCGCGGAGCACGCUACAUGGGAGGUUUAUUGGAUUCUUAAGCGUCACUUUCCUUAUUUUGAUCCUUGAGGACAAGGAUCAAAUUAAGUAGGGGGGAUUGUUACAUCUACCUAGAUAGGAAGAGGAAGAUUAGAAAUAUAAGUAGGAGUAGAGUGAGUAAGGGAUUCAAUAAAGAAAGGAGAAAAGGGGCUUAGCUUUUCCUUAUUGAGGCUUUAGAUCUGGAGUAGGUUGGCCAGGGAGAUCAAGAGGUUGAGAGGAGCCUCCCCAGGCGACCGGAGCACGAGGGGGUCAAGAAAGGGGAGAUGAAGCGCUGAGUAGGCUAAGGCUUCAGACAGACCCUAGUUCUCAUCUCCUCCUUUCAUCUCCUCCUCUCCUACUCAACCCUAGUUCUUUCUCUCUCUUCUCUCUCUCCAAUUCUUCAAUCCUUACUGUUUCCUUCUUAUCCUCUUAAUCAUGUCAUGAUUAUCCGAAUGACGCAAUUCUUUUGGAUUGUGUGUUAAUUGAGACCCAUCAUCCUCGAUGCCAUCCUCGUCUCAAUGAAAUCUCAUCAUAGACGGAUUGCGUUAGAGUCAAGUACGUAACAUUUUAUGCACCGAUUUGUUAUAAUCAAACAAUGUAGAUCAUACAUUGUAGUUUUGAUCUAUUAGACACUUUAGUAAUCAGUUUUGAAAAUACAUGAUUAAUUAUACAAAGGUUUCGUACGUAUGUAGAUCACAUCCUUCGAACUAGAUUUUGCUUUUCAAACAGCGAUUGUCAAAUAUCAAAUGUGGUCUAUAAAGUGUUACACGUACAGCAGGUGCAGACAAUAAUUUUUCACCACCCCUGUAGCAAACUGAUUGUCAUCCUCACAGCAGUGCUAGAAGAAAAAAAUGUUCCUUUUUUUGUAUGUUCAUAUAAUACUCACAAACAAGGGGUUUGAAUUUUCCUAAAGAAAUUCUUCAAAUGUUACACUACAGCAGAAUCCAAUCCAACCUCAUACAAAAACAAAAUUACAAUCAGCUUAUACACAUCAACAUUACAAAAACAAUUGAAUCAAACAUCACAUAUCUUUGUACUCGAAGCACAUGCAACAUACACACCAACACUCCAGUCAAAAAAGCAUGGACCGCGUUCCACUGAAAAUUACGAAAUUCGGUGCAUGCAGUUGAUAUUCAACUUCUCUUCCAAAACGGCCAAAAAAGGAAAAAAGAGAACCCCGAGGCCCCCAAGGUCUCUCCUCUACAAAUCCAACCAUUUUUCUACAUAAUACUACACUCUUCGAUGCUUGAUCAUUGUAGGGUAGGAUACGAAACAUUAAAAUGUGUGCAAAACCGUAAAUCUCCAAAGCCGUAUAUACCACGAUUCAUUACCUAAUAAACAUCCAUUGCUAUUUCAUCAAUUAGUAGCUGAAGUAUGUCGUCUCCAAUCCGCAUUCCUACCUGAAAUGACUCAAUCGAGAAGUCCAUCCGUAUCUCGUUUGAGUGAUCAAGAUCCUCACCAAUCAGACGAUCUAAGCCAGCCAUAUUAUUCCAGCCUCUAAUUUCCUUCUUGAUGUCACUAACUAGCCUGUCCUUGGUAACGAAACCAAUAAGUUUCAACCAUGAUUUAUAACCUGAGUUAUAGAAGCAGUCAUGCAUCGAAGCCAGGCACUCAAUAACACAUUCAAGUAUAAGAUUUCUGAGUUGAUUUCCUGCUUUAGGCUCUGUGAAAUUAAAGCCACUUCUUGAACUCGUGUAAAAAGCACCGAGAAUAGAUCCCAUUUUUUCGCGAAAAAAUAACUCUACAAAAGAGUCUUUUGGUCUAUCUGAACCAAAAGAAUAAAUGUUUUCCAAUAGCAGCUCAGCAUUAGAUAUUGCUUCUGCCGAAAAUCUGACCCUUCUCUCUUGAAUUGCAACUUCAAAUGGGAAAAUACCAUGAGUUCUUGUAAUACUGCUGGCAGAACCGGGAUUGUUCUUUAGCUCGUUUCUGCUCCAUGAGGUCCCUUUGAAGUCCAAUUCCUGUUUGCUUUCUGCAAUAAUGAGCAUGGAGAAAAGAAAGCGGGAAGAAAUGUUAAAAUCAAAGAGCCACGAGCAUUAAACAUCUCGGUCCAAGCAAAGUACGAGAAAACUGCAUAAUAUAAGCAUAUAUUUCUAUACUUCUAAUCAAGGUUUUAAGUGCCGCCCCGUGCCGUACCGUGCCCCCAAGAAAGGGGCACAGUACCGNUUUGAGCACCCAGAAAAACCGUUGUUAUCAUCACCCAUGAAUGAAGCUCCAAUAAGAUGAUCAAUAUCUCUAGCCGGAAGUGCAGUAGAAGUACUUUCUUUUGCAGCAUCCUAAUAAUAUUGUGAAACAUAAGUACGUUCAUUAAAAAGAACAAGUUCCAACAAAAGUUUCACAAGUACUACUGUUUAAAACAUGUGUCAAUUAAAGGAAGAACAAAGGAUGAUGUAGAAAAGAGAUGUUUUCUGUAUAAAACACAAUAUUCAAAUGCAAUGGAAAUUUUAUAAGAAAACAAUUUAAGACAUAUUUCCCACAUAGAGCACCCCCUGAAUUGUAGCCGCUACAAAGCCACGUAUGCCAUUCUGAGCACAUAGAUGUCAACUUCAGUUUUCAUAUGCUCUUAUCUGAGAUGAAAGUUAAAUUGAAAGAUAACUCACAGUACAAAGGUUUUUGCUGUACCAUCUUAGAAACUAGUAUGCCCAAGAAAUCAUGGUAGCAUCAAGAAAGUGCUUUAGGUUUUUGUUUCACCAAAAAAAUACUAGAUUACGAAAUAGUAAAACAGAACUUUUAAGGGCCUAACUAGAUUCAUGAAUAUCUUGUCUUAUGUUUCUAUUUUGUUGACUCAAGGGUCAUGUAGCAAUUUGGUUAAAGAGACAUGAAAGACAUCAACUACCAAAUACCAUAUAUGGCCUCUAAAUCAUUUUUCUUGCAUUAUGAUAAAUCAAGGAUUUAAGUGCCGAUAGACAUGGGCCACGACAACUGUACGUUUGUGUCGACAACAUAUUGGAAAUGUAUUAAUCUUGAUGCUGCAAUAACGCUUGAAACCCUCUAUUUUGUAAUUUUUCAACAACAAAGUUGUUUUGUGGCCUCUAUUAUGCAAGAACUUGUGUCUAAAUGACCUGAAUUUCAUGAAAUUGCAGAUCAACACGGGGCAAUCUUGAUUUCCCUCAAACCCUUGUUUUCCACCAAUCCAAAUAAGUAUAUGAACGUUUGAAAGCAUGCAUACAUUUUCUUAGUAAUUUUAAUGGGAUUAAAGCUUUUAAGAGAACUAGGUUUUUCUCAAGUUUUAUUAAUAAUCUAAUGAAAUUUUGUAGUAAUUUUAGGAAUUUAAAUUAGCAAGCAAUAUCCAUCAGCAGAGUACAACAGAUUUGGUAACGACAUAUUUGAGAACAAUUAGGAUAUAUUGUUGGCAAAAGGUCACGACAAUCCCAUGCCAAAGUGCAUACGUGCAGGGGCAUGGUGCCAGUAGCACACAGGCUUUACCAUAUGCAAGCAUGGCAUCAUACUGUGCCAACCAUGUGCCUCAUGCCUUGGCACUUAAAGCCUUGAGAUAAUCACCUUGUAUUCAUAGGUGGAACCUUCUAUCUUGAAAAAUCACAAGUAUUAAGAUUCCACAAAUACUAACCAUCGACCUCCUGUAUUGCAAUAACAAAUUAAUGUGUGCCUUUCAUUUAUCUCAGUUGAUGUAAUGAGGAUAAGCUUAAAACCGAGCAAAUUUAUUUUUUAUAGCUGAAAAGAUUUAACAAUCCAUCAAAUGCCUACAUUAUUAAGGACAAGUAAGGGCAUAAUGGCUUUUAUGUGUUUCGAUACAAUUUCAAGAUAUAUCUUACAACACUUGACAGAUCAGACAUGAAAUUAUCAUUUGAUGUAUUAAAAGUUUCAUUGAGCCGAACAAUACAAGGGUGUGUUAAGGUAGACGGCAGACAGCUCUGUUAGGUUUAUUAAUACAUUUUUACAUUAACAUCUUUGGCUACCUUCUGAUCAUUGUUAUCAUUUUUUUUUUCUUUGCUAAAAAUUCCUAAUUCAAUUUUCUUCCAUGUUCUUUUCCCAAGUUUUGUAUUACCUAGAAUCAUUAUUGAUAUACCAGCACACAAGAAGCAAACCUUGAUUCUAUUUUUCAGAUCUCCAACUACAAUUUUGGUCAUUUUCCCAACGUAAAAUGUCUAUCAUCAAAUAUUUCUGAUUGACUACUUGUGCCAAAGUCCCCUGAACAUACAAUGCAAUCUAGUAACGGAAAAAAAUGAAGUAAAUUUUAAAAUAUGAUUCAACUACUUGCAGCUAUAUUAGCAACAGGCAUUCUAUCAAGUAUCACUCAUAUCAUCUUAAUUAACAAGUAGUUAAGGUCUCUUGGUACUGUUAGAAGAAGCACUUAACUGCCGCUAGGAUUAGAAAAUAACAUCACAAGAAUUGUGACAGACUACAAAAUAACUAGAGAAUGAACUACUGACCUGAAACUUAUUUUUGAUGCCCAUCAUAAGGCUAUCUGUCCAAUCAGAUGUAUUUUUUUGGUCCUGAUUCAGACGAUCGAUUACACUGGAGUCAGAUUGUUUCUCUAAAUCACCUCGGUCCAAGGAAUCGACUCCUCUAGUUUUCUGCUCAACAAGAUUACAAGAAACGUCAUGCCUAAAAGUGGUUUCUUUAUGGGAAGAACUUUGAGAAUAAGCAUCUGAGUCCAUCAAUUCAGUACUGAAAACGGCAUAACGUAAAGAUUCCUUCAUUUCCCCUCUUUUCUUUGUUAUAUCCGAACUGUUAAGGGACCCAGCAACAUGCUUCAUCGGCGAGCUAAAUGUAAAGGAAACAAUAGACGAAGCCGGGCUCCCAACGACAUUAACAUUACCAAGUUCCGCCUCUUUCCAUGAGUCACUUGACUCACUUCUUGCAGGGUUUCGACCAACCGGCUUUGUUCGAACCUGCUCUGUUUCUUUCCCAUUGAUCAAAUCCUUUUCGGCAUUUCGUUGCGUCCCAAGUUUAGGUUUUCCUAUACUGGUGUUUCCAGAGUGGAGAUUAUUACUCGACUGCCCUUUCCUGGCUACAUCCAUUCUGUCAACUCCUCUAGCCUUUAUGAUUGGGGCUUUAGAAAUAUUCAGAUUUUUCUUUGCAGAACUAAGCCCUCUGGCUUCAUGCAAUGCGAUACCAUCUCUAAUGUUAUUCUGCCGACCGUGCACCGUAGAACCAGGCCGAGCCACUUCCCCAGCAGCUAAAGGCAAUUGGUUCUGCUUCAUAUUGUUCUGUUUAAGGGCAGAAUUCGAAGCGACGUUCUUGUUCCUAUUCUGAUUAAUACGCACGUUGCUUUUGUCCUUGGUGACGUCUAUGCCAGCCCGGGCAACCGGUGAGGUCGUCCUAUUCCGAUUACUCAAUAUAGGCGACGAGCCCCGCUCAUUUCCGCUACACUGAACAGGAAGAGGUGAUGGUGAUGAUGAUGAUGAUGAUGCUCGAUUUAGUCCCCUCGCAAUCACCGGCGUCUUCUUCUUAUGAUCAUCUCCAGGACCGUCACGAGACGAGCGAGAAUUACCCAAAUCGGAAAGAGCGAAAUUCUCGCAAUCACUCUCUCUUUUCCCCUCACAACUUGACCUUGGCUCCAAUGCCCCACCCCGAACCCGACCGGCAAAAGAGCUAUUAUUAUUUGAGGCUGGUCCAGAUUCCUCCAGCAAGGCAUCAUCAGCAUUGAAUUCCAGACGCGCAAGAGAAGGCGGAGGAGGACGAGCCCUCGGCCUCAGGCCGGGCUCGAGGAUCUUUGCGGCAGCGCCAAUCAGCCUAGCUCUGUUCCUCCCCCCAGAAAUCGGCGAUCUCGGGGACUUCACGGGCGACGCAAGCGUGCACUGGCUCCUCCUCCUCGACGCCGCCACUGCCGCUGCUGCUGCCGCCUCAUUCCGGCCCAACCAACUCUCUAACAACUGGCCCCUCUUCUGCAUCUUCCGAGGCCGCAAUUCUCGCGAGGGCUCCGCUGCCUGACGAUUGACCGCCGGCGCCGGCACGGCGUCGAGGCCCAUCAGCCUGGCCACCACCCCCGGCGCGCGCAUUCCGCCGCCGGCCUCAUCCUUCCCCACCAUUCCCGAGUUCUCAUCGUGCUUGAUCUAAACUUUGAUGAUUCAUUCUCAUUAAUUUUUUUUUUUUAAAAAAAAAAAAAACAAGAAGAUAGCAAAGAAAACAUCACUUAGGCAUUUGAUAUUAUUAGUAGAGGGAUAAGAAUACCAAGAGCAUCUUGGGUGCAGGAAGCUUCUCGCCGCCACCAGAGUUUUUCGCCGAGAGGGGAGCUGGGAGGGAGGAAAUAGUGUAUCAAGAAGAAGAAAGAAGAUGAAGAAGAAGAAGAAGAGGAAGAAGAAGGAGAAUGGGGGAGAGAUUUUGCAUACGAGGAGGGGGGAGGAGUUUGCGGGGGAAGAAUUUGCGCUUCUUGGCGAAGAGGUCGAGGAAGACUGCGAUGCAGCCGGCGGCCGGCUGCUGCUGCUGCUGCUGCUGCUGCUUCUUCUUCUUCUUCUCCAUGAUCGCCAGCGAACUUGCAGCAGCAGCCGCAGGGGAGGAGCCAUCCUUCUUCAUACUAAACUCGAUGUUUUUUCGCUUUACUUGCACUCCUAAAAGAGAAAUGAAAGACAAAAUUUAUUUAUUUAUUUAUUUGUUUCCCUAUGAAUGAGCUGUGUGGCAGUGUGGGUUUACUACGAUACAAGAAAAAGAAGAGAAAAGAGAAGGGAGAGGAGAGAGGAGAGAGAGAGGAGAGGGGAGGUUGGCACUAUGGGCCCGGGGAAGCUUUUUGGCAGUGUGUGUUGGCACUUGGCAGAAAACUUUUUUUUUAUUUUUGUUUAAACAAAAAAUUAGAAAAACUUUAAAAAUCACUCUCGUGCUUUCGUAUUUUUUUACUUUAAUAUUCUCUACUUUGAGAUAUAUUAAUUUAAUAUUUUAUAAUUUCGCACUUUUUAUUUUAAUAUUUUGUGAUUUAAAGUGCAUAAAUUUAGUACUCUAUGGUUUCAUUUUUCUCCUUUCGUCGGCUCCUUUAUUAAUAUUUCGUUAAAUUAUAUACAAAAAAACUUUAGAUACCUUAUUUAAGGUUAUCAUAUUUACUUUAGUACUCUUUAGUUUUAACUUUGUCACUCAUUUUUUUUCUCUGUUAAUAUUUCGUUAAAUUAUAUACCAAAAACUUCAGAUACCCUACCUAGGUUUAUCAAAUGUUCACUUUAGUACACUUUACGUUUUAACUUUAUGACUGAUUUAACGAAAAAAAUUAGUAAAAUGAAUAAUAAAAAGAAAAAAAUAAAACCACGACAUACUAACUUGAUACACUUUAAAUCACAGAAUCCUAAAGUGAGAAAGUGCGAAACCACAGGCGCUAACUUAAUACACUUUAAGCCAAAGGAUACUAAACUGAAAAACUGCAAAAUCAUGUGGGAGUAUUUGAAGUUUAUCCUGUUUAAAAAAUUUCUGCAAGGGGAAAACUGGGUUUUUUUUUUUAAUUUAAAAAUCCGGUAAAGACAAAACCGGCUGGAAAGUUAGAGAAGUCAAAUCGAAACGGCUGUACAUCGAGAAAACACUAUCCUUAUUGGUACAACAAAAUUGUGAAGUAUUGUUCUUAAUUAACACUGCAUUGGAUGGAACAGGAUAUUUAUUAAAAUUUUAUUGAGAUUUUAAAUUUACUAUAAAAUAUAAUAUUUUUUUCAUAAUAAAAUUUUAAAUUAUAAAGUAUAUUUCGGUAUUUAAUAAUAUAUUAUACUAUUUAUUUUUAUCAAAUGAAUCAAUAUAUUCUGAAUCAUACAAUAAAAUUAUAAAUAUUAUAAUAAAUUUUCUGAAUACUUUUAAAGAAGUAUAUUACUCAUUCAAACAAUAGUAAAGAGAGUAGAAAAGUACAAUACUCUUUUAUCUUAGUACAAUAAAGUUAUAUAUAUAUAUGAUGCAACACAAGCAUAAAAGGUGUAGUGUAUAUAUAUAUAUUUUAUUUAUUUUAUUUCUUCAAUUAUUUUUUUUUUUUUGUUCUUGUUCUUAUUCUUUUAUUUUUUUUUUUGGGUGGCCGCGCUUUGCAGUGAUGUGGGGCGGCCACCGACUCCCGCAUAACAUAGUUUUAUACAUAAAAUUAUGUAUUUCAGAUAGUCGUUAAGAUAAGGUAAAAAAAAAAGCAUGUUGCAUCAUUUAUUCUUAUGUUGUAUUAUUUAUAUUUUUAUCGCAUUAUUUAGGAGGGUAAUACAUUCUUACACUUUGGAAAUAACAAUUUAUGUAGAUUAAGAGGAAAGUAGACGAUUUGUCACUUUUGUUGAGGGUCAUUUGUCAUGGGAAUAUGAAAAUCUAUACACAAAAAAAAGGGCAAUUUGAUUAGAUUUAUGAAAAAGCAAACAGAAUUUGCAAAUUUCUAAAUACUUAAAAAAAAUUAUACAAGUCCUAUGGGUUGGAAUAGAAAAAAUAAAUUUCUUUGUAUUUUAAAGCUUCAUAAAUUAUGUAACAGACAUAUGCCCAAAAUAGGAGUUGAGCUAGAAUACUCCAGGGGUUGAUGCUUUUGAGUUUUUAGUCGGGCUUUUUUAUAAAAUGAUCCUCCAGAAAUUCAAAAUUGGCAAAAUAAUCCUACUAAAAUUUUAUUUGUAAAACUAAUCCUCUUUUCGCCACGUGGGCGCCACAUCAGGAUUUCUCACAAAGACGGUGAAUCGUUCACCGCCUUCAGUGCAAAACCCCUCUUUCCUAUCCGCCUUAUGAAGACGGUGAACGAUUCGCCGUCUUAUCAAGGACACCAUACCCUAGACUUGAAAAAAUUUGCGCAUCAGAAUAGGGAUUUGCACCAAAGGCCGUGAAUCAUUCACCGCCUUCACAACAAAUAUUAUAAAGACGGUGAACAAUUCACCGUCUUUUUCAGGAAUUCCUGACGUAGCGCCCACGUGGCGAAAGAAGGGUUAGUUUUACAAAUAAAAUUUUAGUAAGGUCAUUUUGCCAAAUUCGAAUUUCUGGAAGGUCAUUUUAUAAAAAAGUCCCUUUUAGUCAUUGAAUAGAGAGAUAUAGGGUUGUGAUGAUGGUGGUAGGUAGUGGCAGAUGAUGUUAGGUGGAAUAGUAUUUGAUUCAAGUGCUAUUAGUAAUCAAUGAGUAGAUUCAAGGGUUAGAAACUUAAAAACACCAAGUGGUUGGUGCUUCUAAAAGUAUUCUAGCUCAAUUACCCAAAAUGGCUACAUAAUUUGUUACUGCAAUCAAAGAGCUUAGAAUUGAUUUUCAAAAUUGAAAUUAAAAAUUGCAUUAAUUGAUUUAAAGUAUGAAGCAAUGGAAAGUUGCACCAAUAUUUUUUCUCCUCUAUUAGAAGUGACAAUAAAGAUAAUUUGAAAUAAUUUAUAAAGUUAUUUUGAAUGUCUAAUAUCGAAUUCAACUCGCCAGAGAGGUUUCACUGUUUGGUUAGGGGAUAGGGAUAGGAAUAGGCCCUUAUCCCCCCUUUAUACCCAAACGCUAAUUUUUUAUCCGAGAACAGUAGUUCUCGGUUACCUAUAAUAACCGGUUAUAACUAUCCCCACUUACACCUACAUUUUCUAUAUAAAACUACCUAAUAUUUUUCUUAUUCUAUAUUAUCUAUUCAAACGCUAUUUUUCUUAUCCCCGAAAACAACCUAAUUUUCAUCCAAACACUAUUUUUCUUAUCCCUAUACUUGUAUCUAUACCUGUAAUAACUAGUUCUUGCCUAUACCCAAACCAAACGGUACCUAUUAAUAGAGAAUCGUAGUGCAAUCCCUCCUCUCCUCAAAAUACAUGUAUCCUCAUGUGUAUCUUUCUGAUUGGUUAAAUUUCUAUUAAUAUAAACAUAAAUAAUAACAAGAAAAUCAUAAGGUUAAACGAGUCCGUAGUUGCUAUACCAUCUGUAGCACGGAAGCCUCCAUACUACCAAGUUAUUUUCAAUGAUACGACUUCUAAAUCGACGAUCGGCUCCGUUAAACUUGAUCUAUAUUAUUGAAAGUAUUUGAAACUAAAUUUUAUAACUUUUCGACAUCAUUUACCUACCAAGCAAGUAAUCUAAAAAUGAACGACUAAAAAUAAAAAAAUUCAUAAAAAAUGAUAAUAAAAGACUUGAAUUUAAGACCAAAGGUAUUGACCUUAUUCUAAAUAGUGAAAAGAGUUUUUUUCUACAACUUUCAUUAGAUUUUGAUUGUUUUACACCGUUAAAUUCACAAAUGCAUCACAUUAAUCGUUAAAAUUAUCAAUUUUAAGACAUUUUGAUCACUAGCCAAAUAAUGUCGAAAAAUUAUAAAAUUUAGUUUUCAAAUACUUUCAAUAGUGUAGAUUAAGUUUAACAGAGGUAAUCGUCAAUUUGGAAGCAGUAUCACUGAAAGCAACUUAGUAGCACGAAGGCCUUCAUCAGUAUAGCAGCAUACCACAUGUUAAACUUCAAAAUUACCCCCUUCUAGUUUAGCUCAAUUUCACCUUGUCAUUUAUAGUUUAAAAAAUUUUACUUUAUCCUUCUAUGGUUUAGCUCGUUUUCACUUUGCCAUCCGUUAGCUUAAAAAAUUGCACUUUAUUCUCCCAAAAUUUUUCACUUUAUCACCAUGUAACUUUUUUUAAAAAAAAAUUAAUUUGCCAUUCCAUUUCAUAUAAAACUUUUUGAUGAAAGAAAAAUUAAAUAAUAGAAGGCAAAACGAAUCUUAUAUUUAAAUUGCAAACGAAUUGUUAUGAUUUGGUACUAUCAGUUAUUCUUAGUCAUACAUAAUUUAUACUAAAAAAAAGAAUUUUAAGGCAAACGGUAAAGAAUUUAAUGAUUGACAAUCAAGAUCUAAAAUUCGAAGUCUAAUCAUGUUUUAUAUUUUUAGCUAAUUUAUUUUUUUACGAACAAAAUUAACGAGCAAAAUGCAGCUUUUUUCUCAAAAAUAAUAGUAGCCACAAGAAAAAAAAAGAAAUUUAUUUUUUCUCGUAAACUUGUGAUACUAUUUUUACGUACCCUUGUGUAUAUAAGGAUGGGAAUUAUUUUUUUUCGGCUAAAAUAUUAUGUAAAGUAUUCUCUUUUUUUUUUUUUUCCUGCUUCUAAAUUAUAACUAAUUGAUAAAAAGAAAUUAUUUUUUUAAUAUUUUUCACUGUAUGUUAUGUUAUAUAAUUAGACAAUACAAACAUGCCUAUGUAUCACAUGCAAGGGUACAAAUGUAGUCUACACUAAAUCACCAAAUGCCUUUUUAGAAAAUAUGAGAGACUCUCCCCGAGUGCAGCUACUAUUCUUUUUAGAAAGAUGGAGGCUAGGGAUGUCAAUGGGUAUGGAUACCCGAAAUAUUACCCGAACCCGAACCCGAACGGAGCAAGUUUAUCCGAGCUAAACGGGUAUGGAUUCGGUUAUGGGUAUAAAAAAUAAAAACCCGACGGAUAUGGAUACGGGUAUGAAUUUUGUAUUUACCCGACCCGAACCCGAACCCGACCCGAACCCGAAUAAAUUAUAUAUAUACAUAAAUUUAUUUUUAUUUAUUUAUAUAAUGUAUAAAAUAUUUAAUAAUUUUUAUCCCUUAGAUCUUCAUUCAACGAUAUAGAUUUUUAAAAUCCAUCGGGUUUGGGUUCGGGUUCGAGUCCGGGUUCGGGUUUCGGGUUUUUGGUCGGGUAUGGAUAUGGGUAUGAAUUUUUAAAACCCGCCGGGUUCGGGUCCGGGUACGGAUUUUAAUUUGGUUUUCGGGUUCGGGUUCGGGUUUUUAAAAACCCGACCCAAACCCGACCCGUUGACAUCCCUAAUGGAGGCCUUCAUUUUUCUAAAUCAUUUUAAAUAAUAGGAAUUCCGAAUAAAUAAUCGGGACGGUUAAAUUUAAUCUAAAGUAUUUAUACUGUCUACGUAAAUAGUUUUUAAAUUCAUAAAAUUUAGUUUUUAGACACUUUAAAUACUCUAAAUUAACCUUAACGGUUCAGAUAAUCGAUUCAAAAUUUCUAUCAUCUAAAAUAACUUAGGAGGGCGAAAACCUCCGUCCUCCUAAGACAAUGCUUGGUUCGAGAAUAAGGGGAAGGGGGAAUAAAUCCUUGUUCCCCCUUUGUUCCCAAAUAAAAAUUUGUGUACCCGAGAACAGUAGUUUUCGGAUCCCUAAAAUAAGCAGGUAUAAGACUUAAAUUGUUGUUCCACCAUUUUUCCUACAACAAGCUUGUUUCUAAAUAAGAAUAAGAUUAAUUAAAGCCUAAAUUUAAUUAUAAUUAUAAUAUUAAAUUAUUAAUUAAUUAAUUUAAUUAAUAUAUUUAAAUCAAUAUCCAUUGCUCAAACAAUAGAAUAAUUAAUUAAUUCCAAAUCUCCCUCAAGUUUAUGCUCGUAACUUUUUAGUAGUCUCAAACUCACAAGCUAGCUUCAAUACUUUUUAUUACUAGAGAAUGAAAUUUUAUAUUUCUUUAUUCAACUGUACAAUUUUUGCUUGUCAAAGACUCUUACAAAUGUCUUCUAGUGAAAAUAGUUGUAAAACUAAAUAGAUUAUACCAAAUAGUUUUUUUUUUUAGAUAAAGGUAGCACGCUACCCGCUUCAACCAUUCAGUAAAUAAAUUUAGCUACGACAAUUGAGGCAUCGGGCCUCCAAAGAGAGCCUCAGAAAAGUUAAGGGCGAAAAAAUAACCAAUGAGAUUGCAAUCAAAAAUCAAAAAUCAAAACUCAUCACUUGGUUUAGGAAAAUUCAGCAUAUUCAUUUCCCACUUCAUUAUAUACUUGUCUAACGGCCUCUAAAGAGUCAAAAGAUUGCUUUCUUAAAAUUCACAUGGUUCCUUUCCCGCCAAAUCAUCCAUCAACAUGCAGCAGUUUGUAAAGUUUAAGUUAUACCAAGUAGUUUUGUAAAAAGGGUGUUAAAUAUAAAAAUAUUUAAACACCGUUCUCUAACAGUUUAAGCUUUUAGAGUACAACGGUUAUUUCACAUGAUAUCAGAGCAGAAAGUCCUGAGUUCGAGUUACGCCAGGCUCCUAGCAUAUUAAUUUCCUCCCAUUUAAUUUAAGCCCACGUCAUGGGCCGACUAAAAAAAAUCGCUUAAGUUUUUAGAGUACAACGGUUGUUUCGCAAAGGUGUUUUUACAAAAUCAAUAAAGUUUAAGCUAUAGAAAAUAAAGUUUUAUAUUUUUAUAUUCAACAGCGCAUGCAAUUUUUAGUUUGGUAAAAACUCUCCGAAAAGUGAAACCAAACAAUAAUACUUUUUUUUUUUUUGAGAGAGAUAGGUAGCACGCUACCCGCUUCGUUUAUUUCAUUUAGAAAUAAACUUAGCUGAAAAUGUGAAUCAACUAUGAUUCGAACUUGAGUCUCGGGUAUCAACCGUCAAAUUCUUUGCCACUUGUUCUAGAAACGGUGGAUAACCAAACAACAAUACUAAGUAGUUUUGUAGGGGUGUUUAAGUAAAGUAAGAUCAGUAAUUUUUGAAACUUGCUUGGGAAUCGAGUUCAAUUAAGUCAACUGGGAUCUCGGGUACAGCACUACCCAACGCACAUUCCGGGAGAAAAAAAUGUAGUUGACGAUACUACGUACAGAGCAUGUCGAGCAUUAAGAGGAUUUAUUCUACUUUAUUAUUACCAAUUUGCCUUAAACUAAUUAAUGUAGAAAAUAAAUAAAUAAAGAAAUAAAAUAAGACAGAGAGAUUGAAGAUAAAAGUGUACAAUGAUCACCUCUUAGUCUUAAGUCCUGUUUGGAUGAACAGUACAAAAAAAAAUUCCAUAUAAAGUUUAUAUUCUAUAAUUUUGUUCUAGCUAAAAUAAGGAAUCCGACGACUCUAACAAAUUUUAUGGUUUUAAAUUUCUAAACUUCAAUUUCUUUUCUUAUGAUUUAGCAUUUUUUCUUUCUUAACCAAUCUGUGAUUCAAAAAAUAUGGUAUUACUUUUGUUUAAUCGCAAAAAUCUAGAUGACGGUAUAAUAUAGUGUUUUACCAUUAUAUAAUUUACAUUUUAUUACUGACCGUUUCUAGAACAAGUGGCAAGGGGCUCAGUGGUUGAUAUCCGAAUUUUCAAGUUUGAAUUCUAGUUGAUUCACAUUUAUAGCUAAGCUUAUUUCUGAAUAAAAUAAACGAAGCGGGUAGCAUAUGAUUUGCAUAAAAUAUCACAUUUGUCAUUAUAUUUAAUGGUAGAUCCUUGCCAUAAUAUAAAAAAAAAUGGUAAUUUUAUUCAUACCUCUCAAAAGGUUAGAAAUAUCAUAAAUACCUUUGUCAAAUUAGUAAUAUCACAAUUGUCCCUUUAAAUACUUUUUUUUUUUGAGAAAAAAUACCUAUUUUAUUUCAAUUUUAUCUUGUCCUCGCUAGGCUUCCUUAAGUUUUUAUAGUUUUUAAUGCCUUUUUUUAUUAUAUAAAACAUAUCUAUAAACUCUAAUGAAAACUCAUGUUCUUUUGUACACGUGGCAGCAUUAGCUUAAUCUGUCUUUUAUGGGCCCUACCUGUCAUCUUAAGCUACUAGCCUAACCUAUAUGUCCAUGGGGCCCAACUAGCAGUGUUUUUUCCACAACCCCUUUCCAUUUAGUUGCUUUCCAAUUAAUCGGUUCAAAGUAUCGGGUCAUCUUCCAAACGGUUCGAUUAAUCCCAUUCCAUCUUCAACCCCCUCUAGAUGCCGCUCCGCCUCCCUAUGAGUCCUCCUUAGUCGGAAAAUUGGGCCGAGUCUAGGGCUUCCGGCGUAAACGCGCUCGAGCAGUUCAAGAUCUCCGCAGACCGUAAGUUUCCCCUACUCUCCACCAGAAUUAGGCUUUGGGUGCAUCAAAUUGUGAACUUGGGGGCCUAGGCAGGCCCAAGAUGGCUGGUGAUUGAAAUUGUUAUUCUAAUUCUCCACAUGAAAUAAUUUAUACGGUAAUUUUAGGAACGUGUAUAUAACAAUGAAAGGCUAAGAUGUGAUCAAGCAUUCCCCGUUGGUUCAAAACCCUAAACCUCGUGCCCUACUUUUUUUCGCUCUGAUGCCGCACGCUGACUUUUUCCGACGUCAAGGUUUCGGAAGAUUAAAAACAUGGCGAAGAAAAUGUAAAGCCUUUGAAAGUAAUUUCAAGUUUUCUUCCUUUAAUUAUUAUUAUUAUUAUUAUUAGUAGUAGUAGUAGUAGUAGGAUCAUUUUAGUUAAUUUUGCAUGGAAAUUGGGUAUAACUAGCUGAUUUAAUGAAGAAAACGGAAUUAAAAUAAGGAAAAGAAGGGAUUUAAGCUGGUGGCUAAUUAGCCAAUCACAUCAAGCAGCUUCAAUCGCUGCAGUUUUUUGUGUGAAUGGUCAGUAAGCUCACCUAUAUUUAUUCGUGUUUUUGCAUCUUAUAAAAGGAAAUUUGGGUUAUGUUUCCUCUUUUUUCCAGGUGCAUCAACUCACAUUUCUUUGAGUGAACCAAUACAAGAACUUUGGUUGAUAGAUAAAGUUUAGUACCUAAGUGUUAUGGAUUUGAGUUACAAAGUCCAAGUAUGCCAUUGUUUAUUCCUUGUUUUAAUAAAAAAAAAAAAUGGAGCUUUAAUUCAAAUCAGCCUAUGGCCGAAUUGCUGUACAUAAUACAUUGGAGUGGGACAAAAACACCUGUAAUAUCCAUAUUAAGUAAUCACCAGCCGAGGCUAAUCCUUUCCUCUUUUGUUCAACCAUAAUGGGUUAACAAGUCAGCUGCUGGUUAGCCUCUCUCAAUGCAUCCACAAUUUUCUAAAAAUCAAAAUACCUUGCUUCAGUUUGAAGCUCCUUGAUCAGAUUCCUCAAACUCCAUGAGGCCGUAACAAUAUUAUUGACAGCUUCUCUCAAUUCGGUGGAGUCUGUUUGAAUUGUGAUUCGCUUUCUUUGGUUCCUCUUUGCCUCCUUUAGUGCUUGUAGCAUAGCUUUAGCUUCGGACUCGAGCAAUCAUCAUGCUUUGAUUGACUUACCUAUGGCAAACAAUAUAGUACAAUCAUCGAUGCGGGCUAUAAUCCUAACCCCUGUUCUUCGACUGAUUGGCAAACUAUUUGAAAGCUCGGAUAGUAAAAUUAGAAUUUUAAAAAGAAAUUAUUAUAAUGUUACCUUCGAUUAGCGUAAGUUCACAUCGACCAGCUUCGAUCGCUGCAAUUUUUGUGUGAUUGGUCUGCAAGCUCACCUGUAUCAACUCGUGUUGUUGCAUCUCAUAAAAGGAAAAUCGCGCUAUGUUUCCUUUUUUUCUUGUGCAUCAACUCACAUUUCUUUGAGUGAGCCAAUAAAAAUUCUGGUUAAUAAAGUUUUGUGUUCGGUAUUGUAAUUCUGGGUCGUGUUGUCUAUAUCAUUUUUUGUUUUUUCUCCACAUCAAUUUCUCUCUUUUGAUCUAUUGAUUUGGGUUUGUUGAGGUUAUAAAUGUGUGGUGGCUCAUUCAGCAGUCACAUACUACAACUUCUGUUGCUCUUUUUUCAUUUUGUUUUGUUUUUUUAAUUCAUUUAGUUAAAUUUUGUAACUAUAAUAUUCUUGCGCAAAAACAAAUUUACUCCGCCUAAUAUUUGUAUUAUUUGUAAAAAAAUUAAAUAAUAUUAAUUAAAUUAAUGUAUACGUUAAAAUAAAUAUUAAAUGUUAAAAAUUUAAGCUUUUAACAUACUUUCCUCUGUUUAAUUAUUUUGGUAAUAAUAAUUCGACCUGGUCUUACAACAUAGUGGUCCCAUCCAGAUUCGGCAUUUGGAAAGAAUAAGGGAUACGAUAAUAGGUCGUAACAUCCAUAAUAUGCUUGCACUGUAUGUGCCCUUUUUGAUUUAUUGUAAAUGAUUGUACUUCUUUUAUAGAAAUGUCGCAAAUCUUUUCGUUCUAACCGAAUUGCGGCAAGUUGAGAGGCAGUAGGUUUGUUAUAUACUGUUUGAUCUAAUUCGACAUUUGCAUCCAACGUGAUUCUGUAAUUUUCUUAAUUUGGUAUGUCACCUAAUUUUUGGAAAGCUUGUACAUUAGGAUUUCCUGAUAAUAACCCCAUUAACUUUUGAAUCAAUCUUUUAUCAGGAUAUUUAGAUCGUUCAAGCCAUCGAUCAAUUUCAUGCUCCGAAUCAUAAAAGUAUAGUUGCAAGAAUUUUGCCCCAUCGUCCCUAGGAAUAAGUUGUUCUAGAAAAUGGUAGAUUUGUCCUUGUGCGUGGAAGGUAUAUACUCCACCCUGCAUUUCGCGACUUCUUUGUCUAAUCUAAAACCCAAUGAUGUAAAUGCAAAAUGAUUAUUAUAUCCUCCAAUGUCUCGUCUAAAUUCUUCAUCUAAAUUGAAUUGGUUCCACUUCCUGCGAUGUAUAUAAGUGAUAAAGUUCUUCCGACACUGUAUUAUUUGUUAUGAACACAUUGCCAUUCAUACAACAAAAUUACGGAAACUGACGUUGGAAUUUUUUUGGCUCCACAGCGUUUGCAAGUGCUCGGUGGUUUCAGACUGUGAGGUCGAUCUGGCAAUUCAUGGUAUAUCUCAUCUUCUGAUUUGUUUUCUUCAAUAGAAAUAGUAUGGUCAUUCACAUCUGUUUGAUAUUGUAGCUGCUUAUCAGCACAACAAUCUGCAUUUAUUGUUUAAUUAUUAAAAUAUGACAUAUUUUUAAAUUUAAGUAUUGAUAAAGUUAUAUAAGUUUAGUUCACAUAUACGAUACCAUGGGUGAAUUCAAUAGAAUAUCCAAAUGGUUGUUCAGAAAUCGGCCGUGUAAAGUUCACCUAAUCAAAUAAAGUUAAAAUUUAUCAGCAAAUAGUAGUUAUUUUUUAGUAUAUUGUAAAAUUUGUUGUUAGUAAAAUUAAAAUCUCGAGGAUUUCACGUGGAAAAGAAAUUAUUGUAAUGUUACCUUCGAUUAGCAUACUAAAAUCUUGGUCUAAACUUGCGCUUAUUCUUCCGCAUGGUUGUUUCCUCCCAAGUUUUGUCGUGAUAUUAACUCAUACAUAUUCGUCUCCAACCUUUGCUUUUGGUGAACUGCUUAAUGGUUGGUAUAUGAGACUCUGUGUAGGAAACUUAGUUACUUCACAUUUCCAGUUAGGUUCAUUUCUUAAAAAUGAACGAAAAGAGUGGCUAAGCUUGCUAGCCCUCAAUGCCGAAUGAUUAAUAGGUCCAUAUUUUUCUCUAUGAAUCGUGGUUGAUGAAAACGUAGGAAAUUGGGCCUAAUCCACCCCAUCCGGCCUGGCCCAGUUUUUUAGGCUGGAUUGGGCAUCAAAAUUUAAGACCAAAAGAAAAAAAAUCUAAAUCUAAGACGACUAUAUUUUUUUUGAAUUUGGCGUAAAAUCAGGCCAGCCCAAACGCAACAGGCUCCAGCUUUUGUUCAGCUGUGGUGUUAAGUGUGGAAUGGAAGGUGGCUGUUGUCGUUGUUCUUGUUGUUUUUUUGUCUUCUCUAUUAAUAAUGCUGCGAACUGGGAGGGAAAUGGGAGAGAGGGACAGAGGCAAUUACGCCAGUGGCACGGCCGGAGCCGCAAGAACUGCACGUGAUCGCGCACUGCUAUGGAAUGUCCCAAUGUUUUGAGGGCAUAGUUUGUGAACUUGUUGAGCUUGUAGCUUCAUCCUGUUGUCUUGCUCUUCUAAAGUUUGGACAAAGAGAGUUAGAUAUUCACUUGGUUUUGUCUGUCGGCUACCUUCACUAACUAAAUUUAAUUUUCAAUACACUGAUGUUAAUUUCUUUUUUGAAUUUAUUUAAUUUAUUUUUCUUCUUUUUAUUUGUCGCAGGGAAUGAAUCGCUGGUGAGUUAGGAGCUCAAGUUUUCUUCUUGGUCCUCGAAUGUUUUCCAUUUUUCGAUGUUUAAAGAGUCAUGAACGGAUGUUACACUACAUAUAAGAUAUUAUUACUUUUUUGUCUUCAAAUUGAUCUUACUAUUAUUUUGUUUUUGAGUUGCCGUGAAUCAGAAGUUAACUUCGCUUUUAAAUUAUAGUGAAAAGAAUAAUUUUGCUUGCUUUUUUUUUUUUUUUUUUUUUUGGGUAUGUUAUGUUUAUGGAAUAUAAACGGUGUAUUGAUAUAUUUUGUUUUGUUACUUGUUUAUUAUUGGUGGCGAUUUUGCCUGCCAACUUUAUACAGUGCAACUUUUUUUUUGUAGUUAGUGGCGACAAAAAGUUGCCAGCUUAUCUUUAUAUAAGGUGGCAACUGUUAAGUUGUGACUAAAAAUGCAUAUUUGGCGGCAUUGUGUCGCCGCCACCUUAUCUUCUUAUCUUCAUAUUAGGUAGCAAUUGUUAAGUUGUGACUGAAAAUGCUUAUUUGGCGAUAUUUGGGCUUUUUUUGGCAUGGGCCCCGUCAAAAUAUUUUUUUUUACAAAUAGCUCCAUCAAAUUUAUAAUUAUAAUUUUGGUCCUAUCUCCGCCACGCAGGCGCCACAUUAGCGACAUGGUUUUAAGUUGGUGAAUGGUUCAUCGUGUUUCAUACUUAUAUUUCACUCCUUCCUCUUUUUAUUUUUCUUAUAUUUUUUUUGCAAUAUAUAUAUAUUAUAUUUUUUUCAAACACGGACACGGUGAAUGAUUCAUCGUGUUCAACUUAAUAAAUUGGUCCCAGUCCCGCUCACGAGGCGCUGACGUGGCAGCGCCUGUGUGGCAGGGCUAGCGUUAUUUUUACAAAUAUAAAUUUGCUGAAGUUAUUUUAAAAUAAAUUUUUUUUAGGGAGCCAAAUACAAAAAAAGCCCGCAAUAUUAUGUCGCGGCCACCUUAUCUUCAUAUAAGGUAGCAACGGUUAAGUUGUGAUUGAAAAUGCUUUUUUGGCGUCAUUAUGUCGCCUCCACCUUAUCUUCAUAUAAGAUAUCAGCCGUUAUAUAUAGUUGUCAUUAAAAGUGUACAUUUGGUGGUAAUAAAAUGUGGCCAUACUAUCUUCUGUAAGGUCAUACUAUGGCAAAAUCUUAAUAAUUGAGGGCUAAAUUAUAAAUAAUAAAUAGCCUCCUUAUACUUCAGCUUAGGUCUUUAUUAUCCUUGUGCAUUAAAACUUGCAUCAAUGAUUAUCCUACAUUUUGUUACCAUCUCAAAUAGAUCUAAAAAAUAAAAAUUAGCAAAUUAGGCUAUAAAAUUGUGCUUAAAUGAGUGGGCAUCUAUUAAACUAUAUGAAAGCUCAAUGUUUAAGCUGAUUUGGCACUCUUCUUAUUUUUGGGAGAGCAUUUAAACCUUCAUUACUUUGUCUUUUCAUUAAAGCUCAAUACUUAAAUAAAAUGUCAUGCAUAGCUAAUUUUGAAGAAGCAGUUCAUAUUUUCAAAAACGUACACGACCCUUCGCCUUCUCUCCACCGUCUUAAUUAAUGCAUCCACGGUCCCAAUACAAUUAUAACUGUCCCCUCUCCAUCUCCAUACCAUCCCUCCCCUAUCUCCUCUCGCUUCUCUUUUCUUCUUUUUUUUCCUCUUCUCUAUCGACAUCAAUUUUCUCUCUUACCUUCCUGUGCACUAUGGUAUCCCCCUCUAUCUCUCUCGAACUAAUGGCCCCCAUUACACGGCGAAGGUUUCGUAGUCCCAGUACUCCUUGGGUCGGUGGACGUUGAGGUCGGCAUAGAUGCAAGCCUUCGAGGUAGCAUCAGGACGGCGCAAGAACUUGCUGAUGCGCUCAGCAAUGGCAUCGACAACGAAGGCAAUGGCGGGGCAAGGGCGAGUGGCGGCAGCGACAGCAAUGGUGACAGAGAUUAGCGGAGAGGGGAAAGAAGAGAACAUUGCUUUUGAGUUCUCCAUCGUUCGCAUCAGAAAGCAGGCGGUUGUCCCCUUGCACUCAACAUAAGAAUUAUUUCUUUCUUUUCCCUUUCUUAAGAAAAAGUUAUUAGAUUUGUGACUAUUAGAUCCGUAGUUUUAGUCCGCCUCACAAAUUAUCCCAUAUUUGAAUUAUAAUUUAAAUUUAUAAUUUAGUUUAAAUUAAAAUUGAAGCUUUAAGUUCAAAUUUAGAGUUUAAGUUUUAAAUUUUGAAUUUGAAUUUAAUAUCUCAAUUCAAAUUAAAAUCUAAAUUAUGAAAUUUAUUUUAGUUGUGUGAAUUCUCAUUAAAUAAUCCAAUUUUAUAUACUAUUCUAUAACCAUCAAAUAUUGGAUUGGAUUAUUAUUUAUCCAAUCCAAUCCUAAUCGCAAUCGUAUCCAAUCCUUCUACACUAUACUAUCUGGUUCAAUAUUAAAUACUAGGGGUGGAACUGGGCCCGGGCCUAAACAAGGCCCGGCCUGAUGGGCCAUGUUUGGGCCGGGCUUUGGGUAUUAAAAAUAUAACUUUGGGUUCGGGCCGGGCUUAAAAAUUUAGGCCCGAAGAAAUUUUGGGCCUAUUUGGGCAUGUCCAAGCCCGGCCCGAGCCCGACCCAAAAGCCCGAUAUAUUAAUUAUCAAAAUAAAUUAUUUAAUUAUAUAUAUAUAUUAUUUAUCUAUAAAAGAAAUAAAUAAUAUCAUAUAUCAUAUAUAGUAUAUAUUGUUAUUAAUGAUAUAUACUUAUAUAUAUAUGAGGAUAUAUUAUAUAUUAACAAAAUAUUUAGUUCCAUAUUAGAAUAUAUUUGAUAUUAGAUAGUAAUUUCUUUGAUGUGAUCAAACUAAAAAUAAGCAUUUUAUUUUAAUUUUAUACAAAUAAAAGUAUUUAUGUAUUAUAUGAUAAAUGCAUAAAAUGGGCCUCCACAAAGCCCGAUGGGUAUUGGGCAUUGGGCUUGGGCUUGGGCUGGGCCUUAAUUUUCAAAAAAAAAUAGGUAAAAGCCCGACCCGAAGCCCAACAUUUUCUUUUGGGCCGGGCUUGGGCAUAGUAUUACCCGACCCAAACCCGGCCCAGUUCCACCCCUAAAUACCAAGUAUGCUAUAAGCGAAUGAUUUGUGAGGAUUCAAAAAAAAAUGAUAGAGGCCCCUUGAUUUGAAGAAGGGGAUUUAAAGUCUAAGAAUUUGAAUGCAAAAAAAAAUUAUAGAUUAUAAUAUACAUAAAUAAAUUUAAUUAAUUUUUAGUCUCUUUAAUUUAUAUUAUAUUUAUAACGACCCAGUCCACUAGCAAUAAUAACGUUGGGCCCAACCAAUAUCCGAUGUGGGAUUAUUGGGGAGUCACAGACUCCCCCCGUUAAGGCCCUGACGUCGUCGUCAGUCCAAUCACACACACAGCCCAAGAUCACCAGGCGAUGUGAGACUCGUCUCGACAUAGCCGGUCAUCUUGUCAUUCAGACUCGGGCAUAGCCUAUCACCUUGUUUUUCAGACCUUGGCUCAGCCGAGACUCGCCACAUAUUUUCGACUCGUGAACUGGCUCUGAUACCAAAUGUAACGACCCAGUUCACUAGCAAUAAUAACUCGUUGGGUCCAAACACCGGCUCAAAAUGCUUAAGCCCGGUUAUUAUUACUAGUGUCUAAGUCUCUUAUAUAUCCAAUCACAUUCCCAUUCAUAUCCGAUGUGGGAUUAUUGGAGUGUGACAAGAAAUCAACUAGGCUCCUAUUAAUAGUAUAUGAAUAGUUACAAUCCACUUUUCUACCCUUAAAUUAUUACCACUCUACCAAACUCUCACUAAACUCUAGACAUCCAAGGAUAAAAAAGUAGAUGGUAUUCACUCUUCACAUACUAUUAAUAGUAUUUGAGCACAACUUCUCAUAUGAUUUAAGUACAAUUAACCACAAUUGUCAAAUUAGGUUUUUAACAAUCAAAUGCCAAAAGUUUAUUCCUUCUACAAUGAAACUAAAUUUUAAUGUCAAAAAGAUCUUUCUAUAUUAUUGACGUCCUUCUUUUAUGGUUUAGGAAUCAUUUGGUUGAUGUAAAUUACUUUAAAUUUAUGUUAUAUAAUAAUAUAAAUCUGAGUAGUUACUACGUAACACCUAUUAAUAAAUAUAAAAAAAAGAGGAGAGUAGUCAAUUAAGGGUAAUGCGAAGAAAGAAAAUAAGACAAAUAAGAAAAAUAAUAAUAAUAGAUGAAGGAAGGGAAUGAGAAAGGCUUAGUCCAUGAAGAAUAGAAUGUGAAGUCUAAUCAUUAUCAAUGAUGUCUGAACUUAGCAAUUGAUCAUCAUCGUUGGUUGCGCCUCAGAUCAGGACGUUACAAAUUGGUAUCAAAGUAGUCUCGACCCCAAGGAGGUGAGAAAAUUGCUCAUCGUAGCAUCGGAAUUGAUCCAGUGGUUUUUGAUUGAGAUCUUGAGUAAGGGCACAAUGUAAAUCUCAACUAGAAUCAAAAGGAGUACUCACAAUGGAGUAAUUCCAGAUCUGAACCACUUGGAGCUUCGUCAAAAGGUCAACUCACAUCCUCAAAAAUAGGUAAUUGUAAUGAUCUCACAAUUCCCUAGAAGCACUAAUUGCAUUUGUGUAAGAUUUUGUAAACAAGAAAUCAAAACCUCGGUAAACAUCAUAAGGAUCUUAUUCACUAUCGCCUAAACCAAAACAUAAGCUCCAAUUGAAAGUAAGAUCGUAAUAGCAUCGGAUUCCAGGCAACACAAUAGUUAACAUUGGAAAGAAAGAUCAGAGUAGGUUUAGGUUUUUAUAAACAUCAUAAGGAUCUUAUUUACUAUCGCCUAAACCAAAUAUAAGCUCCAACUGAAAGUAAGAUCGUAAUAGCAUCAAAUUCCAGGCAACACAAUAGUUAAAAUUGGAAAUAAAGAUCAGAGUAGGUUUAGGUUUUUCUUCUGAGAGCAGUAGAAUGGCAGAGGGUACCGAAUUGAGGGAUUUACGUGAACACACUACCACACUAGAGGAAAGAAUGCAAAUUCUUACCACUGAGUACCAAGGAAGGGUGAAGGAAGUAGCAAACCAAAUAAUAGAAGUUAGGGAUAAUGCUAGCAGAUACGAGGAGUUGUAGAAGCUACUAGCAAGUCAACCCUUCCCACCCAAACCUACAUCUCAGUAAUAAUAUACCUCUACUACACAUAGGACCUAAAGCCAUAGCCAUGCAGCAGGACAUCUCUAUUGGAGAUUAGAGAAAGCAAAGGAAAAGGCAUUCUGCCUAUGCCUACUAAAGAAAUAGAGGUAGACGAGAAUGGGAAAGGAUAUAUGUAACACACUGGACCUUUGCAAAUUGCGGGAUUCGAGUGUUUGAAUGCAUUUCGAGCUUUUCCACACUUGGUGGAGGGUUGUAAAUGUUUCCCGACCCGAAAAGUUCGAAAUCUGGAACUUUGGACAAGUCCUGAAAGUUUUUACUCUCGGGGACCGGUCCCUGGAAGGAGAGACCGGUUCCCCUAGUGAGCAGUGUUGAGGCAGCCUGAGGCAACCGGUCCCUGGCAGGCGAGACCGGUUCCCGAACGCGUCUUCGCAGUGAGAGACCGGUCCCGCGCAGCGAGAGACCGGUUCNUUGUAUUAGAGGCUGAUACUGUAUAACUUAUGUUUGCUUUUAUGUUUUAGUUAUGCUUUACUACUAUUAGUAUAGAUGUUAGAACUAUACUCGCUCUGAUAUCAUUAGUUGUUUGUAUUUCACUUCUCUUAUUUGUUCCAUCUCUUGCUAUUACUUUCGCUUUUCUUGUAGACGCCUUAUAUGUGUGGACAUAUGGCGGGUCUGGGCACGCUACCGGGAGGGCCUCCGCCGGUCCCGGGGCGUGACAAUAUAACUGUAAUAACAAAAACGACCACCAUCAACACACACCCUAUCCUAAGUUGGAAUUCCUAGCUUUUAAUGGUAAGGAUCCUAGGGCUUAGAUUAAGAAUUAUGAAUAGUAUUUUUAUUUAUUUUCAGAUACCCUAACAACAUUGGGUGCGCAUAGCUACUAUGCAUCUAAAUUGCAGAGUAAGAAUUUGGAAACAGAAGUUUUUUUUAUCAACAAACGGGGUUACCUGGUAUUUAAUUUGUUGGCAAAAGGUUCAUAUAGGUGGGGGAGAGGUAUCUGAUAAAGAAGUUUAGCAAUUUAAAGCAGUUUGGAACAGUAGAAAGGUACCAAAAAAAUUUGUGGAACUUAGGAUUUCUAUUCUACAACUCCUAUCUAAUCGAGGAACACUUUAUUUCUUAUCAUAUCAAUGGAUUGAAAGGAGAAUUGAUACCAUUUAUGGAUAUUGCCCACCCAAACACCCAAGGAAGCCUAUGAAUAGGCCAAGUUACAUAAGAGAGCUCUAACAGUAAUGGGUAGGAAAAUUAAAGGCAACCCAAGGAUGGCCAAUGAGUAUCAAGGGCUACCGGCAACAAAGCCCUAGAGUUUGCUAAGUUUCAACAAAAUAAUCAACAUAGAAACUCUGCCAAUCAGUAUCAAAGUAGCAAACAAGUGAUGGAGCAAAUAAAGGUAGCUUGACACUGCUUCAUAUGUGUGAAAAGGUACCACCCUAGUCACACCUGCUAUAACAUAUCCCUCCACAUCAUUCAGGGAGCUAAUAAACUCUUAGGGGUCUAUGAUGAAGACUGCCUGAUAGAAAAAAAGAUAGUGGAAGAAGAAGAUAUGAAUGAAAGGGGAAAGCAAAGAGGAGAAUUUAGAGAUAAGAGUAUUAAUGCAUGCUCUAAGUGGAGAAAAAUAAUAAAAUACCAUUAAGGUGUAAGGGAAAGCUAAAAACAUAACAUUAACCAUACUGAUAGAACAAGGUAGUACACAUAACUUCAUAGAUUUUCAAACAACCAAGGAGAUUAAGGCACAGAUGGUGGCUACAACACCCCUAGUAGUUACAGCGACAAAUGGAUAGAAAAUACUAAGCAAGUUACAGUGCCCAGAUUCUUGUGGCUUAUGCAGGGCUGAAGCUUUAGAGCUAAUUUGAGGCUUAUCAGAUUAGAGAGGUCCAACAUAGUGUUGUGAAUUGAUUGGUUGAAGUUUUAUGGUAGGAUCCUCUUUGAUUUGUAAUAGAAUUUCAUAAUUACAGCUAAGGAUGGCCAACCAUUGGUACUCAAAGGAAUAAUUGAUAGAAACAAAUUGGAGCUGAUCACAGCUAGGCAAUAGUACCAAGAACUACGGUUAGGGAAAUAUUGUGUUUUUAAGUCACUACUCCGUGGAAAGGAAUAGUGGAAAAGAUCAAGAGCUACUUCCUGAACUGCUGAGGGUGCUUGAUCAGUUUGAAGAUGUCUUUGAAAAGCCUUAGGGAUUAGCUCCUCACAGAUCUAAAGAUCAUAGAAUACUACUACAGUAAGGUACCACUCCAGUCAAUCUUAAGGCAUAUAGAAACUCCUAUGAGUAGAAAAGAGAAACAGAGCAGCAAAUAUAAGAGAUGUUGGAGACAGCAAUAAUACAACCUAGCAAUAGCACCUUUGCAUCACCAGUGUUGUUGGACAAGACAAAAGAUGGGAGAUGGAGGAUAUACAUAGACUAUAGAUAAUUAAAUAAGUUGAUUAUCGUAGAUAAAUUUCCAUUACCCAUCAUUGAUGACCUUUUGGAUGACUUAAGAGGUUCCAAGUUCCUUUCCAAACUAGACCUGAGGUCAGAAUAUCAUCAAAUAAAGGUCCAUAUUGAGGAUAUACCUAAGACUCAUUCAGAACACAUCAUGGACACUAUAAGUUCAAGGCAAUGCCAUUCGGAUUAACUAAUGGCCCAGCCACUCUCUAAGCCAUAAUGAAUAUGAUAUUGCAACUUACCUAGGAAAGUUUGUCCUAAUGUUCUUCAAUGACAUAUUGAUAUAUAGCAAGAUCCUAGAAGAUCAUGUGACAUAUUUGGCUAUAGUAUCGAGGGAGCUCAGAAAGAACAAAUUGCUUGUAUAGAGAAGCAAAAGUACUUUUGGAAAAAGGAAAGUUGAGUAUUCGGGACAUAUUAUAUCAGAAGAGGGUGUGGCAACUGAUCCUACUAAGAUUGAGGCUAUAACUACAUGGUCAAUACCUAAGUUAGAUAAGAGAUUAAGAGGGUUCCUUGGGUUAACUGGAUGCUAUAGGAAGUUAGUAAGAAAUAAUGGAACUAUUAAUAGACUUUUAACUGAGCUAUUAAAAAAGGAUUAGUUCCAUGGUCUAGUGAAGCACAACAAGCCUUUGAAGCUCUAAAGUUGGCCAUGACUAAAGCCCCAGUCUUAACCAUGCCAGAUUUCAACAAGUCAUUUGUGUUGGAUGUGAAUACUAGUGGGAGUAGAAUAGGGGCUAUGCUGUUAUAGGAAGGAAGUAUAUUGUUUACCUAAGUAACACAAUUAAGGGAAAGAAUAUAGGAUUAUCUACCUUUGAAAAAGAGUUUCUGGCUAUCUUAAUGACAAUACAAAAGUGGAGACACUACUUAAUUUUCAAAAGUUUCAUUAUUAAAAUUGACCAUGAAAGCCUAAGUAUUUAAUGAAAAAGAAUAUAACUACAUUAACAAUAUCCUAGCUAGAGGAAGGGAAAAGAGAAUGUUGCAGCAGAUGCUUUGUUGAGGAGAGAUGCAGAAAGGGGUAUGAUUCUAGUGAUGUCAGCAGCAGCACCAGCAUAGGAUUUGAAAUUAGUAGAGAGCUAUAAAGGGGACAAGUACUAUGAAAAGCUUGUAGAGGAGGUUACUUUACAACCCAAGGCCCAUGAGCACCACACAUUUAAUCACGGAGUUCUACAACAUAAAGGAAAGUUAUGCAUAGGAAAAACUAGUAACUUAAGGAGUGAGCUUGUGAAAUGUUCUAUGAUUCAACCUUGAGAGGACACUCAGGAAUAAACCACACCUACCAAAGAAUCAACAGUACUUCUAUUGGGCUACCAUGAAGAAAGAUGUGGAGGAGGUGAAAUUGUGAAACUUGUACUCGGAAUAAAUGACAACCAAGCAUAUGCAAGACUACUCCAACCACUAUCUAUUCCUAGACAAGUAUGGUAAAAUAUUAGUAUGGACUUCAUCAAAUCUCUGCCAAAAAUCUGAAGGUAGAGAUACCAUUUUGGUAGCAGUGGAUAGAUAGGUUGGCUAAAUAUGCCAAUUUUAUACCUUUGAAACAUCUUUUUUCAGCUAUGGAUAUAGAAAGAGUAUUCAUGGAAACUGUGUACAAAUCACAUGGGUGCCCGAGUAUAGUGUCAGAUAGGGACAAGAUGUUCACUAGCCAAGUUUGGUAGGAACUAUUCAGGCUUAUGGGGACACAGUUGAGCAUGAGCAUUGCAUAUCACCAAGAAACAUAUGGUCAAAUCGAAAGGGUUAACAAAUGUCUUGAAACUUACUUGCGACAUAUGUGUUUCCAAUAUCAGAGUAAAUGAUAUAAGUAUCUCUCACAUGCAAAGUGGUGGUACAAUACCAAUUACCAUUCCUGAUUGCAAAUGACCACUUAUAAGGCUAUAUAUGGCAACGCACCUCUGAACCGCUUGGUGCCUACUGUAGGAACAACUACCUCACAAGCAAUUAGGAAGUGGCUAUAGGAAAGAGAGAGAAUUGCUAAAGAGCUAAGAGGUAGGUUACAAAUGGCACAGAAUCAAAUGAAACAGCAGACCAAUAAGCACAGAAGGAAGAGGGAAUAUACUGUUAGAAGUUGGAUAUCUGAAACUUCAACCCCACAGGCAAGUAUCUAUUGCAACAAGGAAGAGUCCUAAGUUGGCCACAAGAUACUACGGACCAUUUGAAAUCGCAGAACGAAUAGGAAAAGUAGCAUAUAGACUAUACUUACAAAAAGGAUCACAGAUACAUCUUGUAUUCCACGUAUCCCAGCUCAAGCAGAAUCUUUCCUCAUGGGAUAAGGUUAGACCUACCAUGCCCUCGACGGAAGAAGAGGAUCAGCUUCUAGCAGAACUAGAGAGAGUACUCGAAAGAUGCAUGGUUAACCGUGGGAAUCGUGCACCAACCGAAGUUGAGAUCAAGUGGGCCAACUUUCUAGAGGAAUCUAGUACUUGGAAAGAUUACUAGGCCUUUAAGCAGCAGUUUCCAGAUUUUGAUUCUUGAGAAUAGAAAUCAACUCAAGCGGGGAGGAGUUGUAACACAUGUUAAUAAAAUAAAAAAAAAAGAGGGGGGUAGGGGGUGGAGUAGUAUGUUAAGAGUAAAGUGAUGAAAGAAAAAAAAAUGAUAAUAGAUAAAGGAAAAGAAAGAGAAGGGAUUAGUCUGUGAAGAGUAGCCAGUCUUGUUGUUGUCAAACUUUAAUAGCAUCUCAAGCAUCGCCUCAAGGAGCGGGAAGGUGAUUGAUCAACCUUUGGACAACCACAAUAGAGGAAAGAGAGGGGACCGAAGAGAUUAAGGCGGUGACGUCAAAGGAAACUAUCACGCCCCAAAUCCGAGGCAUAACAAACGCCACGCACCUGUUAAAAUAGAUAAAAAGAUAAUUACAAAAAUUCACCAAAUUAUGCGGUAUGAAGAAGAACAAAACAUAAAUGAAUAAAUCUCGAUAAUUCAGGUAACCCAUUAACUAAUAUAUACCUAACUAUACAAAGACAAAAAUAACAAAAAGUAAUUCGAACGACAAACUACGGCUAGCGUUCACUCGAUCCUACCCCCACCCAACAAAACAAUCACGAAAUCUGGGUAAGCUUAGUCGAAUUAAGCAUACAUUUUUAUAUAUAUAAAAAAUGCUCUAAAGUAAACUUUCAUUCAAAAGUUAAUUUGAGUGACUAGGUUUUAAUUUGCGAAGUUUCAGAAAGCAAGAUUUUUAGAAAUGUUAAGAUCAAAUAGGAACUAUAAAUUUACAUAGUAUUUCGUUUCUCAGCAAUUAAACGAAAUAAAUAUUAAGUCUCCAAUAACUAACUAUGUUGUGUGAUCUGUUGGCGAGAUCCAGAGAUACCCGAAGGCACAAACAAAAGGCACUCGAAGGUGCAUAUAUAAAAUAGAGGCGCUCGAAAGCGCAAAUACAAAAUAGAGGCACGGAUAGCUGCAGGCACCUGAAGGUGCAAUGUAGAGAUGAAGCUAGCUUAUAUACAGAAUACAUGUCGACAUAGCCAACAUAGCAUAGUAGAAUACCAAGAUACAUUAUAAUUUAAAAUAAUUAUUCAGUCAGUAAUUUAUAGAAUAGAUUAUCAAAUUUUAAAAUUCUUUCGCUAAAUAAACCUGUCAACCACAGUUGAAACUGAGUUUUCAGAAAUAUUUGAUAAUACACUUAGCCCUUAAUUUUAAAAUCUACAAAAUAAAAAUUUUCACACCAUCAAAAUAUUUUUCUAAAUUAUUUUACAAAAAACUAAUAGGUAUCCGAUCGCUUACCUACCAAAUAAUUGAAGUAUUGAUCGGUCAAAUACAAAAAAUCAAAUUAUUGACGGAACCCUUCAAAGAUGGUGAAGAAAAAGAUAGCGAUCAAGGUGCCGUUGAUGGUGAACGAAAAGAACGUCGAUAGUGAUCAUGAAGCACGACGGUAGCAACAAUGUUAGAGGACAAGCAAAGAUCGAGAGUCCGGGCGCGCAAGCAAGCGUGAGAGGUGUGACCCACAAUAAGAGAGCGAGAGAUUAAAAAAAGAGGAUGAAGCAGAUCAAAAGAGAGAAAAAUUAAAAAGCGGCUGGAGUCUCCACGUAGGAGAGAGACUGAGAGAGAGAGAGAGAUACGGCCAAAAAUUAAUUAGGGUUAAUAUGCACAAAAUGCAACCGAGCCCCUCUACUAAUUCAAAUUAUCAAAAGUCUACAUUUCAAAAUAAAGGGGUCUACAUAAAUAAUUAUUACGUCUGAGAUAUUACACAUUACGGAAACAAAGUGAAAAAAAAAGCCAAUACACGACUCUGGAGAAGAGAUGGCGAGGAAAACGAGGAGAAACAAUCGGGAAGAUAAGACAGUUCCAUAACCUUCGGGAGGCUUAAUAGGAGUGGACGGGAAAAGUUCCAACUGCAGGCGCAAAAUGCGAAACCGUGAAGAUCCGACCCCAUUACGCACAACACACAAGAAGUUAAGUGGUCUAUCAUAGCCCCACAACUGAAUUUCAUAAUUUCACUUUAAUCUUAUUCUGUACGUAAUUGCAUUUUAGUCCAAAAUAAUAGUCUAUAAAUACAGCUGCAACUGAUUCAACACCAAUAAAAUUUACAAAUCAUUCCCAAACCUUUCCCAUCUUUCUCCUCACUCCUCAACUCUCUCUCUCUCUCUCUCUCUCUCUCUCUCUCUCUCUCUGAGUGUUUCCUUUCUCUACGUUCACAAAACAGGCUUGUAGGUCAAAGCAUAACACCCUUGGCUUAAAAUCCGGGAGAUACUUUUCAUAACAAUAACAUGCACUACAGACAAUCAUCAUACAAGUUGAUCCAACAACCAAAACCAAACUAUUUGUACAGGGCACCAUGAAACUUUAAAACAUAUAUUUCUUCAAUGAGAAAGUAAAUCACUUGGUAUAUCUCUGAUAAAGCUCUGUUCCGCGCAAUUUUUGGUUCCCUUAAGUCAUUUCAACCUCCAAAUAAUAAUACAACAGAACCAAUGCAAAGCUGAACUAAAAGAAAUAACAAAUACAGAGCCAGAAAUUAAUAGGUAUGCAGGAAGACUUGCUAAAAACUGAAAAACUACUAAAAAAAUGUAAAAAAAAAAAAAAAUUUAUGAGACAUGAUACACAAUAAAUCCAACAGGCUUUCGUAAGGCAAUGUACACAAACGACGAGGAUAGCUGCUGUUCAAGCUUUCUUAUCCGAGCGGUUUAGGUUUAGAUUGAACCAUUUCUUUUUAUUGGAUUUGUCUUUGCCGUCGACACUGCCGUCCUCCCCCAGACUAUCAUAUCUGGACUCUUCAGUAGUGAACUUGCCGCUGGCGCUUGAACUCCCAGUGGAAUUGACGAUAGUUCGAACUGUCGUGAAUGAUGAUUGUAUACUAUCUCUUUGCUUCAGCAGCUCAUCUACCUAUAAACAAUUUGUGGGCACAUUACAACACUUAACAAUUUUUGCACAAAUGUCAGCAUUUCAAUGAGAGGCAGUCUCGUGAGAGCUUUAGAUUAGGAUCACCUAUUAGAACUUUGAUCCGCAAAUCAACUAACAAAGCUGCAGUACAUGUUUUAGCUAAGUGGAACAAGAUAAGCAUAUUUCGGAAAGUAAAUAUUUCAAAACAAAGCGCCACUGUUUUCUUCAAAUGGUUGAAUGAAGCAUGUGAAGAUUCGACGAAAGGAACUAAAAGAAGGAAAUAACGGAAAGGGGUGCUUUAGGUACAAAAGAAGAGGAAGGUGCCACCUGAAGUCAAAUACAAAGUGGAGAGACAAUUGCAACAACUAGAUAAAAGAACGGAGCAGGAAUAUGACAACUACAGAGCAGCAUUAAGAGGGAUUUUUUGAGGGUUCGAUGCUAAGAUAAAAGAAACUAGCAGAAUAGCAUCAUAGCACUCUAAAACUGUAAAUCAGUUGCCAAAGCAUAAGUAACUGCAGAACAUGUGGAUGCUGCACAAUAUAAAUCAUAGACAUGAAGCUAUCGACAAAAGAAUAUCAAUUCUAAUCAAAAGGUGAACUAAAUGGGCCCAUUUGGCACCCAGAUUAUUUUGGAUAAGAUACGAUGAGAGAGGAUUUUGGACAGGCCGGAUUAGUGACUCAAAGGCAUCAAGAAACGUGAGAGACUGGGAUAAAAGAAACCAGCCAGACCAAAAUCAAAUAAUCCCAUCAGGAUGGAAUUAUCAAACCCCACUAGAGAGUUUUGAAUCGAAAGGGACCAGAUAAGGAAAUUGCAUUGAAUCUCGCCUCGCUAAAUUCUCCUCUCCCUAUUUCACUCUCUCAUCUUACCAAAUCCAAUCCAAUCUUUGAUGCCAAAUGGAAGAAAGGGUAGCAAAGAAGCAAACAAAGCAUGUCGACAAACGGACAAAGUAUUUGCAACAUGAAACAGAGCAGGUAAUGCAUACCCACAUACCAAUAUGCAAUAUACCCUUCUUAUGAUCAGGAGUAAAAUCAAUAAAGAGAAAAAUUAUAAUUGCAGCAUGCUUGGUUCAUAUAACUAUGUAUGAAAUACUAAUAAGAACUAGUUUCGAAAACUAAUUCUUCAAAUGCUAAGAUUUGUAUACAUACAGCUUGCUUUUCCUGGCCAUAUCUGUUGGUCACCUCCUGAAAGCGUGCCAAAGCCUGCAAAAGAUCAUUUCCAUGUUAGCAAGAAGAAUCUUCCCAUGCUACAUUUGGAAAACUGAAACAACAACACCUACUUUUCUGUACUCAGUCUCAAACUGCCGCAAAUCAUUUCUCUUUGCUAAAAUCUUAGCAUCUAUUUCUUUGAGCCUCUCAGUUGUGUCUUCAUAUGAUUUGGCACAGAUAGCCUCAAUGGUAUAGGUGGCCGGCUUAAAGAAAUUAUCACCUAUACAACAAAAUGAAAAGGUCCACAAUAAAUACAACACACCUGCAAAUACAUAGAAAUAUAAGAAAAGUAAAGAAAACAAGGGGAGAAGUGCACACCAUAAACAGCAAAAAUAUGAGUGCCAGGUUUUAAUUCAGAAACUUCACAUGGUUGGAGGCCUUCUAAUCUUUUAAAGAAAGAAGCUUCAGGAUCUUUAGCCAUUGCUAACUGCAAAUAACAUGCAUUAUCAAUUGAUAUAACUCCAUUUCUUUCGUAUCUUGAAGAUGAGAAGACAUACACAAUGAAUGAUUUGAAGUGGGUCAAAUGGGACAUACCGCGCUAACUGUUGAAUCCAUCCGGUAUACUUGAAAAUGUAGAAAAUACAUGCCUGCAGAUGUUACCUUGCCGGUCUUUUCACUAUCUUCCUGAAGAUGAACAAGAAUACUGAAGAUUAUAUAAAAUAGAUACCUCAUGCAUGUCAGAGCAGUGUGCUAGGUUAGGCCAAUAUCUAGGAGUUGAUCACUGUAUGAAAUGAAUAGAAAGAUAAGGCACCGCAUGCCUGUACAAGAUUACACAUUGUUUUGAUUGUAAUCCAGAAGAAAUGAUGCAAUAUGUACUUAAUUCAGUGCAAUCAUAUACACCAAACUGCAGAUAAAAGUGAAGUUAGCAUAGUGUAAUUAACUAGAAGCAUUGUACUAAAAUGUAAUGCAUAGACCUCUACAUCUGUCCACACAUGCAGAUGCAGCUGUUUCACCUCCAUGCAUAAACCACAUUCGGCACCAAUUAAUAAGCACACAGGAAGCUGCCUAGUAUAAUGCUUUUUAACCAUGUAGAAGUAGAUUUACCACAGCAUGCUUAUGCUCGCUAAUCAUAAAUCUUCUCAUUUCUUUUUUCAUAUUAAAGUUUCAUAUUUCAUACUAAGAAAACUUUCUGUAUAAAGUGUUGCAUGAAAUUUGACAUGAUUUUUAUAGUGUCAGAAUGUCCUAAAACAUAAAUCAUAGCAUUUUAUUCAUGAUUCUUUAGUAUUUUGUCCUUAUUAUAUUUAGUUCAUUUUUCCUUUAGUUUACAUGGACUGAAUUACAUCAUUCAUUUUUUGUCAAACAAACAACAGAACUGUGAGAAUUUUAGUCCCACGGCAAUGGAAACUAAUGUUGAAAGUAAAGCAAUCUUUAUCUGAACUCUAAUUCAUCCGAAAGUCUACUUUAUUUUCAACCCGAAGUUCACCAUCGGUAAAACAAACAGGCUAUAGAGUGAAGAAAGAUCAAGAUAGAGAGAGUAGGGAUAUAAUUAGCUCAUGUUCGGCUUGUUUAUUAACGAGCCCGCCUUCAGCAUACGUAGUAUGUUGAACCUUAACCGCCACAAACUGCUUUCCACUAUUUAAAACAAUGCUAGGAAGAUAUUACUGUUAAUUACGCCGUUUUAGUGAAUCACAAUUUCAAGCCAAUCCAGAAUUAUGUUGCAAAAAUACACAGGAAGUAUAUAAUUAAACACUUUAAUGAUUAAAAGAAAAAAUAAAUUGCAAUGAAUAACUAGCAGCAUAAACAAAAAAAAUAAGCAAGUAAGCAACAACAAAACUAGGCAAACCUUACUUUCAAUGGCGAAAACUGAUGAUUGAAAAGCUUAUCCCAAACAGACUAUUGAAGGAGCUAAAAUCUUCUUAUGGCAGUCAGUUUAGUAACUAAAUGCUUACAUGCUGACAUUACAAAAGUUUACUAGAAAAUGACUUUCAGACUCGAUUUACUAAAAAAAUCAAAGCUUGCUUUAUGUCCCAGAAAAGGACAAAUACAAGAACAAUGAAUAAUUGUUCGGUAGAAAGUUUCAAAUGGAGUAAUGAUUGUUGGUGAAACAACUGUCUAUGAUGUAUAAUCAAAGUAUAUUAACAACUAUUUCUGCACGGUAUGCAUAAGCAGAUUGCAAUGAUGAUAAGUAAAAAAACCAGGAAAAAUUCAAAAGUAUCUCCAAGCUCAGCUGUCAAAUAUAUGUUAGAUGCUCAGCCAGUCGCCUUCAAGUACUUAAGCUACCCAAAUAUCAGCAUGAAAAAAAAAAAUCAAGCAGAUGAUUGUACAACCUCGCACACUGAUGCUAUAAUAGGAGAGGCUUAAAGAAAACAAUGUUGCCAUUCACAUCAGAGGAAAAAGGUUUGUGGAAAUACGCAAGGGUCCCCCUCUAGUCUAGCGGAACUAUUAAAGAGUAGGUAUGCAAGUACUGUAAUAGGUGUUGAUAUAAUUAUUUAAGUUAUAAUUGUAAAAGGAUAUGUCUUACUUCUACCAAAAAUACUACUCUUAUUCCUAAUUAUAGGUCGAAAAAUUUCUCUCCAUGGCCCAAAGCCAGAUGAACAGAACUUUGCCAAAGUAGUUAGUAGGUCGAAUACCUAAAUACAGACAUUUCUAUAUACCACAUUAUGACUUCUCCAUUUUGAUUUCCUCAAUAGUAACAUUAUCAGAGAGGGACACAAAAUAUUUCCUUAAAGGAGAACUGAAAUUGUUGUCGUGCGGUGGGGCACUAGGGAAAAAAAAAGGUGCAUCAAUUAAUGCUGCAACAACCUCACCACAGUCUUUUGCAAUGGCCCAUUUGGUAUUGAGGGCUGCUUAAUGCUAGGGGAGGAAAGGAGUUGGGACAAAAUCAUAUAGAGAUACUCUUCUUCGUUUUCUAGUGGGGCCAUAGAAAUUAUAUCUUAGCCAACUUCUUGCGAUAUGAGAAACAUGAUAUCACUCAUGGAAACAAAUGGAAAAUUUUCUAUCGUACUUUCUCAAAGCAAGUAAAGCAAUUUGCCCACAAUCCAAAAUGGAACUAAGAUAAAGUAGAAGAAUUCAAAAAUAGAGAAAACUAUUAAUCACCUGUAAAGCCAAUCCAUAGCCUCCGUUUGGUUCUGUUUCAAAGUACAGAAGCUGUCACAGUAACACAGAAGAGAUCAGCUAAUAUUAACAUAAUGGAAAGAGCAAAGAAAGAACAGAAGGUUGAUUUUAGCAUUCAACUUGGCAGCACUCAUACAAACGCAAGUUUCUGUACCUUAAAUUUACUUUGCGCGGCCGAGGUAACUCUAACAACUAUUCCUGCCUGGGCUUGUUGUUCAUUGAUUGUCACACCAAAAAAAUGAGCGCACUGCUUAUCGACCUAAAAAAAGAAUUGACGCUGGUCAGCAUAUUUUUCUUCCUUUUUUUUCUUUUUUCAUUUCAUUAGCUAGUUCGUAAAUAGAUGACAAACAUGGAAUACUCUUGAGGAAAGCUCACUGCAUAACCACCUUUCCAACGACUGAUGAUCCAAGAGGAAGCGGCCUAACUGUAACAGUUCCAUUAAUAGCUUCUUCAAGAACAGUAGCGGAUACGGUCGUCUUUAUAGGAACUCCCAGCUUGCUAAAGAUUUUAAAUAGUCGGCCAGAAAAAUUUCAAAUUGCUGUUAUAGAAACCAAGGAAUUAAACUAAAACUCUCUAGCCACCUGAAAAGUGCUGCAAACAUUGUAUUUACAGUUCCAAGGUUGGAUAGAUCAAUCUCCAUAUCCAUUCCUUCUCGUUCUAAAGCCUGAAUAAAAUAUUACGGAAGAAAAACAGUAAGAAAAUGCAUUGAUCAUAGAGGUUACUAAGCACCAAGUCACCAAGUGAAGGACAACUUAUUUUUGAAACUAGAAGUGUGCAAAUUAAAAAUAAAUGCAAAUAAUGGUCCAGAAAGAACCAAAGUACUUCAUUCUUACAACAAAUAACCCACAUUAGGCACUUCAGAUUUAACAAUAAAAGUAUGUGCAGCUUUUAAGACCAUACCAAUCAUUACCUUUCAAUAGUGACCACUGAAUCAUAAUAUCAUCGCUAUUAAGCAACUAAUUAUAUCGGGAAAGCAAAAAUAACAGUGGCGUAAGAGACAAUAGAACUGAUAUACCAAUUUAAACAUAUUCCUUCUUGAGUUAAAUCUAGAAACCUUUUGCUUCAGUGCAUUUUAUCCCCAUAAGAACAAGUGCAUAACCUAUAAUACCGGCAAUGGAAAUUAAAAGUUAAGCGAAAUCACUCUAUCAAUAAAGGAAACAAGAUUUUUUCUGUCAUAAAAAGUAUAGCGGACUAGUACAUAGUUUUUCCAAAAAAACUUUAUAAAAUAAAAAAAUAAAAAUAAAAAAGAUAGGUGACUGCACUUUAUAACAAUUUUAUCUAGGAUAAUGGGAAGAAAGCAAGCUCAGGGCCCAUUUUCGUUGCUGACACAGAUAUCUAUUUGUCUACGCUAGCCAAUGGAUCAUGCUCUAGAAAUUCAUCACCGAUCCUCUACCAUAUCUUCAAAGACUUUUUAUCUUUUGUUUCACAUAUACAUCAUUCUAGUCUUCUAGAUAAAUGAUAUAGAAGUCCAAUAUGAUGAGUAUUAUAUUAGUCAUAGUAGGCCACUAAGGUUAUUAUUAUCUUUCUCUUAGUCGUAUUAGAACUUUAGGUUUUGGGGAUAAAUAUGUGCCCUAUUUCAUUGCAAUGGUGCUUUUGGAUUAAUUUAGAGUUGAUGGCCAUUAUCAAUAGUAAUAUAAGAGUAGAAAAUUCAUCAGAGGCAUUGCGAUCCCUCAAAGAAUCAUGAUGUGUGUACAAAUGCAAAUUAUCCAAUAUCCAUUAGUUGAAUAGGCUGGAACUGCUAGUUUCCUGGAGAGCGAUUUGGAAUUAGUGCAGUCUACACAAAUACGGUGCCAUUGUUGAAAACUACAUAACACUUUAAGCUCAACUCGGCUCAUCCAUCAAUAGGUGUGGUCAGCUAAAUGAUUCCUCAAAAGAGUUCCUCGUAAAAAUCCUCUUUGUUUGCUCAGACAUCAUAUGUUAUAGCUAAAAAAGUUCCAGCUGAAUAAUUGUCCUCAAACAAAAUUUAUGAUACAAGCAAUAUCAUGAUUUCAGGAUUAUUGAGUCAAACCACUCUAACUCCAAACAUCUUCCCUUUGAACUCCACACCUUAAUUGUAGUUUUUACUUCUAUUGCAAUAAUACUUAUCUAGUCAAGCUCAUAAGCCCUCUACCAUAGCUUUUCUUUAUACACCAGUUUGAAGUUAGCCAUCCUAAAUUUACCAACUUUUCACCCGAGAAAACAGAAAAUUAUUAUACAAGUAUUAAAUGAUGCAAGGCUUGCUAAUUACGUCAUCUACACCUGAGUUUUCUCUCCCGUUCUUAAAAUUAAGUAAUUAAUAAUCAUACCAUUAAAGAUGAUAAAAUUAAGUCUCCUUCAUACAAUUGAGUUACCAUUAAAAAAACAGAUGAGAUAUGACAAAACCUCUUUCAAAGCUUAAUUUUGAUUAGCUUGAUUUGAUUGACAGGAUAAGCAGAUUGAAGCAAAAACAAAGCAUUUAUAGAGAAAUCAAAUCAGCAUGGAAAAUAAAAUAGAUACUUGAAUAUGUUUUGUAUAUAUAAUUAGAAAAACAAUUACCUCAAAGCCAGCAGUAUCAUAUUGUCGCCUUUUCUCUGGAUCAGAUAGGAUGCUAUAUGAAUAUGCAACCUCUUUGAAAAGUUCCGAAGCUUCAGGAUUGCUCGCAUUCUUAUCAGGGUGAUACCUGUAUUACCCAUGACAGAAGUUACAAAAGCUGUACUUCGCAAUUAAUUAGGAGUUAGAACUUAAUAUGAGUAUAUAAUUUUAUGCGAAUGCCUCGGUAGAUGCAUGGUGACUGAUCAAGAGGGAUAGCCAACACACGUGUUCAGCAUAAAUUAAAACACUUGCGGACCAAGUUCAAUUGAAUUACGGCCAUAAUCCUACUGCUAAAAAGGCCAUGUCAGGGUGAUCACUUGGUACAAGGAAAAAUGUCCCAUAACAAGUUAAGAGCAACAAUAGAAAUGGCUUCAAUCCUAGUUAAUUAGAUUUGAGAAUAAGUAUGAGUUUAAAUUUCUUCAACAUAGGCACUGAAACAUUGUACAGUACGGCAAACUAUGGUGGUGGCCGUCACUAGAAAAUCAUACCUUCUUUUUUGCUUACAGGCAUGACAAAUUACUCACUCCUUGAGAACAUUUAUGCUGUUUACCAUACAUAUGCAGACGUAAAAUAUUUAAUUAUCAUGCAUACAUUUGCGUGAAUGCAUAGAUUAAAUCGAACAGGAAUUGUUUUCUGAAGCACCAAAUGCUGGUGCUUCCAUUUUUAUUCAUGCACCAAAAGCACAUCGAGAUCUAAAUGUGCCCACUCUCACAUGAUGCACAUCAAAAUUCCCACACUGUUUUCAUGCAUGAAUCACAAUAUGCAUCAAACAUCGAUCUCACAUAAGAAAAAUCAGUGCCAAAUGUUUUCUGCAUGAGAUACAUCCAUAGUUAAUUCGUGAAUUAUUCACGAAUUAUUCGCGAAUUUUUUAAAAUCCGAAUUAAACGGCCGUUUUCAAAUUUUUCCCAAAAAUUCGGAAAAAAAGGGGAUUUUUUUACUAAAAAUACGUGUUUGCGUAUUAUACGGCGAGCCGAAUUAUUCGGCCAAAAAAAAGGGAUCGCGCCCGCACCGCCCGCGCCUGCCCGCGCUCCCGCACGCUCCCGCAUGCGCUUGCCGGCCGGCUGGCCCAAAACAGUAAAAUACAAAAAAAAAAUCUUUUCGAAUUUUUACUUAAUUAGCUUAAUUUUGUAGCUAUUUAUUCUUAUAUGUUUAAAAGAUAUGAAUAUUUAUGCUAAUAGAAUAAAUUUUGAGAGAAAAAAAAUUUAAUUUAAUAGCCGAAUUUUUUAUCCCGAAUUUUUAAUUGGUAAACGCAUGGUUGAAGGUGCCGCCCCGUGCCGUACGGCACGGGGCGUAGCCGUUAACUUGGACCCCGGCGGCCCUGGGUGGCCUUAGGGCGGCACAGGCGAGCGCCGUGCCGCUCGAAGAUCAAAAGCGGGCCAGCGCAUGUGCCGCAGCUGUGCCCGCGUGCCGAGCCUUCUUUUUUUUUUUUUUUUUAAUCUAUUUUAUUGGAAAACACUUUUUUUUUUUUGUUUGUAUUUUUUUUUUUGUUCUCUGGGAUACCACCGAGGGUCCGAACUACCCCUAGGCCAUUAGUAUGGCCUUUUGUUCACUUUAUCUUUUAUUUCUUUGAGCAUUGUGUGUCUUUUUGUCCAUACAUUAUUCUUUUUUCUUCUAUUUUGGCUGCAUAGCCGUUUUUUUUUUCAUUUUGAAGCCUUUCUGGCCUUUUUCUUUAUUAUAUAUUCACUUUGUUUCUUUUCGUUAAUAACAAUUAUAAUUAUUCAUUAUUUAACAAUGAAUAUUUAAAGCAAAUUUUUAAGAUUGAUAAAUUCGAAGAAUAUAUCUACUUGCGGGCGAGCCCCCGCACACCCCCCUGGAUGUUAGUCGGUGCCGGCCUACGGAAGCCAGGCACUAGUUGGCGCGCGAGCCCUCCGCUUCGACCCACAGGGCAUGCGCCCCGCUGUCCAUAUUUUUCUGAGAGUCGCAAAUUAUGUUUUUGGUCAAAAUUUGUCCCGCGCGAAAGUUUUCAGAGAUGAAUCAGCGGGAACACAAAAAUUGAUCUCCUAAACAAAUUUUGAUGUAAUAUUUUUAAAAGAAUAAAAAAAAUAUGAUGUAAUUGACAGUACUUUCCGGUUGCUUCUAGGUUAUUAUAUUACUUCCUAAUCGAAUCAAUAUAAUAGAUCUUUGAAACACGAUGUUUUUAGAAAAAAGAUAAAAGUUUUGCUAAUCAUUUUAUCUGUUAUACACAUUUUUUAAAAUUACAAAAAACGUAAAACAAAAGAAUUUCAAUUGUUACACAAUCAGCAGAUCAGCGCAAGAAUUAUAUGCAAAUCUGAUAUUUAAAAAAAAAAUUAAAAACACAAAAGACAAGAGUUUUAUUAAGUUAUAACUUCUACUAAGACAAGUCAUUAUAAAUGUUGUACUUUAUAAAGUAGCAAAAAAUCACACACAAAUGAGCCAUUACAUCAUGUUAAUCCAUUACCCUGAUACGAGUAUGAUAGUAAGUCAUACAUCAGACAAAAUUCAGAUAAUCCAACUUGCGUAAAUUUUCAAUACAUAUAACCCACUUAAAACCAGCCCUUACUGGUAAAACCAACCCUACAAAAAUUAAAAUUAGCAUUUUAGUAAGAUUCAGCCAAUAAGCGUCAGCCAGGUCCCACCAGGAGUCAUUCGUUCGCAUAUCUAGUACGGAUACGCUAGAGUACCACACGGUCGCCGCCCGCGUGCCGUCCAGCCCGUACGUCGCCGGACAUGGUUAGCGGCACAAACCACAAUACCACACCACCCCGCUGAGUGACUACAUUGGGAGUAGUACAAGCAAUUACCCAUGACCAAGAUACAGUACGCCGCCUGGCGGAUCCGGGACUCUCCUGCAGCCCUUGCAGAGCCUGCACCGUAGAUCGCACGCCCUUUAGCCUUGGGUAAACGUAUAAUAUCCGUAUAAAUCACGUAUCCAAAUAAUUGAUGAAUCCGUUUUUUAGCCCUUUUUUUCAACGAAUUUAAAAAUUAGAAGACGAAUUUUAUCCGAAUUAUACCUGUACCGAAUUUUUGCCGAAUCUGAAUUAACUAACUAUGGAUACAUCACAAUGAUUGCACUCUUUGUAUAAUAAGUCUAUAAAUUGGCAUGGUCAUAUUUUGGAGUCAGAUUCUGCGAACAACAUUUCUGAUACUAUUUUUAGCGGAUCCCAUACACAAAGAUUGAAAAUAAGUGUAGGUUAAAUAAUUCAUUGAAGUCACAAUAUUUUUUUUGAUAUAUAUUUUUAAGGUUAAUGGUAGAGACUAAUCCCAGUUUACUCUCCAAAAAAGAGAAGGAAAAAAAAAGCAUAAUUGUAGAGGUCAUGAUUUGACAACACUGAAACUGUUCUUCAUAAUCAAAUAAACCAAAAGAGGAUCUUCACUCUCAUAAUCUAUGAUUGUAAGCUAUAUACAUGUAAAGGAAAUCAAAUCCAUUAGUAAUGAAUGUUAAUAUACUAAAAAAAAAUCAAUUGUUUUGCAAUCUUGGAGGCAAUUGAACUCUUUAAGCAAAGCAUCCACAGUAUGCUCCAUCUGCCAUCCGGUAAAUGUCUGCAUAUUGUGAUUUCUUUAUUGUUCCAACAUCAAAUACUUUAGAUACGUACACUCAAGCACACAUCCCUGAUUUGUCCAUGCAACCUUAAUGGCAAACUAAUUUAUCAACAACAAACAUAGCUGGCAUAAAAGGCCAGAUUUUCAUCUAACAGCACAAGGAGAAACUCAUGAACACCAUUUUAGACCAUACCCAACACCAAGAGUAAAACUCAACUAAAUUACAAGGAGAUGGAUGAGAUUUAAAAUGCUGAGCUAUGGUACAAGUCAUGCAUGUUAUAAUAGUCGUAUAACUAAAACAAGAAAAAAGAGAGAAAGAUGAAGAAGAAAUGAAUCCAGUACUUGCUGGGAUCAUUUGAUUGUUCAUAAAGCAUGCAAUGCAUCUUUGCACUGAUACUGAAAGUACAAGAUUAAAAUCAAGCAUAUCUAAUAGAAAAAAACUUCUACUAUCUGAAGGCACGGCCACAGGAAACAACAAAAUUUUGUGAGUCUAAAUAAUAGCUAACUCUUAAAAAAUGCAAGGCUGUCUGGCGUAAACUCAAGCUCCUAGAACCAAGAUGUUGCAUUAUAAAACACUUAUAGAAACUAAAACGAAAGCAUAUAAGAAAAGGGAUACAAACAAAAAGAGGAUGCGACUAUAAUAGAUAUGCGAUGAAAGAGUCCGAUGAACUGUUAAAGUGGGUUGCAAAUUAGCAAUCCAUCCAGAUUCUUAAUUCAGCUUUUGUCAGAUAUCAAUUUAUUCAUCGUCAUGUGGCUUUAAUCUGGAUCUUGUAUUUGAAUAAAUAACAGUUGUCCUUAUAAGUAUAUUAUUAUGUCAGCAUUCUAUCUGAAUAGAAGACACAAGUGAUAAAUAAGAGAAUACUAAAGAUUCGAGCUAUAGAAUUUCUCAAUUCCAACACAACUACACAAGGUACUCGUUAAAUCGAAUAGAAUGAUUUUGUCUUUUUUUUUUAAAUCCCAAAUUUAAACUAUAAAGAAAAAAAACUAACGAGUCGCACACCAAGCAUAGCAAUUAUAACAAAUGAUCAAUCGAAUUUUUAUUCAUCCUCUACAUAAUAAGAUUUGUUCUUUUUGGAAUGGAAAAAGAAUGAAAGAGUUUGCCAUUUUUUGUUCUAUCAUUGGACAAAAUCGGAAGACAAGGUCAAUUAUUCCUCGUCUACAAACAACCAUCACAUGAUGGCCCGAACAGUUUAGCUACGCAAUUCACACCCUUAAAGGCUCAAACUUUCAGGAACAAGUUCUAGAUCGUCUUUACCUCAAGAACAAGAAUGAAAGGAGUCUCAAGAUCUCUAGCAGUAGAAGCUAAAAGUUGAAUCUUUUCUUUUCCUCCUUCUAGCUUUAGCGAAAGGUUUUCAAGUAUUUCUAAAGACAAAGUUGUUUGGGUUCUUGACCAACUCUAGUAAUUUUUACAGCAAUUUCUCAGAGUACUGAUAUCACAGAAUAUAACAAAAAUUAGUUCUAAUGUGGAUAAACAGAGUGAAUAGAAAAAUUUUGAGAAGCUAGCAACUUGUGCUACUAUGCUGGCCAUAGCACUAUCAAGGCUUUGUUUGCGAGUAAGCUUCUGCGAAUCACCUUGUGGCUCCCAUGCACAUUGCAAGACAGAGGUUGUUUGGCUGAAAAAAUAGGACCGCAAAAAUCUGCGGUGAUUUGAGCAGCUAUGGCUUGUCAUGGAAGAAUCUUCUUCCCAUCUACGGUAAAGAAAGAAUCUGGGUAGAUACAUUCACAAAAGUUGUAUUAUGCUCCAAUGCCACAGCCGGAAGACAAGGAAAUGUGCUCCUAAAAGGACCUCAAGUAACUAGAGUCACAAUUGGUGUCGUGGAUAACUAGAGUCACACUGAGGGCGUGUUUGGUUCGAAGUAGGAGUCGGAAUCGGAAUCGGAAUCAAAAUAAGCUGGAAUCGGAAUCGGAAUCAGAAUGACUCAUUAGCUAAUUCUGUUUGGUUCAUCGCCUGAAUCGGAAUCGGAAUAAAUUAUUCCCAUUGUUGGUGUUUGGUUCAGGUGGAUAUAAAAAACGUAAUCAAAUUAAUAUAGUAAUAUUAUCUUUAUAAUAUAUUAAUUUAAAUUCAAAUUAAAAAUUAAAUAUUAAAAAUUUGCAUCAAAAUUUUAAAAUAAUGUCAAAAUUUUAAAUCUAUUUUUUUAAAAAAAAUUAAACUUUGAAGUUGAGUGGAUAAUUCAAAAUAUGAAACUAAAUUUUGAUUUAUUCAAAUUCAAAAUUAAAAUUACAAUUUAAAUUUUAAUUUGAAUCCAUAAAUUUAAUUUAAGUUUGAAAUAAAAUUUGAAUAAAACUUUAUAUAAAUUAAAAUUUAAUUUAAAUUCAAAUUCAUAAGUUAGAUUCGAAAUAUUUGAUUAAAUUUUAAUUUUUAAUUUAAGUUCAAAUUAAAAUUUAAAAUUAUAUAUUUAAUUUUUAAAUUUUAACUCAUAUUUUAAUUAAAAAAAUUUAAAAAAUAAAUUUAAUCCGAAUAAAUAUACAUUCCGUCCGGAUUCAACUUCCAAUCCGGCCUCCUAGGCCGAAUUGAAAAAAGAGGUGAUUGGGGGAUUCCAUUCCACUCGGGAAUCGGAAUCGGAAUAGGACUCCUAAGUACCAAACACCCACAAACGGAUUCGCCCAUUCCGAUUCCGAUUCCAGGGUGAAAAAGAAGCGAACCAAACACGCCCUGAAAGUCAUGUCAUGUCAACCUUGUUCGAAAAUGGAGGAAGAGAAGUAACAAGAAUUGUAGCAUACACAUGACAUAAGUAAAUAGAAAAGGCUUCUAGCAUUUUAUUCUCAUACUAGAACCACUAGUAAUGUCAAAAUUUUCAAUUGAAGCAAAUUUUCCCAUCUUUUUUACCAUAUGCAUUCCUCUCCUAAUCACAAUUGAGAAUAAAAAGAACAGAACAUCUCAAAAGAGCUAAGCGGUUGUUGGUGAUUCAAUUCAGCGCACAUGCUAUCAUAUUUGGUCAAUCGAAAGUUCUAAAACAACUCUACAGAAAUCAAUGGCAAAAAUGGUAUAACAAUUUUUUUUUAGAAAGACUGAAGGGAUAGCUUUUUUUUUCAUUUCUUCCUUCAUGAGAUGAUAUUUCUUAACUAAUUCAUCAAACAAUUAGGAAAAGAGAAAUGCAACAACCUGUUUCUGCUCCAACAGUACUCCCAUUCUACUUUAAACUUUUUCUUGGUUCCAAUAUCCAAGAAAACAAAUAAGCACAUAGUAAGCACAUAACUUCUUGUAUACUUUCUUUACGCAAACCAUCAUUCGGUUGAAGAUCAUCUAAAAUAUAACUCUAGAAUUAUUAUAAGGCCAAAAAAAGGACCCAAAAACAAUGAUGAAAGAGCAAAUUAAAACAACAGAGAGCAUAACAUUUAGGCCCAAAUGCAUGAACAUCUUGUCCAGCAUAUUUCUUCACUUAAGAAGCAGCUUGUAGUGUUUGGUUUCUCGAUUGGCGUAACACGUUCAUCUUAUACGACUAAGAUUAAUGACCUUGUAGAUGAAAUAUGCUAACAAAAAUCAAACUACUAGAUCCCGUGUGGUAUCAUUUGCCAUUCCUUUGGUUUUCUUUAAACACCAAUUAUAUAUAACUUGAUACACUGAUGCAAUGACUCUCCUCUUGUAGGCGUGGCUAGUUAGCUUGUAAUAGACUCCGGCCAAGUGAUGAACAACAACUUAUUUUUUAAAUAAAAUCUUGCAAGCAAAAUAAAAAGUUGCUUUCAAGUUUUUGUUUUCCGUCGCCAAAUAAAUGCAUUGAAUGUACGCAAAUGCAAGCAAUCCACCUAGCUUUCCGUCACAAAAAGCUCAUCAGAGAACAAUUUAUUUGGACAUCCAAGAUUACGUGAACAUGAUCUAAAUCUAGCAAAUCAUCAUUAGACCCAAAAAUCCAGAAAAAAGAAGAAAGGAAAACAAUGUCGAAAUAGCAGAAGGCAUAUACAACAAUUACAGCCAGCCAGCAGCCAGCCAGCCAGCCAGCCAGGCAGCCAGACAGGUAAGAAGGCAAGAGAGAGAGGAAUGAGGAGGUGAGGGGAGUGCUGACUUGAGGGCGAGCUUCCGGUAGGCGGACUUGAUCUCCUGAUCGGAGGAGUCUCGCGAGACGCAGAGCACCUCGUACGGAUCCCGCCUCGCCGACGGCGCCGACGGACCCUCCUCCACCUUCCCCGACGACGCCAUCCCCUAUCACCGCCCUCCUUCCCAGAUCCAAAAUCCUCUCCCGCUCCCGCUCUCCCUCCCUCUCUCUCUCUCUCUCUCUCUCUCUCGCUCUCUUAUUCUCUCCCACAAUUCCACAACAAACCCUAAUUCCUCCUCCUCCUCCUCCUCCUCCUCCCCCAAUUCAAAAGCAAGAAACAAGGAGCAGAUCAAAACGAGUUUUUUCUAUUUAUUUUUAUUUAUUUUUCUUGGGGUUUUUUUUUUUUGGGUAUCCAAAUCUAAUAUCUCCAAAUUAAAGGGGGCUUCGGUGUUCUCGGAUUUGUAUUUUUUCUCUUUUUUUUUCUUUGUUUGGUUGUUUUAAAAAGGGCUAAUACCUGCACCGGAAUCAAGAAGAAGGGUUGAAUUGGGAACGGGAAUGCGCUCGCUACGGUUCGUUUGAGAGGCAGGUAAUCGACGGCGUAUGUUGCCCGGCCCAACAAAAACCGGAUCGAUCCGAUGGGCCGCCCAACCGACCAGUCAAACCGUUUUACAUCCUAGGUUGUUAGUUUGAAAACUUUUCAAGGGGAAUGCUACUUACACUACUAAUUUUUGAGUGUGAAUUUUAUUCGGCUUUUUUGAAAGAAAAAAAAUUCAUUGGUUUUAUGCUUUUGCAAAAGCGGGUCAUUAUUUUGGAUUUUAUAAGUCUGGUCCUUAUAUUCAGGAAUCUGACCAAAAUGCUUGUAUGCCUAAUAUGCGUAAAAAAAUGUUCCUACGUAUCGAGAGUGCUGUAUGGUCCAUUCGCGUACGCCGAGGAUAGAGAUUGACGGUUAGCGAGGAUAUGUCACCUUUUUGUCGGGACCUGCAUAGGUUGCUGUCGACAACGCCAUUCCCGAAUUUCUAUUAGCUCUCCUCGUUGUUUGCAGUGUAGAAAAAUUCGGAUAAAAGGUAGGCACGAUAAUUUUUAAAAAUAAACAUAGAAUGGGAACCACAAAUAUCAUUCUAAAUAGUGCAACAAAGGUUCAAAUAGUGCAACAUUUUGAUGAAGUAGUAUGAUAUCUCGCUUAAUUGUGUAGUUGCUCUCAACAAUGUUGCAAUACAACUCCAAGUAGAAUAUCAACCUUCUUCCUCCUCCUUCUUUCUUUAGUCUUUUUCUUCUUCUUCUUCUUCUAUGCUCCUUUUGCAAAAGCACAAAAUUGGGUCGUCUUUUUGGGGAUGACAAAUAGUGCAACACUAGUUUAAAAUAGUGCAACAAAUUUUUAAAUAGUAGGCUCAGAUCUGGAUAGUUGAUAUGCUGUACCCGUACCUUAAAAAGAAAUGGGUAGAAAAAACUAUAUAUAUCCUACCCAUUUGACUUCGAAUCAAGUCCAAUAAAAUACGUUUAAAAGAAAGAUUCAAACAGUAAACAACUAGGUAAACAAAUAAAGAGUAAAAUUAAAAAAUGAAGUAAAUAGAGCAAGUAGGGUUUUUACUAGGAUGGGGGACCUAUUCAUCGUGUUCGAUGAUUUGUAUGAGGGUAGGCUGUCCACCGCCCCACUUGACUACUCCUUGAUAUGUCUAAUCCCCAAGAAGGUAGGGCCGGGGAGAGCAAAUGACUUUCGACCUAUCAGUUUUAUUAAUGGUAUUCAAAAGAUCAUCUCGAAGGUACUAGCAAAUCGUAUUGCAGCCGUGAUGAACGAGCUAAUUUCGCCUUCCCAAUCAGCAUUCCUGAAAGGAAGGAACAUCACCGAUGCGUAUGUCACAGUCUCAGAACUAAUAGGUUGGGGCAGCAAGCAGUGCAUCGAGGGGGUCGGCAUUAAAGUGGACUUUGAGAAGGCUUACGAUAGGAUUCAUUGGCCUUUCAUGUUCAAUAUUCUUCAAUGGUGGGGAUUUGAUGCGAAAUGGUGUGGCUGGAUUAAACAAUGCGUAUGCAAUGCUAAAGUAGCUAUAUUGGUCAACGGAGAGGCGACCAAUUGGAUCAAAACCAAGAGAGGGGUGCGUCAAGGCGACCCAUUAUCACCAUUCCUGUUCUUGCUAGUUGCAGAAUGCCUCGCUGGAUUAACCAGUAAGGCCACUGCUAACAACCUCUUCAAGGGGUUGGCCCUUCCGACGAGAGUACAAUGACCCUUACGCAAUUUGCGAAUGAUACUUUCUUCUUCUCACUAGCUAGGAGAAGAUUUAUGAGAAACCUCAGGCUGAUGUGGCGUCUAUUUGAGGAGGCUUCCGAUAUGAAAAUCAACAGGGAGAAGUCGGAGUUAUAUUACCUCGGAUAGAAGGAGCGCAAAGCGGCAAGACUAGCGAGAUUGCUCAAUUGCAAGAUUGGCACUUUCCCAACUUCCUACCUAGGUUUCCCCCUUUCCCCAAAGCCGCCCACAAAGGAGACCUGGAAGGGGGUUAUCCAGAAAGUACAACAUAGAAUCGAUGGAUGGCAAGCAAAACUCCUCUCAAGAGGGGGUAGGCUUAUCCUGGUCAACGCUGUGCUAACCAACCUUCCUCUAUACUUUCUAUCCGUCUUCAAGGCACCCUGUUGGGUGAUCAAGCGCAUCGAAGCCCUACGCAGAGAUUUCUUCUGGAACGGUCAGAGUGAUUCCAAACGAAAUGGGUGUCUAGUUGCCUGGAAGAACGUCUGGUGAGCAAGAUGGCAAGCGGGUUAGGCAUACUGGAUGUUGCUAACAUGAAUCAGGCGCUCCUGGUCAAAUGGUAGUAGAGGUUUCACACAGCACCUCAUCUACAAUGGACCAAGAUAAUCCGUACCUUAUAUUACCAAAGAAGACGACCUCUGUGGGAGGGAAAUUGCUUCAGACCUCUCUCACACUAGUGGAAAGGAGUCCUAACCACCAACGCUUUCUUCAAAUGGGGAAUCAACUAUAAGCUGGGUAAUGGGAGGUCCAUCGACUUUUGGUCGAACAGAUGGUGUGAGGAUACCACACUCCGAACGUCCUUCCCGGAGGUCUUUGCAUUAUUGGAAGGCAACCCAAGACCGGUUAAGGACUGCUUUGGAUGUGAGGACUGGAACUGGAAUAGGAUCCUGGGAGAUGUGUUGACCUCUUCGCCUGGUCUGGGGUCUGCCAUUUCUGCGCUCAAGGAUAGCGUCGGUAGCUUUAAGGUAGGUCACCAGGUGGAUAUGAUAGGGGUGGAGGUGGUGUAGCAACGGUAUAUUCACUGUUAAAUCGGCCUAUAGAAUGUUAAGCGAUGAGGGAACGAGGGAUGGACAUGCUAGUAGGAUCUGGAGACUCCGAAUACCGCUCAAGGUUAAAGCGUUCGGAUGGAUAGUCCUUAUGAAAAGACCUCUUACAGCUGAUAACCUCGUAAAGAGAGGGUGGACUAGGGAUACUACCUGUGUGUUGUGUAGGGCCCAUGAGGAGUCAGUAAAUCAUCUGUUCACUCAAUGCAUCUUUAUCAAGUACAUCAUGGUGAUGGGGCUCGAAGAUGUGUAGACGGAGGAGCUGGGAGAUGAUGUACAUAGAGUAUGGGAUAGGUAGAUGGGCGGGUCUGGUGCGCGAUCUAGGAGUAACGGACUGUCUGCGCUGGUCGCAUGCUGGUGGACGAUCUGGAAGGCCAAGAACAAUGUUAUAUUUCGAAAUUUACAAUUUGACCUUGCUUUAGCCGUUCUAAGACUCAAGAUGAUGAUAUCAUCGUGGAAAGAUCUCAUACGAUAGGCCCUUUUCUUCUUUCUUUUUUUUUUUUUCCUGUUGCUACUUUUUCUGAGGCCCUGGAUGCCUCACCUUUGUAGCCAAAUUCAUCCAUUCAAUGAAUGAAGCAGGUAGCGUGCUACCUAAUCUCUAAAAAAAAAGAAAAUAUAUAGAGACCCUUCAUCUAUAAGUCCUACUAAAAUUGAUCCCUCAACUUUAAAUUUUUUUUAUUUACUAUAUGGUAUUUUACUGGAUCCAGAUUUGGGUUCGGGUCCGAAUCCGAAUUUGAACUCUUCCAGACCUUACCCAUUAAAAGGUAGGGUUCGGGUUGGGUUCUAGACAAGUAUGGGUAUAAAGUAUCCAGUUCCAUACUUGAAACUUUAAUAGGUAAUGUUUUUUACCCAUAUACUAUCUAUUUUUUUAUCGGGUUUGAUUCGUGUUCGGGUGCGGGUAGGGUUCAGAUCGGUUAUAGGAUAUUGGAUAUUUUGGACGGCUUUAGACGGAACCUUGAUGGAGAGGGGCUAAAUACUACAACUUGGAAUGUUGAGAGGGGAUAAAAUAUAGGUUUUUAAGUUAGAGAGAAAAAGUGAAAAAACGAAUAUUUGUAAGAGGGUUUCUGUAAUUUAGUUGAAAUUUAUUCCAGCUUUUUUUUUAAGCUGUUGUUGAACUUACUUAAUAAGUUCUUAUUGAAUUUAAUUCUACAAAAACUUACAAUGUGAUCAAAUUUAAUAUGAAGUAAAACUUGACCAAAAAAUAGUAUUGUGUUUCAAAUGUUUUUUUAUAUAGUAUAUUUUUGUAAAAUAUUAAGCAUAUUUUGCAGAUGGAAGGUACGGGCAAAAUUAACAUUUUGAAGAUUUAACCAUUAUCUUUUCUCAUUAUCCUCUACUAUGCCACAAAAGUAACGAAACAUAAUUUUAGCUAUUUCCAAGAAUCUUAGCUUUAUAAAUCAAACACAAUAUUUUACUUCUACUCUUGGCUAUCCUAAAAUAGUAAACUAUUUCAAGAAUUUAAAAAAAUUAUAUACCAAUGAAAUUUAUAUCAGAACCAAAUGGGGCCUAAAACUUCAGAGGCUAGCAUUGUAGGUUAAUCAAAAGAUAGUUCAGCAGGAAAGCUUCCUGGGAAAGAUUUAUAAAGAGCAAUUUAAUAUCCUGGGAAGACCAAGUCCUCUGGACAGAAUAUAGAAACUUCCUGCCAACAAUGACUUUUCUCACUUCAUUGCCUUACACAAUUAUCUCAAUCUUCCAGUGAAAGAUAUAUGAUCAACCUCUUCACAAGUUGUUUAACUUUUUGACAAUUUCAAUUGUAGAAUUGAGUGAUAAUUAAACCUAUAAAUAGACAAGAUGACUCCUCUCAACACAACAACAGCAUCAACAACUUAAAAAGGGUCGUCUGAAACAAGUAGAGAAAAUUAAUCAACCAAAGAUGAACCCCAACCUCCCCCAGUCCACCCUUCUCCAACCAUUCCAAUCCCUCUCCAUCCCCCCCACCACAGCAAGCCUCGACUUCGGUCGCGAAUUCGCGGCAGGCAAAGCUCCGGAGGAAAUCGUAUCGAUCAUCAACCGCACAUUGGAGUCUUACGGUAGCUGCAAGAUCAAGAGCUUCUCUCUGUUCUUCGGCCCGCUCGAUAUGUUCCUCUCCGACAUCGAAAACUGGAUAGAAUUUGCUAUAUCGCAGGUGGUCGAAGAGCUUAAUCUCGACUUUUCCAUGGGGUGGUCUGACCCUCCGUGGAAUGAAGAGUUCAACAUCGAGGACUACGUAAUGAAAUUACCGACAUCUUUGUACUCGUGUGAAUCAUCGACACACUUAAGCCUAAGCCACACCGAUUUCUGCCCGUUGGCCAACUUUUGUGGGUUUGAUCAUCCCCAAUUCUUGUCGCUUCGGCAUAUGAAGAUCACGGAGGGCGCCCUCCCAUCUAUCCUAUCAAAAUGUCCCCUUCUUAUCAGCUUGAGCCUCAGAGAUACACACUCUACCGAGUCGAUCAGAGUUUUUAGCCCCGAACUUUUACUAGAGAGAUUGGAGAUCAUAAGGUGCGGUUACACCACGGAGUUCAGAAUCCUUGCACCCAAGCUCAAAUCAUUCAUUUUUAACAGCGGACUCUUCUUCGAUGACGACUCCUUCGCCGAUAUCUCUUCUUUAGAGGAUGCUUUCGUAAAUUCGAUAGAAUUCGAAGCUUGGGAGCCUGAAGACGACUAUGUAAAGAUAAUCUCCGAUCUCUCGCAUGUUAAGAUCUUGACUGCGUGCAUGACGACUCUAAGGGUACUUUUUCUUUACCUUGUACUUUCGAUCCAAAUUUACUUCAAUAAUCGUCGGAUGCCUGUAUGAAUAUUAUCUAAGUUAACAUUUUUUUACUAUUUCUUGAUCUCUCUUUUUUGUUUUUUGUUUUUUGUUUUUUUUUUUGGAGUUCUAUGUUUGUAAAGAAUUUGAUGCUGAAAAUUUGGCGGUUAAGCUACCAAACUUGCGAGAGCUGCAGAUACUUAUGGACUUGAUGAGCAGCUACACUCUCGAAGUUCCCUACAGCUUUCUAUGGUUUUGUGAAGCACCAUUGCUUGAAAAGCUAUUCAUUCAGGUGAUUGCAUAUGCUCUUUUACUAAGGAGAAGAACGCACUAACAAAUCAAAUUUGAUACCUCAGUCUUAGCAAUUCAUCACUUCUUGAAUAUAAAUGGUACUAAAUGACGGCAUGAAGUGUGUACAAAUAUUUCACGCUGCAGUGAAAAUGAAACAAUUGAUAAGUGAGUCAAAUUGAAUCUUCACUCUCUAAUUUGUCAUCUCGCACUACACUUGACUCGGAAUCGAGUUACGCAAUGCAAUUUCCGAAAGCUCCAACUUUAGAGUUAUCGCGCACCGCUAUAUUCUGUAAAAGCGAGGUACACUAGGUCCCGAAAAGUGUUACUUCCUAAUAGACCGCUUCUAUGGUGCCGCACUGCAUAUAUACAGAAGUUGGUCAAAAUAGGCCUCAUUCUUUCUUUAAGAUGAUUGUGUUUUGUUUUGCAGCUAACGACGGCGCCUGAGGACUCCGAGUAUAAUAAUAUUGACCUGCAAGAACCACCGGGUGUUCCCUUUAAUCAACUCAAGGUGAUCAAACUAAGCAGUUUCAAAGGGGGCAAUAAUGAAAUGAGACUGGUGAAGUUUCUUCUUGAAAGGGCUCCUGUGCUAGAGAAGAUGCUUAUAGUGCCUGCUCCAAAAGCUCUUCUGAAGGAGGACAUCAUCAGCAAUGAACUGAAAAGUGAACUCCCUUUGUUGCCCAAAGCAUCUCCUCAAGCUACCAUAGUCUUGUGUGAACACUCAUCAGAGGAGGAUGAUGAGGCACUUAUUCCUACCCACAAAGAGCUCUACUGUGAAUUCUAGUUGUCAGAUAAUAUUCUUGGAUGAGAAAUUAGCUGCUUCAAUAAUCAUAUAUAUCAUAUAUAUAUAUAUCUAAUUUUGGAAGCAUGAUUUUCAGAGUAAACCACAAGCCGUCAUUUGGCGCAUUUUCAUGAGAAGUUCUAAUAUAACUUGAUACUAGUAUAGCUUAUUGUGUUCCAAUAUUAUAUAUAUAAAGCAGUUAUGAGAAGUUCUAAUAUAACUUGAUAAUAGUAUAGCUUAUUGUGUUCCAAUAUUAUAUAUAUAAAGCAGUUUCAUGAAAAAUUUCAAUAGGUAAUAAAUUACUCAAAAAUUAUAACUAAAAGUUAGUAACAACACUCCCAUUCAUCGCAUGGGUCAAUUGCUAGUGUUAUUAAUUUUGGGUGUUAUAUAAACAUCUACUUGGGAGAAGUUUGCAAUUAGUCAUUUAUGUGUAAUAAAUUGGUGACAUUCAGAAUUAUGAUGUUGUUAUAUAUAUUUUUGAGUCAGCUCUUUCAAGUGGUUUAAAUUGGCUCUAGAUCUAAGAUCUCAUUAUAUAAAAGAAAAGAUUCCAAAUGCAAAAAAAUCCCCUAUAAAGGCAUUAUCUUUUCACUUUUCUCUCACUGAUAAAGAAAAUAUGUAGAGUUGAAAAUUCUCUUUUAAUCUCUAUAUUGUUAUUACUUAACUUUAUUAUUAUUUUAUCAUCCAUAAAAUGAUGGAAAAACAUUUCAAUAUUAUAUUAUAGGUCAAUUAUAUGUCCUAUAUAAUAGAAAAGUAAUUUCCAAAUAUCUUCUACUCUAGCCCCAAUCAAUUUUCGGUUUUUUCGGCACAUCUAUUUAUAUAUAUAUAUAUAUAUAUAUAUAUAUAAAAAUUGGUGGCAGGCGGGCGGACGCGAGGGGCGGGCACAAGUGGUGCGAGCUGGGGCGCGAACGGACAAGCGAGCGGGCGGGCGCGUGGCGGCGGGUGGCGCGAGCGUGCGCAGCGGGCGAGCCCGGCGCGGGCAGGCGCGAGCCGCCGGCGCGGGCAGGGCGCGAGCCGGUGCGGACUCAAGCCCACGCGGGAUUUUUUUUUUUUUUUUUUUUGUCUUUUUUCUGUGGGACCCACUCCUAUCUCUCUUUUUUUGUUUUUCUUUCCUUUCUAACCCUUCUUAUUUUAGAGUGUUAUUGGCCACAUACAAAAAAUAAAUUUAAAUUUAAAUUUAAAAUUUAAAAUUAAAUUUAUUAUUAAUGAUUUUUGAAUGUGUUGCUUAACUUUAUAUAUUUAGUUAGUAUAUUUUAUGUAAUUGUUGUAAUUAAAUAUAUUUAAAAAAACUUAAUUGUAGUGUUUUUUUAUAAAAAUGGAUUAUUUAUAUCUAAAUAAUUAUAAAAUUAAAAAUUAAUAUUUAAUACAUACAAUCUAAAAUAUCUAAAAAUUAGGCAUAAAUUAUUAUAUAUUUUAAAGUUUUAUUAAUUAAAACACAAACUUAUGAAUUUACAAUCUGAACCCGAACGGGGUGUUAAGAUCAGCAUUAUUGUUUGUAAUCAAAACUUAUAUAUCUGAUACAAUUAAUCGCAUGUGAAAAGGUCUCUAAAACUUCCUUAUUUAAUUAACUAAAAUAUAUUAUUAUUUACUUUAUAAAAAAUAUAUUUAAUUAUUUAUAAAGAAGAUAAAUGAAUCCGUUGCGUAGCACGGGUUCCUUAACUAGUACUUAUGAAUUGGGAACCGGGAGUUCCCUGGCCCGCCACGUGGAUGGCGGUCGCGAGGGGUGCGAGGGGGCGGGCGCGAGUGGGGGUGCGACCGCUCGAGCGAAUGCUAGCACGCGCGCAGGCGCGGCCGUGGGCCCAGGCGCGGGGAUNUAAGUUUAGAGAAAAAAAAAAAUAAAUAAAUAAACUAGAUGCAGAUAUGGUUAUUCUUGAAUAUUUUUUUAAAAGCUCUCUAAUGCGCUGACAAUUAUAAACGGUAAUAUGUCGGGAGCGUAGAAAGAUUUCGCUAAAGCAUUGCCUCCAUUUGUGGCCUGGUCUAUAGACCGGGUCUAGGGAACAACUUGGAACGCUGUGACCAAUCAGAGCUGCGGUUGGGAUCUGGACAGGUGAAACAAAACGUGAACAAGUCUUUCGCUCUUUUUUAUUUUUAUUUCCCUUUUCUAACCCUUCUUAUUUUAUUUUAGAGUGUUAUCGGCCACAUACAAAAAAUAAAUUUUAAAUUUAAAUUUUGAUGGGUUGUGGUUGAAUUAUAGUUAGACAUAAAUAAAUAUAUUUUUAUCGGUUUUAUAGUAAUUAUAAUUAAAACACAAAAUUACAAAUUUAGAAUCUCAGAAGUAGGGAUGUCGAUGGGUAUGGAUACUUGAAAUAUUAUUCGAAUUUGGACCCGAACGGGCUAGGUUUACUAGAGUCACUUCCGGCUUGUCGCGGAAGCAAUCGGUGAACCUCCCGGAGAGCAGGGUCAAUUAUAAUAACUACAGAGCCAUCAGAAAUAUAUAGUAUAUAUGCACAUUAUUUUAUGACGAAAAAUAUCUAUACAAUUUCCUUAUUUAAUUAAGUAAAAUUUAUUAUUUAUUAAUUAUUUAUAAAAAAAUAAAAGAACUCGUUGCGUAGCACGGGUUCCUUAACUAGUUAUUCCUAUGAAAGAGUAAAAAAUUUUAAAAAAUUUAAAAUUAUGGCUUGGACCGGUCAAGAAUAGUAGUGAUGUUCAAUCAAACUUAUCUCAAUAUCAUCAAACUAGAUUUGACUAUCAAACCUUUACAAAUUUGAUUUUAUUAUUUAAUCUUUUAAUUUAUUAGAUCCGAGCCAAUUAAUGACUCUUUAAAUUUAAAUUUUGAAUAUUUUAUUUAUUUUUAUAGAUUUAGUAUGAACUAGACUGGAAUACUAUCAAUAGCACAAAACUAUUGGUGCUAUUAGGUUUUUGGCCCUUGAAUGAAAAAAUAUACGGUUAGGAUGAUGUGAGCCCCCUAAGGUUGAGCAAGUUAUUGGUUGAAUAGUAUAAUCUAACAGGUGAAAAUAGUCAAAGAGCUAAAUCUAACGGCGGAAAAUUCAAUAGCACCAAACGCUUGGUGCUAUAGAUAGUAUCCCAGCCGGACUUGACUUAAUAUAUUUUUUACAGUUUACAUAAUUUACAAAAUAAGCAAUUAGCUAAAAUUAUAAAACCGAAGAGCCAUCAAAAUGUUUAAAUCAAAUAAAUUAAAAAGUUGGGUACUAAUAUUAAAAUUUUGAAAAAUUGAAUAGUUGAAUCAAAAUUAUAUAUAUUUCAAACAAGUUUUUUAAUAUCUUUACCCAUUUUAUAAUAAUUUGAAUAAAUGCACACCUAUUGUACGCCCUAAUAAGUAGACCUCCUGGUUGUUCGUACCAGGGAUGUCAGUAAGUAUGGAUAUCCGAAAUUUUAUCCAAACACAAAUCCUAGUCCGAAUGCGUCAUGCCUGGGCCCCAGCGGAAGCCUACUUGGAUAGGCCCGCCAUAUGCCCGGUGUAUACAAGGUGUCUACAGUAAACAUGUUAGAAGUAAUACAAGGAGAUGGAAACAGCUAACAUGAUAUCAGAGCAUACAUCAUAAUCUACUCUCUAAUUAAUGACAAGUAAAAAAGAAAGUGGAACUACAACCAUAACAUCUUCAAAGUACAAAUAUACAUCAAGUAGCUACAAAGUAAUCAACCAACAACACAGGGUCGUCACUAUACAUCCAGGACAAAACAUCUUUCCAGCUAGCUAAAGAAAAGGCAACCACCUAACAGGAACUCCAAGCUAUGCCUAGCUAGACGCGACCCCCUUACCGCGAUCCCUAGCCUCCCCCGCUGUGGAUGACUCUGUAAACAAAAACAACAACAAACUGGGCAUGAGAACUAUUAGUCGAUAGUUCCCAGUGGGUAAGCCGCCGACAUCAGCGAAUUACACCACUAGGUCUGUCACGUCCCGCUAUCGCCAAUUUGGUCGACUCGGACCCGUACACAGACGCCGAAUGGACAGCACCUCCCCUGUCCGCCCAAGGCUUAACAACUAAAAGUACAUGUAUAGAGAAAGAAAUAAUCCCAGAAUAACAUUGCAAUAUACAUGGCUUGCACGAGGGCAAGCAACAAGCACAAGUAAAAGUAAACUAACUAAACCAUUCAUACAUUGUAUCUUGAUUACUUUAAAUCAAAUACAAAGCUUACCAUUUGAUCACAUACAUACAUUCCUCAAUAUAUAUACAACUGCUAUCUCUCAAAUGAAUAAUUUACAUUUGCUUUCAUCAACUAUAAAUAAUUUGAAUCAAAGAUUAUAAAAAAUAAUAUAUAGUAUGAUCAAACCAUCUCUAACUGCAGCAAACAUGAAAAUCCUAUUGUAACUAGUUUCUUGAAGGAACUUUACAUAUAUUGUACUCUUGCAGACACUAAAAUCAGUAUAUGAUAUAUCUUUUCAGAAAGUAAAAUUCUAAGUGUUUCAUAUGUAUAUGCAUAGCUUUUUCUCUACUGAUCAGUUUUGUCAGUGGACAAAAAGUGUCCAAACAUGAUAUUAGAAGUUCAACACGACUUAAUUAAAAUUGGAAUUCAUUUAAUUCCAAUAUCUAUAACAAAGACUUUAACAUAAACUCAAGUUAGUACAUGAUAUAACAUCUCACUAAAAGCAUUCCAAACCUCAGUAAAGUAACUAAAGACAUUAACAUAAGAUGUACCAACCUCAGUAAGGGGACCUGCCAGCGUUCACGAGGAGGGUGGGGACCGAUGCGGCGGCCGCGGAGCUGGAGGCGGCGGCGUGCAGAGCUGGAGGCACGGCUGUGAAACUGGAGGCGGCGGUGCGCAGAGUUGGAGGCGAUGGUCGUGAAGCUGGAGGCGAUGGCGUACGGAGCUGGAGGCGACGGCUGCAAAGCUUAAGGCGGCGGCGUGCGAAGUUGGAGGCGGCUGCCGCGAAGCUUGAGGCAGCGACGCGCGGUCUUGGAGGCGGCCAUCGCAGAUCUGAAGGCGGCUGCGUUCGGAUCUGGAGGCGGCGGUUGCGGAUCUGGAGGCGACGGCGUGCGGACCUGGAGGCGGCGUGCGGAGCUAGAGGCGGCGGCUGCAAAGUUAGAGGAGGCGACGCGCGGAGGUGGAGGCGGGCGAGUGAUGGAAGUGAGGGGGGAGGGGAAGAGGAGGAUGUGUUGAGGAGGAAGAGUCGGAGGAGAGGGAAGAGGUGGGGGCGGCGGUUUCCUUGGGAAAAAAAAGGGGGAAAAAAUGAGGGGGAAACAUGGGGUAUUUUAACAUUUUAGGGUUUCGAUUUUUUUUAUUAUAUUUAGAGGCGGUUUUUAAAAACUGCCUCUAAACCGUCUCUAAUACGUGAAUUAUAGUGGCGGUUUUUUUACAAACCGCCUCUAAACCGCCUUUAAUACGAUUUUAUAGAGGCGAUUCCCACAACCGCCUCUAUAACAUCGCCUCUAAUAGUGGCGGAUUUUUAAAAUACAAUUUUAUAGAGACGGUUGUGGGAACCGCCGCUAAUACGAUUUUAUAGUGGCGGUUUUUAAAAACCGCCUCAAAACUGUCUCUAAUAUGAUUUUAUAGAGGCGGUUAUAAAAACCGCCUCUAGAGAACCGUCUCUAGAACCGCUUUUUCUUGUAGUGUAACAAUGUCACUUUAUCACUAUUUAAUAGUCCAAUACAAAUUCAUACAUCUAUAGAGUUCUAUGUUUUACUAGUCAUUGUCCACAUGCAUUUUGCUUCCAAAGCAUACAAUUAGAACACAUAUUGCACUUUACCAUAUGACAAUCACAACUCUAUCAUGUAUGAAUAUCAACUAAACAUGUAUAAUCCAUGUAUGCUCAAUAAAAGUGAUAUAAACAUAAUAGGUCAUUCGAUAAUUUCAGAAAGCAUCACCCACCUUUAAAUGAUAUCGAGAUGCGAGAAAACCAAUUCCCGCAAUUUAUGAACAAUCACAAUCCUCGCUCGCGACAUACGAAGCUAAAAUGAGAUUUUUUCUCAUUAGCUUGCCAUAGGCUAAUCGGAACGUUGAUCCAAGUUUUCCAACUCAUGAGUUUUAUUCUCAAUUAGGAUUUUACGCGGUUAAUUUCGAACUAAGCCUCCAAUCCUACAAAUUAGCAUUUUCGAGUUAAAGUUCCAUACAAUCUGCUACUAUACAAACUUCACAAAAUAUAUAGAGUAACUUAACUCUAAGAACCUCAUAAUCAAGUAAUCUAGGAAUACAAGAGAUCAAACUCAUGCUACACUUUAAUUCAUGUUUCAACAACUCUUACAUUUAAUCCAAGUUUACAUACAUGUUAUUAACAUAGUGUGAUGUCUAAGCUGUUAUGGCAACUUUAAGCUUUAAAAAUCCAAAUUCUAUAACUUAAACCCUUUCUUUUAGCUUAAAUAUCCUAACCACAAUCAGGAAUUAAGACCCACUUACCUCAGGUUCCAUUUCAAAGCAAGAAAUCACAUGCACAUCAUACAUGUAGCUCGUUAUAGAUUUCUUAUGGCAAUUAGAAGCUUUAGCAACCAUAGCUUAUAGCUUAGACCCUUUUAUUUGAGCAAUUAUCCUAACUCGAACCAGGAAUAGAGCAUCAUUUCUCAUCAGGUGUUAUUUCUACUAACAAUUCCCAUGCAAACUAUUCAACCUAUAGCUGAUUAUAGGUUUUAUCAUAAUAAUCUAAGCUCUAGAAGUCAAUACAAUCCAUAGUUCAACCCUUUUAUACAACAAUUAUCAUAACUCUAACCAGGAAUACUCUUAUCUGACCUCGAAGGGGUGCUAACUCCCUCUCAGCUCAAAACUACGUUCAAGAACUCACUCCACAAGGCUGAAUUUGCUGUUUACAAAUAGGUCCCUGCAGCUUUUUGCAUUUAACGGCAGCAAUAGCAGUAUUCGGCAGUAACAACAGCAGCAUUCAGCAGUAACAGCAGCAGUAGCAAUUGCACCUAAAACCUCCCAAAAAAUAGGAAUUUUGCUUUUACAAAACAGUCCCUGCAGCUUUUACAAAACAAUCCCUGCAGCUUUUUAGUGCAAAAUCUGCACUGGCAGCACUUGUUCCAAUAUAAUUUCAUACUUCCACUUCGUUCCGAACCCCUUUAAACCCUUCUAAACUUGUAAUUAGUUACCCCCACACGACCAAUUUAGCUCGGGGACUAACUCAUUUAUAUUCUUUCAUUCUUUGACCACUUUGAUCAAAGUUAGUCUUGUAGUUGGAGAUUCGAUAUAUUAUAGUUUCUCUUUAGGUUUUCAUGACAAUUAUAAAUACUAGCAUCAAAGAACUCCAAGCCAAACCUUUCUAUAGAGUAAUUACUCUAAACUUAUCAUGGAAAUAGCAACCUUCAUCUCAAGUCUCACUUCUAACAACCAUUCACAUGUAUACUACACCUACAUACACAUGACAUAUGGCUUGUCUUCUAGGUUUCAUAGCAAUUAAAGGCUCUAGUAAUCAAGAAUUCUUUUGUUCCACCCUUUUAUAGAGUAAAUAACAUCACUCUUAACCAGGAAUUCACAUCACCUAAUCUCAUAUUUCAGCUACCAGCUGAAUUCAUAUAGUUCUACUAGGUUUCUUCAUAGAACUACAUGCUAAUAGCAAGUUGUAACCUCUAAGAGAUCCAAAACUCCCCUCUUUAUAUAGCAGCUAUCACAACCCCAUCCAAAAGAACAGCAAACCUACCUUAGAUUUGAUGCUCCCACAAGUUUUCUUCUCAGUUGUAGACCUUUCUCUCAGCUCAAAACCAAACUCCACCAAUUUCUUCCUUCAAAACCCCUUCGAACAGUUUCUAGAGAGAGAGGAAGAAGGAGAUAAGAAGGAGGAAUGAAGGAGCUGGUUCCCUGCCUAAGAACCACGUAUGCAGGUUGGGGUUCAAAGAUAAUACCGAAACAAUUGCAAUUAACCCUCCUACACAAGCUGAAAUUACUCUUUACUAAUCUGUUCCUAAUUCAGAAUCUGAUACUUUUCGCUGGAGCCCUUCUGAAUAUCUGUUUGCUCUCAAAUUUGACAGUCAGACUCGAUUAAAAUUAAUAAGAAGAACGAUAUCUUAAUUUUUCAGUUUGGACCAUUUUUUGUCACCGAAAUCUCUACCGACUAAAAUUUCUAACAGAUAACAAUUAGAUUUUAUUUUUCACUUUUCGGGUGUCAGAAUGACAUGAAACUUUAAAUAUAGCCUCAUAAAAAUAAUUUUGACAUAUUCUCCAAUUUUCAUAAUUUUCUGACACUGUGAAUUUUCUGCUAAAAUAUCAGCCCCGUUUCUUACCGAAAAUUUUAAAUCUUCUGUUUUCAUUCCAAUUUCAGUACAAAUCAUUUCCAACUUAUAUUUUACUUCUCUAAAUCCAAUAAAAAUAGUAUCUUACACUAUUUUUAUUUACAUCUACUUUUAUAUUAAAAGUCCGGUCUAUUACAAGGUCCCUAAGGCAUAAAUAAUAAACAAGUAAUGAGUUGCUAAUACUACCAAGCCUCCAAUGCACAUAAUGUUUAACAAGUAUCAAGACUACUCUAAUAUGAGUAAGCAUGCUAAUGUCAUGUCCACUAAUGUACACUAUCUAGUAGCGACAGUUAAUUAACUCAUUUAGUUAACUUUACCCAAUUUACAAGGACUUACACAAGUGUAGUCCGGCUUGCGUCGUGCCUAAUGGCCCCGUAGUAGUAUAUACUCUCCACGGCAAUCCACUUCGGCACCCAAUCCCGCACAGGUGAGCAUGAUAUUGCGUAGGCCAACUCCGAAGUGUCAGCUUGUGGGGAGCAACCCUCACAAGUAUGUGCGAAUGAGCACAAUAGUAAGCAAGUAUGAUCCACAAUACAAAACUCUCACUCGUCAUGUCUAAAACAUGGUAUGUCCUCUAACAACCCAUAGGUCGGAAACUAGCUAUGUUAUAAUGUCAAGUUCUAGUCAUUUAACUAGGUCAGAAACAUCAACAUUAAGUUCAUGCUACAUAUUAUCAUAUAAUUGCCAUUUUCACUUGCCUACGCAAGUAUACUGCAAGUCAUGUAAAGUGUACUACACAUGAUUAAUAAGCAACACUUUCCACUACAUAAGGUAUGACUUGCCAUAUGUACUAUGUAUAAUUAAUGCAUCCAAAAAUCACUUAUAAUGCAUCCAACAUGAUUAUACAUGAUUUCUAAUUUCAUAACAAUAACAAGAACAUAGAGGGAGUUUACCCAUUUCGGUGAGGUCAAGCCCAUCGGAUGUUCCUCGGAUUCUCUCGUUUGCUCGAGCGAAACUGCUUUCUAGCCUUCUAGCACCCUAACAACAAUUUUUUUUUUUGAGCAACAAUUCUAAAUCAAUUAGGAGCUGCUAAUAAGUCUCCCACAAAAUUUCUCAAAAAUCCACCUAAAAUAGGUAGGAAAAUACCUUGUACAGGGAAAGACUCUAUUCCACACUUUAUCUAAGGUUGGGAUAUUUCAACUCCAACCUAAAAGAGAGUUUAACAAACACCAAAAAAGUUUUAACAACCCAGCUAAGAAUAAUCCCAAACUAAGCUCCAAUUCGACCAAAAAUCACAUACAAGGUAGCAAAAUAGAAGUUAACCUUUUACAACCUCCAAAUCUAGUCAACCUUGAACUAGAGUUGAAGAUUUAUCCUCAAAAAUCCUUUCUUUUUUCUUCUCAACUCCUCCAAAAAUCCCAACACCAGCUACCAUGGAGAAAAGAGAAGAGAAAUGAUCAAUUCCAUCAAUUUUCCACCAAAAAAUGGAAAGGAAUCUAGAGAGAGAAGGAGAAGAGCUCACCCUAUGUUUUCUCUGCUUCCAGCAUAAGAAAGACCAGCUUAUGCGGUUGGGAGGGAUAAACAUAGCUUUAAGAUUACCAAAAUGCCCCUCACCAACUCAAAAAAAAAUAUUUUGUCACGUUGAGUAUUGGUACUUGAGUUGGAGUACCAGUACCCGAUACUCAGACAGGCUAAAACCCGAGCGUGAGACCUUCGGGUUUUAAGCGGUGUACCGGUACUAGCUCAAUGCAGUACCGGUACCUAGUUCCAGUGCCGGUACCCACCGACUCAGUACCGGUACUCAGCACCCACAUCUCAAACCAGGGAGGGAACUAUUCUGGCAACCCCCUAGGGUUCCGGUACCCCACUCAGGUACCGGUACUCUCAAAACCUGCAGUUUGCAGAUUUUAGUGUCCGUAGUUCGUUCUCGCACUUAUAAAGCUUAAGUUAGGAGUCGGUACACUCCUGUCAACCCUCAAAACAGCUAGAAUAGUUAUAAUUACUAUUCUUGUACUGAAACCUUGCUAUUUGUUAAAAUUUAGUGUACUACAGAACGGGGGCAGGUUUAACCGAUUUAAUUGGUGCUAAGUGAGAACGGUUUCAAUUACAGAUAUAGAAAGAAAAAAAUUUAACAUAUUCGGAUUGGGUAUGGUUCUCUCUGUACCUGAUCCAAACUAAAUCCAAAACCGAUUUAUUAUAUAUACAAAAAUUUAAAUUUAUACUUUAAAGAUUUAGAGUUGAGUAUGAUAUGUUUUAAAAUUUAGUUUUAAAAAAAAUUCUUUCGGAUUUGCAUUCCAAUUUUGAUUUUGAUUUAUUUUUGUGUGUAAACUUAAAAUCCACCCCUGUGGUUUCGCACUUUCUCACUUUAGUACUAUAUGGUUUAAAAUGUAUCAAUUUAGUACCAUGUAGUUUCAUUUUUCUCUUUUCGUCAGCAUCUCCAUUAACAUUUCGUUAAAUUAUAUACAAAAACCUUCCGGUAUUCUAUUUAGAUUUAUUGAAUAUUCACUUUAGUAUCUUUUAGUUUUAAUUUUGUCAUUGAUUUAACGAAAAAAAAAUUAGUGAAAGAUAUAAUUAAAAGAGAAAAAUAAAAUCAUAGGAUACUAAAUUAAUACACUUUAAAUCAUAAACUACUAAAAUAAAAAAAAAAAUUCAAAACCAAACGGUGGUAUUUAAAGUUUUUUUUUUUUUGGUUGAGUUUCAGUUAUAAUUAUGAAUUUUUAAAUCUGAUAAAUUUGAAUUGGAAUUUAAUUGGAAUUUGAGUUUUUAAUUCACGAAUAGUUUGUGAAUUAUUCGCAAAUUUUUAAAGAAAAUGAAUAAAACAGCCGCAUUGUAUUUUUUCCAAAAGUUCAGAAAAAAAAAACACAUUUUUUUUUAUCAAAAAUAAUUAUUCGUAAAUAAUUCGCAAUUUGCGAAUAAUUCGGCCAAAAAAANAAAAAAAAAAAAAAAAAAAAAAAAAAAAAAGCCUUCGGUCCGCAACGUACGUUCGCCACCCUCCCCAAAAUAAAAAAAAUCGCUCGAUCGAAAAGGUUUUGCCCUGAGUUCUCACCCCUGCGGCCCUGCCACCGACCCCAGCCCCCAUCCCUUCCCCUCCCCCUCUUCCCUUCCGGCCGCUCGCCGAACGCCAUCGGAAGCCCCCGCGGGGCCACAUCGAAGAUCGGGUUCUUCGCUCUUCAGAAAUCAGAACCCUCCUCGUCGCCUCUUCCUCUUCCGCUCUCCAGCGAUGGAUCAGUAAUCGGGUGGUUCUUUACAAGAAUUUUUAUGCUUUAGUCUCUCUCUCUCUCUCUCUCUCUCUCUUUCCUUUAUUUCAUCUUCUCUUAAUUGCUGACUGUAUGGUUUUGAGUAACAAGACCAUGACUACAAAAUGUAGCGUCAUUGUGAACAUGCAUUUAUUAAGAUUCAUUACUUCUUUUUUAUCUUUAGUCUCUACAGCAUACAUGAAUAUGCCCAGCAUACAAGAAUAAUCAGCAAAUAAGGUUUUAAGAAUUAAGACCUCAAAAGGUUUGAUAUGCCCAGCAGGUUGUGAGUACGGUUUGAAAGCCACAAGCAUAUGCAUUGAUUAAAAACCAAGGGAGAUCUAGCAAACUUAACAAAGGCUAAAAAACAUGGGUGUUAACUGACAAUACUGUGAAUUCCCGAUGAAUUUGGAGAAAUAGCAAUAUGGAGACACAGAUUUGAGUUUGCUGUUUGCUUAAUUAUUUAUUUAUUUUGGGGCAUAAUAUAGUUUGCUAUAUUUUUUUUACUUAAUUAGCUUAAUUUUGUAGCUCUUUAUUCUUAUAUUCUUAAGAAUUAUGUGUGUUUAUGCUAAUAGCAUAAAUCUUGAGAGAAAAAAAAACUUAAUUUAACAGCCGAAUUUUUGAUCCCGAAUUUUUAAUUGGUGAACGUAUAAUAUCCGCAUAAAUCACGUAUCCAAAUAAUCGGCGAAUCCGUUUUUUAACUGUAUUUUUCAACAAAUUUAAAAAUUAGAAGACGAAUUUUAUCCGAAUUAUACCCGUACCGAAUUUUUGCCGAAUCCGAAUUAACUAACUAUGCUGGAGAAUGCGGCUCAGCAUGGCAUGUCUUUUGGCCGGAUUCAUGCCAUGUAGGGCCGCCUCCGAUCUAUUUCGGUCUAGGAAAAUGUUUGCGAAAGUAAUCCAAUGCCUGAAAGAAAAUAUUUUAUAUAUUGAAUUAACACAUGCCCGUUUUACACCCUGAUUAGUAGAUCUCCAGAAUAUCCAAAUCCAGAACAAGUCAAAAUCAUCAAUUCGCCACAACAGUCGUUGCCACCACCACGUUCCAGAGUCCCACAGUAGACCCAGUAAUGGCAGUCCCCCAUUCCCACGUACUCCACCACCAACACCACAUCCAGAUCCAAGGACUACAAUCAAAUCAUUCCUUUGAGUCCCCAAUCGGACGGCGGAUGAUCCACUUAAUCAAAUCACCAUCUUCACCAUUGGGGAUGAAUAGGAGGAGGGAAUCAUCGAGUUUUCGGAUCGCAGUAGUGUCGGAGGUGAGAGAGAAGAAGAAGAAAAAGGAGUUGGAAGGGGUGGGGGAGGAGCUGAAUUCCGUGGCGGCACAGAAUCUCGACCGGGCACCUGCUCGCCGCCGCGUUCGAUCUGCCUUCCUCGACGUCCAACGCAAUUUGGAUCACUUCUUGUUCAAGGUAAAAAUACCAUGAUUAGUAGUUGUUAGGUUAAAUUAAAGUGAGGCUCUUCUCUUAAUCUUUUCUGAUUAGAUCGUACAUUUUUUUCUCAAUCAAAGAAUGUGGAUACAGAUCGCAACUUCCUCCCUCAAUUUUUCCCUAAUAAGGCCUAGUUUGGGAUUGAGUUGAUAAAAGCAACUGCUUUUAUGCUUUGAAAGGCUAAAAAAAAAUGCGAAAGCACUUCCAGUUUUUGCCCUUCAUCGGUUUUUAUCACAACUUAAUGGCAUUGGGAAAGGAGAGACUGAAAAUGAUUUUAAAUUUUUUUGGGCCUUUCAAGUAUAGAAUUAGAUGCUUUUAAUCACCACAAUACUAAACCAGGAGGCCAAAGUUAUAUAGAAUUGGGGGAAGGAAAGUUGAAACAACCUUUCAAUAUUUUCAGCUUUCUAAAAUAUGAAAAUGGAUGCUUUUGGCGAAGAAAUCUCUAACUAGGUCUCACGAUAAGUUUUUAAGUGCAAUUUUUAUUUUGAUAUUUUAAAGAUCAAAAAAAAUUCAAGUGUUCUAAAACUUUAUUUUUUCAAUACUAGGAAUUGCUCAAAAUUUACAUUAAGAGAACUAUCUCUAACUAGGUCUCACGAUAAGUUUUAAGUGCAAUUUUUAUUUUGAUAUUUUAAAGAUUGAAAAAAAUUCAAGUGUUCUAAAACUUUAUUUUUUCAAUACUAGGAAUUGCUAUAAAUUUACAUUAAGAGAACUUCUAUCAUCUUCUCUAGUAAUAGUUUUGCCACAGUUUUUUAGUAUAAAAAUGCUAGUAGUACACCCAAAAGUAGGGUGUAAAUCUUACACACACCUAUCCAAAAUGAUUUUUUUAAUAUUAAAAGAAAAAAGAUUGAUAAGACUAGUGAAAAAUAUUUUGGAUGGGUAGGUUGGAAGAUUUACACUCACUUUUUGGUUGUACAAGUCGCAUUGUGCUUUUUAGUAUUGGAGGAGCAAAGCACUACAUAUUAUUGGAAAAUCAAUAUUUCCAAACUACCCUCUUUUUAAGGUUAUACAGGGAGUAGUCCCUAUAUAAGUGAUGUAUUAGAAGUAGAGAGAAAUUAGAACAUAGAGAUAAGAUAAAAUAGAUUUCCUAAGAGUUAUAUGUGUCCUUUGUCCUAAUCUCAUUUUUAUUUUUAUUUUUUAAAAUUUAACGGUUAUUUUUUCUGUUUAAUCUUACAUUUUAUUAGUUUAUUUGUGUAAUUUUGGUAGAUGGCUCCGACGGGGAUCCCAACAGAAGAGGUGUGUAUGUAUACGACUCUCUUUACUUUUUGGUUUUACUCGUCCUUGAACUUAUUUUCUUUUGCCUUUUAUGCAUAGUUCUGACAAUAUAUUGUGUGGACCGGGUCUAAUAGACCGAAUAAAAAAUUAAAUCUACAUUGGAAGUUUAAGAAAAAAAAGGGAAAACUUCAAUUAGCCCCUGCGAUUCAGUUCUUUUUCACUUUCCCACCUGUGGGUUUAAUGCUGCUUUGUUACAUUUUAUUUUUAUUUUUCCCACUACAACAAAUUGUGUAUAUAAUGACAAUUUUAAAACCUUCGCCACAGACAAAAAAAAUCGUCGCUAUACUCAAUAGCGGCGUUUGUAGCGGCAGUUUUACAACUUUUACUUAUAAAGGAGACGCUGUUUGAUUUAGUGGCACUUUUGAACUGGCGCUAUUUUACAGCGACAGUUUUUCUUUGAUAUUACGACACUUUAACAACUGUCACUGUAUGUAUUUAAUUAGACGAUUUCAGUGACAUGUAGCGGCAAUUUUUGAAUUGUUGCUAUUAAUCAUAUGAAUAGCAACAUUUUUUCAAGCGCCAUGUCGCCACUAUAUCCAUACGAGUUAGCUUUAGUGGUUUUGUAGCAGGAAUUCUUCAUCUGCCGCUGCUGGUUUAAGUGAAGAGUAAUUAUAUGUACUAAUAUUUUUAUGAGCACUACUGUAAGAAUUAUAUAGAUAAAUGAACAACCUCAAUACUUUUCUAUGUAUGCAAAUAACAUUCAAAUAUUGUUUCUUAAAUGAACUCUAUUAACAUGGCUGACCAAUAUGAAAAUAAAAAAGUACGCUUUCAUUAUUUGAAAACAUAAAAGUAUCACCAAUUAACUAAUCAUUUAAACAACAUUAAAAUGAUAGAUAGUUUAUUAAAUAUAUAUCCAUAUGCAGCACAUUUAUUAAUAUUUAGAAAAAAGAGUAAAUUCUCCCAAUGCCAAAAGUUCUUCAACAUUGAUCACGUACAAAUCUAUUUGACCUUCAAACUUCAGGCGUAACAAUGUAUAAAUUUUUAGUUUUAGCAUCAUCAAACCUCAACUAUUAUAACAAAAAAACAAUAUUGUACAAACAUAAGUAGAACGCCAUGCAAUUGAAAUGAGCCGCAAAAGGCGGUCUAAAGUUCUUUUAAGUUCUACAUAAAAGAAAGUAAUUUACCCAUGCAUAAAACAUCCAAAAAAAUAAAGAAUUGAAGCUCCAAUGCUCCAGUAUUAAACAAAUGCUACUAAGCCAAAGAGUGAAGGCCAACUAGCACCUAGCAUAAAGAAAUUGUAGGGACCGUUAAAUUUGAAUUUUGAAAUAAAGUUGAGUAAAUUCAAUAAAUAAAUUAAAUUUAAACGUAUUCAAUUUUGGAGGAAAAAAAGAGAGAAUAGGGUAUUUUCGCGAAUUGGAACUGUUCCCAGCAGAACGAAAUCAACACUCUUAUGGUUUGAUAGUGCAGGAAGUCGUGGUGAAGUCUAUUUUCGGAUUCUGCUAGGCAAAAGCACGGAAUAAAGCGAAAGUCAACAAGUGGUCAAUUUUGAAAGAUGGGUAUUUUUGGAAAAAGUGCAACAUUUUUUGUGUCAAAUCGUACGAAAUCGCAAGAGGAGGUGCCUCUGGGCAAAAUAUGAGUGUUGUGAGGGACUGAGCAUAGAAUAUGAAAGUUACAGGGGCUUACAAACAAUUUUGCAAAAUCCAUAUUUAGGUGACUAGGGUUUCCAAACCCUAUACAACAUAUCCUUACCUCCUCUGAGCCCUAGCUACCAUAGCCCUCGUCCUCACCUACGCCACCGCCUCCCUCGACCUUCGGUGACCAUCCUCGACCGCCGGAGCCCUGGCCACGAUCUCGUCAGCCAUUAAGGGCGCGUUUGGUUCAUGUUAUGUAGCAUUACAAGAUAUUUCAAUAUAACUAGAUAUAUGAGAUUUCUAAAUCAGAUUACUACUGAUCCUGCAUUAUCACGUUUGGUAUAAUGCAGUAAUAUAAUGCUAGAUUACAAUAUAUAUGGAAUUAUUAUGUUUGGUUUAUUUUAUAAAAUUUAGUAAUCCUAACAAUAAAUGGAGAAGACAAAAUUGUUUGAAGCACGCACAGAACCGGAAGCGCCCCUUGUUUCAAAUUUCAAAGAGAGGAGGGCGGGUUAUUCACAUUUAAUUUGAUGGUCAGAGGCGAAUUGAAAGUUAGAUCUACAUUGGAUCUCACCUGAAUCGCCCCACCUAUCCUCCUGAGGAGAAGUUUGGUUUCAAACUCCGAUUCAAACAGGAGUACGCCAUGCUAAUGUGCCUUGGAUGAUCCACAUCUCCGGGUCAGGCGCUGAUGAGCACAUUGAACUAUCCAUGUGGCUGAGAGCCCUCGCAGCCCAGGCACAUUCCACAAUUGCCCUUAUGUUAUAUUUGACAAAAUAUAAAUUUAAAAUAUAAACGUGAAAUUUAAAAAUUUAAAAAUUAAAAUUUUAUAAUUUAAAAUUUGAAAUUUAAAAUUUGAAAUAUAAAUUUAAAAUCUAAAUUUAAAAUUUAAAAUUUAUAAUAUAAAUUUAAAAUUUAAAAUCUAAAUUUAACAUUUAAAAUUUAAAAUUAAAUUUGAUUAAAAUUUUAAAUUUAAAUUUACAAUUUGACAAUUCAAAAUUUUAAAUAAAAUUAAAAAAAUGACAUAUACAAAGAGUUUGGGGGAGGGGUUGGAGAGGUAAACUUAUAAUUUUACAUAACACGCAGGAUUACUCGCCAACAGUAAUACAAGAUACUCACCCCCUGCUAGGUAAUAUUUUUGGUGUAAUCCUGCACCCUUUGUAAUGCUACAUUACCGACCAGAUUACAGAUUGGAUGAAUCAAACACAGUAAUCCUAACAGGAUUGCCUGUAAUCUUGGCGGGAUAACUCGAACCAAACACGCCCUAAGUUCCAUCUCUCUCUCUCUCUCUCUCUCCCCCUCAAGAUAUCACUGUCUCCCCCUAUCUCUCUCUAACUGUCGCUCUCUCUACCCGAUGCUCUCCUCUCUCUCCCCCUCAAGACCACAUUGAACCCGAGAAGCUCCAUCCUCGGUUGCGCCGCCUCGGACCACCGCCGUCAGCUCCUAUGUGUCCGGUGAUCCCACUCUGGCAGCCCUGGCGUUGCUGAUCUCUCCUCGAGCUCAAUCUCUAUAUUUGAACCUGAUUUGUGGUAGAUCAAGCCAUAACUCCAAGCCCGGGGCCGUCGCCCCUGCCGUCGCGGCUUCCUGCCAUCACUGCGGACAUUUAUGGACCCCAUAGCACCCUCCGGUGCCGCCCCGACGGCCCUCGGCCAUCCCAUUGCUCGGGUCACCACCCUGAACCUGAGGGUGUUUAGGGUUGGCCAAAACCCUUCAACCACCGCUACCUCCAACCACCGGCAAUCGUCACCUCUGACCUCUCGUCGGGUGUACCCACUCCGGCCGGCGCGUGCCUUUCUUGGCCGCCGGAACCAGCAAAGAAAGAAGCCUGCUUUGGUCUGCCUUGGGCUAGGGCUUUGUUUUGGCUGACACUCCUAUUCCGGCCAUCCCUAGUGUCGGUGACCUCUCGGCAGGUGAGUAUGACCUUUCUGAGACCUUGUAGGUCACCGUCCUCCCCUAUGCGGCAAUCCGUUUGACCCUAUUUUGUUGAAUUGGCACCGUUACUCUCGUAACCCUUAGCACCUGAAGUUCAGGUUGCUCCAACGCGCUUCUCGGCCUCUUUAUGCGCUGCAGACAGCAAGCACGGGUUUCGAAACAUCGAAACCUUCCAGCCUACACAAUCGGUUGGGUUCCAAAUCGCAGAAUCCUUGGUAAUGGACAAAAACUGUAGUUUUUCAUAUGUAAUUAAUGCAAUAAUUGAAUGCUUAGUGGUUUCAAUGCAAUUUGGCCAUAUGGACUGUCUCGGGCAGCGUGAACCCACUGCUUGUGACCUCUGGACUGAUCAUCCUAGGUCUAAUGGCCUUUGCGAAGCGUAAUUAGGGUUUCGGAGCGGUUAUCGGCAAAAUCGUCGAUCGAUCGCGAUUUUGGUUCGAGAUUCGCGUUCAAUCAACGUGAAUGCUCGGUAUUCGUUGUCGUGUUGGCUGGUUGUCCUCAUUGUCUUGUGUGUCCGGAGACAACGAUUGGGUGGCGGAGGGUUCCAGAGCCGAAAUCGGCAUUUUUGGGAAUCCGAUGCGAUACGAUUUACGUUAAACACUUUUAUUAACAUUAACUUAGUGUGUUGCUGCCUGCACAACCAAAUCGGUGUGCUUCGGGGCAGUAGGUGGUCUACGGUGAGGGUUGGUAUCCUCCGGGGCACUUCGUCGGUUUCGAAAGUAUUCUGGUGAGUUCCCGAAAAUUCCGGCAGGUUGCGGGAAUUGGUAAAAGGAACCGAUUGCCAGAUGGUUUUCGGGAUUAGAGAUUAUUGACUUUUGAGUCAUUUAGGGUUAGUCGUGUUUAGUGGAGUAGUCUAUGACUUCGUGGAAUCUUUUGUAGGUCUGGCGACGUUUAUGAGCACCUUUGGAAUUGUAGGUGCCUCGUCAGCUUUAGGUAGGUAUUUCGAUCUGAAAUCGGUAUAGUAGUUCAGUGGCAUUCUUCCUCUUUCCUCUUCUAUUUGAUCACAUAUUUUAUGUUGAGCAGUUGUCACCACUAGACUUCACGUUCUGUUUGCUCUACAGUUACUUAUACUCAUCUUGACUUAAGGUGGAGUGGUAUCCUAUUGUCGAUUGCAUGACUAGUUUACUUGAUUGACCUGAUUAGUCGGUGUUAGGUGAUAUUUAUGAGAUAUGAGUGAUCAGAUUUGGUCGGUGAUUCCUUGUGGAUUCGAUCUUGGGUAUUUGCCAAUUGUUGGCUAUUGAGUAUAUUGCAUCGAUUGCCAUAUGUCACGGACUUAGCGUUUUCGUUCGCAAAGCCCGUGCGGCGCCCACCUUUCCUGCUCGAAGAUGGACAAGCCUUUGUCCUUGUUGCUAGCCCGGACCUUCGCGUCCUACGACUAAGUAUGCAAAGGGAAAUGACAAAGAGAAAGAGGCAGAGGUUCUCUCAAAAACUAAGUACUACACUACUUAGAAAUGAGAAUUACAACCUACAAACAGCAUACAAACACACUCUCUCUUGUGUGUCAUGGCCUUAGCCAACCUCACUAUUUAUAGGCCUAAAGGUGCCUUUUCAACUCACCCACUACAUACAUAAUGAACCCACAUUAUGAGCCCUCAUAAAUGCCAAAAGCUCAAGAGUCACCCAUAACUCCCAUGAGUUUCAUAACCCUUGAGUUUCCCACAACGGGUUGGGUUUGGGCCUUCUUGACAAUCCGCUUCGACCCGUCUUCAACCCGAACUCGCUAAGCAGAUUUGGGCCAGGGACUGGGCUGCAUAGAAAUUUUUCUAAGUCCCUGACACCCUCCUCCACCUAAUGCGCAGGCGUCCUCGUCGCGCGCUGCUUUUGAAACUCGUCGAUGAGCGCUUGGUACUGCCAAAGUGUGUCCGCCUUUUCCCAACUAGCCUCGCCGAAUGGGAGAUUCUUCCACUUCACCAAGUACUCAGGAUUCGGCACGACCCCACGUCGCCGAAUGAGUCGAGUGUCCAGGAUGGACUCCGCUUCUUUGUCGAACGAAGUCACCAUGGUCGGAGGCGCUCGCUGCGACACUCCUCUGCUCGGAUCCUCCGCGUCCUCGUUGUACAGCUUCAACCUGCUGACAUGAAAAACAGGGUGGAUCCUGAGGUUUGCGGGCAGCUGCAGCUUGUAGGCCCCCUUGCCCACACGCUUGACGACGGUAUAUGGGCCUUCGUACUUGCGCAGCAGUCCCUUGUGCACCUUCCGCAAGGCUUUGAACUGCUGCGGAUGAAGCUUGACCAUCACGCGGUCGCCCUCGGCAAACUCCCGAGGCUGUCGCUUUUCGUCAGCCCACUUCUUCAUCCGUCGUGCUGCUUUCUCCAAGUUCGCCCUUGCAAUUUCACCCUUUUCCUGCAAGUUAGUGGUAAACUGAAGAGCAACUGGGCUGCGGAACUGCUCUCCCGCAGCAGCCGUGUGAGGGGCAAGUGGUUGUCGCCCGAUCGCCAACUCGAAAGGGCUGCAGCCUGUAGACUCGCUGCGCCGCAAAUUGUAAGCAAACUGGGCGACAUCGAGAUGAUGCACCCAAUCUUUCUGAUUGGCACUCACAUAGUGCCGCAAAUACUCCUCCAACAGAGCGUUCACCCGCUCAGUUUGCCCGUCGGUCUGUGGAUGCCAACUGGUGGAGAAGAGCAACUCCGACCCCAAGAUUUUGAACACCUCGGUCCAAAACUUGCCAGUGAACCUGGGGUCGCGGUCGCUCACGAUGCUCGUGGGGAUCCCCCAAAGCUUGACGAUGUGGCUGACGAAGAGGCGUGCCGCUUCUUCAGCCGUGCAAUCGGUCGGCGCAGCAAUGAAGGUCCCGUACUUGGAAAAACGAUCAACCACCACCAGAAUGGACCCAAGCACCCCCACCUUUGGUAAGGCGGAGAUGAAGUCCAUCGAAAUGCUCUCCCACGGACGGCUAGGCACAGGUAAAGGCUCGAGGAGUCCGCCAGGUCGCUGGUGCUCAACUUUGUCUUGUUGACACACCAAGCAGGUUCGCACGUAGGCCUCCACGUCUUCGUGCAUCCGCGGCCAAAAGUAGGCGGCCUCGAGCAACGCCAGGGUUCGCUUCUGACCUGGGUGGCCCGCCCACUUGGAGUCAUGGCACUCCUUGAUGAGCUCGCGGCGAAGGUUGCCCCACUUGGGCACGUACACCCGUCGCCCCUUUGUGAGGAGCAGCCCGUCGCUCAGCCAAAACCUUCGCGUUUUGCCCUCCUUGACAAGCUGCACCAGAUUUUGAGCGAUAGGGUCCUCAUUGGUUCCUGAACGAAGUCGAUCGCGGAGCGUCCCUUGAAGCUGCCACACGGCUGCAAGCUCAGCCUUGCGGCUGAGAGCAUCAGCCACGCGGUUUUCCUUCCCGGGCUUGUAUUGCAUCUCCAUGUCGAACUCCGCCAAGAAGUCUUGCCACCUCGCCUGCUUAGGGGACAGCUUCUUUUGGGAUUGGAAGUAGCUUGUGGCAACGUUGUCGGUGCGCACCACAAACUUGCUCCCAAGCAAAUAGUGCCGCCAGGUUCGCAAGCAAUGCACCACAGCGGUCAUUUCCUUCUCUUGGACGGUGUAACGCCGCUCGGUGUCGUUGAGCUUGCGGCUCUCAUAGGCGAUGGGGUGCCCAUCCUGCACGAGGACACCGCCAAUGGCAAAGUCAGAGGCAUCAGUAUGUACCUCAAAGGUGCGACUGCAGUCGGGUAGUCGCAGCACUGGAUCCUCCGUCACCGCUCGCUUUAGGUCCUCGAAUGCCUCCGCACAUUGAGAGGUCCAAACCCACGAGUGGUUUUUCUUCAGCAGAUCCGUCAACGGGGCUGCUCUCGCAGAGUAGCCAGCAAUGAAUCGGCGGUAGUAGUUAACGAGUCCAAGGAAAGACCGCAACUCGGACACCGUCGUUGGGGUCUCCCAUUCGCAGAUGGCUCGCACCUUCCGCUGGUCCAUGCGAAUCAGGCCCUGGCCUAUCCAGUGGCCAAGGAAGUGCACCUCUUCCUUCGCGAAUAUGCACUUCUCCUUCUUGACGAACAGCUGGUUCUCCCGCAGCACUUGGAAGACGGUUCGCAAGUGCUCGAUGUGCUCCUCCAAGGUGUUGCUAUAUACCACGAUGUCGUCGAGGUACACCACCACAAAGCGAUCGAGAUAGGGAUGGAACAGCUUGUUCAUAAGUGUGCAGAAGGUUGCUGGCGCGUUCGUCAAGCCGAACGGCAUGACAAGGAACUCAUAGGCCCCGUACCUCGUCACGCACGUGGUCUUCUCCUCGUCUCCUUCUGCAAUCCGCACUUGAUAAUACCCAGAGCGAAGGUCGAGUUUGGUGAAGUACUUCGCUCCGCCCAAUUGGUCGAAGAGAUCUGCAACCAAAGGAAUUGGGUAUUUGUUUUUGACCGUUACCUUGUUGAGCGCUCUGUAAUCGAUACAAAGCCGCAGGCUUCCGUCGCUCUUGCGCUGGAACAAAACUGGUGCUCCAUAGGGUGCCUUUGACGGUCGGAUGAAGCCCGCAUCGAGGAGCUCCUUCAACUGCUUUUGCAGCUCCUCGAGCUCUGGCGGGGCCAUUCUAUAUGGCGCUUUCGCUGGCGGUUUGGCUCCUGGCUCGAGCUCAAUGGCAUGAUCCACCUCCCGUCUAGGUGGAAGUUGCUUCGGCAGUUCCUUUGGCAUGACAUCCUGGAAAUCUGCCAAGACCGCCCCAAUCUCUGCAGGAAGGCCCUCCUCGUCGAGGCCCUCGUCGCUCACCUCGCGGAUCGCCGCAAGGUAAGUCAUCUCACCACGGUUCACACCCCUUCGCAACUGCAAUGCAGAGAGGGUUUGGGUGCUUACCGUUUUCUCCUGGCUUGCUAGGACCAUGCAUGGGGCCGCCUCGUCCAUGAUGCUCAAGGCCCCAAGGUGUGGCAUCGGAACCGCCUUCGACGAAGCCAAGAAGUCCAUACCUAGUAUGACUUGGAAGUCGUCGAUGGGUGCAGCGGUGAAGUUUGCGGUGCCUCUCCAAGGUCCCACCGCAAUGGCCACGCCUUUGGCCACGCCCGCAACAGGUUGCGCCUCAGAGUUGACGGCCUUGAUCCUGCUAGCAUCCUUCUCAAGGGGAAGGCCUAUCCGUUUGGCCUCCGCUUCGGCAACAAAGUUGUGAGUGGCUCCCGUGUCCACCAAUGCUCGUGUGGCCCUGCCGUUAAGGGUCACAUCGAUGUACAGAAGCUCCUUGUUGAGGGGCUUGCUGCUGCUUGCCAGCCCCUGAACCGCGUUGACGAGCCUAAGCGCGCCCAUCUUCGUCGGUUCUGCACUGCCCUCGCCCUGCUCGGUCUGGACAGCAUUCAGCUUCUUCUUGUUUGGGCAGUCCCUCGCCCAAUGGUUCUCGCCGCAGACGUAGCACGUCAAUUUCUUUGGCGGCGGCACAGGACCCCUCUCGCGGCCCCUGCGCUCCUUCUGGUCACGACGGUCUCCUCCACCUUUAGCCUUGCUCGCUUUGGGCGUCUUGCUGCGAGUUGAAUCCGCCCGCUCGUACUCGGGCAGUUUUUCCGCCAAGGCAAUUGCGGAGGCAACGUCCUUGACGUCGCGUCCCACAAGCUCCUUGUUCGCCCAAGGUUGGAGUCCGUCGAGGAAGAAGAAUAAGCGAUCUUCCUCCGCCAUGUUGGUGAUGGACAGCAUCAACUUGGAGUAUUCCUUGACAUACUCCUUGAGCGUCCCGGUGUGUUUGAGCCGUCGAAGUUGCUUCCUCGCAAGGUACUCGACGUGCUCGGGGUAGAACUGCGCCUUGAGCUCGCGCACGAAGUCCUCCCACGUCUUCAAGUUGCAUUGGCCCUUCUCGGCUUCUGCAGAACGCCGACGCCACCACAGCAUCGCGUCAUCAGCAAGGUACAUGGAUGCAGCCUGGACUUUCUCAUCUUCGUCGUCCAGCCGCAACGCCUUGAAGUAGCGCUCCAUGUGCCACAGAAAGUUGUCGAUCUCCUUCUCGUCGCGGGUUCCCCUGAAAUUUUGAGGCUCAGGGAUACGUACCUUCGAAGCGGACUCUCGUUGGGGUUCGUGGCCACGCGCCACCGCUUUCUCAAGGAUCGUUACUCUUGUCUUGAGGUCCUCGACCUCGUCGACUCGAGCAACAAGCUCCUCGAUCAGUUUCUUUCGCUCCUCGUCACGAUUCUUCAUGUUGGCUUGGAGCUUUUCGAGAUCGCUUCGAAAUGUCUCCAUGGCUGUAGCGACACUUUCCUCCAUGCUGUGGACAUCUUCGUUGAAUGAGUUAAAGGUAUCCGCCAUCUCGGUGUACCUUUCACCCAUUUUCGCGAUGAUGUCCUCCAACAGCACAAGGCGGUCCUCCAACGACGCCGAAUCCCUCGUGAUUCGCUGAGGGUCUUUGCUCUUGCUUCGCUUGGAGGGCUGCUUUGGAGGGUCGCCCCCAACGUCGACGAUUCCCGCAUCGGAUGACGACAUGGUUCCUCGCUCGAACCGGCUCUGAUACCAACUGUCACGGACUUAGCGUUUUCGUUCGCAAAGCCCGUGCGGCGCCCACCUUUCCUGCUCGAAGAUGGACAAGCCUUUGUCCCUGUUGCUAGCCCGAACCUUCGCGUCCUACGACUAAGUAUGCAAAGGGAAAUGACAAAGAGAAAGAGGCAGAGGUUCUCUCAAAAAACUAAGUACUACACUACUUAGAAAUGAGAAUUACAACCUACAAACAGCAUACAAACACACUCUCUCUUGUGUGUCAUGGCCUUAGCCAACCCCACUAUUUAUAGGCCUAAAGGUGCCUUUUCAACUCACCCACUACAUACAUAAUAAACCCACAUUAUGAGCCCUCAUAAAUGCCAAAAGCUCAAGAGUCACCCAUAACUCCCAUGAGUUUCAUAACCCUUGAGUUUCCACAGCGGGUUGGGUUUGGGCCUUCUUGACAACCCGCUUCGACCCGUCUUCAACCCGAACUCACUAAGCAGAUUUGGGCCAGGGACCGGGCUGCAUAGAAAUUUUUCUAAGUCCCUGACACAUAGCUCAUAUGCAAUUCGCAUACAUCACCACAAUGGUGUUAUUUUAUAGAAGAGUGGUCGUAUUUCCAACCCGUGAGCGCUAUUCGCAGGUGCGUUUUGCAUGGGGUUAUGUGCAAAGAUAGGUGAGAAAGAGAGAAUAGCCGGAGCUCCAACUGCCGGAGUAGGGUUGCUCGGAGGUCGGGGAGGCCGGCGGCAGCGGAUUGGAGUUGUGGAUGUCCGCUAGUGGUGGGGAGAGAGAAGAAGAAAAAGGGUAAACACCCUAAUUUUCCCCUAUAUGUAUAUUUGUAACAAUUGCAGUUUCACCCCCCAGGUUUACAGUUUCUUGCUCAGGACUGCUUGGCAUGUGAAUCUUGCACAGUAGUAUCUCCGGUUAAAAACUCUUGCAAUUUUAUACGAAAUGUCACACUUUUUUUUAGAAAAUCCCUUUUUUAUCGGUUUCUUUCUUGCCCUUUUUCUCUCCAAACCUUGCUUUCAUCGUGCUAAAUCAUAGUAAGAUCCCUCCCACAACUUAUUGCAGUGCUAGACCUCGCAAAUGAUGAUUUUGUUUUUUUGGAAAACUAUAAAAUUUCACAACUAUCCCCCAACAUUUUGAAGUUUUAUUUAAAUAAAACUUGGUUUCUACGUCGAAAUUCGACACCAUAAACUUUUCUAAGUGGCUAGUGUUUGAGAUUUUGGAUGCCUAAAAUAGUAGCUCGAGAAACAAACUAGAACCAAACAAGAAGUUCAAGGAAUAUAGUGCAUUUCUUCCUUUAGGCUAUAUACAGUUCUCUAGAUCCGAGAAAUAGCCUGUAACUUUGUCAAGCUCAAUGUGGCUCUACAGGCUAUAGUCUAUGUGAUGAUCAAAAGAUCACAAAUGACUAAUCCAAGUCAUUUCUCUAUCUAGUGUUACCAUGAAUUAAUCAUAUUCUAUUGUUAUGUCUAAAACAUCCAUUUACUACUGCUGCGCUAAUCCACGGCCUUUACCCCAUAGUUCAUGUCAACCAAAAUAUAAUUAUAUGAAGAAUACUUCACAACCAUAAACAAAAUGUCAACUGGCCCUUCCCAGCCUAAUUUAACCUAUACACUUAAUACACUAUCUUACGACUAUAGGGUAUUUACCAUAGGUGAGGGUUCACAUGCAACUGUACUAGAAUUCUAGUCAUAAUUUUAUUUUUUAUUUUUUAUUUUUUAAUUUUUUUUAAUUUUUUUUUUUAUAUCUCAGAGCAACCUGACUCUACUUCCCUGUUUUGCUGCUAAAACUACUUCCUCGAAAGUUCCUUAAACAUCCAUUUCCUCUAUUUCUUGUCUCAUUAUCAUUUUCAUUGUUAAUAUAUUACCUAAAUUAUCUUUUACUUGGCUUAAUAUUACCAUGAUGCUUUUUGUAGAAGUUUUUGAAUUGGUUGGUAGCUCCAGAGUUUUGAUGAUUAAAGGUUUAAUAUUCCCUUGAAUCAUGUGAGUGCGAGCUCUCAAGAAUUCCAAUCAGUUUGAGCAAAAGUACCAACCUUAUAGUAACUUUUUUUUUUUUUUUGUUUCUUUUUUGGCUAGGUACAGUUUUCCCUUGUUGUCACCCAAUGUCAAUGCAAUAACUCCAAAUCCCUCUAUUAGCCAUACGUAAUCAUCAAUUACUUUGGGCAGACAGAGUUUCGUCUUUCGCUUGUCUCGAGUAGAAAAAAUAGGAUAUAGUCAUAAAACCUAUUACCUAUUAGAAACUUUUUUUUGUAGAUAUCUCUUCAAUAAAUUUUAAUUCAAAAUUAGAUUCAAUUCUAACAUAAUUAAAUUAUGAAAUUGUAUUUUCAUAAUUCUAGUUCAAAACUUUAAUAUAAAAUCAAUUUUCAAAUUCUAAUGCAAAUUAAAAUUUUAAUUUCAUUUUUUAAAUUUAAAAUUCGAAUUAUGAAAAUAAGUUUUAAUUCAAAUGCACACAUUCUGAAUUCAAAUUCAAACUUAUAUUCAAAUUUUGAAUUCACAUUUUAAAUUUAAAUUAACUUGCUAAUUUUGUAAUUCAAAAUUAGAAGUCAAAAUCUAACUCAAAUUUUGAAUUUCAUUAUAAAUCAUUUUAAGUUGAAUUCAAAUUUCCUUUGAAUUUAAAUUUAAAUUUUAUAUUUUGAAUUCAAAUUUCAAAUUUGAAUUUAAAUUCAGAAUACAAUUCAAAUUUAAAGUUUGGUUUCUAUUCAUAUUUCUAAUUCAAAGUUAAAUUUUAAAUUAAAUUCUAAACUUGAUUUUAUGUUUCAAUUUCAAAUCUGAUUUAAAGUUGAAUUCGAAAUUUAAUUUUAUAUUGUGUCACCAUUAAGAACUGAUGUAGUAAUGGUAGUCGUAUAACAACCGCACAAUAUAUCAUACAUUGUCGCAAGAAAAUAAAUAGCGGUAGUUUUAGAAACUGUCACUAAAUAUAUUAUUUAGUGACAUUCUUACUAUCCGCCAGUAGAAAACCUGUCGCCGUAUAGCCUAUUUAUUGUAGUGACUGUAAGAACCCACUGUUAAAUAUUGUAGCAAAAUAAUAUAAUUUACACACCACAGGUUAGUAAAGUGAACUAUAGAAGAUGGUACUAUACUUUAUUUAACCAUCUUAUACGUCAUAAAGUAUAACACUUUACUACCUUCUAGUUUCUAAAUUAUUUCAGUUUAUUAUCCUAUUUAAUGGCAGGUCUUGAAGUGAAAGAAAAGCAAAAACACAAACAGAAAAGUGACACUGCUCAAACCAUCAGUUGUCAAAGUGAAAAUAUGCUAAACUUGGCCUAAUUGAAAUUUUUUCCACAAAAAAGAAAAUUUGAAUCAUUAUGUUAUGCAUUUCAUUUGUCAGCCAAAAACCAAAAUGCCUUCUAGGCUUCUAGCACAAAAGACAUUUACCUUAAACCUGUUGUUGGCAAGAGCUGUUCUUUUACAAUUUGGUGAAAAUAUGUGGAGAUCACCUCAACUAUGGGCCAUUUUGAAAUGGCAGCCUCAAUUUUUUCUUUUUUUUUUGGAUUGAUUACUUUAAUUUAUGAAUUUGUAAUUAAGUGAUUUUUAAAAAUUAAAUUGGAGAGACUUUACCAAAUUCAUAAGUGAGUUUAUCACAUUUAUAUAUUUUUUAAUCAUUUUUACUAGGUAUUACUAGAGCAAUUAACAAUUAGUAGCUAAUUGAGCCAUUAAAUUUAUUAAAUUUUGUAACUUAAAUUAAGAAGAAAAACUAAAAUCGAAAAAUUGAAUGUUGAGGAGGGUGCCAAUCAGAAAACUUAAAAGAUGAGAAGGCCACUUCAGAAGGCCCUAUAGCUGAGGGGGUUUCUGGUUGUUGAGUGAUUACCCUAUUCAGAGCUUAAUUUCUAGGAUCCAAAUCGGCAUAUAUACUGCCAUCCAGCUUAAUUUCUAGGAUGUUGACCGUAAUAAUUUCUAGAUCAUUGACCCUAGUAAUAAUAACUUGGACUAAAGCAUUUUGGGCUAGUUUGCGCUAAAUGAGUUAUUAGUGCUAGUGACCUAGGUCGUUAUAAUUAGAAUAUAUUGAUGCCAAGGAAAAUAAAUAUUUCAUAUCAUAGUUUGUGCCAAUAAAUAUUUCAUAUCAGUCUGUUGGCACAUCGAUAUAUUUUUGACCAGCACUGUAUGGCAAGCAGCGUGUCUUACUGUGCCAGUAAAUUCUUGGCACAACCUUGUGCCACGAUAUUUAAAUCCUUGCUUAGAAUUGCUAUGUACUUGUUUCUAUAGAGAUAUGAGACUAAUUCGAAGGGGUUAGAGAUAUUCUGGAAGAGCUGGUUACCAAGGCCUGGCAUUACCCCUAAGGCUGCCCUCUUCUUUUGCCACGGCUAUGGCGAUACCUGCACCUUCUUUUUCGAAGGUAAUUUCUUUCCUAUCGUGAGUGCUACAUUUUGCACCAAGUGCUCUCUCUGUCUAUCUAUCUAUCUAUUGAUCUAAUAUCAUCAUAAAUGCUUUUUGAUAAUUCAGGUAUUGCAAAGAGAAUAGCUGAGUCUGGAUAUGCAGUAUAUGCCAUGGAUUACCCGGGCUUUGGCCUCUCAUAUGGACUACAUGGCUACAUCCCAAGCUUUGACGGAAUGGUCAAUCAUGUCAUUGAGCAGUAUGCACGCAUCAGAGGUUUUGGAGGCAUUCUAUUUCUGUUUUUCUAACUUCUCUCAUUUUGUUUGCUUGUCCAAAAGACUAUAUAUUUGAAGAGGAUUAGAUGUUGAGUACAUUAUCUGUAAAUGUGUUCCCAAAUUGUGAACUUUUGUGAUUUUGAAAACUGCUUUUCAGGGUUAAAGGAAGUGAAUGGGCUACCACACUUUCUGUUGGGGCAGUCCAUGGGAGGAGCAGUUGCUCUCAAAGUACAUCUAAAGCAACCGGCGGAGUGGGAUGGGGUACUUCUUGUUGCACCAAUGUGUAAAGUAAUUCCUAAUGCUUGAUCAUGGCACACUUGAUAGAUCCAUAUUCACUGCUUUUUAAUUUCUGGAAUUUAUAUUUUUAAAUUGCUUUUAAAAAAGUGACAUUUAGAAGCAAAAUACCAUUGCUUGACACGGUUCCAUAAAGCUGCUUUAUCACUAUCAAAUUUUUUGAUGGACACCAAAUUCUAUGUUUAAAUUUAUGCUAGUUUAGUUGUCUCUUUCUUUGCCAAGACACCCUAUAUAUUCCGUGCUCAAGUGAAAUGUUUUGAGAGCGGAAUAAUGAUAAUAACUACCAUAUUCUUUGGAAAGGUGAAUUACUAAGUUGUCACGAACCUAAAAUUGAAUGAAUAUAAAAUCACUGAGACAGUGAUUCAUCUAAUUAUCUCUUAAUUGCGUAGUUCAAUUCAUUGAGGUGUUGACCCUUUCAAACGUGCAAGAUUGCAGAAGAUGUGACACCGCCAGGGCCAGUUUUGAAGGCGCUUACUCUACUGUCAUAUGUUUUACCUGAAGCAAAGCUGUUCCCACAGAAAGAUUUGGGAGAUUUGGCUUUUAGGGAUUCAGCAAAAAGGAAAAUUGUAAGUAUCACCAAUUAAUCUAGUGUAGGAAACACGUAAAAUAACUUCUAAUCAUCAAGCUGAUAAUUUUGACAAAUACAAAUGCAACUUAUCAUUAUCUCAUGAAUAUAAACAUAGCCGUAUGUUUUCCCCCUACUAAUUGUUUUUGUAAAGAUAUUACUGUACUUUACCUAGUCUUCAUGACUGUCCAUAAUAUCUUUUUCUUGUUACUAACUGCUGCUUCGCUGAUUAGUAAUAUGUUCUUGUCUUCAUAACAAUAUUACACCCUUCAAAUCCAAUUAUUGGAUUACUCUUAAUUUCCAGGUUAUUCGUAAAUUUUUGAGUGUGUGUGUUAUCAUUUGAUAUAUCAAAGUUCUCCAUUAUGUGCAGAAUACAUACCCGCAAUCUGUGUUUUGGUUUCUGCCUCUGUUUCUUUUCUCCUGAAGUCAGGGAUUAGUGAUGCAGGAAUGAUUUAAUUAGGCCAAGGUUAGAUAGGGAUAAGGUCUCUCUUUUCAUGCUAUUAACUAUUAUAUAUUUUUUUAGCCGCUUUGAAUUCGAGAAGUUGGAUUUUUGAACUAUAAGUUAACAGAACAAAUCUUACUUCAAUAAUUUAGUGGAAUUCUCAGAAAUCUGAUCGACCGGUUCAUAUCUUGCUUUAAAUUGCUUUAAUUUUAAUCCAAAUCCAACUUGGAAAUCCUGGGCGAUAUGGCUGAUAAACCUUAUCUUGCUCAUCUUUUUAAAGUUGCUUGAGUGGCUUUCUAAUCUUACCUUUAGUAACGGCAGGAGUCUUUCGUAGUGCAAUACCUUCAACAACCUUUAAACAAGCGGUUCUAAGCUAAAAAAAUCGAGUUACAAGAUUGCAAGGUCUGAUUGACUAAGCUUCACCCAGUACACAAAUUGGUUUUCCGCCUGAACGGCUUAGCUUGUGGAAAAGAAAGAAGGGCACUAGUCCGUGUAGUCAAAAAGAAGAAAGCCAAACAAGCCAUUUCACACUUGACUAUAAAGCUUCUUGUGAGGAAGCCCUUUGCUACACUAGCCUUUAGUGAAUAGAGGACAUAAGGGAAGCAUUAGUUUAGGCUUAUAAAGAAGAGAAGGAUUAGUAAUACAUUAACUAGAAAAGUCGUAAAGCCAAGGUGUUCACCUGCAGUCGAUCUUAAUAGUCAUUUGUCUCCACUAGGGAUAGGUCGAAGCAAGGAAUGCAGCUCAUAGCAGCUAGCAGCAACUUAAGCAUCCUAUCUGAAGGCUGAGAUGUUGUAUUUGCUUACAGGGUAUUUCUUAUACUCUUCCUCCAAGAGUUUCAGGCUCCGAUGCCGCUUCCUUUGCUGAGCACCCGGAUCUAAUUAACUAGAGUACCCCUUGGAGGAUCGUUAGAUAGCAAGGUUUGUCGCUACUCAGAUUAGCAGCAUGUUGUAAAGUUGUUUCAUUUCUAUAUUUAGUUAUAUUCUGGCUCCUUCAGUAAUAUACUGGACAUGCAUAUCAUAUAUCACAUAGUUGACAUUCUUACGGAUAUUCAAGUUUCUCAGUUUAUACUUCUGAUAUGAUGACAGAAAGCGAAGUACCAUCAUGGGACUGAGUCUUGUGGUUGUUUGGCAGUUUGCUAACAUCCCGGGCAGGGUUUGGGGCGCAAUAGAUGAACAAAAAUUUAUAUGGUGAUCCUCCCCAUGGUGAGACUGUCUAAUCUGCCAUCUAUGGUGCAUUAAAAUUCAAAUUUUGCACAUGACGAACGGUGGAUUUGACUGUCCCACAUGGGGUGGGUCCCUCAUAAAUUGCUUAUACUGUAAUUUCAAAUAUUUUGAAGUCACGUUUGCAAGAAUAUCAAGGUUUAAUCAAAUCUCAUAUAUGUAUCAAGUCACUUUCAGGAUAAUCAAUUUAACAUCAUCUUCAGUUAUCAGAUUAAUUUCCAACAAGUAUCAUCCGAUCAAGACAAGAUUAAAACACUUAUAAUUUCAAUUUCAAGGUACAAGUAAAAGAACAAAGACAAAGUCUAUACUAGUUUCCUGCAUAUUUUGGGUCUUGCAGGAUUGCGGCUGCAAGAAGGGCAAAAGAGCUUAUGUCCUUAGGGUUUCAUUGAUGUGAAUAUAUAAUUACAAGAGGUGUAUGCAUGGCAACCAUCAUUACCAUAUAACCUUAUAAUUUAUUUGGAAUAUACUAUAUAGGUCCUGCUAUAUAUGUAAUGUAAUAUAUACAUCCUAAAUAUAGCCUAACAUCUCUUGCAAGCUUAGUAUCCUUUGCACUGAUGCGAAGAUUGGUUCGCAAGUUUAAAUAUUGAGAAAUGGAUUAGGGCUUAGCGAAGAUGUCAACUGGUUGCUUAUUAGAAGAGAUAUGGACUAAAUCCAAGUCACCUGAUUGAACUUUCUCCCUCAGGAAAUGAUGAUCAAGCUCAAUGUGCUUGGUACUAGCAUGUAAGAUAGGAUUGGCUACAAGACAUGUGGUGCUAAGAUUGUUGCAAUAGAUACAAAUAGAUUGCCAGAGGGAGAUUCCAAGAUCACGAAGGAUAUGCCGGAUCCAAACGGUCUCAGCAAGCGCAUAUGCUAUACAUUGAUACUCCGCUUCAGCAUUAGAGCAGGAAAUAGUAUGUUGCUUCAUGGCUUACCAUGAGAUAAGAUUAGAUCCAAGAAAGAUUUUAUAUCUAAAAGUGGAUUGGCGUGUAUCUGGGCAACCAGCAUAACGCAUAAAUAAUGAGUGAGGGAUUAUCAUAGCGGGAGAUAGGAAUGCCAUAGGAUAGUCUCCCAAAAAUAUAACGAAGGAAACAUUUGACAGUUUGCAUGUGAGGUUCGCGAGGUGCAUGAAGAUAUUGAGCAACUGUAUUGACAGCAUAGGAGAUAUCUGGCCAUGUGAAAUUAAGGUAUUAUAACGCACCAACCGCCUGACCAUAGAUGUAGAGAUCAUCAAGAGGUCGCCCCUUAUGAGAUGAGAGGCGAGCAGUAGGAGAAAGGGGAGUAGAAAUUGGCUUUACUAGCAAGAAACCAUGAGGCUCAAGUAGUUGAUGGGUUGAUGCGCAUAUUUAUGUUGAGUCAGAUAAAAACCAGAAAGGUAGCAUGUGACUUCUAUACCCAAAAAAUAAUGUAAAGGUCCUAAGUCCUUCAUUGUAAACUCCUGUUGUAACUGAUAAGAGACUCAACAAGAGAAGAAUUUCUAGUGACAAUAAUAUCAUCAACAUACAGGAGAACAGUCCCAGAAGGUGAGUGGCAAGUGAACAUCGAGAGAUUUGCAGUGCUGGCGAUAAAAUCAUUCUCCGAAAAAAGGAGGUGAAACGUUGAAACCAGGCCCGAGGUGCUUGCUUGAGUCCAUAAUUGUGUUCUUUAGUCGAUAUACAUGAUUAGGAAAGGAAGAAUGUAUAAAGUCAGGCAUUUGCUUCAUAUAAACCUCCUCAGAGAAAGAGAGCCAUGAAGGAAUGCAUUCUUCACAUUAAGUUGUCAAAGUGUCUGCCUAGAAAAGAAAGCAACGGAAAGAACAGUAUGAAUAGUAGCCGGCUUAACAACCGGAGCAAAUGUUUUCAUUAAAAUCAACACCUUGCUGCUUGUAGCCCUGAGCUACCAGUCGAGCUUUGAGACGCUCAAGAGAACCAUCCGCCUUCUAUUUGACCUUGUAUACCCACUUGCAGCCAAUAAGAUUGACUGAUGGUGGGGAAGGAACAAAACCCCAAGUAGAAUUGUCUAAGAGGGCAUGAAACUCUUUGGUCAUAAUUGCACGUCAACCUGCAUCUUGAAAAGUCUCAGCAAAAGAAUUAGGCUCGUUAGGAAGGAAAUACUGUCGAGCAGCUAGGAGCGAGGUAGAUGCAGGCAAAUCCUUUGUGAUGGAUCGAGUGAGCAUAGGGUGUAAACGAGAAGGGAUAGGUGGUGCUAUAGGUAAAUUAGGUAAGUAGGGAAUGAUACAGGUGACAUUGUAUCUGUAUGAGUGGAAGCGGAAGGGUCAUAUGGUGGUGAAGCAAAUUCGAUAGGAGGAUUCGGUGCAAUAGUCCUGGAAAGGUUUCGUUGGGUUUAGACACGGAGCUCUUGGCGACCAGUAGCAGAGGUAUUAUUCUCAUCUCUAAUUUGUGCAUCAUCAUAUUUCAAGUUUGUAGGAAAUUGAGAUAAGUACUCAGAUGGUAGUGAAACUGUUUGGGGAAGGUGAUUGGUACAAGAAACACUAGGACUAUUGGUAGGGAUGGAAUGUGUGAAACUAAAGCUCGAGAUGGCAUCAAUAAGAGACGGGCUCUCACCCAGUAAGGAAGGAGUUAGAGAUAGUUUUGAACUAGUUGAAAGUUUGAAUUCACAGACACUAAAGAGUUAGAAAUUUUUGAAAGAUAGGAAAACGAAAAAACUAUUUCAAUAAAGGUAACAUGCCGAGAAAUAAAGGUUUUACUAGUGCUCGGGUAAAGGUAGCGAAAACCUGUGCCUAUCAGGCAGUUUCAAGAAUACACAAGGAAGGGAUCGGGGAGAGCUUUAUGAUCAGCAACAUCCUGCAGGUCGAGAUAACACAAACAUUCAAAAACUAUAACAACUUGCAAAUCAGAAGGGACAACUAUGCAAAAUAUCGUAUGGCGAUUUUUCCUUUGAAAACAGUACGUUAAGGAGUGCAGUUGAUAAGAAAAACAACAGUUUGAAGAGUGUAAGGCCAAAACCGAAGAGACUAGAAACUUGAACAAGUAGACUUUUGAUAAUGUUAGCUAAAUGUUUGUAUUUUCUUUUCGCUACACCAUUUUAUUGUGGUGUAUGAGGAUUAAGAAAUCUAUGAAUAAUCCCAUUCUGAAGAAUAAUGUAGAAAAUUUUUCAUUUACAUGCUCUUUUACUAUUGUCAGAUUGAAAAGUUUUGAUUUUGCGAUGAAAAAUAUUUUUAACCAUCGCUUUGAACUCUAAUCAGUGUUUGAAAAGGCGCGCCUGAGGCGCGCGCCUCAGCGCCUAGGCGCGAGGCGCGAGCCUCCGCGCCUCAGCAAUAGCGAGGCGAGCGCUAGUUUGCUGAGGCGCGCGCCUAGGCUUGAGGCGCGCGCUCAGGCGAGGCGCGAGGCGCACAUAAGGUGGCGCCUGGGCAUAUUUAAUGUUUUUUGGAUUUUGGAUUAAAGUUUUCGGUUAUUGGGUUUCGGAUAUAAAUUUUAUGUUUUAGCCCGAUAAGAUUAGUAAAGGAAUCUAAAAGAAACCUAAAAAAACCCUAGUGAAAUCCAUCUACUGCCCUCUCCUCCUACCACUCUCUCCUUUUACCGCCCUUUUCUCUUUCUUGAGGCCAAAUAAAAACAUUGGCACUACAAUCACUUUUAAGUUGAAAGUCGAAAUAUAUAUUUUUUAACUUGAGAACCUAUAUGCAUGUGUUUUCUUUACUUUUUUAUAGUUAUUUUAGUUUUGUAUAGUUAUUUUUGAGAUUUUAAUGUAGAAUAUCAAAUUAAAUUACUGUGCGCCUCGCCUUCUUGAGGCGCGCGCCUCGCAGUGCGCCUUGCGCCUAGGCUCUAGGAGAGCCUUGCGCCUUUUUGCGCCUCGCGCAUUUUCAAACACUGACUCUAAUGUUUUUUUUUAAAAACCUUAUAUUUAAAUUUUAGAAGAAAAAGCCGAGAAUAUUGAGAAUAAUCAUUCACAAAGAUUAUAUAAUAUUUAGAGCUAGAGACCGAAGGAACAUGAGACUGCUAUACAUCAGAAUGAACAAGUUGAAAAGAAAAAAUAGAUUUUGAUUCAGAAUUAAUAAAAGCCAGUUUGAUAUCUUUUCCCAUACAACAAGCAUUGCAGAUGGACAAAUUUAUUUCAGAAUUACUAUCAGAAAUAACAUUAUUUGCUUUAAUAAACUUUGAAAGAAUAGGUAAACUAAGGUGACCUAAACGUCUCUGCCAAAUAUCUCUACGAAAUCUGGAUGUAACAAAAGGUGAUCGUUACUUAUUUCCUACAUUUGCAACUGGAAAAGAAAUAGGAUGAAGUGCCUGAACUAUGGCAUCUUAGAAGCUCCUCCACUGUUUUCUUGUCCGUCACAGCAAAACCAGAUGAGUCAAAUUCGAAAAGAUAAUUGUUAUCAUGGCAAAAUUGAUGAAAAGAAAGUAAAUUCGUUUAAUAGAAGGAACAACAAGAACAUUCUUCAGAGUAAAGGAAGCGGAAGAAGUUUUCAAAUAUGUUUCACCUCUCUGAGUAAUAUUCAACAAAUUUUCGUUACCAACUAGAAUCUUAUCAUGCCCAGUAUAAGGUUUAGAAGAGAAUAUCCGGAUUAGCAGUCAUAUGAUUGGAUGCUCUAGUGUCCGGGUACCAAACCUCAUCAGGCUCAUGGUAGUGAAAGCUUGUGGAAUAUCAUCUACAACGAAGGAAUGAUUGUAAUGAUGCUUGCAUUGAAGGGCUCAAUGAUUAAAUUUUCUACAAAUCUAACACUAUACUGGAUUGGAAAAUAGUAGAUUGUUGGUUAAAUUGGUUAUGACUAGGUUGAGGAUAAGGUUGAGGAUGUGGAUAUGCUCUAUAAGAUCCAUGACCAGGAUUAGAAUUAUGUCUACCACACUGUCCUUGGCCUCUGGGAUAUCUAACCCCAUGGCCUCCACAGUUGCCUCGAUCACGAUUUGCUUAGAAGGCUUCAUCGUCAAUGGUGGAAGGAAUAGGUGAUGGAAGGAAGAUAGCACGAUGUUGCACUUCUGUUUCUUCGUGCAUAAGGAGUGGGCGAAAUUGUUCGAAGGUAGGUUUUGUCUUGUGUAUAUUAAGAGUGCUUGCAAAACUUCCGUAGUCCUUUUGUAGCUCCAGAAGAACAGUCAUGACCAAAUUAUGAUUAGACUCAGAUUUACCAUGUAAUGAUUCGGCCUACUAGCAAUAAUAACUCGUUGGGCCUAAAUCACCGGUUCAAAAUGCUUAAGUCUAGUUAUUAUUCCUAAUGUACAUGGUCUCUUAUAUACCCAAUGACAACCUUAUUCCCAUCCGAUGUGGGACUAUUGGGGUGUCACACACCAGUUGCCUGAAGGGCAUCACCUAUUGACUUGACUUUUGCAUAUAGUUAGUCAUCCCCAUUGAUUCCUUUUUGAUACUUAAUAACUCGGAUUUCAGAGAAAAAGCCGUAGAAGUAGUCUUGUUAAUGAAGUAUGCCUAAAUGAUUUUUCAUGCAUCACGAGCUGUUUUGGGUGAGCUGGAUAUGAUCAUCUGUAGUAUACUACGGGACAAAGUAGCAUUAAUUCAGGACAGUAUAGUAGUGUCCGCUUUCUUCUUGAUUAAAUAUUCAGUUUUCAUAAUUAUUUUCUCAUCAGCAGUUUCAAUAGCUUAAGAAGGAAUAAUAUCGGUCCCGGUCACAUGUGAGAUGAUAUCAGAACUCUCUAUAACAUUAAAAUAUUUUUUGUUUCCACACUAAAUAUGUAGACUCAAUGAGUUCUAAUGGUAUAAGAGUUUUGAUGUUAAUGACUAGGAGAGUAGAGGUUGAUAAAGACAUGUUUGUCACCAGAAGAGAAUACCACCACAAGAGGAACGGAAAAGGUCAGAAGUUACCAACAGAUGAAUGAAAUAUCACUAAGCCCAGCAGGACCAAGAUGAACUGAGCGGCACAAGAGGAACCGACCAGCACCAAGGAAUCAGUAGAGAGGUCGAGCGGCCGCAAGGAACUAACAGAGGGGGUCGAGCGGCACCAAGGAACUAGCAAAGAGGUUGAGCGGCAGCAAGGAAGCAGUAGAGGGGGUUGAGCGGCACCAAGGAACCAGUAGAGAGGUCGAGCGGCACCAAGCAGCAGAGAGGUGAUGCAGCAAAUAAACCUCAUUUUAUUUUUGAAUGCAAUUUUCUUUUAUUUUGUAGGUUCGUGUUUGAUUCGGACUUAAAUCAUUUAGUUUUAGUUGAUUUGGCUAACCCAAACUCUUUUCUCCAAUAAACAAAGAAACAAUUCUAAAAAGACCUUUGGAAUUUCCCAAAAAAAGACCUUUGAAAUUUCCAAAGUUGUUUCGUUUUCUAUGCAUGACUCUUGGGUGUCCAUGUUAUGUUGAAAACGAAAAGACAAUAAUUUAUUAUAGGAGGGCUCUUAACACUAUAAAUAUAUGGUUCUUGAAGCCUUAAGGGAGAUAUAUUUGGAUGAAUAGAAAAUUCUACUCUCACUCUUUAUCCUUGGUGUUCUACUUCCCGGUGAGAUCAUCGACGCUUUUUCCUCGCGCCGAGAUCGUCUUCUUCCUCAACUUGAUUGUUGUCGCUUCUUUCUCGUGACAAGAUCGACUUCUUCUUCUACCCCUACUCUUCUUCCGAGUCACUACCUCAUCUUCUUCUUUCCCGUUGCGGAAGUUCUACCCGUGGUGUACUGCCCUCCUCGUCGAUCGUGGAUCCUCCGCAAUCGUGUGAACGGUGCACUUUUGUAUCUCUCAUCUCCUGAUAUCCUAUUAUUCUCUUUUAAUCUAGCCUUCCACCAUUACCAACCAUAUUUGCCAAACAACCAAAUCUAAAGCUUUAAGUCCGAUAAAGCCGAAUUUACCUUUUGGAACUAUUAUAUGUAUUUUCAGUUGGUUGUUAUUAUCUUAUAUAUUGAAGGUUUAUCAUCAUCUUAGUAUUACUUCAAUUCGAUUUUAAUUUUUGUCUUGCUGAAAUUUUUGCUUCCUCACUUAAAGUUCAUCGGAAUUGAUAAAUUGAACUUAGUUUUAUCUUUAAACAAAAGCAAACUUGAAAAUUCAAUUUUGGCAACCUCACGGCUUGCAUCAAUUGGUAUCAGAGCAAAUUCUUUUCGUGGGAGCGUUUGUUUUGAUCUAAACAACUUUUUCCUGGUAUUCAACUUUGGGCCAAAAUAUUUCAGAACAAAAAAGAGCAUCACUUUUUGAUCAACUUGUUAGCGUUUGGUAAUGGCAGACAGUCGUGAAAAUCCUCGUGAUUGGCGAGAAGCAUAUGAGAAACAAUGAGAUUCCAUGAAAAGCAUGCAAAAUCAAAUGAAUAACAUUCAACAACUAUUGGAAUGAUUAACUAUGCAACAACAAAAUGCAGUUGGAGAAGAUUUGGAAAGUGACCAUGAUUUUGACAAUCGUACUUUACCUGCUAGAAGAAAUCCUCUUUCUCAAACUCAAGGAAAUAUACAUCGAUGGGAUCAGGGCAUUAAAGUGGACGUGAGUGAGAUCGAGGAUAAAUUACAACCUGAAGAUUUUGUGGAUUGGCUAGACAAAAUAGAACAAUUUUUUGAAUGGAAAGAAUUACCUGAUGACAAAAAAGUUAAAUUUGCCUCCUUUAAAUUGAAAGGACAUGCCUUAGUGUGGUGGAAACAAGUUCAAAAUGAUAGGGUUAGAAAGGGUAAAGAAAAGAUUAUCUCGUGGGAAAGAAUGAAAGAAAAACGUAAAGGAAAAUUCUUACCGAUUGAUUACCGUCUAACUAUUUUUCAAAAAUUACACAAUCUUAAACAAGGAUCUAAAUUGGUACAAGAAUAUACUGAAGAAUUUUACACCCUUCAAACUCGCAAUGAACUUAAAGAGGACGAAGAACAGCGAAUAGCUCGCUAUCUAGCUGGUCUUCGAACCCAAAUCCAAGAUGAGUUAGCCCUUUUAACUUUCUACAGGGUCGACAUGGCUUAUAGUCACGCACUUAAGGCUGAUAAUAAACUUAAAAGACAAACCUUUCGUCAGAGAAGUGCGAGCGUAAAGAACACCAUAGGUACUAAGCCUAUCCCAAAGAACGAUAGUCAAACCUCUUCAAGACCUGUUCAAGACCUUAAGGGCAAAGGAAUUUUAGGUGCUAAACCCGUUGAAUCUGGCAUCAUUUGUUAUAAAUGUAACAAACCUGGACAUAAAUCCUCUGAUUGCCCUCUGAGAAAAUUUGAUUCUAGAGCCAAUUUAAUAGAAAGUCAGGAAGAAAAUGAAAAUAGGGAAGAAACUUUAGAACAAGAAGAUGAAGAUGAGAUUUCCGAAGAAUCUCCUGAUACUACUGAAACAAAUCUCAUGAUCCAUCGAAUCCUAUCAGCCUCUAAGUCCACCCAAGAUGAUUGGAAGCGUCGUAGCCUUUUCAGAACCAUUUGUAGCGUAGGAGGCAAGUUUUGCUCUAUGGUCAUUGAUAGUGGAAGUACUGAAAACUUUGUCUCUAGAGAAAUAGUCGAUGAACUUAAAUUGAAAACUGAAAAACUUGCUCAACCUUACAAAAUAACUUGGUUUAAGGAUGGGGAUGAAUUUCCUGUAACUGAAAGAUGUCUUGUUGAAUUUUCUAUUGGAAAAACUUAUACUGAUAAAGUUUGGUGUGUUGUUCCCAUGGAUGUGAGUCACCUAUUGUUAGGUAGACCUUGGCAAUUUGAUCGUAGCACUAUACAUGAUGGUAAGGAGAACACUUACAUUGUCACAAAGGACAACAAGAAAGUUAGAUUGGUUCCCCCGAAUUACUUUCCCAAACCAAAAUCUAAGGCAAUUGAGUCCCAAAAGCAACCCUCCAAUAAUAAGCAGAAAAUGAUGGUUUUGAACAAAAGCCAAUUCUCUAAAGAUCUAGCAAAGUCUCGAGUGGUAUAUAUUCUUUUGGCAAAAGGAAAAUCGAAGAACACUGAAGUUCCUCAAGCUGUUCAACCAUUGCUUAAUGAAUUUUCUGAUAUCAUGCCUGAGAAACUCCCCGAUGGCCUUCCACCUAUGAGAGAGAUCCAACACUGCAUUGAUUUUGUACCAGGUGCUAGUCUUCCACACCUAGCCCAUUACAGGAUGAGUCCCGCUUAACAUGAGAGUUACAUAGGCAGGUCUCUGAACUUCUGCAAAAAGGUUACAUAAGAGAAAAUAUGAGCCUUGUCGCGGUGCCUGCCCUCCUUACACCAAAAAAGGAUGGAACGUGGCGAAUGUGUGUUGACAGUCGUGCAGUCAACAAAAUUACCAUCAAGUAUAGGUUUUCCAUUCCUAGGAUUGAUGAUAUGCUUGACAUGUUAGGAGGUGCGAAGAUAUUAUCUAAGAUUGACCCUAAGAGCGAAUAUCAUCAAAUCCGUAUUUGACCUGGAGAUGAAUGGAAACUAGCAUUCAAAACUAAAGAAGGAUUAUACGAGUGGCUGGUUAUGCCGUUUGGGCUAUCCAAUGGCCCCUAGUACUUUUAUGCGCUCUAUGAAUCAAGUCUUGCGACCAUUCAUUGGAAAAUUUGUCGUAGUUUACUUCGACGACAUUCUAAUUUAUAGCACAAGUCUUGCGACCAGUCAUUGGAAAAUUGGCCUAGGCCUACCCAAGACUGCACGCCAAGUUGAUUCAGUUUUUGUGGUUGUUGAUCGUUUUACGAAAAUGGCUCAUUUUAUUCCUUGCAAGAAAACUUCUGAUGCAUCACAUUUUGCUAAAUUAUUUUUCAAUAAAAUUGUACGUUUACAUGGCAUUCCUAAAUCAAUUAUCUCUGAUCGAGAUACGAAAUUUAUUAGUCAUUUUUGGAGAACUUUAAUGUCAAAGGCAGGAAGCAAACUGAAUUUCAGCAGCCCAUACCAUCUACAAACUGACGGGCAGACGGAAAUAGUAAAUCGAUCUUUGGGCAAUCUCUUAAGAUGUUUAGCUGGAGAAAAACCAACACAAUGAGAUUUAAUUUUACCUCAAGCUGAAUUUGCUUAGAACAGUUCUAUAAACCGAACCAUUGGAAAAUCUCCUUAUGAAGCUUUAUAUGGCCGUCCUAUAGCCCACUUUCUUGACCGAGCACCAAUACCUUACCCUGGUAGAGUUAGUGCAGAUGCCGACUAUUACCUAAAACAGAUUCAAGAGGUGCAACAACAAGUUCAUCAGAGGUUGCAGGAUUCCAUUGUCAAGUACAAGGAAUCGGCAGAUAAACAUCGCCGAGGUAUGACUUUUAAUGAAGGAGAUAAUGUCUUAAUCUAUUUUAGAAAAGAAAGGUUCUCAGCUGGAGGCUGUAGCAAGUUGAAGAGGAAAAAGUACGGGCCAUUCAAAAUUCUGAAGAAAUUAGGGAAAAAUGCUUAUCUAAUUGAUCUACCUUCGGAAGUAUCGACGUCCCCGAUCUUCAAUGUCAGCGAGCUAUACAAGUACCAUGGAGAGGCCCCCCUCUACUGUUGAUAUUGAUGGCUUGACAUCUCGCUCCGACAUUGAAAAUCCAUCAGAUGGCGUGGAGGAUAUUCUGGAUGUGCGCGAGUCUGCGACGCGACGUGGUACUCAUCGCCGAUACUUAGUGCGUUGGCAUGGACGAACAUGUAUGAUAUAAUCCUAUGGUAUAUUUGAAAUAUACUGCAUAGGGCCCGCUAUAUUUGUAAUGUAAUAUAUACAUGCUAACUAUGUCCUAACAACAGCGAAUGAAUAACAUAUAUGUUAGAUAUAUGCUGCUAAAUAUAUACUAACAACAGCGAAUGAACAUGUAUGAUAGACAUAUAGGAAAGAUUGAUAUAUGUAUCCAUAUGUAGCAUGUCAGUGAGAUUUAAACAUAAUUCUUGCUAUUCGAGUAUUAAGUUGCAAUUUUGCAUCGACUCAACUGUAUGAUCAUAAAUCUGACAGUUAGUAUCAUAUUGUUUUACUUAGCUAAAGAAAAGAAGAAAAGAAAAAGAGGAAUAUGAGUAUAAAACUAAUCUAAAAUGAAUUUAUUUGUAAACCAUGUUUUUUCAAUGUACUUGAGUUUUACACAGGUUACCAGACGAUAGGUAGAAAAUAGGUUUUUGCAGAAUAGGACAUGUGUCGAAUCGUUGGUGCUAACCAUUAAUCCCAAAAGCUCGAGCUGUUAGAAAGAUACAACCAAUUCACUUAAAGCGUACAAACAUAGCGCCCACGGGUAUUGAUUGUGAAUCGGUCCAAGCAGUCUCACGCCACUUCGAACAUGACUUGAUCCAACCUGGACUCUUGCUAUUUUGAACAUGACUCGGCCCAGCCUGGCCUCCUGCCACAGGGUAGCAAUCUUUCUCCUAGCACUUGCAAACAUUCGCAGCAUUAGGGAAUGAGACGUGACCUCUGGCUCUGAUACCACUUGUCAGAUCGUUGGCACUAACUAUUAAUCCCAAAAGCUUGAGCUGUUAGAAAGAUGCAACUACUUCACUUAAAACAUAUGGACACCGCGCCCACGGGUCUCGAUUGUGACUCGGCCCAACCAACCUCAUGCCACUUUGAAUAUGACUCGGCCCAACCUAGCCUCCCGCCAUUUCAAACAUGAUUUGGCCCAAACUGGCCUCUCGCUAUAGGACUGGAUGCUGGCCCAUUUAAGCUAAUAUGUAGCUAGUCGACCAUUACUAUAGGCCCGUUGGGCCUAGAUUCUGGAAAAGUGAUUUCUGCAAAAUUGAUUUUGGUUUGGAAAAGUUAAAAGUUAUAGAGCGCUUGGCUGAGUCUGAUAGAAAAGUGAUUUUGCUGAACUGAUUUUAGAAAGCCAAAUGGCAAAUUUUUUUUGCUGAAGUGAUUUUGUAAUGCUGUCUAACAUUGGUUUAUUAAGUUAUUUUGUAAUGAAGUGAUUUUCUAGGCUUAAACAUCAAAGAAGGUUACAUACAAUAUAUUAUAUUAAUUUAUUACUGUUUAUUAAUAAUUAAAAUGUUUAAAAAUUAUACUUUUUCUUUAUAUAAAAUAUAUUUUUAAUACAAAUUUAAUUUUCAGUUUUGUUGAAAUAUAAAUACAAAUUUUAAUUGACCCAAAUCCAUCAUAUUUUAAUUUUUUAUAAUCACAUUCCCAUUUAUCACAGCGGUAGCAUCCAAUCAGGCUGGACUUGGCUUUGCCGAAUCCUGCCGGUGAGGUUCCGGCCGGAUCCAACAAGGAUGGAUCUCGUCGAUGUGGACCCGGCCAAAUCUGCCGAGCCAUGAGGAGGGGGAGAGAGAGAGAGAGAGAGAGAGAGAGAGAGAGAGAGAGGAGAGAAAUUUGUUAAAGGAAAGAGGGAGAGAGAUGGAGGAGUUAGAGAAGAGAGGUGAAAAUUUUUUUUGUUGGAGAGUUGGGAAGAGAGUUAGAGUGAGUGUGAAUAGUGAAUAGGAUAGAGAAGAGGGUAUUUGAAAAUAUUAAAAUUGAAUAUAAAAGGAUAGUGUAGAAUUAUGUUAUUUGUUUACGGGUAGUUUGGGUAUUUUCAUAAAAAUUUGAAGUGGAAAAACUUAUUUUGUGGGAAUCAGUUUUGGAGAAGAAGCUUUUCUGCUUCUGAUUUUAGGGCUCGAAAAAUCAAUUUUCUAAUUUUAAAAAGCAGAAUCAGAUUUUUCAUUUCUUGUUGCCAAACGCUCUACUGAGCCCAACAUCACUUUUGGGCUUAGAAUCACUUUUAGGAAGCUGGGCCAAACACCCCCUAUAAGCUGGUCAAUUACUGCACUUGCUGGCUGAUCGACCGGUUAUGCCCUGCCGCAGAAUCAGUCAGCAACUUUAGGAUCUCAUGUGAUCUGUACAAAGACUAUUCAAAUGAUACUUUUUAACAAAAUCAUUGGACCUUGACUGAAGCACCAAAGUCAUUGCUGAAAUCACUAUAUAAAUGACGGAUGCUACUAAAUCAAAAAUCUCUGGCCCACAUGACAUGAAAAAUAAGGUUUUAACGUGAUUUUGACACUCGCUCUACAGCAAAUUCUUCGCUUAAGUCUUACUUGAUCUCAUCUUUAUCAUCCAAGAAAAUGAAGGCGGUAUGAGAACUAAAACCAGACAAUCUUUAUCAAACCAAGCAUCGGGAAAGUGUACUAGCUAAAUAGAUAAAAGGGGUGAGAAAGAUCUCUAUCUACCCAAGCGUGAUGGAUUUCUCUGAUGAGGAAGGGUGCAGUCUUAAAUAGAAGAGAGAGUCCGAAGGGGAAGAUGAAAUAUGUGCGAGAAGAGGCUGGGUGGUGGAAACAAUAGAAUGCAUGAAGUGGACCCACUUUAUAUUGAGUUGUUUUGUAGAUCAAGAGAUUGUUAGAGUAUGCUAGAAGGUGGUAGUAACUACGGUUAGGGGGCUUUAGAAGAGAGUAUGCCAGCUGUAAUUAGUUGGUAUCUGUGUUGGAUUUCAUGUUAAUUAUCCUUAUGCAGUGUCCAAGGGAAAAGUGAUCAGUAUUUGCCCUAUUUGGAAGCAGAUCCCAUUAAAUACUUCACAUUUUCUAUGAUCAUAUCUGACUUAGGCAUGUGGGGAAUCCUUGUUAAUUGACGAAAUAUACUAUUUUGUCAAUGCAAAUAAAAUCAGCAUUAUUAGUUGUCAGUUUGAUCCUCUUUGGUAGAAUUUUAGAAUCCCAGUUGACAAUAAAUGAAAACAGGUGUAACUUCCCAAUUUUGAAUCUGAUUGGCUGAGUUAGGUGUCCUUUGGAGGCUAGUUUGAAAACGAAGCUUUAGUUUUAGGUUAAAAUGGCACUUUCUACAUGUACAAUGGAUGGCAAGCAAUUCAAUGUCACAUAAUUACAUUGACCUAGAAGGCUGUUGUGCACAAAAUAACAUAAUCCUAGUUAGCAUUUUCACAAUGACAAGCCCAUAGGGCUAAUAUAAUUACACAUAUAAUCCAAAUUGACUCAUACUAACAUGGCUUAUAUUUAAGUGAGUCUAGAUUGGGCUAUAUUAAACUUUUGAGUUCUACAUCUUGAGUACUUCAUGGGCAUUAAGUGCUCAUGAUAAACCUAGUUAUUUCUAGGGACUAGAGGAUGUUGGGAUUGUAUUUAAGUUUUAGUCGUUCUUUCUACGAAAUGAUUAUUUGCACAUACGAGCACUCGUUAGUGCAGAUAGUCUCUUACAUUUGUAUCAGUUCUACAAAUGUAGAUGCUCUAUUGUUGUGAGUUGUGACCUGGUCAACAAGGAGGCAAGUUUGGAUAUGAGCAUGUUGUGAUUAAGAUUUAAUUGAAUUUUGCGUCACAUUUAGCUUAUGGUUUUUACCUCCUGUGUAUUAUGAUUGUCUUCAUUUUUGAUAUACCAUGGUUUGGUGUUGCAUGAUUAUGGGACCUUAUUUUCAGAAUUAUCUAGCAUCUUUGCUCCCUUGGUUAAUUCAGGAUGUGACGAGUUGAGAAAUGAAUCCAUGAAUUGACUUUAUCAUUGCAUCGCCCUAAAUCACCAACUUAUUCUUGAAAAAUAAGCAAAUGCUUUGAUCACUCAUUACUACAAUGGAUCAGACAACAAAUGCAAGAAGUUAUGAAAGGGCUAAUUUCUGUUUGAUAAUUUCGAUUGAAAUUCUUGCGUCAAGUCCAGGAAAAAAAUUAUCUUCUGGCAGUUUUCAGAAGUUCUUUUUGGAUCACUAUGUUAUCUUCAUAAUUUUAUAGUAAUUGUUUCAUCAGCAGAUUGAAAUGAAACCAUAUUAUACACAUUUUCAGGCUGAGUUCAACGUAAUCUCGUACUGCGACCAAAUGCGACUGAGGACAGCUGUUGAACUUAUAAAGGCAACGAAGGAUAUCGAAUCACAAUUGGACAAGGUUAGCAUCAUAUUGUCCAACUUCUUGUGAUGCCGCCAUUCUCUCUUUGUCAUUUUGAACUUGAUUAUUUAUGUUACGGGGUGAUAGCAUAUCAUGACAAGAAGCUGCAUAAGAAUUAAGGAAAAGCAAGUUCUUGGUUAUCAUUUGAUUUAUUGUGCUGAACCUUCUGUUUGCUUAUUCUGGAUAUAUUUCGAAUUUAAAGCAUCAAUGCACUUAGGCGUAGUAUUCGGAAUGCUUUAAUAGCAAAAUAGAUACUUAAAGAGGGUUCCACCAGAUAUGUCAUUAUCUUGUUCCUAAACUGGAGCAAUGGAUGACGAUAUUUUUCUAACCGAGUUUAUUAGAAACCAAAGUAUCCUCUAUAUGCAACAGUUAUUUUAUGUAGAAUGGUAUUUCCAAGAACAGAUGGAAAUAUAUUGGUAGUCUUAUGCAAGCAAAGCAAGUGGAUUGUAUUUAGUUUCUCUUUCAGACGUUUGACCUUAUACACUUUACUUUCGGUUGAAUUGCUUAUGAUUUUAAUAUAUUCAAAAUUGUUUAUAGCUAGUUGCUAGAAACCAGCGACAAUGUGAGAGUAGCCACCUUCUGUUUACAUUACUCGCUACAUUGAGUACAUUCUUUUCUCCCAGGUUUCCUGUCCAUUGCUGAUUCUUCAUGGAGCUGCUGACAAGGUGACGGACCCUAACGUGAGCAAGUUCCUUUACAACAAGGCUUGCACGAAGGACAAAACGCUCAAGCUUUACGAGGACGGCUAUCAUUCUAUAUUAGAGGGAGAACCGGAUGAUAGGAUCUCCUCCGUCAUUAAUGAUAUCAUAAACUGGCUAGAUUCUCAUUCUACUGGGCAGUAAGUUCAUUCCGUUGAUGGGUGGAUCCCUCGAUAGUUAUUCAUCAACAAAACGCAACGCAACGCAACGCAACAGAGGUUCAUUUUGCCUACACUGCUUUGUCAUCUUUGGCUAUGGACUUACUCUUUGACUGUGUUCUAUUUAUUAAGUUGACAAAAUCUGUGUCGAUUUGAUUUCUAUCAACAGUAUGUUGUAACCUGCUUUUCUUUGAAUGGAUUUUGUUUUCGUGCUGCGUUUGGUAUGUUGUAGGUCGUCUGCGACAGUUAUGCAUCAUGUGCGUACUAAUUUUUCAGGGUCUCUUGAAUGAAAUGAUUUGUAAAUAGCUGUAGGGGGAAGUGACUAGUAUAUUGUUAUCUGGUUAUUUUCGGUGUUAUCGUCCUAUUGUUCGUGUUGCUGAUCAUUAUUUAGGCGGUAUGAAGUCGUGUAACCAUUUUCAAUUCCUCAAGACCUCAUAGUAGGAUCUAUUAUAGCUAAAGAUCAUUGGUAUUUAGUUUGGGGUACAGUGCAAACUUUUUGUCUUAUUUCAAUAAGAACUUAGUGAGAUUACCGUACUCCGCAGGAAGUUCAAAAUCUAAGAAGUGUGACAUCAGGCAUUUUCACUGCCCAAAAGCCUGAAUCACCAGGGAGUUGAGAGAGAACAAGCUUAGAGGUGCAAAUGGGGCAGAUUCAGGGGCGGGAGGGAUUCACCAACCUCUCGCCCCAUUUCCUUAGUAGGUCGGGUCAGAUUUAAGGCAGAUUUGAGUUUUAUUCUAAUUUUUGCCCUCACUUACCGGCUGCCCAGGGCGAGAGCGAGAGGGGGUGUGAGCGUGAGAGCGUGAGAGCGCGAGAGAGCGGUGUGAGCGUGAGAGUGCGAGAGAGUGUUUUUGGUGGAUUUUUGAUGAAUUGGGACGGAUUGAGGACAUAUUUAAAGCCCAGUGUUAGGAUAUAUCUCGUUCUUUUUCAUUGGCUCAAUUGUAUGUGAGUCCGGCUAUGGUGCUGUCAAAAGCACCAAGCACUUGGUGCUUGUAAUUUUCUCACCAUUAGAUCUAUCCCUUAUACUAUUUUUACCUGUUAGAUCAUACUAUUAUUCAACAAUCACCAACUCAACCCUAGGGAACCUCUAUUAUUUUAACCACACAUUCCUUAAUUCAAGGGUCAAAAUUCUACAAACACCAAUGACCUGGUAGUUUUAAAAGCAUAGGAGGUUAAUUAUAUAUAUUUGCCUAAUGAUCAAAGGGUUUCAAAAUUUAUAAUUUUAAUGGUCGAUAUAAGGCGUUUUCUCGUUUAACGGUGUAAAAAUAUCCAAAUUAAUUAAUUUUUUGGUAGAAAAUUUUUUAAACUAUUUAAAAUAAGAUCUAUGCCCUUGAUCUUGAUUACAAGACUCCUAUCAUCAUUUUUUAAAGAAUAUAUAUUUUCAGCCGUUCAUUUUUGUAUCCACUUGAUGGAUAAGAGAAUAAUAUUGAAAAUGUAUGAAAUUUGAUUUCUAAACACUUCAAGUGGUAUAGAUUAUGUUUAACGGUGCCGAUCGUCGAUUUGGAGGCUCUAUCAUCGAAAACAAAUGGGUGGCAAUGGAGCCCGUUUGCUAUUGAUAGUAUUCUAGCUCAACUCUCUCUCUCUCUCUCUCUCUGUAUAUAUAUAUAUAUAUAUAUAUAUAUAACGAUUUUGAAUCACCGGAGGAUCUAAUUAUUAUAAUAUUGAUAAUUGGACUGAUUUGUAAUUAUUACGAAUUAGUGGUAUCAAGGUAUAAAUGUUACAAGCGAGGAUUUACUAAAGGUUAGUAAAUUAUGAUAUGACUUAUAUGCAAAUGUUGCAUUAUUAUUUUGGUAUGAUCAAAUUAGGAUAAAAUUCAAGUCGAAUCAAAUUUAGAUUUGAUAGAUCUAACCAAUUAAGGAAAUGAUAAAUUUAAAUCUAGAUUUGUACUUAUACUUAAUAGUUAUUAUAUUAUUAAAAAGAGCAUUAUAUCCCUCUAUAUAAUAUACGGGAGUUUUUAGAAAAUCCUAGCCGUCAUCUCUCUUCCUCUCUCUUUCCUUCUCUCUUUCCUCCAACGAGAAAGACGUUCUUUGCAAAGGAGCUAGAACCUCGGUGAGGACAUUGAUCAAAUCACCAACCUCGUGUGGAUACCUAUAGAGGCGGGGCGCGUGUGUGGCUUUAAGAGAACCUAAUUCCAUGAUAAUCAAAUUGCGGCGAAGUUCUACCCGCACAAAGGUAAAGAUUGGAUCUUCUUUUUCUCCUUUAAUCUUAAAGAACAUGAGGGAUUCUAAUUGUGCGAUUUUUGAGAUCGGAUCUUGAGUUUUAAAAUCAAAUUUGUUUGAUUUUUUUUCCUGCUGUGCUUAUUCGCAAGCAAUUUUCUAACACAACUAUUUUCGCCGCGUCAAGUUCAACUCUUUCUGUGUGAAGAGAUACUUCUAAACUUUUAUGAUCUGUGUUGUAACAUACCACAUCCCUCGUAAAUCGUGCCGAGUUCCGUCAAAACGAGCGGAACACGGAAUUGAACGAGUUAGAAUGGACCCUGAGCACAUUAGGGCUCAUAGGAGAAGCAAAAAGGGACCCGAGAGAGAGAAUCAGAAAAUCUGGUUAAGUCCCAGAUUUUGUGCUCUCGGGGACCGGUCCCUGAAGGAGAGACCGGUCCCCGUACGCGUAGCCUGCCAGGAAGUCUUGAGGCAACCGGUCCCUGGUGGUGAGACCGGUCCUCGGGAGACUGGUCCCUGAAGGGGCAGACCGGUCCCUCGCUGCGCAACAGCCGAAAUACCCGAAAAUUUGGCUAAGUCCUGGAACACCCACGUUCGGGAACCGGUCCCUGGUCGGGGAGACCGGUCCCCGAAGGNNNNNNNNNNNNNNNNNNNNNNNNNNNNNNNNNNNNNNNNNNNNNNNNNNNNNNNNNNNNNNNNNNNNNNNNNNNNNNNNNNNNNNNNNNNNNNNNNNNNNNNNNNNNNNNNNNNNNNNNNNNNNNNNNNNNNNNNNNNNNNNNNNNNNNNNNNNNNNNNNNNNNNNNNNNNNNNNNNNNNNNNNNNNNNNNNNNNNNNNNNNNNNNNNNNNNNNNNNNNNNNNNNNNNNNNNNNNNNNNNNNNNNNNNNNNNNNNNNNNNNNNNNNNNNNNNNNNNNNNNNNNNNNNNNNNNNNNNNNNNNNNNNNNNNNNNNNNNNNNNNNNNNNNNNNNNNNNNNNNNNNNNNNNNNNNNNNNNNNNNNNNNNNNNNNNNNNNNNNNNNNNNNNNNNNNNNNNNNNNNNNNNNNNNNNNNNNNNNNNNNNNNNNNNNNNNNNNNNNNNNNNNNNNNNNNNNNNNNNNNNNNNNNNNNNNNNNNNNNNNNNNNNNNNNNNNNNNNNNNNNNNNNNNNNNNNNNNNNNNNNNNNNNNNNNNNNNNNNNNNNNNNNNNNNNNNNNNNNNNNNNNNNNNNNNNNNNNNNNNNNNNNNNNNNNNNNNNNNNNNNNNNNNNNNNNNNNNNNNNNNNNNNNNNNNNNNNNNNNNNNNNNNNNNNNNNNNNNNNNNNNNNNNNNNNNNNNNNNNNNNNNNNNNNNNNNNNNNNNNNNNNNNNNNNNNNNNNNNNNNNNNNNNNNNNNNNNNNNNNNNNNNNNNNNNNNNNNNNNNNNNNNNNNNNNNNNNNNNNNNNNNNNNNNNNNNNNNNNNNNNNNNNNNNNNNNNNNNNNNNNNNNNNNNNNNNNNNNNNNNNNNNNNNNNNNNNNNNNNNNNNNNNNNNNNNNNNNNNNNNNNNNNNNNNNNNNNNNNNNNNNNNNNNNNNNNNNNNNNNNNNNNNNNNNNNNNNNNNNNNNNNNNNNNNNNNNNNNNNNNNNNNNNNNNNNNNNNNNNNNNNNNNNNNNNNNNNNNNNNNNNNNNNNNNNNNNNNNNNNNNNNNNNNNNNNNNNNNNNNNNNNNNNNNNNNNNNNNNNNNNNNNNNNNNNNNNNNNNNNNNNNNNNNNNNNNNNNNNNNNNNNNNNNNNNNNNNNNNNNNNNNNNNNNNNNNNNNNNNNNNNNNNNNNNNNNNNNNNNNNNNNNNNNNNNNNNNNNNNNNNNNNNNNNNNNNNNNNNNNNNNNNNNNNNNNNNNNNNNNNNNNNNNNNNNNNNNNNNNNNNNNNNNNNNNNNNNNNNNNNNNNNNNNNNNNNNNNNNNNNNNNNNNNNNNNNNNNNNNNNNNNNNNNNNNNNNNNNNNNNNNNNNNNNNNNNNNNNNNNNNNNNNNNNNNNNNNNNNNNNNNNNNNNNNNNNNNNNNNNNNNNNNNNNNNNNNNNNNNNNNNNNNNNNNNNNNNNNNNNNNNNNNNNNNNNNNNNNNNNNNNNNNNNNNNNNNNNNNNNNNNNNNNNNNNNNNNNNNNNNNNNNNNNNNNNNNNNNNNNNNNNNNNNNNNNNNNNNNNNNNNNNNNNNNNNNNNNNNNNNNNNNNNNNNNNNNNNNNNNNNNNNNNNNNNNNNNNNNNNNNNNNNNNCGUUCGGGAACCGGUCCCUGGUCGGGGAGACCGGUCCCCGAAGGUGAAAAACGCCCAGUCUGGGCAGAUCAAGGGGAAACAAGUUGAGGGGUUUAAAUGCAAUUGUCAUAACACUAUAUGUGGACACCCCUCUCUCUCCCACAGCCAUUUUCACCCUUCUCUCCCAUUUCCUCUCUUCCUCUCUCUAGAACUCUUGCUCUAGGGCUUGGAGAAGAAGAAGAAGGAGCAAGGGAAGGUGGAUUUGGAGGCUUUGGUUUGUUCUACAAGCUCUCCUACAAGAAAGACUUGGAGGGGCUUGGGCUAAGGUGAGUUUUUGGUAGAAAUGAGUCUAGUGCUUGGUUUUAAUCCCUAUGUUUUGGAGCUUUGGGUUGUUUUUGGCCAUGGGAGCCUUCUAUAUGCCUUGAACUCCAUGGAACCCAUGAGAGCUCAAGUGCUCUCAUGGUGGUUGGGUAGGGUUUGUCAUGGAAGCCCUAGGGAUUGAUUCCAAGGGUCUAGAGACCUUACUAGCAUGCUUCUUAGAUGAUCCUAAGUUAUUGUUUGCUUAAGGUUGGGAUCGAUUCAUGGGAAAACCCUAAAUGACAAUAUUAGGCCUUGAAUUUGGGGCUUUUGCCCUAGGAUUGUUCGGGAACAAAUUGACCCCGUGGAAACCUAAUUGGGGAUGCCCUAAACACGUUGGACAACUCCGUUUAACAUUACGAAAACGAUAGAGUAUAGUCCAUGUACAAAAGGCCUAAUAUGGCACCGUUUUGAUUAUAGGGCGCGGAAGCGGCUUUCGUAAAAUCCGGGAGUCGUCAUAUACUUCACCCAAACGAUUACUAGAGGUGGGGGGUGCACGCCGGAAUCGUUGGAUUCCCUUCUAUGUCUGUUUUCUCUACUCUUGAGCAUAUAUGUAUAGAUAUACCCAUUCAUGCAUAGUAGGAUAGAUACAUGUGGAACUUGGUUUGACUUCAUUUAUAUGUUUCUAACGUAGUUGAACAUAGUGGACGAUAGAACCAAGACGACAUGUGUGAUUGGACCCUCCAGUUGUGUGAAUGUGAGAUUGGACUUGGACAAUAGAAAAUAAGGGUGACAUUGACAUAGAAAUAAGAUUGGCAUUAAUAAAUAAACCGUUAAAUCUAGUUUAACCAAAUUAUGGCAUCAUCACGGAUAUGGCCUUGAGAGUGGCAAGAAUGAAUAGGUAGAGACCUACCAUGACAUUGACAUUGUGACCAGUGGCUAGGAAUCCUCAAGUUGGGGAUUAGAUCGAUACUCACAUUACGUCUUGGCUUGAGGGAGGUCGCUCCCCCUCGAGCAGUGCACUCCGGAGUUGGUCACCACUGGGCGAGGUAAAGUCCCACCAGUUGACGGUCCCUAGGGAGGUUCGAGUCCCCCGUUAUUAAGGGAUUUUGGGUUGUGAGUUAUUGGGGUUAACAGAGUUAACCGGUAAGAUUGGGUAAGAGCCAAAGCUUGAUUAUGAUUGGAGCAUGCAUGCAUUUCCAUUAUCGCAUUGAAAUUAUAUAUCUACUAACUUCUUUCUUGCAGGCAUAGUAUUAGUUGCAUUAGUAGUGGUUACUUUUUCUCCUUUGAAAUACUUAUGCCUGGAUGGACCUAGUGGGUAAGUCGGCGAGGUCGGAUGUCGAGCCCACUGGGAACUUCGUUGUAAUUCUCACACCACUAACCCUACAGGUCCUAGCACGAGCGGGGCGGCGGAGGACCGAGGCAAGGGUUUAGCGCCGUAGGUAGCGGCCACCGGAGUAGCAUUACAUUUUGUAGUCAUUUCCCUUUUGGUGUACAUGUAGCAGCUUUAUUUUGUUGAAUUAGAGAUGUAAAGUAGUAAACAAUCAUGUAUUUGGUGGAUGACUAAAUGUAAAAAGAUAUGAUGGUUGAAUGGAAUGUAAUAGUUUUGUUUACUUGAAUUUGGUUUAAAUGAAAUCAAAUAUCAUGUGUGGUGUAUAUUUUGCUUAGAGCUUUCGCUUCCGUUGUGGCUUGCCCUCGCGCAAGCCUUAUAUUAUAUAUGCAAUUCUCUUGUUGAUUGCCUAUUUAUACAUAUUGUUAGAGCCUUGGGCGGACAGGGGAGGCUCUGUCCGUUCGGCGUCUGUUGACGUGACCCGAACCCGACCAAAUUGGCGGGGAUUGGGGCGUGACAUGUGUAGACUUCACACCGCUCACCAUAAAGAUAAUGACGCCAAAACUUUAAAGCAAAAACUACGGCCACCAACUCUAAAUAAUGUGUCAGAUAAUUCUUUUCAUAAUGACGCUAUUACCUUUUCAUCCUACAUCAAACACACCCCAACCCGUUAAGUGAAGCAUCAUUGUAAAAUACAUACUCUACUCCUACCACAGGUAAUGCAAAGAUUGGGGCGGUUGUCAAUUACUACUUUAAUUCCAAGAAACUAUUCUCACACAUAUCAUUCCAAAUAAACUUAGUUUCUUUAUGUGCGAGUUGCGUGAGGGGAACAGACAACUUAGCAAAUCCUUCAACAAAUCUCUGGUAAUACACGGCUAGACCGAGAAAACUCCGAACCUCGGUGACAUUGGUCGGUCUAGGUCAAUCCUUUAUUGCCUCGAUUUUCUUAGGAUCCACCGCUGUACCUGCUCCCGAUACUACAUGUCCCAAGAAUGCCACUUCGCGGAGCCAAAAUUCACAUUUCUUUAACUUAGCAAAAAGCUUCCUCUCUCGAAGUACCUACAAUACUUGUCUCAAAGGAGCUUUAUGAUCCUCAUCACUUCGAGAAUACACCAAAAUAUCGUUGAUGAACACCACGACGAAUCUGUCUAAAUAGAGCUUAAAGACACGGUUCAUUAGAUCUAUAAAAGCUGCUGGGGCAUUAGUAAGCCCAAAUGGCAUAACUGUGAACUCAUAAUGUCCAUACUAUAUUCCGAAAGCCGUUUUGAAACAUCUUCUGGCUUGAUCUUGAGUUAAUGGUAACCAGAUUACAGAUCAAUCUUUGAAUACACCUUGGAUCCUUGAAGUUGAUCAAAUAAGUCAUCAUUUAUCGGCAAUGGAUACUUAUUCUUAAUCUGGACUUUAUUAAGCUUAUGAUAAUCUACACACAAACAAAGUGAUCCAUCAUUCUUCCUAACAAAUAGGACUGGUGCUCCCCAAGGCGAAACACUUGGCUUAAUGAAACCUUUCUCAAACAAAUCUUGCAACUGCGCCUUCAAUUCCUGAAGCUCAGCUGGUGCCAUUCUAUAGGGUGCCUUUGAGAUCAGGGUAGUUCCAGGAACAAGAUCUAACACAAACUCAAUCUCCCUAUCAGGAGGCACACCAGGUAACUCUGCCGAAAACACAUCCACAAACUCCCGUAUAGAAGAAUAUCCUCAAUCUUAGAGACAUCUCCAAUACUCUCAAUGAUGCUAGCCAAGAAGGCUACACAUCCACUCUUAAUCAACUGCUUAUCCCGAGUAGAAGAGAUAGUAAUCCCAAACAGCGAACUCUUACACCCUCUGAACACCGCCUCGUCAUGUCCAGGCUCUCGAAACAUCACAGUCCGGUUCACACAGUCGAUGGUGGCGUAAUACCUCGUGAGCCAAUCCAUGUCUAACACUACAUCAAACUCUCCAAGCUUGUGUAGGGCUAACAAAUCAAUCGGCAUAAUUCAAUCCCCUACUCUAAUAGGGCAACUAGGGCACUACUCUUGAAUGUCCAAAGUAUGAUCGAGAAUAACAACUCGUUCCGGAUGCAAAGUAGGUAUAAGCUCAAUGCCAUCCAACUAAGGAAAUAGCCGAUCGAUGAAAGAAUGUGAUGCACCGGUAUCAGAUAAUGCUCUAACUCUUAUGCUAUUAAUUAAAAUGAUACCUGCAACGAGCUCCUCUGCUGUUGUUGCCUCCUCGGUCUGGGCCGCAUACAUGUGCCCGUUAGGUGCUUGUCGCAACCCUCGAACUGUUAUGCUACAAGUGGUCGCCCGGCCUGGUAGUGGGUAGGUGGAGUCCCCUGACUUUGACCCAGUGAAGCUAGUGCCGAUGCAGACGACGGUGCUGGGGAAGAACCUUUCGGGCACUCUGAUCGAAAGUGACCCUCCUGGCCACACUGAAAACACUUGCCCCCACGCUGCGGGCACUGUGGUAGGAAAUGAGGACCACCAUAGAUUAUGCAACGCGGUGGCCGACAAUGGUCAGGCGCUCCACGUGAGGAAGAAGAACCACAUCCUCGUGAUUCACUCGGAUGCUUCGGCGGCCUCCUAGAGUUAUGUAACAUACCGAAACUUCGGUUAAGUAAUCCAGACUUUAGCCAAAUUGACUAAAGCGACCGAAGGAAAAGUUAGACAAAAAUCAAAUUAACAUUCCAACAAUAUUGGGAAGGUUAAAAAUGAGUUCUAAAAGAGUUAGAAAGGUUUUAGCAUUGAUCGGAGUGAAAUGGAAUUGAAAAGAUGCAAAACUAGAAUUCUGGAGAUCUUGUACUGGUACAACAUCAGAAGUGUACCGGUACCGCAUAGUAAACCGAGGGGAAGCUGCUCUCGGGUUUUGGAAAAAAAUCGGCUGUGGAACCGGUAACACCCCUGGUGUGUACCGGUACACAUGCAUGAUUACCCGAGAAGCUGCUCUCGAGUUUGCCUCUGCGUAAUCGUGUUACUGGUGACACCCAGCCUGUACCGGUACACAAUGGACCCGACAGCAAAAAUAGGUCUGUUGUAAAUUAGAGAAAAGGGAGGGUUUUAUUGCAAUUGUUACAACAUAAUAACAACUUAACACACCGUCCACUCUCUCUUCACAGCCAAACACAACCCUACCCUCAUUUCUCUCUUUCUCUCUCUAGAGAUCUCUCCAAGGAGCAAGGAGAAGGAUUUAGAGGAGAUUUCUUGGGUUUUGAAGGCUUGGGGACUCUCCUACAAAGUGGACCUUGGAGAGCUUUGGGCUAAGGUGAGGUUUUCUUGUAAGAGUAAGGUUAGGGCUUAGAUUUCAUGCCCUAAAUCCUUGGAUUUGAGCUUCUUACAAGUGUGGGAACCCUCUAAUGGCUAUAAAACACAUGAAAUCAAGUUUUUCUCAUGUGCUCCCAUGGUAGAAACCUAGGGUUUAGUUUUUAUGCCCUAGAAAUGGUUUGAAAGGCUUAGAAAAGAUUCUAAAAGAGUUCCUAGAGGUUCAACAAGCUUUCUUUUGCUUGCUCUAGAGAUCAAAUUCAAAGAUUUUGCAAAUGGCAUUGUUAGGGCACCGAAAUUGGAGCUUUUGCCCUAGAGUGGUUUAAAGGCAAAUUGACCUUGUAGAAAUCUAAUUAGGGGUAUUUCUAGCAAGAAUAUGAACUCGAUUCGGUGAUCCGCCGAGUGUACACAAAGAUAUUGACAAAAACGUUAUUUUUUGUACAGAUAGCCGCAGCACGUGGAAUAGGCCCCCAAAAAUUUCAAGAUUUGAACCGUAGUGCCCUUGUAACCAUAUAAGGUGGGUGGUGCCUUCCGAAAUCAUUGAAUUUUCUUUUAUGUCUAAAGUGUCAUUUUUGAGCAUAAGUGUAUAUUGAAUAUUGUGCAUGAUAGGGUUAAUUGAGAGCUUCUAUUUGCAUGAUUGUCAGUAUAAGUGCAUGAGAAAAUGAUUAUAAAAGAGUAAAAACUUGUAUAACCCUAUGCAUGCAUGAAUGAUGAUAAGAACCCAGAAAAUGACAUUAUGACAUGUGGAUUUUGUGACAUUGGUGAACACAAUGAAUACUAGAGUUGGACUCGUAGUAGAGUGGCAUAAGUGAAUGCAUUGAAUGCUAGAGAUAAUGAUAUUGAGAACAAGAAUGCUAGAGUUGAACACUUAGAGAAUAAGUGUGGCAUUAGUAAAUGAGUACAAAGAACCAAGUAGUGUAUAUGACACUAGUGUGAGUUAAAGAAUGCAAGUAAAGAGAAAUAGUGACAUUGUGACAUAGAAACCUUAAAGUUAAGGGUCACAUGAGCAUUGGAAUCCUUAAAGCUAAGAAUUGAUCAUACUCACCUAUAGUUUUGGCUUGAGGGAGGUUGCUCCCCCUCGAGCGAUGAGCUCCGAAGUUGUCACCACUGGGAUGUGGAACCCCCAGAGGACGGUCCUAGUGGGAGGAAGCUUAGGACCCGCGAUUAGGGACUUGUGUUGGUGAGUUAUGGAACCCGGCGGGAGGAGGCUUAGGGCCCGACGGGUUAGCCACGAGAUUGAACAGUGUAAAGCAAACUUGCAUUCCUCAUGAGCAUUCUAUUUGAGCAUAGCAUUCUAUAUAUUGUUCAGGCAUAUUAGCUGCAUUUGUUAGUUGGCUACUAUCUAUUUUUUCUUCUAUUAUGCCUGAUUUAGACAUAGUGGGAAAGUCGGCGAGGUCGGCGGCUGAACCCACUGGAAACUUUGUUGUAGUUCUCACCCCACUAUUUCCACAGAGCCUGGGCCGAGCGAGCCGGCGGAUGAUCGCGGUAAAGGUGUCACACCAUAGCUAGAGACCACCCGAGUUGGUUUCGCAUUUUGGUUUAGUUGCGUACCUUAUACAUCAUCUUUUGUAUUUUGAUGAUUUUAGUUGUAUCAAAAUGUCUAAAUGAACGAUGUAAAAGAAUUUCAUAGUUAAUUGCAAAUGGUUAUAUUUUGAGGAAUGUGUGAUGUACAAAAGAAAUGAUGCAAAGAAUGUAAUGAAAGUUUAUUAAAGUUGAAUGCAUGUAUGUAAUUUAAAUUUAAUCAUAUUACUUGUAUGUUAAUUAGACAGUACUUUCACUUUGGCUACUGCUUGCCCUCGUGCAAGCCAUUAUGUUUGCUUUCGCAUGUGCAAAUUUUGUACUCAAUUUGUACUUGUUGUUGAGCCUUGGGCGGACAGGGGAGGUGCUGUCCGUUCGGCGUCUGUUCGACGUAUCCGAACUGACCAAAUAGGACCGGGUUUGGGACGUGACAAGUUAGAUUUACUGUUUCUCUCAGUCGCUUGCCUCUUGCCCUUCGCCUGUCAAAAGCUUCUCUUUUUUUCUUAGCAAUCUCUACACCCUUCUCCAUGACUAGGGCGUGAUCCACAACCUCACGGUAGGUCUUCAGAUUUGCCGACUGGACCAACCUGAAGAUCGACGGUCAUAGGUCCACCUUAAAAAUACGAGUCUUAUCUUUAUUAUCCCUUGCCACAAAAGGCACGCAAUGUAGCAAAUGAGAAAACUCUCGCUCGAAUUCUGCCACCGUCUUGUCUCCUUGGUGCAAGUUGCACAAAUCCUGUUCCAUAUGUCGCUUGACACUCUGAGGAAAGUAUGUCAACAACAGUAGCUCCUUGAACUUCUUCCAAGUAAUAGCCACCAGGUCAGUGUUGGGAUCAUCACGAAUGUCGGCCCACUAUUGGUAUGCCUCGCCAUCCAAAUGGUGUGUAGCCAACCACACCUUAUCCUACUCCUCCAUGAAAGUUUCAUGAAAUAACUUCUCUAUGUGAGGAACCCACUUCUCCACAAUACAACGAUGCGCUUUCUCGCUAUCACUCUGGGAUUAUGCCUUUGGAAUUCACUUAAACGGUCCAUGAGCUACUCCCGCUCCAUUCUUUUCGCUAUCAUAGGUAAAACCAUCCCUGUCGAUGGUGUAUGAAUCGGCGGUGUUGCCACCACUUCCUCACUACGCUUAGUGCUCGGGGCUGUAUGAGUGCCUGGCACCUGAGGUUGAGCCUCUACAGUAACUCCUCCAGCUGGCGCUGGUGGGGAAGGGUUCUAGCUCACGCAGAAGCCUAUUGAAGUAGCAAGUCCUCCAACCGCUUCAUCCUCACCUCCUGUCGGCAUGCUGCAUCCGCUUGCUGCUAAGCUGCAGUUGACUGUUGCUCCACCAAAUCCGUCAACAAAGCCAACUAGUCUCUCAACUCACGAACCUCGUUAGAUCUGGAGGUAGUAGCGGAGGUCUCCACCUCCUUAGCAUCAGUUGCCGCCUCGGGUGACGUGGAGCGAGUCCUCAGCAUCUCAAGUUACAACAAACAUAACAUGCGCAAGUUAGAACAUCCAAUGCCAUCGCAACCCCACUCAUGAAAAUAGAACCCCAAUCAUGUGAAAGUAGUAAAGUGAGUCUCAACUAUCCCCUGAGGUCAUGUUGUCGGCUGCCAACGUGACCUUCCAAGGAGUUAGAAGUUGCACACUUCGAUCAAACUCCAACCAUUCAGAGUUAAAGACACAACACAAUCGUGUUACUUUCGCCAAAAGUCAUAUAUGACCCCAUCUCUCACGUUCCUAAUUCUUAUAGUCCAUUCGGCUUAAGAUUUGUUAGGUCCACUAAGGCUCAACUCUAGGCUCUGAUACUAACAUAAUCUGUCACGCUCGAACCCCAGUGGAAGCCUACCCAGCACAUGCAUAGACUCGCCGUAUGCACAAGGCACCCCCGGUGCACACAAGGCGUCUAUCAGAAAAACUAGCAAUAAAGAAAGUAGAGGAAAUAAUCAGAGCAUGUGUAAUAAACUAUACAAUAAGUCAUCAGUUUACUACAAUAAAUACAAAUCUCUCACAAGAUAUACAAUGAUCAUAAACAAAAGUACAUCUCAUGAAUCCAUGGUAAACUCCACACAGAAUGAAUUUGCUAUAUUAUAUCCUAAUCGUAAUUUUUCUGAUGAGACCCCGAGUGCUAGCAAGCAGGUGGAGGUAGAGACCGAUGGUAUAGUUCACUCACAGGAUUCUUCUCAGUCAGAACAAGUUCAGUCGGCAGACACCUCAGUAACUGAAACCCCACAAGUGUAGAGGCAGAGCAUUAUUACAUGCAGAGCGAAGAGACAGAUCAAACCACCGCAGAGAUACGGUUAUGAAGAUAUGGUUGCUUACGCUCUUUCAGUGGCACAAGAUACAGAAGAAGAAGGUGAACCUUCCACAUAUAAUCAAGCUAUUUCCGGUGCCAGUUCUGUAGAGUGGUUGAUGGCGAUGAAUGAGGAGAUGUAGUCGCUCCAUAAGAAUCGCACAUGGGAGUUGGUAAAACCGCCUACAGGCAAGAAAAUUGUCGGCUGCAAGUGGGUCUUCAAGAAAAAGGACGGAAUCCCCGGGGUGGAAGAUAUAAGGUAUAAAGCUCGUUUAGUUGCUAAGGGCUACAGUCAGGUAGAAGGUGUUGACUUUAAUGAUAUUUUCUCACCCAUUGUGAAGCAUACUUCUAUUUGUGUUCUUUUAUCGUUAGUAGCCAUGAAUGACCUGUAUCUUGAGCAGCUUGAUGUUAAGACAGCUUUUUUUGCAUGGAGAACUUGAGGAGCAAAUUCAUAUGAAACAACCGGAGGGAUUCAUUGCUGAAGGAAAGGAGGACCAUGUUUGCCUGUUAAAGAAAUCGCUUUAUGGCUUAAAGCAGUCUCCUCGAUAAUGGUACAAGCAGUUUGACUCCUUCAUGACAGGUCACGGAUACUCCAGAAGCAAGCGUGACAGUUGCGUGUAUUUCAAAAAGUUUGAUAAGGGAUCUUUCAUAUAUUUGUUGCUCUAUGUCGAUGAUAUGUUAAUUGCUUCCAGUGACAUAGUUGAAAUAAAUAAAUUGAAGGCUUUAUUUAAGGGUGAGUUUGAGAUGAAAGAUCUAGGUACUGCUAAGAAAAUUCUUGGUAUGAAAAUUAAGAGGGACAACAAGUCAGGACUACUGCAUUUGACACAAGAGAAAUAUAUAGAGAAGAUUUUAAAACGUUUCGGGAUGACAGACGCAAAAUCGGUGAGCACUUCUUUUGAGGCGCAUUUCAAACUUUCCGCCGAGUUAUCACCGCAGUUUGAUGAUGAGAGGGAGUACAUGUCUCAUGUUUCCUAUUCUAGUGCUGUCGGGAGCAUCAUGUACGCCAUAGUUUGCACACGGCCGGACAUCUCCUACGCAGUGAGCAUGGUUAGCAGAUAUAUGACCAAUCCUGGUAAGGCUCAUUGGCAGGCUGUUAAGUGGAUUUUGAGAUACUUACGAGGUACCACUAACACUUGUUUGGAGUUUGGGAGAUGUAAGGAUGGUGUGGUUGGAUAUGUUGAUUCGGAUUUUGCAGGUGAUUUGGAUAGGAGGAGAUCACUUUCAGGUUAUAUAUUCUCUAUUGGCGGAUAUGCAGUUAGUUGGAAAGCUUCACUACAACCUAUUGUCGCCUUGUCUACGACAGAGGCGGAAUAUAUUGUUAUGACAGAGGGUGUGAUGGAAGCUAUGUGGUUAAGAGGUUUAUUUGGAGAGCUUAUUUCUUGUUGGGAUCCUACGAUUGUUUAUUCGGACAGUCAAAGUGCUAUUCAUUUGUCUAAAGAUCAGAUGUUUCAUGAGAGGACAAAGCGCAUCGAUAUAAAGUUUCACUUUGUUCGAGAUGUGAUUGGGAAACGCACGGUGACUGUUAAGAAAAUUAGUACUGAAGAUAAUCUGGCGGAUAUGCUUACUAAGUCUCUUACUAUUGCCAAGUUCAAGCAUUGUUUGGCUUUGGUGGCAGUUAGCAGCACUUGAGGCCCUAUGGGGCGUUUGGAGGAGACGGAGCACGGAACGUUAAGGAGCAUUGAGGCGAAUUAAAUUCAAGGUGGAGUUUUGUGGCGACCUCGACAUAACGGCAGCUAAACUACAAUUUAAACCAAGGUACAGAUUGUUAUAUUUGGUUUAGAUUUGUAGUUAUCUAAAUUUGGAGUUAAAUCCUAAUCUAAAUAGGAUUGAAUUUAAUUUGGCAUAUAUGGAUUAUAAUUAGGAGUGUAAUUCUAAUUGAAUUAGAAUUAGACUCUAGUUAGGAGACAUGUAUUAUAUAUACAUGCUACGGCCAAGUUAAUGACGCCGCGACUCAAAUUAAGGCCAUGCAAAUUUAUUAUGUUGUGGGUGGUCAUGUUGCGGCGACAAAAAUUAAGAAGCCCCCUAUGCCUAUUCCGGCUCAAUUAAGUGUUGCAUAUUUGGAGAGAGCCAAGCCGCGGCAAUCCUAAUUAGACCCGUGCUAAUUCCGUACGGUCUGGGGUCUUGAGAGGAGCCGUGUGCGCGCUAAUUAGCCGUGUGCUAAUUAAGGCUCAUUUUGUGGUUCGUACAUAUUAGAGAGAAGUCAUCUUGGAGUUUCUUGUACGGACGAGGGUUGCGGUGUUUCCGAUCUAUUUAGAGUUCGGGUUCUUUUGAGAGAUUUUCUUUGUACUUCGCCUUUUCGACAUUAAUAAAGUAUUUGCUCCGUCUUCGCCCGUGGACGUAGGCCGUUGGCCGAACCACGUAAAUAUCGGUGUGCUAUUUUCUUUUCUUUUUAUUUCCUGCAUUAAAUUAUUUUCUGAAUCUAUUUUUCGCCGUUCCGAUUUUAACAAAAACAAGCAUCCUUUCACUGAAGGACACAACCCUAAACUUAAACAAAGAGACAGCCUUAUGAAGGGACAAAACCUUUCAUAAAGUACAAAACCCUUCAUCAAAAGAAGUAAAUAAAAAACUAAUAAACAAACUUAUAAUCUAAUAUUUCCCCUUACGUUUGUUUAUGCAUAACUAUCGCCUUCUUCGAUCGGAUCUUCAUAAUCUUAGAGUCUUUUCUGUAUUGCUAUCUUGUCUGAAAUCAAACUUCUAAUUUUGGAGGCCUGCUCGUCGAUUGCACUCUCUAGGGAUUUGUUCUCCGGAUUCAGUGCCAUAUUUUCUUUUUCUAAGGAGAUAUUUACUUUCUCCAAUUUUUUGUAAGUUUCUCUAAAUAAAUAUUUCUUUGAUCAAGAGAAACCAUACCUUUAGUACUCAUAAAAGCAAAAUGUGCCACAUCUUGUUCCGCUUCCUUCUUUGACUUUUUCAUAUCACCCAUAUAAGUUGAAUUUUUGAAUUCGACAAAUGAAUAAAAUUCCGGAACAUGCAUGAAUAGGUCAUUCCUCAUAAGUGCGAUAUUAUGGUAGCGGCAUUUUCAUCUUCUGACAGUAUUCUUGAAGUAAAUUUUUGUAGAAUAUCCUCACUAUCACUUUAUUCUCCAUAUUUCUCUUUUUUUCUUUGUUUAAAUAUCAACUUGUUUAAAAGAAAUAAACUCUUCAUUCAAUAUUUAUGGGCAUGAAGAGACUCCCAAAAUCAAGUAACACACCCUUUCAAAUGUAAAGUGUCCCAAUUUAAAAGUCACACACCCUUUCAAAUUUUAAAGUGUCCCAAUAUAAGAGACACACACUCUUUCAAAUUUUAAAACUUUUAACUACUCUUAUAUGGGUCAAUAUGCACUGGUCGACAUUUUUAACUAUUGGUUAAUACAGUCAAAAAAUGUGUGGCUCCAAACCACCCCUUUAAAGCUUUCACUUGUACUUCUUAACCACUAGCAGCCAACAUGUCAAACUCUCCAAUUACAACAGGAUGCAUUAACUACCUUCCUAGCACAUAUAACUUGCACCAAUUAACACUUGAUUGCACUAGUCAAUAACCACAGAUAAUUAAUUCAUUUUUUAUUGUUAUAUAUAUUUUUUUGAAUUGGUUUAAAUUUUUUACCAUUUUCGAAUUCUAAGUUUUUUCUCUAAAUUUUUGAAAAUUUGUUUAUUGUAGUAAAAAUAUCUGCUAUAUGAUCCUCAGAGUUGUAAUGAAUUAAUUCAACUCGUCCUUUUUUACUUCUUUACUAAGAAAAUGAUAUAUUGUGUCUAUAUGUUUACUUCUCCCAUGAUGCACUAGAUUUUUAGAUAACUCGAUAGUUGAUAUUAUCAAUAAAUAUUGGGGUAGGAGAAUUUUGAGUAUAACCCAAUUCUUGUAGUACGUUUCUUAACCAUAUUGCUCCACAAGCUCUAGAUGCCGCAGCAACAUAUUCUGCCUCACACGUUGAUAAGGCUAUAAUUUGCUGUUUCUUAGAACUCCAUGUGAAAGCUGUAGAACCCAGAAAGAAGACGUAUCCCAUAGUGCCGUCUUGAUCUCUAGCCCAAUCACUAUCUGUGUAUCCAAAUAAUUUUAACUCUUUUGAUUUUGUAUAGUAUAAUCCAUGAUUAAUGGUAUCUUUUAUAUAUAUCUCAAAAUCCGUUUUACAACUUGCCAGUGCGAUUCCAUUGGAUUUUCCAUAUAUCGGUUGAUUAAUCCGACUUACAUAAUAUCUGGUCUACUUACUGCUAAAUAGCGAAAACAUUCUAUAGGCUUUUGAAUAGAGUAGAAUUAAUUUUCUUUCCUGUAUCAUUUUUCCUGAGUUUGGUUUCACGUAUAAUUAGUGUGUUAAUUUCUUUACUAUUUUUCAUUUUGAAUUUUCUUCAAAAUAUUUUCUGUAUAUCUCUUCUGAGUGAUAAAAAUUUCAUUUUCAUCUUGUUUCACCUCAAUACCAAGAAAAUAUGACAUAAGUUCAGAACUUGGCAUUUCAAACUCUUUUGUCAUGAUAUUUUAUCAUAUCUUUGCUGUAUCCUGUGAUUAGUAGGUCAUCCACAUAUACACAUAUGAUCAAAAUAUCUUCUUUUUUAUUUUUAUUUUUCUUGAUGUAUGUCGCAUACUCAUAGGGGCAUUUAUAAAAUCCAAUCUUCAGGAGAUAAUUAUUGAGACGAGUAUCCCAAUCUCGCGUGGAGCCUAUUUUAAACUAUACAAAGCUUUGUUCAAACGAUAAACUUUAUCUUCCGCAUCUUUUAUUUUGUAGCCAGGAAGUUGUUCUAUAUAAAUUUCUUCCUCAAUAAAACUAUUUAGAAACGCCGAUUUUACAUCCAUUUGAUGUACUUCCAACCAUGAAAAGUAGCUAUUGCAAGAAUAAGCACGGUAUCAAGUCGGAUUACCGGUGCAAAUACUUCUUCACAGUCUACACCUUUUUCUUGUUUAUAUCCCUUUGCGAUUGGCCGUGCCUUAUAUUGUAUUAUUUGCCCAUCAGCAUCAUGCUUGAUCUUAUAUAUCCAUCUUACUCCAAUAGCUUUGUAACACUGCAAUAUUCCCACAUCGGAUGGGAUACUGAUUUCGAUCAGUUUAUAUGAGGCCUACACACUAGUAAUAAUAACUGGGCUUAAGAAUUUUGGGCCGAUGGUUUGGGCACAACGAGUUAUUAUUGCUAGCGGGUCGGGUCGUUACAUUUGGUAUCAGAGCCGAAUACCAGCCGGAAGUGUAAGAGCUAAGUGCUAUGCGGGACAAAGUGCUACACCAAUGGAUUUGGUGGGAGCCACCUCUUGAACCCGUAGGAGCCACUUCUAGAAUCUCAUAUCGCCCGGUAAUUCUGGUCCUGGUAUGUCUGUCUAUGAUCUGGUUUGGACCCGACGAGGACGCCAUGGUCUAAGCAGGGGGAGUUUGUAACGCCCCAAUAGUCCCAUAUCGGAUGGGAUACUGAUUCCGAUCAGUUAAUAUGAGGCCUACAUGCUAGUAAUAAUAACUGGGUUUAAGCAUUUUGGGCCGAGGUUUGGGCCCAACGAGUUAUUGUUGCUAGCGGGUCGGGUCGUUACAAGCUUUAUGUCCUAUAGGAAGUGAAGUCAGUUCCCAUAUUUUAUUUUUCUCUAUUGCUUUGAUUUCUUCAUUCAUUGUGGUGCGCCAAACAUCCUUUUGUAGGGCAUCUUCAUCAGAUAAUGGUUCUUCAUUAAGAUGUAAACAAAAUAAGUUCUCAUUAUCAAUCACAUCCGUCCCAUUGUAUAUAUCUUCCAGUCUUCUUGAUGACUUGAAGAACUUGUAGGAGUGGUUGAUGAAGGAGCUGGUAAUGGUAAUGGCGGAGUCAUUAGUGAUGGAGUGUCAUUAUUAUUUGGCACAUUGUAAGUUUCUUCAAUUUCCCGAUCUAUUAAUUCUUUUCCUUUUUCUUCAAUACUCCAAUUCUACGUGGCAUUUUCAUCAAAUAUGACAUCUCUACUUAUAAUUACUUUAUUAGUAAUUGGAUUAUAGAGUUUAUAAGCUUUAGAAUGCUCACUAUGACUAGUAAAGAUACAUUUUUUGCCUCGAUCAUCUAACUUUUUUUUUCUCCGUGGGAAUUUGUGCAUAAGCAAUGCAUCCGAAUAUCUUGAGAUGUUUAACUCUAGGUUCAUAUCCACUCCGCCCUUUUUCUGGUGUCAUAUUCUUUAUACUCUUAGUUGGACUCCUAUUUAUUAGAUAUACUGUGCAUGCACCUGCUUCUGCCCAAAAUGACUUAGGAAAAGCCUUCUGUUUAAGUAUGCUUCUUGUCAUAUCUAAAGUAGUUCUAUUUUUUCGCUGGCUAUAUCAUUUUGUUGUGGACUAUAUGCUGUAGUGAAUUGCUGUUGAAUAUCUUCUUUACUGCAACAAUCUUUAAAUUAAUUUGAAGUGUAUUCUUCUCCUCUGUCGGAUCUCAGUAUCUUUAUUUUGUUUCCACUUUCCUUUUCUACCAAAGCUUUAUAAUUUUUGAAAGUAGAAAUGGUGCAGAUUUCUCUUUGAUAAAAUAAAUUCAUAUUUUUCUAGUGCAAUCAUCAAUAAAAAUAAUAAAAUACUUAUUUCCUCUAUUAGACUCAGGAAGAGGACCAUAUAUAUCAAUAUGGACUAAAUUUAGAGGUUUCGUUGCAAACUUUAUUUGCUACUAAUAAAAGGAAGUCUUGUUUGUUUUCCAAUUAUACAACCUUCACAUACUACUUUUGAAUGUUUGAUAACGGAAAGGCCAAGAACCAUUCUUUUGGAUGAUAACAAUAUUAAACUAUUGUAAUUUAAAUGCAUGUACCUCAAAUGCCAUAAUUCUGAUUCUUCUUUAAAUUCAGAAUGGUAGCACCUCUCAAUUUUUGACUCUAUAUUUAUAAGAAACAUUCAAUUCUUCGACAUAUGCACUUUUGCAAUCAUUUUGCCAUUCUUAUCCUUCAGAUUCAGAGUAAAGCCUUCCAUACAAAUGACAUAUCCUUUCUCCAUUAGUUGUCCGAUACUCAGUAUGUUGCUCUUUAAUUCUGGCAAAUAAUAUAUAUUAGAGAUGAAUUCUUCUUCACCACUCUCCGGUUUGAACAUAAUUUUUUUUCUUCCUUUAAUAGGUGAACAUAAUUUUUUCUCUUCCUUUAAUAGAUACUUUGGAUGAAUCACCAAAUUUUAUAUUGCCAUCAACAUUCUCAUCUAUUUUAACAAAUAUUUCUUUCAUUCUACACAUAUGAUUUGAAGCACCGAAAUCUAGAAACCAUACAUAAUGUGAAUUUUUAACUUUGUCUUGACAUGCAGGUAGUAGUGAAGUUUCUGCAACUUUAUCUUCUAAAGUACUAUCGAUGUAAUGAUUCACUGCUUUAGUAUCUUUAUACCAGCAAUUUUUGCUGUAGUGACCAUACUUUUUACAAUUAUAAUAUUGGAUGUUCUAUCUUUCACCACCAUAAGAUCCUGGGCGAUUGUUAUUACGUCCGCCUCUUUUUGGUUCAUAUCCAUGUCGUGAAUUGUGACUACUAUUGUUGCUACUCUGUCAAUCAUUGUUAUAUCUCUUUUGAUUCUUAUAUUUAUUAAAAUUAUUUUCUCCAAAAUUUUACCUUUUCUAUUAUCAAGUUUCAAUUUUGACUCGAGAGCCUACUCAGUCGACUCAUUUUUAGAUACCUUUUGUAGUCUUUGUCCAUGUACUUGGAGGGAUCCUGUCAAUUGGUCAAUAGCAAGAGUACUGAUAUGUUUUGACUCUUCUAUGGCGACAACUAUAUGCUCGAUGUGAGGGAAUGAAGAACCUUUUCUAUAACUCGUUCAUUAUCAAGUUCUUCUCCAUUUCGCUUCAUUUGGUUUGCAAUUACCAAAAUGUGAGAAACAUAGUCCGCGACACUUUUGGACUCCUUCAUUCGGAUUGUUUCAAAUUCCGCUUGAACCUUUUGGAGACGAAUCUGCUUCACUUUGUCAUCCCCUUUAAAGAUGGCGGCAAGAAUAUCCUAUGUUGCUUUGCUUGAAGUUGCUUCGGCAAUUUCUCAAACGUCGACUCGUCUACUGCUUGGUAGAUAGAAGAGGGCCUGUUUAUCCUCCUUUCUGGCUUCCUUCAAAUCAUUUUGUUGGGCUAUAAUUAAUGCAGUUUCUUCUUACUCUGUGUAUUUUUGGUACCCAGUUUUGACUAAUUUCCAAAGAUCUUGAGAACCAAGUAGUGCUUUCAUUUGAAUGCACAAAUUCUCAUAAUUAUCUUUUAGUAAUUUUGGGAUUUAGGUUUCGAGAAGUUAUGUGACCAUUUUUCAAUAAAGUUCCUUUCUUGCUCCGAUCCAAAUGUUGGUGACCUAUUCUAUUAAUGGAACUACAAAAGUAUUUAAAACUAGAACAACUAAAUUUAUUAAAUAUAAUUGAACUUCGGUACGCAAGAACUUAUUAAUACAAUUUGAUCCACACUAAACAGAACAAGUAACAUGCUCUCUAUUUAUAGAGCCCGAAACGACGCAACAUAUCAUGAAAAUAAGCAUCCUUUCACUAAAGGACACAACCCUAAAUAAGAAGAAGCAACCUUAAAUAAAAAGACACAACCUUACGAAGGGACAAAACCUUUCACAAAGUACACAACCCUUCAUCAAAAGAAGUAAAUUAAAAACUAAUAAACAAACUUGUAAUCUAACAUGAUUGUUGUCUGUAGUGUUCGGUUGAGGCUAUUACGUCUGCUACUAUCUCUUUUUCUUGUUCAUUCACUCUCAUUUUCUACAUCUUUCCCUCUUGCUUUCUACCUCUUCCUCUAUCAUGACUGUUGUCUGUAUUUCUACUCAUCAUGAUCAUAACAAUUAACAGUUAUCAUCUUAUUGUCCAAACUAUUAGGGUCCAUUUGGUUCACGGUUUAUAAUAUUUCAGUAAUCUUCCAUUUUUUUUUUUUUAUUGAGAAUAUUCAAAUCAUUGUUAUUCAACUCAUGCAUGUUAGAUAGUUAUAUAUGUUGAAGAUAAGAUCAAAUUGUUAGUUAGUUAGAUUUGUUAUUAAGAUUUCUUAGUUGGUUAGAUUUGUUACGAGGGAUUUUGUUAGUCAGUUUAGAUUUUGUUUUUUUUGUUAUCCAUAUGCACCAUAAAAGGCUAAGACUGUGUAGAACAAGUGCACCGCGAAUCUAUUGAUUAUUCUCCACAUUAAUAAAAUUAUUCGCUUCAUUGUUUUAUUGAUUACCGCCAUAACAAGUGGUAUCAGAGCGUCAGGAUUAAGAAAGCUAGGUUCAGUGAGAGGAGACUACGUCGAUGGUGAUCAACGGGGUCGGCGGAUCCCAAACUGCUCUUCCCAUUUUCAAAGGGGAGAACUAUGAUUUCUGGUCCAUCAAGAUGAAGACGAUGCUAAGAUCGCAAGAUCUAUGGGAUCUUGUGGAGAAGGGGUACACGGAUGCUACCCCAGAGAAUAUGAAGAAGGACUCAAAGGCUCUUUUCUUCAUCCAGUAGGCCGUCGAUGAAUUGAUUUUUUCGCACAUUGCUGCUGCGACAAAAUCGAAGGAAGCAUGGGAUACGCUACAGAAGGAGUAUCAGGGCAGUUCAAAGGUACUCAGAGUCAAACUUCAAACUUUACGACGUAAAUUUGAGACUACUUUCAUGCAAGAAAAUGAAAAUGUUCAUUCUUUUUUCUCAAAAGUUAUGGAACUAGUAACCACCAUGCGUUCAUAUGGUGAAGAUUUGUCGGAUCAAAAGGUUGUUGAAAAAAUUUUACGAAGUUUGAUUUCUAAAUAUAAUCAUGUUGUGGCUGCUAUUGAAAAGUCGAAAGAUUUUACUAAUAUUCUUGUACCGAACUUUUGGGCUCUCUUUUGUCACAUGAGGAUCGCAUUGACAAACCUCAUGAAAAUUCUGUGGAAAAUUCUUUUUUGAAUAUAUCAAAAGAUAGGGAUAAAGGAGUAGCAGAUUACAGUCGGCAAGCUUCAUCACGUGGUCGUGGAAGAGGUCGCGGUGGUCAUGGUCAAGGAAAUAGAGGAAGAGGUAGAUAUGGAGGGCCAGAUCAACGAAACAGCAACAAAUCCUAUGGAUCAGAACGAGGUAACACCUUUAAGAAUAUCCAAUGCUUUUAUUGUAAGAAAUAUGGCCAUAUAGAAAGAUUUUGUCGUUUGAAAAAGGAGAAUAAUUCUCAAGUUGAUGCUAACUAUGUUGAAUCUGAUGUUCUUUUUGCUUGCUACACCGUAAAUACAAAUUUGGAAAAUAUUUGGUAUUUGGAUAGUGGUUGCAGUGCUCACAUGACAGGAAGAGACGAUAUAUUUAUCGAGUUGGACAGAUCGAUUCGAAGGCCCGUAAAAAUGGGAGAUGGUCGUAUUCGUGAAGCACAAGGUAAGGGAGUUGUAAAGGUAAACUUUAAUGGUAUCACAGAAAUAUCGGAUGUUCUUUAUGUUCCUGGUUUGGAUGCAAAUUUAUUCAGUGUUCGCCAAUUUCUUACUUUUGGAUAUUCUUUGGUGUUUGAAAAUUGUAAACGCCUCAUUUUUAAAGAUAGCCAAAAAACAGAAUUGCUUGCUGAAGUUGCCAUGGCGAAAAAUAAAAUUUUUCCUUUAUAUAAUGAUUUUCGAAAUCUGGCUAUGAGAGUAUCUACUAAUGAAAAUUGGUUGUGGCAUGAAAAGUUUGGACAUUUAAGUUUUGAUAGAUUAGAGUUUUUGUAUAAGGAGAUGGUUGAUGGAUUGCCGCAUAUUGCACCAAGUGACUCGAUUUGUGAAAGCUGCGUACGAGGGAAGCAUCAUCGAUCUCCGUUUCCAAAGAAAAGCACGUGGAGAGCAAAGAAACCUCUGGCCCUCGUACAUGCGGAUGUUUGUGGGCCAAUGCAAACACCGUCUUUGAAUAAUAAUUUUUAUUUUGUUGUUUUUGUUGACGAUUUUAGCCGUAUGACAUGGGUUGAUUUUGUGAAACAUAAGUCAGAUACUUUUGCAUGCUUUAAAAAGUUCAAAAAUAUGGUUGAGAAGGAAUCGGGCUAUCAAAUUAAAACUCUCCGUACAGACAGAGGUGGUGAAUUUAUUUCUAAUGAAUUUGAAGCUUUUUGUGAAGCACAUGGUAUUUUUAGGCAGUUGAUGACAAGUUACACCCCGCAACAAAAUGGGGUCGCGGAGAGAAAAAAUAGAACCCUCGUCGAGAUGGCAAAGAGCAUGUUGAAGGCUAAGGGAUUACCGAAUAAGUUUUGGGCGGAGGCGGUCUCCACAGCAACACACAUUUUAAAUCGGAGUCCUACAUCAUCUUUGGAGAGUAUUACUCCGUAUGAAGCCUGGACCGAAAGAAAGCCGAAGGUAAAUUAUUUUAGAAUUUUUGGGUGUGUGGGUUUUGUUCAUAUUCCAUCUCAAAAGCGACAAAAGUUAGAUGACAAUUCCCAAAAGUGUAUUUUCAUGGGGUACAGUGAUAGAAGUAAAGUAUAUAGAUUUUUUAAUCAUAAUACGAAUUCUUUAAUUAUCAGUCGAGAUGCAAUUUUUGAUGAACAAAAAAGUUGGGAGUGGAAUAAAGUUUUGCAGGAUCGCCCUAUUAGAUUGGCUGAAGAAGAAGUUCAGAGUACCCCACAAAACACACCCUGUUCUUCGGCAAGUUCUUCGACAACUACUUCACCAGAAACAACGCCGUCCAAGGUGAGGUCACUUCAGGAGAUAUAUGCAAGUACGGAAAGAUGUCAAUUUGGCUUGAUGCUUGAGCCUGAAGGAUUUGAAGAUGUGGCUAAAUCGUCGGAGUGGUGCAAAGCAAGGAAUGAGGAGAUGGAUGCAUUGGAGCGCAAUCAAACUUGGGAACUUGUAGAACUACCCCCGAACAAAGAAGCACUUGGUCUAAAGUGGGUCUACAAGACCAAGUUCAGACCUGAUGGAUCGGUUCAGAAAUUAAAGGCGCGAAUCGUAGUGAAAGGGUAUCUACAAUGUGAAGGUAUUGAUUUUUCCGAAACUUUUGCCCCAGUUGCACGUUUUGAUACUAUUAGAACUGUUUUGGUUCUAGCGGCACAAUUUGGUUGGAAGGUUUUCCAGUUUGAUGUUAAAUCUGCUUGUGCAUGAUGAAGUUUAUGUUAAGCAACCUCAGGGGUAUGAAGUUAAAGGACAAGAAGAGAAGGUGUACAGGCUUAAGAAAGCACUCUAUGGCCUCAAGCAAGCACCCCGAGCUUGGUAUAGUCGAAUUGAUACUCAUUUUAUGCAGGGCGGUUUUAGUCGAAGUGAAAGUGAUCCCACACUUUAUGUGAAGACCCAAGGUACAGAAAUUUUGAUCGUGUGUCUUUAUGUAGAUGACCUAAUAUAUGUUGGUAAUUCUCAAAAGUUGAUUGAUGAGUUUAGAAGUCAUAUGGUACAAGAAUUUGAAAUGACUGAUUUAGAUUUGAUGAAUUAUUUUUUGGGGCUUGAAAUAACACAAGGGGAGAAAGGAAUUUUUGUGUCACAAAAGAAAUAUAUAUCUAACUUGCUUGACAGAUUUGGACUGAAGGAUUGUAAUCCAGUGACAAAUCCAUUGGGAACCAAUAUGAAGUUUUCAGUUGAAGACGGUGCAGAAAAAGUUGACCCUAAUGUGUAUAGGAGUUUGAUUGGGAGCUUGUUAUAUGUGGUUCAUACUAGACCGGACAUUUCAUUUGCAACGAGCCUUCUGUCAAGAUUUAUGGAAUAUUCUAGCAAGAUUCACAUGGGCGCAGGGAAGCGGAUAUUGAGAUAUUUGAAGGGGACUAGCGAUCAUGGAUUGUGGUUCACUAAAGCUAACAAUUUUUCUUUAUUUGGUUUUUCUGAUAGUGACUGGGCAUGUUCUAUUGAUGAUCGGAGAAGUACAAGCAGAUUCGCAUUCAAGCUCGGUUCAAGUACAGUGUGUUGGUCCUCAAAGAAGCAGCACACAACGGCGUUGUCAUCUUCCGAGGCUGAGUAUGUUGCACUCACUGGUGCAGCAUGUCAAGCAAUCUGGUUGCGGCGGAUUCUAUGUGAUUUGCAUCUGAAGCAAUUAGAUCCGACGAUCAUUUAUUGUGACAACCAAUCGACGAUUGCAAUGGCAAAAAAUCCGGUGCACCACAGCCGCACCAAGCACAUUGAGAUCCGUCACCACUUCAUUCGCGAUCAAGUGGCAAACGGCAAUAUUCAGAUGGUACAUGUUUCCACUCAAAACCAGCUAGCAGAUAUUUUCACCAAACCAUUACCAUUGGAGAAAUUCAUUUGGUGUCGUGAAGAACUUGGCGUUACAAGAUUUGAUCUUACGGGGGCGUGUUGAAGAUAAGAUCAAAUUGUUAGUUAGUUAGAUUUGUUAUUAAGAUUUCUUAGUUGGUUAGAUUUGUUACGAGAGAUUUUGUUAGUCAGUUUAGAUUUUGUUUUUUUUUGUUAUCCAUAUGCACCAUAAAAGGCUAAGACUGUGUAGAACAAGUGCACCACGAAUCUAUUGAUUAUUCUCCACAUUAAUAAAAUUAUUCGCUUCAUUUUAUUGUUUUACUGAUUACCGCCAUAACAAUAUAAAGUGUUAGUGAAGUAUUAGGAUAAUUGUAGAUUUUGAGAUAGUAGGAAUACCAGAUUACCAUGGAGGUAUUUUCAUAUUCAUACUUGAUGAGAAUCAUUAAUUAGUACAUAACCUAUUAAUAAGAAUAAAUUAGUUUUUAACAUUCUCUCAAUCCAAGUGGCUUGGUAAAUUAGCAACAAGUUUGCCACUCCGAAUUUAAAAUUAUAUAAUAUUAAACCAAAUGGUCUCCUACCGGUCUAAUUUUCUAGUCAGUAAGUAGUUCCUUCUUUAGUAAACGACAGUCUUUCAUGAAUAAUAAUAAUAUAUCCCUUUGUUGGAAUUAUAAUAUUAUUUGCCGCUUUUACACUUGAUAUAGGGGUUUUGGUGGUUUGACGGCGACUGUUGUGUCCGGCCGUUGGACUGCUGAGAAUCACUCUGGUGCAUGGUCGUUUCUUCUUUUCCUCUUAAUUUUGUGAUGAAGAGCGAGCGAUUUUAGUUUCUUGAACGGACGCAUCUUGGUCCGGCAGUCACACAUCAUUGCCCAUUAGCUGUCAUGCUUGAAAACCGAAGACAGUACUACUCUAGAUGGACGCUCUUGAGUCAGAUCAAUCUGCGAGCUAAAACUUGCUUAGGCCCUAGGGACGGCUUUCGAAUGAGUUAAAUAUUUAAUAUGCUUUACAGCUAAGAUGAUUACGUUCGUACCUAGGUGGAUGUGUAGCACACAAUGGAUCUAACCACUUGAAAGAUAAAAAUAAAAAAUAAAAUGACGAACAAAUUGAAAUAUGUAGGCCAAUAGGGCAAGGGAUAAUGGUUCGAGGGAGUGCGGCGUCACAGUAAGUAGGGGCCCAUAUGCGUGCGUGUUAAUUAGAAUCUAUCAGAAGGUCAGCUUCAUUUCGUGUGGUGAUCCUUAAAUUAUUCGUAAGGCAACUGCUAUUCUUGUACUUACUAUGUUCACGUCACCAGAAAAGAAGAAAAAUAAUAGAAUUAUGUAUUUAAAGUUGUUUAAGUGCUUAGUUGGGUUCAACUAGCUAGAACAAAGCCAACACAUCAAGGUGACGAAAUGGGGCCGCAUUUGGGGUUAUAAUUAGUAGUGUUAAUUUCAUACAGAUCGAUCCCUAUAAAUAUAGUAAAUUACAAAUAUAAUUUUAUAAAGUUUUAAUUUUUAUAUGUUGUUCCUAUAAAAGUUCUGAUGUUUUAAAAUAUUUUCUUGUCGUUAGGAUUCGUUGAAAAAAGUUAGUUGAUCAUAUGUAAAAUUCUUAAUCUUAGUUAGUUAAUUAAUAAGGUGAAUUAAUCAUUUUACUCCUCUUUAAUUAAUAGUUAGAGUUUUUGAAGAACAUAUUUGUAGUGACGAAAAGGUCAUUGCAGUUAUAAAAUAAAUAAUAUUUUAACGGUAACAAACUAGAGGAACAUAUUUAAAAAUAUUAGAACUUUUCUAAAAAUAAUAUAUGAAAGUUGACCUUUGUAGAUAUAUAUUUGUAAUACACUAUAUUUGCAGGAAUCUUUAUAAAAUUAACUCUUAUAAUUAAUAUGAGCUCUGUGGUGGCUUAAUUUUGUGGGUAUAUAUAUGGACCCUUGCUCUCUCUUCUGCACCUCUUUGUUAAUUUAUUGUAAUUAAUACGGCAUAUGUAUAAGUCCCUUUGUGUCGUUUCUUAUAUAUAUAUAUAUAUAUAUAUAUAUAUAUAUAUAUGAAUAAAUUUGCUUUCCUUCUGUCACCAGUCAACGCUUGAAACAAAAGAUCACUUCGAAAAAUCCAAUAGGAUAUAUUAUAUAUAUAUAUAUGUAGUGAACUGUCAUAUGCGAAGUCGGUAAAACUAGGAAAAUCCAUAUUAUAUCAAGAGAAGCACUAAUAAGUGAAUUAUAAUCUCAUCUCUCGUUGUCAGAAGCAUAGCCGAAAUGAUCCAUCUAGAAAGAAACAAACCUCAUAAUUGUCGCUGCCGCUCACAUUUUAGUGCAUGGCGGAUAUUAGCUAGGCAAAGUACGUAACGCUAUGGGCGUUAACAUAGUAUAUAUAUAUAUAUAGGUAGCUUAAAACGUAAAAAAAAGUAUUUAAUUGAUUAAAAGGGAUGUGGGAAAUGAAAUCCAUAAUUUGAAGAAUUAAUGUAACCUAAAAAUCAAUGUGCGUGAUAGGAAACAGUUGAGAAAUAAGUUUAAUAGAUAUUAAAAUAAACUAUAAUAUUUGAAGGGACUUUAUACUAAUCCGAGUAUACGUGAGCAAAGAGAGCACGCAGCUAGAAUACAACGAAACAAAAACUGCACAACGAAACUAAAUUGUAUUUUGAAGUCAACGAUAAUGUAUAAGAAUAAUUUGAUUAGUUGUUGAUGCAAAUGAAGACAAGAUGAUUUGGACAGGCAACUGCAUUUUGAUAAUCCUGAGUGUGGUCGAUCGAUGAGGACGGAUGACAACGUCGCGCUCAACAGUAAGAUGUCAAUUAAUUAAUUAAUGAAUGACUCGCAUACUUAUCUUAAAUAAGUAAUUAAUGAUUCAACUGUUGUAAUAUAGAUAGCAUCCUAAUUAGCAGUCGUUAGUUUACUGGCAAAAUGGUUCGAAUACACUUCACUUGUUGAAUGAGUGAAUAAACAAUAUGCAUGUUACCUUACAUGCAUUACACCUAGACAUUGUCGUUGCCACAUUUAUUCAACAGACUACAAAUACAAAUACACGACAGGCUAAUUUAGAAAAAAAAAAAAAAAAAGACUUAAUCCCUUUAAAGAAACAUUCGUGCACUAAUUUACUCGACUAUAUAUGUUUGGCUUCGAAAUAAAUUGGGGAUGACAAAAGCUACUUCUGCUGUUCGACCAAACAAUGAAAUAAAACAAUCAGAAUAAUAACUCUAUUCCGGUCAAACAGAAUUAUUCUCGAUAAUCCAAAAAUAUUCUAGGAAUAGCUCAUGUUAAUUUCAUCUUUUUAGAGAAAUGAGACUAUUUUCAUGUUUAUGCUUAGAUUAUUAAAGAUAAUCAGGGUAAUAUAAAAGUAUAGUUAUAUUAUGUAUAUACUAAAUGUAUAUUUCAUAUUUAUAUAUAUUUAAGUAUCAUGCAAUAUAAUAUAAUAAUAAUUUGUUAUCAUUAUUACUAAUGCUACAACAACGUACUACUGGCAUUAUUAUAUUAUAAUUGUAUUGUAUUAUAAUAUAUUAUAUUAUAUUUAUUAUUCUAUAAUUUUAAUAUUAUAUGUUAUCCUAUAAUAUGCCAUAAUAUAGCAUGAAAUAUUAUAUAAGAUAUAAAUUAAUAUGCUAAAUUUAUAAUAUGCCGGAUUAUAUUGUCUUCAAUUGUUUAGUAACUGUGUAUAUCUUUUUAAUGGCCAAUUUGCAUAAAAAAUCUAUACGGUUUGAGCUUUUGUAAAACUGGGCCGCUUUUUCCAAUUUUACAGAUUCGGAUCGGAUUUUCAACAAACUGAUCAAAAUAUAUACCCUUAUUCCUUUCUCUCUCUUCUUUUCUUUUUCUUCGUUCUUUUUUUCUCUCCAACCCUUAUCACCUCCUCCACUGCCUCCGCGGCCCUCGGAGACGGUAACGAGGGCGGCGGCGCAUCCUCUUCCUCCAUCUUCUCCUUCGCUAGCGCUUGUGGCUCUCGACGACAGUAACGAGGAGCGCGCCACCUCCUUCACCUCUGCUGGUGCCGGAGAAGGAGAAUGAGAACUCGAAGCGGGCUCGGGUGCGGGCGGAGCGGACGGAGACGAUGAGGUCGUUGUCAAAGAGUUGCUCGCCGCCCACGAGGGUGAGGAAAAAAGACGCACUCAUCUCCAAGAAGCGAACAAAGAUGCAAAGGAUAGAAAAAAUAAAAAUAAAAAGUAAUAUAUAUAUAUAUAUAUAUAUAUAUAUAUAUAUCAUUAUAUAUCGAUGUUGCUACCGAAAAGUUUAAAAAUCAGAGAAAAAGGAAGAAGAAGAUGAAUGUUGCACUGUUAAAAAAAGUGCACUAUUUUACAAGAAAAUUGCACUAUUUAAUAUGAACGUUGCAUUCUUUGAGAUGAAAAUUUUACUCUUUAAAAUAAAAGUUACACUCUUUUGACAAAAAUUAGACUAUUUCAGAAAAAUUGCAUUAUUCUCCGACCCUCAUCUCCUCCUCCUCUUUUUCUUCUUCUUCUUCGUCUUUCUUUGACACUUUCCUCUCCCUCCUCCUCUGAUCCCUAUACUCACCAACGCGAGACUGUCUACCUCGUGCGUCACAUCGGACUGCCGAAACACGAAAACGACCUACUGCUCUUUUCUUUUUUUUUUCUUCAUUUUUAUUCUCUCCGACCCUCUUCGCCUCCUCUACCGCUUCCACGGCCCUCGGCGACGGUAACAAGAGCGGCGCCACCUCCUCUUCCUCCGUCUCCUCCUCUGCUGGCACCGGUGGCCCUCGGCGACGGAAACGAGGGCGGCGCUGUCACGCCCCGAACUUGGUCCAAUUUGGCCGGUUCGGACCCGUCGAACAGACGCCGAACGGACAACACCUUCCCUGUCCGCCCAAGGCUCAAUAUCAAGUACAAAUAGAGUAUAAAAUUUGUACAUGCGGAAGCAAACAUAAUGGCUUGCACGAGGGCAAGCAAUAGCCAAACUGAAAGUACUAAACUAAACUUCAACAAGUAAUAUGAUUAACUUUAAAUCACAUACAUGUAUACUACUUUAGUCAAGUUCCUUUACGUGCUCUUUCAUUAUUUCUUUUUACAUCACAAUGCUCCAAAAUAUAACUUUUGAUAUUUAAAGUAAAUAUCUUUUACAUCAUACUCGUAAGCAUCUAGAAUCAUCAAAUAUAAAAGAUGAUAGUAAAGGAAAUGCAACUACAAAAUAUGAAAUCAUCUCGGGUGGUCUCUAUCUAGGGCGCGAUGCCCUUACCGCGGUCGUCUGCCGGCUCGCUCGGUUCCGGCUCUGUGGAAAUAGUGGGGUGAUAACUACAACAAAGUUCCCAGUGGGUUCGGCAACCAACCACGCCGACUUUCCCACUAGGUCUAAAUCAGGCAUAAUAGAAGAAGGAAUAGAUAGUAACCAACUAACAAAUGCAGCUAAUAUGCCUGAACAAUAAACAAUACUAUGCUCGAUAGAAUGCUUAUGAUGAAUGCAAGAUUACCAUCUCAGUGCCCAAUCUCGUGGCUAGCCCGUAGGUUUCGCCCUCAACAAACUCACCAACCUAAAUCCCUACUAUCGGGGAGGUACCCGCUACAAUCCGACAGGACCGUCCUCUGGGGAGAUACUCGCUACGACCCAGUGAUGACAAUUCCGGAGCAUAUCGCCCGAGGGGGAGCUACCACCCUCGAGCAAGGACUAUGGGUGAGUACGAUCAAUCCUUAACUUUAAGGAUUCUAAGUUCAAUCCAUUUCCUAGCUUUAAGGAAAACCAUGCUCAUAUCACACAUUUACUUACAUUCUUUACUUUCACUAGUGUCAUAUACACUACUUGUUCAUGUACCCACAGACUCAUGUCACACUUAUUUUCUAAGUUUUGAACUCUAGUGUUCUUGACUCAUCCAUAUCACUUACUAUCUUUAUGUCAAUCAUGUCACAUUUGUUCUCUAAGUCCACUAAGUUCUUGUCAUGUAUCAUGCAUACAUAGGGUUUGUUAAUUCUCACUUUCAUACUAGUAUUUUACAUGCAUUUGAACUUACAACAUGCAAGGAAGCUCACAAGUAAUCCCUACUAUGCAAUUAUGCUCAAUACAUAUAUAUACUCAAAUAUGACACUUUAGACAUAAAAGAAAGUUCAAGGUUGUCGGAAUGCACCACCCACCUUAGAUGGUUGAGAGGAUGCUACGGUUCAAUUUUUGGAAUUUUAGGGCGCCUAUAUUUUCGCCUGUGGCAAAACGAAGCCAAAUUAGGCUUUUUCUCAAUAACUUUAUUUAGAUCUUUUCGUAUCGUCGAACCGAGUUGCCAAACGUGUCGGGAAUACCCCCAAUUAGGUUUCCGCAAGGUCAAUUUGUCUAGAAAAUAUUCGGAGGUAAAAGUCCCAAAUUGGGUGCCCUAAUGUUGCCAUUUGUGAAAUCCUAGGUUUUGAUCUUUAAAACAAGUAAAAGAGAGCUUGUCCAAUACCUACAAGUUCUUCUAGAAUCAUCUAAACCAAUUCUAGGGCUUAGAAUGUAAACCCUAAAAAUUCACUAUUAGAGCACUUGAAGAAAAUAUGAGUUUUCAUGUUUCCAUGGCCACUAGAGGUUUCUACACUUGUAGAAGCUCCAGAACCUAGCUUCCUAGGGUACAAAACCCAAACCCUAGACUCAACUUUCUAUAAAACCUCACCUUGGUCACAAGCUCACCAAAGUCCACCUUGUAGGAGAGAACCCUAUCCUCCUAAUCCUCCAAAUCCACCUUCAACACCUUCUCCAACUCCUUCUCCUUACCCUUGGAGGAGAUUUCUAGAGAGAGAAAGAGGAAAAUAAGAGAGGGAGGUGAAAUGACUGUGAAAGGGAGAGGGGAUUGGUGUUAGGGUGUUAUUAUGUUGUAACAAUUACCAAAAAACCCUCCACUUCUUUCUAUUUGCAGCAGAUCUCAUUGUUGCUGCCAGACCAACGUGUACCGGUACACUUUGUUCUGUCACCGGUUACACGAUCACGCAGAGGCAAACCCGAGAGUAGCCUCCUCGGAUUUUACCAAAGUGUACCGGUACACACUAGGGGUGUACUGGUACACUUCUACGCAGAGAUCAAACCCGAGAGCUAUUCUUCUCGGGUAGUGAUGGUUGUACUGGUACAGCGUGAUGGUUGUACCGGUACACUUCGCCCAGACCGCAAUUUUUGCGUUGUUUCGAUUCUAUUUCGCACCGGUCGAUACUAAAACCUUUCUUACUCUUCUUUAACUCACUUUUAACCCUUCCAACAUUAUUGGAACACUGAAUGGAACUUGCCCAACCAUUUCUUUCUCACACUUUAGUCAAUUUGGCUAAAAUUCGAUAUUUUCUACUAAGUUUCGGUUCUUUAUAUUCUCCACCUUUUAAAAUUAGUUUCGUCCGCGAAACUAACUUAACUAAGAUCUAGAUUCAUACCUUAAUCCAGAUUCUCGAAGAGAUGGGGAUAAUGUUCCCGCAUUGCGCUCUCGAGCUCCGAAGUGGCUUUCCGGUCAUCGUGGUUGCACCAACGGAUCUUGACAUACGGAAUCUCACGGUUCCGUAGUUUUCUCACUUCGCGAUCGAUGAUGUACACCGGGAACUCUUCAUAGGUCAUAUGAUACAUGAAACACGUCGUGUACUCCCGCAAGCCUCGAUGGUAAUGCUAUAUUGUAGGCUACCGCACCAACGUGUUCCAAUAUUUCGAACGGUCCAAGGUAUCGGGGACUUAGUUUCCUACGGACUCCAAACCGUUUAACUCCUCGCAUUGGCAAUAUCUUUAAUUAGGAAUACGUGGUCACCAACCGCAAACUCGAUAUUCUUUCUUCGCUUGUCGGCAUAGCUCUUUUGCCGAGAUUGCGCCUAGCAAGUCGUUGGCGGGCGAGGCGGACUUUCUCCUCCGCCUCCCGCACUACAUCCGGGCUAAGAGCCACUCUCUCGCCCACAUAGCUCCAAUGAAUUGGAGAGCGAGAUUUCCUUCCAUAAAGGGCUUCGAAUGGCGCCAUCGCGAUACUCUCUUAGUAACUGUUAUUGUACGCGAACUCCGUCAUUGGUAGAUGAUUAUGCCAACUGCCCUUGUAGUCAAGUACACACGCUUGAAGGAUAUCCUCAAGUAUUUGUAUCGUCCUCUCCGAUUGACCAUCACUCUGAGGAUGAAAUGCUGUGCUAAAGUCGAGCCGUGUGCCCAAUGCCUCCUGUAGGCUCCUCCAAAAGUGAGAUGUGAACCUCGGGUCCCGAUCCGAUACAAUUGAUACCGGAACACCAUGAACUCUCACAACCUCGUCAAUGUAUACUUGAGCCAACUUGUCCCCCGACCAUGUAAUAUGAAUCGGUAGGAAAUGCGCCGACUUCGUCAACCGGUCUACUAUCAACCAAAUUGCAUCGUGUCCACCUUUAGAUCGAGGCAACCCGGUCACGAAAUCUAUUGCGAUAUUUUUUCAUUUCCAAACGGGUAUAGAUAAGCUCUGCAACUUUUCUGCCGGAAAUCGACGCUCUUUCUUUACUUGUUGGCACGUGAGACAUUGCGCCACAAAUUCUCCAAUGUCUUUCUUUAUGCCCAGCCACCAAUAAUGGGCUUUCAAAUCUUGGUACAUUUUGGUGUCGCCCGGGUGAAUACUAUAAGGAGAUUGGUGUGCUUCUUGCAUAAUUGCCUUGCGAAUAUCCUCGUUUUUGGGCACACAUGAACGAUUUCGAAAUCGAAGUGCGCCAUCGGUCCCAAUAUCAAAAUCAUCGGCAUUACCACUCUCAACUUCACCGCGCACCUUUUGGAGAUACUCGUCGGAAGCUUGCGACUUUUUUAUCCUCUCCAACAAGGUCGGUUGCACCACUAAGGUAGCAAGUGUAGCCGGAACUCCCGGCGCUACUACUUCUAAUCCAAGCCGUUGCAUCUCUUUUUGCAAUAACGGUUGGGGUGUAAUUGUCGAAGCCAAGUUUCUCUCCGAUUUUCUGCUAAGUGCAUCGGCCACGACAUUUGCGUUACCGGGGUGGUAUAGGAUAGUGACAUCAUAGUCUUUCAAUAAUUUUAACCACCACCGUUGUCGCAUAUUCAGCUUCUUUUGGAUGAACAAGUAUUUAUGACUUUUGUGAUCCGUGUAGAUCUCACAAUGUUCGCCAUACAAGUAAUGCCCCCAAAGCUUUAGCGCGAAAAUCACCGCCGCUAGCUCAAGAUCGUGAAUCGGGUAGUUCUUUUCAUAAGUCUUCAAUUGGCGCGAGGUAUAAACUAUAACCCGCCCAUUUUGCAUCAAGACACACCUGAGACCAAUGUAUGAAGCAUCACUGUAUACCACAAAGGUCUCCCCCGGCGUCAGUAGAGCAAGCACCGGGGUUGUCGUUAACCUUUCCUUUAAUUCCUCAAAGCUUCGAUCGUAAUCGUCGUUCCAAACAUACUUCACUUCCUUGUGUGUGAGGCGCGUUAGCGGAGUGGUUAUUUUAGCAAACCCCUCCACGAUCCGCCGGUAGUAGCCCGCUAGUCCAAGAAAACUGCGGACCUCCGCUACACUCGUCGGGCGAGGCCAAUCUUUAAUUGCCUCUACUUUCUUCGGGUCCACCGAGAUGCCAUCACCCGAAAUCACGUGGCCUAAGAAAGUGACCUCCGAUAGCCAAAAGUCACAUUUCUUCAACUUGGCAUAUAACUUCUCCUUCCGAAGUAUUUCCAACAUGGUCCUCAAGUGCUCCUCGUGUUCUUUCUCACUCCAUGAAUAGACCAACACGUUGUCAAUGAACACUACGAUGCACUGGUCCAACAACGGUCGGAAGACCCUAUUCAUCAAGUCCAUGAAUGCCGCCGGGGUAUUAGUAAGCCCAAACGGCAUAACUGUGAACUCGUAGUGGCCAUGCCGUGUAUGAUACGCCGUCUUGCGCACGUCCUGGGACUGUAUCUUCAAUUGAUGAUGCCCCGAUUGAAGGUCUAUCUUUGAAUACACCCUCGACCCUUGCAAUUGAUCGAAUAGAUCAUCAAUCCUCGGCAAUGGGUACUUGUUGUUAACUGUCAAUUUAUUCAACUCGCACAGAGUCGAAGUGUGCCAUCUUUCUUUUUAACAAAUAGCACCGGAGCUCUCCACGGUGACACGCUCGGCCUCACGAAGCCUUUAUCGAGCAAGUUUUGCAACUGUGCCUUUAGCUCAUACCUAGCGACCUCACAUAUAGCAACACUUUUUAAAAGUGUCGGUAAUUUAGCCAGCAGCACUUUUUUUGAGCUAUACCGACAUUUAAAAGUGUCGCUAUAGACCGUUUUUGUUGUAGUGUAGUUCUCAUGCCUACUUUGUUAUUUUUGGUUUCAGAGUCCUCAACUCCUACUUCUAAUUGGGUAAGGAGAUAGCGAGCUAGAUAGCAUCUCCUACCCAUAUAUAUGGAUUAGAGGACCUGAGUUGGAGUUGUAUAUAGCAUAAUGUACAUUUUGAGACCGGCUGUAUUAGAGAUGUACUAUAUAUUAUGUUCUUUUGGAUUGUAUGGAUAUUGAAUGUAUAUGUAUAGUAUAACUAUAUUUAUAUAGUUUAUUUUACAGGCUCUAAUAUUUGUGAUGUAUAGUUGUAGACUCCUAAAGUCUUUGUUAGUUGUGGACUCUGAUGACUGAUUUCAUUGAGACAGGUGAUUAGUGACGUUUCGUAUGUGCAAGGAAUUCUUGUACAUACGGCGGAUCUGUUGACAUCUCCGAAAGCUUUUGCUGUAAUCUGGGAUAUUAGUUAAUGAUUAUGCUAGCUCUUACUACAACAAUCUUAUAAUUCAGUAAUAUACUAUUAGAAGCAUGCACAUAACUAACACUAAAAAUAAUUUUUAGUAAUAUAAUUUUAUAAAUAUUAUUGAAUAUAUUUAUUUAUCAAUAUUUGGACCAUAAUAAUACUAAAUAUAAAAAAUUAAUAGGCUUUGUUUUUAAAUGUAGCAAUAAUUUAAUAAUAUAACAUAAGAAAUGUUAGUAUACAAAUUAAUUUUUACCCUAUAUACUACUCGCCUAAAAUAUUUUGCCCGGCCACGUCUCAAUUCCUCCUUCUUAUGCAACAUCCAAGGAAGGUGAUUAACUCGUCACCUCUUCACCUUCUUUCUUUACAAAUCAAUUGAAGAAACUGCUGCCGCUCUCUCGUUUCAAUUUUAGUAUAUAUUCUGAUCAUUUUGAUUGCUAUCAUCUAUAAUACAGUUUUUGGGACUGCCACAUGAUUUAAAAAGUUGCGACGAUUGUUCAUUUCGAACAUAAAAUUUAAUAAGAAUGAAUUGAAGGUGCUUAUAAUUAAUCAAGAGAAAUCAGAUAAAUUUAUUGAGUAAACAAUUAAUUUUUCUAUCUUUAUUAGAAAAAAGGGCAUCAUAUUAAUUUAUUUAAUUUUAGUUUUGUUGUAGAACAAAGUUACAGAUAAGAUAUAGAACCAACUGUCAUAUCUCAUACUUUUCUAUAAAACGUUUGUUACAAAAUUAUACAAUAAAUCAAAACUAUAUAUGAGAACUAUUUUAAAUUAUGGUAAAUUAUAGAAUUGACACUACUAUAAAUUAUAAUGCAAAAAUAACUAGGACACGGGCUAAACUGCGCGCACGAAGGUUUUUCAUGAUGGGAUUUGUAGAAUGAAAUGAAAUGGAUGGUCAGUAAGCGGCCGGGUCACCUGUGCUGUUAUUGUCGUUCUAAUAAUAUUUUUUUCCUCUCCCUAGCUAUCAUUUUCCUGUCUUUUCCUUAGGCCCUUGCACCCGAUAAACUCCCCCAUAAUAACUGUAUGCUAAUUAAGGCUUGCUUUAGUAUUGUGGAUGAAAUGCGUUGGCGCAAUGAAAAAAUGUAUCAAAAACAUAUUUCAUUGGGUGUCGUAAAUAUAUAAUAAAAUAUUAUUAUAUAUGUACGGAUCACACUCAUUCGGUUAAGAAAUAAUUUUGACGAUAUUGAUCCUACCUAAAAAUAGAGAGUUACAAUUUCUCUUCAUCCAGCAUUACUAGAUGAUGCGCAAUACAAAACGGAUUGGAAUCUCAUAUUCUGCUAUGAUUAGUAUGGAUGGAUAGUUGAUAGGAUGCAGCGGGCCACCGGAAGUAAUAAGUCGCAACUUUAUUCCUCCCAGCAAAGAGAUAGAGAAUUUCCACAGCUGGAGCCAUGAAAGAAGUGAUCGUCGCUGCUUUCUUUUCAGAAAGAAACACACGUAGUCAACCUGAAAGUUUAAUUCCUUUAGAACAUGAUUCAUCUCUUUUUAUCUGAAAGUCGCUGUUCUUCCGCACCCUUCAUUUUUCAGUUGGCCCACUACUUUGUCACCGAAUGGUUAAGCGAUCAGCGAUGUACCUUAUUUUAUCGGGAUUCAAAAGGCACUUUCGCCUUUUUUAUCUGUGUUUGACUUGGCUUUUAGAACAUUUCUCUUUAUUUGAGAAGCUUCCAUAAGUAAAAAGUUUAGAAUAUCUCAAAAGACGACUAGAAAUUAAAACUAAACUAUUAUUUGGCAAAGUUUAGUCAGUAGAUUUCUAAUGAAAAAAGCUUUCGGUAGUUACUAGUAGGGGACUUGUUGUGCUGUUAGGAGCACGGGGAUGUUUCUAAGCGUUUUCGAUAAUUAAACUAUCGAAUCGACGAUCAGCUCAGGUAAAUUUAAUCUCACGUAUAAAAUAUCUGGAAAAUAAAUUUUACAUUUUUUUGAAAUUAUCUAAUGAUCGAAAGGGUUAAAAAUCAAUAUUUUUUAAUGAUUGAUGUAUGAUAUUUGUAAAUUUAAUGAUGUAGAAAUAUUCAAAUCAGAUAAAAAUUUUGAUAGAUUUUUUUUUUUACUAUCUACAGCAAGAUUAAUAUCUCUGAUCGAAAAGUUUAGUAUUAUAUAAUAAUUUUGUAUGAGAUGUUUAUUUCUAACAGCUGAUUUUGAAUUAUUUAUAUCACUAGAUAAAUGAUGUUAAAAAACCACAAUAUUUAUUUUCUAGAUAAUUUAAAUACGCUAAAGCCGAUUCUUGAUUCAAAAGUUUCAUUAUUGAAAACGACAAUAACACACGUGUUCUCUGAUAGCUACGGAAUGUUCUUGAAAAUUACAUAUUUAAUUUGUAGAAAAAGCACAAAAAGUUAGGCAAGAAAAAGUAAAUUUCAUUGAUGGUCCCAAGAAGAUGAAAUAAUAAUGACAUGGAAUCCUUGCUAUUGCCACAUCUAGAAAUGUCAGCACCAUAUCACUGCCAUGUCACUAGCAGGAAAUAUAUUAAACGCUUCUAGAAGUUUUAAAUUAUACAUUGAAGAUAAUUUAUAAUAGAAAAAAGAAAAAAAAAACUACAUACAAAAAAUUGUAAUUUUUAGAAAUCUAUAUCUUGAGCCUUCAAUGGGCUUUAUUAAAAAUUCUAAAUCAUUAUUUUUAACAUGGCGUGGAGGUUGUUUGAUUCUACAUAAAACUAUGAAAAAAUAAUUUAAAAACAAAUUUGUGAAAAAAAAAAUAUAGCGAUUUGCACUUGUUUGACUGAAAAAAGAAAAUAAUUUUUCCAAGCCUAUUUGUUUAUUUUAUAGUAAUAGAAAAGGAAAAUUGUGCUUAGGGUUUUCUACUUUAUAUAUUGCUUGGUUACUUGGAAAUAUUGGAAUAUUGAUCCCUUCCAUAGAAGAAUGGUAAAGAUUACCAUCCUAUAGUAUAUAUAUUUCAUACUUAGAUUUCUUUUUUCAUAUAGAUUUUAGAUAGGAUAUUAUUCAAAAUAGGCACUAAAAUUACUUAAGUUAUUAUGUAAUUAUAGUAUUUAUGUUAUAUGUAGUUACUGUCAGAUUGUUGGCGCUAACAAUUAUUUUCAAAAAUUCGAACUGCUAGAAAGAUAUAAUCAAUUCAUUUAAAACAUAUAGACACAACUGUCACACCCCGAAACCGCUACCAAUUCGGCCCGGUUCGGGCGCGUCGAACAGACGCCGAACGGACAGUACCUCUCCUGUCCGCCCAAGGCUAAGCAACCAGAUCAUGUACAAUUAAGUACCCAGGAAUUUGCUUAAAUAACAUACAUGAUCAAACACGAUGCACACAAGUGCAAUACAUCUAAGAGCAAGAAACACAAGUAAUAUACAAGUAUAUAAAGAGAGAUAGUCUAACUAUCACAAUCAUUCAACAUUUACAUCAUUUGAAUAUAUUACNUAUUCUAUCUGCCCCGUUUCACACAGAAAAUUCUAAAUCUUCUGUUUUCGCUCCGAUUUCAACACGGGCCAUUCCAGACUUAUAUUUUAUGUCUAUAAGUCCAAUAAAAUAGUAUUUCACACAAUUUUUAUUUAUAUGUAUUUUUAUAUUAAAAUUUCAGCAUAUUACACCCCACCGCAACUUCAUAAUUUAAGAAGUUCGGUACCUUACAACAACGUUCAUGGAUUUUGAUUGUGUCUCGACCCAACUAGCUUCUCAUCACUUCGAAAAUGGCUCAAUUUAACCUAACCUUUGGUCAUUUCGAAUAGAAUAUUACUCGGCCCAACCUGGCCUCGGCCAUAGGACAGGAUAUUGGCACCUCUACGCCAACAAUUCCUGCCCCCUCUCCCUCUCUCCCUCCCCGCCCUUCGCACCUGCACAAAUUUGCAGAAUGCGGGAAUCAGAUCUGCGAUCUUGGACUCCGAUAAUAAUUCUCAGAGUUGCCUCUAUCUUUCUUAUUAGAGUUGAGGGCUAUAUUUUUUGUUUCGAUAUUGAUAAUGGAAAUUGAAGGUUUCGUCUUCAAUCGUAACUCAUAAGUUAUGAUAGAUCCUAUGAGUUUCUCCAAUAAAAAUUUGUCGGGGUCACGCGCUCUUGAAUGGCAGCCAAUUGUUGUUCCAAAAAAUUUUGAGAAAAAAAAUUGAGUAUUUUUCUUACUAGAUCUACAUCAGAAAAAGCCUGUUCCCAAACCUUUAGACAACUAAUAAUAUUAAUAAAUCUAGAAUACAUAUUAGCAAUACUUUUAUUUACUUGCACACAAAAUAUUUUAUAAUAAGGAAUAAGCAUACUUAUUUUGGACUCUUUUAAUUGAUUUGCCCCCUCUUAAACAAUGACUAAUUAUUUUCAAUUUUUUUUUUUUAUAAUUUUGCACAUAGAGAUCUAGUUUAACUUGUUUGAAUCAAGAACACAAUAAGAGAAUAUUCAUUGCUUUAGAGUUCAAAUUAAAUUUAACCUUACCCUAAGCCUUUCAUGUGCUAGUUGCCAUGGUUUGUUUGAUGUAGCCAUUUCUUAUAAUGUCCCAAAAAUCAAAAUUUAAGAAUUGUAGAAAAAUUUGCGUCCACACCUUUUAAUAGAUGUGGUUACUUAUGGUAAAGAAGAGAAGAUGGAAAAUGGAUUGUCCUUCUAUGUUUUUUUUUUUGUGAGAAAGAUAGCAUACUACCUGCUUCGUUUAUUUCAUUUAGAAAUAAACUUAGCUAGAAAUGUGAAUCAACUAGGAUUCGAACUUGGGUCUCGGGUACCAACCACCAAGCCCUUUGCCACUUGCGCUAGGGUGGUCGGUGAUUAUCCUUCAAUGUUAGCAUGAAAAGCUGUCAUCUUAUAAGACAAUUUGUCUGCAAUAGUGAGACCUAGACUCUGAUAGCAAAUGUCAGAUUUUUGGUGCUAACUAUUAAUUUCAAAAACUCGAGCAGUUAGAAAGAUGUAACCAAUUCACUUAAAACAUAUAGACACAGCGUAUGCAGGUCUCGAUUGUGAUUCGAAGCAACCAGCAUCCUGCCACUUCAAACAUAACUUUGCCCAAUCUGACUUCCGGCCUUCUACCGUACGGUAGGAUGCUAGCCUCGCCUAAGUCAAUAGUUAUGUGUUCACUACUUAGGCGGCCAGAGUAGAUAAAAGAAAUUGUUCUCUACACCUGGAGUAUCCUAAAAUCUAUGCAACAUGUAUGCUUUAUUUUAUCUAUUUUUUCUCAAUCAAACUGUGAAUCCCUUGCAUACAUAGCGGGUGUUUGAUCUAGAUUCUGGAAAGUCAUUUUAGGCUAAAACUGAAUUUUUCUUUAAUAGAGCGUUUAAUAAUCACAUUUUCAAAUCUAAUUUUGACUUUUAAAAUUAAUUUUUUAAUUUUAGAUGCUCAAGAUCAGAAGUUAAAAUUUUCUAUCUUCUUGACAUCUGAUUCUGAUUUAAGAUUUUAAUUUUAAAUUUUGAUUUCAAUUUAAAUUCAUAUUUUAAAUUUAAACUUAAAUUUUAACUUUUCAAAUUUUAAUUCAAAUUUUCAAAAUUUAAAAUUUUAUUUAACAUAUUAAACUUUAAAUUUCAAACUUCCAAUCAAAUAUCAAAUUUCAGAAUUUGAAAUUCAAAACUGUAAAUUUCAAUUUUAGAUAAAAUUUAAAAUUGAAAAUUGAAAAUAUAAAUUUGAAUCUUAAAAUUUAAUAUCCAAAUGUAAAAUUUCAAAUUUCAAAUUCUAAUGUUGGGAAAUAGAAAUAAAAUUUAAAAUUUAAAAUUUAAAUUUCAAACAUUAAAUUAUGAAAUUAUAAAUAAUAAAUUUUAAUUUAAUAUUUCAAAGUUUAAAUUUUAAAUUGUGAAAUUAUAAAUUUUAAUUUUUAAUUUAAAAUUUCAGAUUUAGAUUUUAAUAUUUGAUUUAAAAUUUUAAUUUUGAAUUUAGAUUUUAUAUAUAUUUAAUUUUUAAAUUUAUAUUUUGAUUUUAAAUUAAAAUUUUUAUAUUUUGAAAAUUCAAAAUUUAAAAUUUUCUAGUUAUUAUUUUUAAAUUGAAAAUUUUAGGAUUUAAAAGUUAAACUUUUUAUUUUUAAAUUUUAUAUUUUAAAUUUCAAUUUCAAAUUUCAAAGUUUUAAUUUAGAAAAUUUCAAAUUUAAAUUAAGAAAUUAGAUUUAAAUUUUAAAUUUUAAAUUUUAGACAACAUAUUUUAAAAUUUAAAAUUAUCAAAAUUUUAUAUUUACAUUUUAAAAUUUUAUAUUUACAUUUUAAAUGCAAAUAUCAAGUUUUAAAUUUUGGAUGAGAUUUUAAAUUUAAAUUCAAAUUUUAUAUUUGCAGAUCGUAAAAUGUUUUGCUCAAGAACUUUAUAAAAUCACUUCAAAAAAAUUAUUUUAUUUAGAUUCUGCUAAAUGCUCUACUGCUUGAAACUAAAAUUACUUUCUCCAAGUCAAAAUUACUUCUCCAAAAAUCUCUUCCCCAACAGUUACAGUGCAGAGGCCCAUAAAUAUAUAUACGUAUAUAAAUUAUUAUAUGAUAAAUAUUUAAAUUAUAAUAUAAAAUAUAAAUUAAUUAGCAUUGUGGUGCUUAAAUAUGUGAUGCACCUGGUCCAACUAUAUUUUACAUUUGGGGCAUAUUUGUUUCACGGUAAGUGGGAGGGGCAGAAGUGAUUUUCGGCGAAAACUGAUCACUUUUUGCUAUUUGGUUCACCGUAAUAUUAUUACGAUCCGAAGUCCAGUUCAUCCAAAAUACCGAAAUUGACUUUGCUAUGGUGAUGUAGAAGUAAUUAAUUUUUUAUUGAGAUUAUAUGUCUAAAAUAUAAUGAAAUUUGGUUAUUUAAGUUUCAGUAUGUCUUUUAUUUAAUUUGUUAAAUGUUAAUAAUUCUUUAAAUUUAGAAUUUUAUUUGUUGCAUUAUAUAAUUUAUAUGCAAAAAAUUUAAUAUAAUUAUUUUAAAUUUUAUUUAUAAUUAUAUAUACAUAUAAUUAUAUUAUUUUUUAUUUAUUAUAAUUUAUUAUCUAUUAGGUUGCAAAAUAGACAAUAAUAUCACUUAGGAUGUAAGUUUAUUGGGGGUAUGAAGAUUAAAUAAUUUUCGGUGAAACAAAUAAAGAAAGUGAAGAACUACACACUUUAUAUUCUCUACUUCCUGCCAAACAAACAGCAGAACUUCACUUCCACAGUUAGAAACAAACAGCGGAUGUGAAGUAAUUUUCACUUGAAUUCUAUUUCAAUCCAAAAUCCAUUUUAACCCAAAAUCUACUUAGAGUGAAACAAACAAGACCUUGGAGAGCAUGGUGGUGAAGAGAUCACGAGGCAAAAGAUUUUUCCGGCUCACAGUACAGGAAAAACACUAGCCGGUGAAAAUUAUUUUUCAUUUUCCAUAGUUUCUUCCCAAAAAACGAAAAGCUUAUUUUCUAUCAAAAUCUGAAAAAAUAUUUUACACAUGUUAGCAAGAGAAAAAUAGUGUCGGCGAGUAGAUGACUUAGUAUAAGAGUUUGUCCUACGUGGACGAAUUAAAAGAUGACACAUGAUACAUCAAGUUCCGCUGUAAACGCGAAGCCCCUAGUCAGGAAUAGAAGAGAACAUGGUGCGGCCAAUAAAAAUGCGACUGGAGCAUUUCCGGCAGUGCGAAUCAUCUAAUAAUUGCAAGCAAAUUUCAACAGGUUUUGAUUUCUUCUUUUCUACAUCAAAACCAAAUUUCAAAAAAACAAUAGCAAUCAAAAUAAAAUAAAAUUAGCAGAGAAAAAAAUAGAGGAAUUUUUUUAAAUUUCAUUGAAAUAUAAAAUCUCACCUGAAGAAGGCUUCGGAUUCUUAACUCUUUGAUUCAUCAUCACUUGCUUCUAUUCUACACUAAAUCAAAUCAAAAUUGUAAAAAUUAGUAUUAGAAAUUAUUAAUAAUGAUUUGGAACGUAUAAAUGCUACUUUAAUUCUCAAAGAUAAUGCAUCGAACGGCUGGCGUGCAUUGUAAACAAUCCUGAUGUCGCAAUAUCCAAACAAAUGUAGUCUUGCAUACCUCUUCCUAAAUCUAAAGAAACGAAUUCAUAUUAAAAAGAUUGAUUAAAAAGGAAAAAAAAAUCAUAGAAAGAUAAAGAGAGGAUUUUAGAAUACCGACGAUGAAGAAGUCGAAUUGGACGUCAAAGGCGACAGAGGAGGAGGUUUGAGAGGAGAUAGGGAAGCGAGCGCUGCAAUCACAGCCCAUGGACAUGAGGCCAUGGCGAGGGGCAACGUAGAGGUUGCAGUGAAGCUUCUUGGCAUAGCAGCGAAUGCUCUAGCAACCUAUAUCACAUCCACCAAAAAUUACACGAUCAUCAACUUCUCUAUUAAUGGGGAGAGAGAGAGAGAGAGAGAGAGAGGAUGAAGAGAAGAAGAAAACGAAGAGUUUAAGGUAGAAAAAGAGUAAUUAGGAUUUUGGAAAGAGAUGAGGGUAGGUGAGGGGGUGUAUGAUGAGUAGAAGAUGAUGGGAGAUGAGAAGGUGUAUGUUUUAAAAAAGUAUGAAGGUUUUGAAAAAGUAUGAAAGGUUGGGAGAUGAGAUGGUGUACGUUAUGAAAAAGUAUGAAGGGUAGGGAAAUGAGAGAGUGUACAUUUUGAAAAAGCAUGAAGGAUGGGAAAAUGAGAGAGUAUACGUUAAAAAAAAAAUAUGAAGAAAGGUGAAGGGGUGUACGUUUUGAAAAAAGAUGAGAGGAUGUGAAGGGAGGUAAAAGGGGUGUACAUUUUGAAAGAGAUGAUAGAAAAGGUGGAGCCUACAACCCAAACAACUCAAGUGAAGUAAAUAUAGCCACAAGAAACAUUUUAUCAGGGAUUAAUAUAAUAGUAUAGAUUUUUGCCUCUUAUGGACCUAGUGGUGUAGACCGUCAGCAUUGACAAUCGUACUUGCUGGAAACUAUUGAUUAUAGUUCUCAUACCUUCUUUAUUAGUAUUUUAUGUCAGAGCCUUUAGCACCAGCGACUAAUCAAGAUAAGAGGAUUGCGGAUAGUUAGCAUCUCUUAUACUUUUUGUGUGUGAAGUUGGACCACCUAUCAGUGUAUAUAGCAUCCUGUACAGUGCUUUAAGGUUUGGACACUACAACAGAAUUAGGUUAUAGCGACACAUGUUUGGGACACUUUUGUAUAAAUGUCACAUUUAUGCCAAAAUUUAAAAAAAUUCUACUAAUGCCUAAAUAUAAAGUCCAAUCCAACUAAAAAUAAAAGGGUACUCUCCUCAACCCACUCCACUUAGCCCAUUCGGUCUGAUUACAAACAAAAAAGAAAAAGAAAAGAAAAAUCGAUUAUCAUUUUCCCUUCUCCCCUCACUCAAUCGACUGAAAUCCUAGACGAAGAUCAUUUCCUCUCGUCCUCCUCCGCCACCGCAGCCAACGAGGUAGAGUUCCGGCGGUUGCUAGAUACUUAAAUAAAUAUUGGUAAAUUAGCAGCACUCUUUUAGAUUAUAGCAACACUCUUUAACUGUCACUAUAUACCUAGCGACCCCACAUAUAGCAACACUUUUCAAAACUGUCGGUAAAUUUAGCCAGCAGUACUUUUUUGACCUAUACCGACAUUUAAAAGUGUCGCUAUAGACCGUUUUUGUUGUAGUGGGAGUGGUCAGAGAUGUUGUACCAUUUUGAGGACAUGUGUGGUGAUGAUUGUAUAUCUUUACAGUGUUGCUAUAGUAUAUAGUUUUAUUUUUCUCCGAUACCUACUGUUGUUAGAUUUUAGUUAAUUUUGUUGGACAGAUUUUAUUGAUGCUUCAUAUGUAUAAGGUGUAUUCCUGUGCAUGCGUCGAAUCUGUUGACAUAACCCGGACUUCUGCUGUAUUCCAAUGCGUGACAUAUAUGAAUUUCAAAUUUCAUGAAAGGAAAAUAUUUUUCCCAUCUACAAAUUUUACAGCAUUAUAUAAUGUACAUGAAUCUUCCUCAUCAAUUAAAAUGCGUCAUAUUAUCAUUUAUGGAGAGAAGCGAAUAGUCUAGGCACUCUACCCAUGAAUUGAAUAUAGCGAAUUGUAAAUGUAACCUAAUUAAAAUGCUUCAUGUUAUCAUGUAGGUAGAAUGGUGUAAAACAUAUAAUUAAGGGGCCAUUUGGAGUAAGUGGAGGAAUAGAAUCAAAUUUUAUUAUUUUCGCUAUUUGUUUUGAUGUAAAUCAAAAAAAAAAAAAACAUGUUUCAUUAAAUCUCCAGUUCAUCUACUCUUGGCUUCCCUGUCUAGAGUACCAAGCUCAAAUUCCACACCACUCAGCCUUCUCUAAAAAGUUAAAUAAAUAUUAGAACCUAAAGUCUACUUCUUUCACAACGGAUUAGAAUUAUCAUGUAACACACUGAACUUUAGCAAAUUGCAAGGUUCAAGUGUUGAUCUGUGUUCUGAGCUUUUUCAGGUUUUCUGGAGGGUCGUUCACAGUGAUCCGACCCAUUACUCACGUCUCGAGGAGCGAGGAUGUGUACUUAGCACCAAAACCUUCAAACUGUAGGUUUUGGGGUGCUGGGUACCGGUACCAGAGAUGAGGUACUGGAACUGCGUCGCGCACCCGAGAAGAGUGCUCUCGGUUUUGAGCUCUGCGAGACAGAGUACUGGUACCGCAUUGCCCGAGUACCGGUAUUGGACGUGGUACAGGUACUGCAUCACGCGGGUACCGGUACGCAGUGCAUUUUCUCGCCAAUCCGAGGCUCGGGUUUGCGCAGACUGCUGCUUGGUACCGGUACUCUUUGCCGCGUACCGGUAUGCAGUGCAGUUCGCAGACUGCUAUUUUUGAGAGUUCUCUUUGCAAUUGUUGCAACACUUUAUAUACCCCACACCCUUUGGCUGGGGCUUAUUGUGCUGCAACCAGAGAGGAGAAGAGGUAGGGCUCCUCUUCUUUUUUCCUUGGUUUUUCCCCUCUCCUUUGCUUUGCAUUUGAGGUUUGAUCUCUCCACUUGCUUUCUUUUUGCUUUUUGGUGACCUUUCCACCAUGGGAGAAACUUUGGAGCUUGGAUAGGAGCUUGUUGGAGGAGAGAUCUUCAACCCUAACUUGUUUUUAGCUUGGUUUGGGGCUUCUAAAAAGGUCAGUAACACAUUUCCUUCAUUUGAUUCAUAUUUUGGUGGAUUUCUUGAGAUAAAACCCUAGAAAUGAGAAAUCUAGGGUUUAUUUCGGGAUUUUUGAUUUGUAACUUUUGGAGCUCAAUUGAUUGGUUUAGAACCUUCAUUUAGGUUGGAAUAGAAGGGUUCUAUCUCUCAUUUGGAGAUUGAGAGAGACUUUCACUAUACAAGGUGAGCUUUGCCUUUUUCUUGGAUUGGUUAAUGUUUGAUUUUAGAGGUGUUCGUUCAUUGCGUUUAACUCUCUUAGAAUUACCUUAAGGGAGCUAGGAGGCUAGUGGACACCUCCUUUGCGUAAACGAAGGGUUGCGAGGAGUUCUUGGUGGGUUUAACCUCACCGAAAUUGGUGAACUCCCCCUAUAUUAUUUUACUUGUUGUAAAAUAAAAAAUCAUGUAUAUUCAUACUAGAUAGAGCAUAUGUGAAUUUUAGAAUGCUUAAAAUACAUAUGUUAGAUAUCAUGAAAAUUUGACCUCUAUAUAGUAGAGAGCUAUGUAUAUAGAAAUCAUGCAAGUGAAUGACAUUCUCUUAUGUAACUUGGAAUCAUGUUUCAUACAAUGAAAAUGACUAGAAUAGUAUGCUCUUGAACAUAAAACUCAUAUUUGAUAUAGUGGACAAAAAUGCCAUAAAGAGAUAUUCAACCUAGUGAAUGGUUAAACUUCUACAUGAUGACAUAGUAAUAGGCCUUUGGAUCACUAGCUUUUAUACCAUGUUUUAGACAUGAUGACAUUGGACUUGAGACGGAUGAUUACGCUUGCUUGUCAUUGUGCUCAUUCGUACAUUCUUGUGAGGGUCGCUCCCCACAAGCCAGUACUCCGGAGAUAGCUAUCGCUACAUAAGCUCGCCCGUGCGGGAUUAGGCGCUGAAAUGGAAUGCCGUGGGUGAGGCUCAUUCCUAGGGUGGGAAUGUUGACUACCACGGGGCCAUUAGGCACGGCGCAAGCCGGACUACCUUGUGUAGGUCCUAUAUGAUUGGAACAAUGUUGAACUAAAAUGCAAAAUGGACAUUAGACUAUUUGUAAUGUUGACAUUCUACUAGUUGCAUUGUGGACAUCAUGCUACUUAUAUAUGUGUAUGCUCAUUCAUAUUAGAACAGCAAUUAUACUUGUGCAAAUUCAUGCUAAGUAGUGGCAUAGUAGUUUAGCAAGUUUUACUCAUGCUUAUUAUACAUGUUGUUCAUUUCUUUUAAAUGUUAGAACUUACUACUUAUGCCUCCUUCGCUUAGUGGUGUAUUUCACUGAGAUCAGCGGUUUGCAAACUGGAAACUAUUGAUUAAUAGUUCUCACGCCCUCUGUUUGUUGUUUUUAUUUUAGAGCCAUCAGAACCGGGAGAGGCUCGGGAUCGCGGAAAGGGAAUCGCAUCUAGCUAGAUAGCGAGGAGUAUUUUCUUUAGGUGGUCCAUCUCUCUAUUUUUAUAUCUAUUGUAAGGAGUGAGAGUUUUGUAUCCAUGUGUAGAGACCACCAUAUUUGUAUACCCAGCACUUAUAGUUGGAUCCUAUUGAUAUACUACUUUAUGCUUUAUUUUAGUGGAUUAGUUCUUUGAUACUCUACUUGACAUUAGAAUUUAGUUGUUGUAUUCAUGCUCUGAUAUCCCUAAUUGCUUGUUUAUUAUUACUUUAAUUAUCCCAUUGCUGUAGACGUCUUAUAUGUUGUAGGGAUAUGGCGAGUCUGGACACGCACCAGGCGGGCAUCCGCUGGGUUCCGGGGUGUGACAUACCUCCUUCAAAAUAAGUUAGAAUUACCUUUGAAUAAUAAUGGAGAAUUUUAUUAUUUAAUAUGUUGAAUUUUGUGGGGAUAAGCUUACCACUUUAUUUAGGAGAUAACUGAAUUUAUUUAUUUACAUCAAAACGAACAACGAAACUCAAACAAUUAGUUACACUAGUAUCAAAUUACACCACAAUAAACAUAACAAGUGCUUAAAUUUAAUUUGUAGGCUAGGAUAUAUGAGUUAUGUCAAAACAAACAAUGAAAAAAAAAUAAUACUCCAGAAAAACUCCAAUACUUCUGCACAUGAGUUAUGUUGGAUCUAAGGAUUCGUCAAUCCAAACGCCUCCCAAUUGGAAAAAAUAAUAUCGUCUCCACUCUCAGUACAGCCACUUGAAACAAAAAUUACAUAUGCCUUUCAGUUUAUCGUACGAGAUGCAUAAAAUUUUAAAACAGUGAUGCGCGUAUGUACAGUGAUGCGCGUAUGUACAGUUAACUUGAUAGUUUUAUGCUAUCCACAUUAUUUUUCUUUUUUCCUUUUUGUUUUUUCCUUCCAGUUAAGCACCCCCUCGUGUUAUCCGCGGAGCUUGCAUGCAUGGUCACGUCACCUUUAUUUGUUGGCUCUCGCAUUUUAUGCUUCCUUUGCGCAUGCACCUACGAAUGUUCACCAGAAGCACGCAAAUUAAAGGGGCUGUUGCUGUGUCAAGCUACUACUUGUCUUGUGGUGGCUAAGCAACGAGGCGAAUGUGUGCUAGCUCACGUUGCUCGUGAUUCGGUAAGCUUGUUCCCUUAUCCCUUCAACAAGUAAUUAAUUAUUCCACUAUCCUUUAAGCUUUUCCUUUUUUUUUUCUUUUUUUUUUUGGUUUCUUUCCUUUUAAGGAUUCGUGAACGCAAUGGCAUGGCCAUUUCCAUGCAGGUUAGCUUAUAAUACUUGCCUGAGACCAUAGUGGAUAAUCAUGUACUGCUUGCACCUAAAUUGUUUGAAGUAGUAAUCCAAACAAAUCUGAAAAUGUAGUGUUAAAGUUUAUUCAAAUAAGAGUUUGUUUUUAUUUGUCUAUAUAGGUAAAAUAGAAUUAAAGUAUUUCUGCUUAUCUAAUAUUAGUAGCAAGAUUCAAAUUAGCUUCAAAAUGCAUACUUGUACGGCCGAAGUGUUUUUUUUUAGAGAGAGAGAGAUAAUUAAUGGGCAACAUUCUAACGCAGUGUUCUUUAUUUUUAGAGAGAAUGGAUAACAUGCUACUGCUUCGUUCAUCUUUUAAGAUAUUGUUGCUGUAGAAAAAUAUGGUUCUAACUAGUGGUUGGCUCAGCACAUGUGGUCAAAUAGGAGGGUGACACAUGAUACACCAAGAGCUGAGAAAAAGGAGCCCAAAGAUAAAUAGAUUUUGGGCGGAAACGGUUGAGAGGCGAGGAAGUGAUUUUGUAAAGCGACAAUUGCCCAAUAACUAUAGGACAACUAAAAAUAGAUAACAAGCCUAUAAACAGCCAAAAGUUGCCUGCGAUGGAGGUCUUUUCCCGGAUUGAAGACCAUUAUUUUUAAACCUUUUUUUUUUUUUUCAUCCCAGUAUUUACAACAUUUUAUAGGAGAAGCUUUAGCCUUAAACUUUAGUUCUUAGUUUUUAGCCAAGAACUCUGUAACUCGAGCCCUCGCGCUUUUUUCCUUAGUUUAGCUCUGGCUUCAGCCGACUCUGUUUGAAAGUCUUGAGUUUGACUUGUCUCUAAAAAGCUUUUAUGUAUUUGUGAAACGGUUGAGUAGGUCCCUUCUCAACCUAUUGCUUAAUUUUACCAAUCGAGAGUCAUUCUUGAGCCGAUUCAACUUUUGGCAUGGUGGGACACUCAGAUAAAAGUUUUCAAACUUUUCUACAUUUUCUAGAAAACCCGAGCUUAGAAAAAUAUAGCUGAAGAUAUCGAUUACGGAAUGCAUCUCCAUAAUUUAAUCAUCCCUAAGCCAUCAAGCAGUGAACAAGCACGACAACAGAAUUAAGUUACAGGGAUACAUUUUUGAAACACUUUUGUGUAAGUGUCCAUUUAUGCCAAAACUUUUUUUAAAAAAAUUUAUUAAGGCUUAAAUAUAAAGUCCAAUCCAAUAAAAAAUAAAAGGUUAAUUUACUCAACCCACCCCACCCAGCCCAUUUGACCUGAUUACAAACAAAAAAGGAAAAAAAAAAAAAUCGAUCACCAUCUCUCAUUCUCCCCACACUCAAUCCACUGAAAUCCUAGACGAAGAGCCCCUCGCUCUCCUCCUCCUCCGCCACCGCAGCCGACGAGGUAGUGUUCUGGUAGUUACUAAAUGCUUAAAUAAGUGUUCGUAAAUUAGCAGCAUUCUUUUUAGGUUGUACCGACACUCUUAAACUGUUACUAUAUACCUAGUGACCCCACAUAUAGCAACACGUUUUAAAAGUGUGGAUAAUUUAGCCAGCAAUACUUUUUUUUGAUCUGUACCGACAUUUAAAAGUGUCGGUAUACACCGUUUUUGUUGUAGUGUAGGCGAGUAAUGCCAAAAAUGCAAAUGAGCAACAGUCAAAACUACUUGUAGGAUUAGUGAGUGUUGGACAUUCAGCUCAAUGGAAGUCAAGUCUUCUCAAUGCACUCGGACAAAUGACUUGAGUGCUCCAAAAUCUAGAUCAAAAUAGCUAACAUAAUACUACUUGCUUAGACGUGAUGUUAGCUACAAUAAAAUCUACGAGCGAGGGGAUAGCACACAUUGGGAAUAUAUUAGCCCGCAAUGAACAACACAAGGAGGACCCCAAUAUCCAGCAGGGCUGAAUCAACGUGAAGGACAAAAUGUUCUUCAAGUGAACCCCUCAUGUAUAGCAAAAUCCUAUUGUUCUGGCAAUAGAGUUUGCACAGCUCCAGAUAGCAUCUCUUAGGCUAUCUAUAGGUUGGUAAAUUCAAGCUUAGGUCCUCAACCAGUGGUUACCUAGGGUUUACCUCCUCCACCUUCUUUCCUAGUCUAUCGACCUCAAAAUAUAUGCACGAAGGCUGGGAGGUAGGGCCCUAAUUUAGGGUAGUUCCAAAAUUCGUUGGUCGAGAAUCUUUAGUUUCCCGUAAAACCAAAUGGAAAUUAGGUGCAAGCACCACAAGUUGGAAACAAUAAGCUUUACACUCAGAUUGAUAAAGCAAUUAGAAACAUUUUUGGUGUUCGUGCAUGACCGGCUAUGUGGCCAGUUUUUAGCUCCUUGCAUCCAGUUAUUGAUACAGAGCAUCCUUAUCUAGAAAACUAAAAAAUGCUAAAAUUUGAUUUCUCUGGCAAGGAGUCUAAAAAAAUUGUAGAACACAUAGCUCAGUUCAUAGCCUAAUGCAGAGGAGAGGUCGUUGAUCCAUUUUUAAAAUUAAAAAGAUUCAACACAUCAUUGACUAAAACUGUGUUCACUUUGUAUACAAGCUUGCCUAUCAAUCUAUCCGAGAUUGGGAUGAAUUGGAAUGCAGGUUUCAUGAACAAUUCUUUAGGUCAAAGAUAGAAAUAUCAGUGGUUGACUUGGCAUUAUAAAAGCAAAGGCUGAAAGAAACAAUUGAAGAAUAUUUGAACCAUUUCAAAGUUGAAAGAAAUUGGUAUUUUGUAAGAAUGCCAUAAUCAGAAUUUGCUAAGAUGACUUUCAUUGGUCUUCCUUUCAAAAUAGAAGAUCAUUUUCAGGAUAAGUACUUUCUGAACCUUUUUGACUUACGUAUUUGUGGCGAUCAAUGUGAGCAAUUCUAAAAGGGAAGCUAGGAAGAUCAACCAACGCUUACAUAGAAGACAGAUCUACUCAAGAAGAGCCAAGCCAAUAAGCGAAAGCGAGAGUUUGGCUGAUGAAGCCAAAAUUUAUGCAAUUGAGAUAGUGAAAACCGUCAGCCGUAUAAGUGUUUUUUUCUGAAGCCGGCUAAAGCCAAUGAGGCUAAAGCCCAAUGCCAGCUUUCACCUAUCCCUUUGAUAUAGUUAGAACAAAUUAGAUUUUGAGCAGUUGUUUAAGGAUACCAACAUUAAGUUACAAGCAGGGCAGGUCUUGCUCCAGAGUGAUAAAUUAAAAAGACAAUAAGUAUUGUAAAUGGCACAAACUCAUGGAGCCAUGAAAUUAAUAAUUGUACAAGUUUUAAAAGGCAAUUUGGAAAAUAAAUUAAUAAAGAUUGGUUGAUUUUGUCGAUCAAGAAAAUAAAAAUGAAAUACAAAUUGAUAAGAAGUCUUUCCUGCGUAGGUUAAUAUGGUAGACUUCAAAAGAAAGAAACCAAUGUAGGGAGAAGAAUUUCAGAGAGCAGUAGGAGUGGCAAGAAGACAUAUUUGACUUUAUGUACGAUGAAAGGCCGAAAUGAAGAGAAAAAUCUAGGAGGCUAUCAUCAAUGAAAAGAAAACGACUGAAGAAUGGCAGAGUGAAAUAGCAUUCCUCAAAGAGUAGGGAGAUCUUCUAGUUGUAGAAGAUGAUUUGAGUAGAUAUUCGAAGGAAAGGUUUAACGAAAGUAUGGACUCUGAGGAAGACUUGCCGAUUGAAAAGUCUAUAGAGGAGUUUUACACCUCCUACAACCAAAACGACUGGGAAGCAAGUUAUUGGUAGUCCAUGUAAGAACCAAGGCUAUCAGCUAUUGGGAUAUUGAGAAUGAGGUCAAGGACUGAUCUUGAGUUCGAAAGAGUGUCAGAGAAUGAGGUGGAAAUGCUCGGAUAGAAGAUUGUGAAUGGGCUAGGGAUUCACCUCUGCCCGAUCCUAUGGCAGAGAAGGGUCCACACUGGUAUGGCAUUUAUUUCUUGGGCUUGGCAUUUAUUUUUAGAGGCUUGGUAUGAUUUAGUUAAGGCAAUCAUACGCUUCUGGGUAUGAUUUAGUUAAGGCAAUCAUACGCUUCUGGGUCCGCAGGUUGCAAAUCUUUAAUCCUUUCCAACAAGGUCGGUUGGACAACGAGCGCCAUCAACUGGGCUGGAAUCUCGAGAGCAACCACCUCAAGGUUCAUCCGCUCCAUGUCUAACCACAAGGGUGACUGAUUUGUAACCCACAUCGAGAGGUUCUCCGUCGACUUUCUCCUCAAUGCAUCAGUGACCACAUUAGCUUUUCCGGGGUGGUAGAGGAUAUCAACGUCAUAGUCUUUUAACAAUUCUAACCACCGCCAUUGUCUCAUGUUGAGCUCUUUCUGUGUGAACAGAUAUUUCAAACUCUUGUGGUCGGUAUAAAUCUCACAAUGGGCACCGUACAAGUAGUGCUGCCACAGCUUCAAGGCAAAAAUUACCGCCGCAAGCUCCAAGUCAUGGAUGGGGUAGUUCUUUUCAUAGCUCUUCAGCUGACGGGAUGCAUAAGCAAUCACCUUCCCGUUUUGCAUCAAAACACACCCCAAUCCUAGAUAGGAAGCAUCGCUGUAGACUACAAAGUCUUCGCCUUGCAACGGUAGAGCGAGCAUGGGAGUCGAAGUUAAUCUCUGCUUCAGUUCUUUGAAACUCCGGUCGCACUCUUCGCUCCACACGAACUUGGUGCCUUUCUGAGUCAGGCGGGUAAGUGGAAUCACUAUCUUGGAAAAGCCUUCCACAAACCGCCUAUAAUAGCCCGCCAAGCCCACGAAGCUUCGGACCUCCGUGACAUUAGUCGGGCGCGGCCAAUCCUUGAUUGCCUCAACCUUCCUCAAGUCUACAGAAACUCCACCGGCGGAAAUCAUGUGCCCUAGAAAUGCGACUUCUCGGAGCCAGAAGUCACACUUCUUCAACUUAGCAUACAACUCCUCCCGAAGGGUUUGAAACCCUAUCCUCAAAUGCUCGGUAUGUUCCUCAUCACUACGAGAAUAGACCAAUAUGUCGUCUAAGAAGACCACGACAAAUCGGUCCAAAAACUUCCUGAAGACACGGUUCAUCAAGUCCAUGAACGCUGCUAGAGCAUUCGUGAGUCCAAAUGGCAUAACCGUGAAUUCGUAGUGCCCGUACCGGGUACGAAACGCAAUUUUCUACACAUCCUCCGGCUUAAUUUUCAACUGGUGAUAGCUGUACUACAAAUCUAUCUUCGAGUACACACACAACCCCUGCAACUAAUCGAACAAGUCAUCGAUUCGGGGUAGUGGGUACUUAUUCUUAAUCGUGACUCUGUUCAAUUCUCGAUAGUCCACACAGAGUCGGAAUGAUUCGUCCUUCUUCCGUACAAACAAUAUCGGGGCUCCCCACAGUGAUACACUUGGCCAGAUAAAUUGCUUGUCGAGAAGGUCUUGCAAUUGACUCCUCAACUCCUUCAGUUCUGCCGGCGCCAUUCGGUACGGAGCCUUCGAGAUCGGUGCGGUACUGGGAACCAAGUCUAUGACGAACUCGAUCUCCCGAUCCGGUGGUAUCCCAGGCAACUCUGCGGGAAAUACAUCCGGGAACUCCCGCACCACCGAUAACUCCCGCACCACCGAUAACUCCUCCAACGUUGGAGCUAUUCGUUCCACUUCCACAACAGUCGCUAAGAAUGCCGUGCAAUCGCUGUUGACCAACUUUCUUGCUCUUGUCGCCGAUAUCGUCGCGAUGAAGAACGAGCUCUGGCAAGCCCGAUAUGAGAACUCCUUUUGUCCUGACUCACGAAACGUAAUUACUCUGCUCAUGCAGUCGAUCGUUGCAUGAUAUUUCAAGAGCCAGUCCAUGCCCAAGAUGAUGUCAUAAGGCUCGAGCUUCUUGAGUUCUAGCGUCCGAAUAGGCAUUAUCCAGUCGCCUACUUGUACCGGACACGAUGCACACUCCGAGUAGGUAUUAAACGUCGACCCAGGGCCCUCAACUCACCACUCGUCACUCGCCUCUAUGAGUAUGCCAUGCAUGCGUGCGAAUGAUCUACUUAUGAAUGAAUGCGUGGCUCCUGUAUCAAAUAAAGCCUUGGAGCGAACUCCGUUAAUUAAAACCAUAUCUGCCACAAGGCGAUGCUCUUCCGCGUCCGCAGGCUCCUCGGCUUGAACCUGAGCAGCGAAUACCCGACCGCUCGGAGCUGAUCGUGUCACCUCGGGUUGACGCGACAUCAUCGCGCGUCCCAUCGAUGCGGCCGCCGGUGGAGCUCCUCCAUAGUGAGCCGGAAUCGCAGGCGCCGAUGCAGUCGAUGGGGCAGGUGAGGCUCCUCCUCCCGGGCAGUCCCGAAUGAAGUGUCCCGGUUGCCCACACUUGUAGCACUUGCCUCGGCCCUGCUCACAUCGCGAGACCGGGUGGUCUCCGCCGCAUAUGAUGCACCGUCGCACUCCACCGCCCUUUGGCUGAGUCCGCGGAUACUUCGGGGGCUUAUUGGAACGUGCUUGUCCCCCCGAACCGCCGCCGCCUUGGCGUUUCUUGCCUUUGUCCUUGAACUCGGCCAGCAUCUCACGCUUCUCCCGAACGUGGGCAUCUCCGUGCUCCGCCCAAAGUGCUCGGUCGAAGACCUCCGCAAAGGUCGUGAGCUUGAGUAUCUGCACGGCCUUAUAAAUCUCCGGCCGAAGUCCUCGCAAGAACCAAUCGGCCCGGUCCCGGUCAUCGUUCACUACGUCCGGGACACAAUCAAUGAUGUGGGAGAACUCUUGUUCAUACUCCGCCACUGAGUGGUCCCCUUGCUCUAACUUGCGGAACUUCUCCUUGAGCUUCCGCUUCAACGUAUCGGGGAAGUAGUUGGCGAACAUCUCUCGCUUGAAUUCCUCCCACAACAUCGGCGGGAGAUCGGAAGGCCGAUCUCGCUUCACGCGCUUCCACCAUACCUUUGCCGCUUUCUCCAGACAGUGGGUGGCAAGGUACACCUUAUCCCUCUCCAAGGUACGUAGGUCCUUAAAGAGAGUCUCCAUCGAGUCGAUCCAAGACUCGACCAUUGCCGUCUCCACCUUCUCGCCCUCAAAGGUAGGCAGAUGAAAUUUGUUGAACUUGAUAAGAGCCGCCAAUGCGCGCUCUCCUUCCACAUCUUCGGCCGUCACAUCGGGUGUAGCCGAUCCCGACGCCGCCUGUGGUACGAUCGCUUGUGGUGGGCGUGCCGUCACCGGAACCGCCGCUAUACCCUCACCCUCUGCCGCUUCGGGUACAUGAGUCGAGGGUGCGAGCGGACCACCGCCCUCGUUCACCGUCGCAGCCGCCGCUGCAACCUGCCGCUCCAAAAGAUCCUGGAGCCGCUCGAAUCGGGUCUCCUGGCACUGCAUCACAUCGGUCAAUGCAGUCACCUGUGCCCGCAACUGGUCCAUCUCGCUCGAUUUAGCCUGCUCGGGCACCUCGGGAAGCGGUGCCGGAGUGGACCUCGUGCUCGGGCGUCCUCUUGGUGCCAUUGGCUCCUGAAACGCAAGUACUUGGUUAAUUAUCUUAACCCGUUCGCCUCGUCGAAAUUACAACACAUAACGACUCAACAACGAAAUCGGGCGGAAGCACACAAGUGUAGUCGUUCUAGACUCUUGGUAUCAUGUCGUCGGCCACCGACACAACCACCUCAAGCCAAGAACUAGUACCACUUGAAUCCGUCUCUAAUCACAACUAGAGACAUAUUACUAACUUCGACCCAAUCGAAUUAACUUCCGCCACCGUUACAGGUUCACGUUCCGCUCACGCACCUAUAAUCUUAGGGCUCACCAACCUAGGGUCUCCUAGGUUAUCAUAGACUUUCUCUCUUUACUUGCUCUUAUUGCUCUGAUACCAUAUGGCUGUCACGCCCCGCCUCGAAACCACUACCAAUUUGGCACGAUUCGGGCGUUGCGGGCGGACCGCCGAACGGACAGCACCUCCCCUGUCCGCAUAAGGCUCAACAACAGGAAUGUGUACAAGAAUUUACCCAGGAAUUCAAAUUCUAAACAUACACAUUCAACGGGACACAAACAGUGCCAACAACUAAGAGCAAGUAAUCCACGAGAUAUGCAAGUGAAAUAAAGAGAGUACUUUACUAACUAUUACAAUAGUUUUGCAUUCUUUUACUUUACAUCAUUACUCAAAAUAAAUACAGUUGAUCAUCCAAAAUACAUAGCUCUCCAAUCCUCACCUACAAGAAACUCUCAAAUACAUAGGUGUGCUAAUGCAAAAUGGAAAGCUACUAUACUACCACGGUCUCACUGGUCGGGCGCGAUGCUCUUGCCGCGGUCCUCGCUCGGUAAACCUGUACCUACCACUGGAAAUAGAGUGGGGUGAGAACUAUCUUCCAUAGUUCCCAGUGGGCUCGGUCGCCGACUCCGCCGGUCUCCCCACUAGGUCCAAGUGGGCACAAGUAACAACAAGUAGAUAGAUAGAUAGAUAUCUCAAAGCUAUAAAUGACAUAAUAGGAAAUCUAUACUACUAUGCCCAUAAUCAUGUAUAAUGAAUGCAUGCAUCAUAUAGUAAAGGUUUACUACUUUCACGACCCGCGACCACCUGCCUAUUUGGCCGAGGUCGCAGCGCCGCCGACAGACCGCCGAACGGACAGAGUCUCCCCUGUACGUUCUAGGCGUCGCAAUCAAUACAAGUCCAAGAAGUUCCAACCAGGAACAGUAUUCAAGCAAGAUUGCAUAAGGAAGGUAUCAAACAACAUAACACAUCCUAUGUUAUUACAAGCAUUCCCAUUAGAUUAAUUUUUACAUCACAUUUGCAUUAUUACAUUACAUUUUCUUCCAAAUACAAUCAAUGAUCGCAAUAUUAUUACAAGUUUGCUCUUUUUCUUUCCCUCUACCCCUAGGCUAUGCCGACUCGGGGUACCUCUAUCUCUGGUCUCUGGGGUAGGGCGCUAUCUAUGGAGCUACGCCAUCGCCUCGCGCCGUCGCGCCGCUCACGUGCGAACCUGUAACACCCCAAAACAACGUGGGGUGAGAACCAACUCCAUGGUUCCCAGUGGGUACGGCCACCCAAGGGAAAAGCUCGACCAAUAGGUCUAAGGAGGCCCUGCAACAUGUUAGUCCAACAGAUAUCCAACAGAUAUAUAUAUUCAAGUAUUGAAAUACAUGUUGUGCCUCACAAAAUGCAAUAUGAAAUUCAUGCAGUUUAUGCAACCAUGCAACCAACUAGUAGUUCAAUCGAUACUACUUUUAUUCCUGUUAUUCACAGUUCAACCAAUUGACUUCUAAGUUUUCCUCUAUCUUAGAUUCUUGUCAAUUACAAUUCUGCUCAUAGGGUUUAACCUGCUUUUAUAAGCUAUCCACUCGACUCGGUCUUGAGUCAAUCACACGCGGAAUACCGCACAAAGCCAGGCUCAAGGUGAAGGAUGUCUCACAUGCACCUCAGCCCUAAAUCCACUCAACUGGGAUGCAACUAAAACUCAUACCAUGCAUCAAAUAGUAAAGGUUUACUAUCAUGCUAACGAAUUCGAUCCAUGUUCGAAUAAUAAUGUUCAAUGGCAUUGUUCACUGUUCUUUUACCCAAUCUGUAGCGAAGCCCUAGGGUUCGCCAAUAACUCACCUUUCAAUCCCAAAGUGGGGAGGGAGCUCCAAGUGCACCCAAGCCCGGGACCGUCUGCGGACCUCCAUGUGGUCCGGACCUCCAAGUGGUCCUAGUCGCACGACACUCCGGAGUACUCGACGACAAUCCCCUCCAUGUGGGGAUUGGAUGGCUAUACCAUCCCAAACGCAGACUGUGAGCUAGAUCUAUCCUCUCCAAGUGAGGAUACACUGUAACUAGGGUCAACACCCAAUCCAAUCCUCUCUAAGUGAGGAGGCUCUACAACUAGAGUCAAUAACCCAAUCGAAUCCUCUCCAAGUGAGGAUGCUCUACAACUAGAGUCAAUAUCGCAAUAACUCAUCGACAACCUCUCCAUGUGAGGGUACUUAGAUUUACUAAGUUCUUUAUCCACAAGGCACUUUCUAAGGGAUUCACCUAUCCCUAGGUUCCCAAACCUCUAGUGUCAAAUACACUACAUUAAUGCCACUCGAUAUGUUCUCGUUUUCCAAAGUCAAUUUCUCUAAUCGACAAAGUUCAACAUGCAUAAUUCAUCUACUAUGUUUCAUAAUAUGGCAACAUGCAUAAUUCUUCUAUCAUAUGCAAUAUAUGUCAUCAUGUAUAUGUUUCUAUUUAACAUAAUCCACAAUAUGUUAACUCACAAUAUGUCAUCAUGCACAUAUAUUACUAGCAUCACAUAAUAUGUCAAUAUACAUAUAAUCAUCAUCCAAAGUAGUAUAUACUUAGCAUCUCAUGCACUCUUUUAGCAUUUAAUUCAUUAUGCAUUACUACUAGCAUGUUCUCUACUUUACGUUAACAUGCAAAUGCCAUUUACCUCAUGCAUUUAACUGGCAUCAUUUAUAUCACAUCAUCAUGCAUUCUACUUAGCAUUUUGCAUCAUAUUGUCCACAUGCAUUAGCUAUGUCAUUUUAUUAACAUGCAUCAAUAUGAACUUGUAUGUUUCUUAGACAUAAAGGGCGACCUAGUCGCUUCGGUAAGCACAACCCACCUCGAAUCGCUUUCCGAUUGCUUGUCGACACUUGCAAUCGGCCUCCCGCGGCGCCCGUAACCCGGUUUGGCCCGAUCUCGCGCGCGACCACCCGAACGGCCUCCAAUUCACGAUCUGAAAAUUAAGGGUCUUCGGUUAUGUGCCACGGUGCUUCAAAUCCGUUUUCAUGGGCUUACGAUGUCGCCUCGACCCUCCAGGCGGAAACGAAGCCUAAACGUCCGUUUCUUUAAUAACUUUACAACGGCUCGACGAAUCGCCAAACCGACUUCGCCAACGCGUUCGUUUACCUAGCAAUUAGGUUUGCGAAGGGUCAAAUUAGAUCAAACCCCCAUAUUUUACAAAACCCCAUUCGGAGCCCUAACAUGUAAUUAACAUCUAAAUAAUCCAAAUCAAAUGAAGCAAACAUGUUUAGAAUGCUCAUUAGAGGCUAUUAGAACACUUAAAACUAAGGAUUAAGCCAAAUCCUAAAAGCUUACCUCAAUAUGAACGCCACGACGAAAAUACGCCGCUCCAACGGGCGCACAAAAGCUCGAUCCGUCGCCUCCAACGCGUUCGCAAGCAUCUUCUCCACCAACCCUCCAAUUUUUAGAGAGAGAUUUAGAGAGAUGAGAGAGAUCUCUAGAGAGAGAAGGGAGGGUUUCCCUCCCCCUCCAUGCGCGCGCGUGUGUGUGUGGUGUGUGUGCGGCUGAAGGAGAAGAAGAGGAGUCAACACUCCUCUUUAGUCAACACCACAACACUAUUCACUCCCGGGCAGUUCGAAAUCUGAUAUCUUUCGCCGGAACUCCCUGAACAUCCGUUUGAGCUCAAACUUCACAGUCAUGUUCGGUUUUAUGUACUGAGUAAGAAUAUAUUUUAAGUUUUCAGUUUCGACCCUGUUUGGUCACUAAAAACUGUACCGAAUUGUAAUCUUUAUCAGAUAGCUGUCGGAUUUUAUUUCUCACUCUACGGGUGUCAGAAAAAUAUGAAACUUUAAAUCUAGUCUCAUAAAAAUAUUUCUGACUUAUCCUCCAAUUUUCAUAAUUUUCUGAGACUGCAUUUUCUGCCUAUUUAUCUGUCCCGUUUCCAACAGAAAAUUCUAGAUCUUCUGUUUUCAUUCCGAUUUCAGCACAAGUCACUUCUGACUUAUGUUUUACUCCUCUAAAUCCAAUAAAAAUAGUAUCUCACACUAUUUUUAUUUAUUUUUAUUUUUAUUUUUAUAUUUAAAAUCCGGUAUAUUACAUUCCAUCGCAACCUUACCGGAACCAUGCAAAUGGCUUUCCAACUAAAUGUACACCGUAAUUUCAUAAUUUAGAAGUCCGGUACCUUACAACUACCAUGCUAAUAAGUUCGAUCCAUGUUCGAAUAAUAUGUUCAAUGACAUUGCUAACUGUUCAUUUACCCAAUCUGUGGCGAAACCCUUGGGUUCGCCCUUAACUCACCUUUUUCCCAUCCCAUUGGAUGGGAAGCUCCAUGUGCCCCCAGACCUGGGACCGUCUGCGGACCUCCAUGUGGUCCUAAUCGCCUGACACUUCGGAGUACUCGACGACAAUCCUCUCUAUGUGAGGAUAUGGAUGGCUAUACCACCCCGAAUAACAGACUGUGAGCUAGAUCUAUCAUCUCCAAGUGAGGACACCCUAAGAGCUAUGGUCAACAUCUCACGGAACUCAUCUAUUCCGACCAUCAUGCAUAGCUAUUAGCUUUACUAAGUUCGAUGUUCACGCGUCAUUUGCUAGGGAGUCCAUCUAUCCCUAAGUUCACAAAGAACCUCUAGUGUCAAGUACACUACAUUAAUGCCACACGUUUGUUCUUUAAACAUUAGAUGCCACUCGUUUGUUCUUUAAACAUUAAAUGCCACUCGUUUGUUCUUUAAACAUUAGAUGUUACUUUCUAUGUCACCAAACACCCAUCGUGUUCAUCUCUUUUCUCUAGCACUAUAGGAUCCACGUUCCGACCCAAUCCUCACCUAUCUAUGUCACCAAGCAUUCCAUGUACACUAGAUUACCAAUUAGAAAGCAUAAGAAAUGGCACUACUAUGCAAUCCUACAAUGCAACAUGCAAGAGAUGCAAUCAUAUGAAAUUCUAAGACAUAGAAAGGAGUUUGAUGGCUUCGAGAUGGCACCCCCCACCUUUUCUCGUUGUAGAGGCUCUAGAAAUGCCUCUCGCCGAACAUUACGACGAGGUCUCGGCUUCCUUGGUCCAAAACAAUGCUCAAUCGGCCUUAUUUUGCCGAUAGCUUUUCUCUCGCUCGAUGAAUCGAAAUUCCGACUUCGCCUCCGCGUUUAGACACCUAUAAAUUAGGUUUACAAGGCCUCAAAUGAGAUCAAUCUCAUACUUUACCAAAAGCCCCAUUUUGGAGCCCUAGGGUUCCAUCUUGCCAUUUGCACUUUGGAACCCUAGCUCUAGCUCUAAUCCACCAACAAUGGUGCUAGGGGUUCAUUUGACCCCAAUCCAAAAGCUCAAAAUCCAAAACCCUAAGUUUCCAAAAGCUAGGGUUGGGGCUUACCUCUUGUGCUAGCUCCAAAGAGAAGAGGAGAGGGAGAGGGAGAUGUCCAAAGCUCCUCUUUGAUCUCCUUCUUCUUUUCCUUCCUUGUCUUCUUCUCCUUCUUCUUCUUCUCCUCCUUCUUCUUCUUCUCUUUCUUUUUUCUUUCUAGAGAGAGAGAGGGAGCAAGAGAGAGAGAGAGAGUGAGAGAGAAAGAGAGAGAGAUGAGAGGCUGAGGGAGAGAGAGGGCCCAUAUGCCCCUCUAAUGUAACAAAAUUCAUUUUAGCCCCUCAACUUUUCAUCCAUUACACUACCCUCACUGGACAUUUUUUGCCCAGAGGGACCGGUCUCCCCGACCUGGGAGCGGUCCCCGAGAGCCUUCCCCAGACAUCACGCGUUCGGGAACCGGUCUCUCCCUGAGAGACCGGUCCUCGGGAGACCGGUUCCUAUCUGAGAAACCAGUUCCCGAGAGCUGGAUUUUCGGGACAUAGCCAAAUUUUGGUUUCUCUCGUUGGUGUCGCACACGGGGAUCGGUCUCCUCAGCUUGGGACCGGUUGCAUCAAAGUUCCCAGCAACCACCAGCCUCGGGGACCGGUCUCUCCCUGCCAGGGACCGGUCCCCGAGAGCAACUUCAGCCCAGUGCAGGUUUUUCACUACAUGCUCUCGCGGACACGUUUCCAAUGCACUUUUUGUGUUUUGGACAUCUUUAGCUUUUCCGAAGGAUUCUCACUCGACAAAUAGUCGAUCCUGGACGAAGUACAACUCUCAGAUUUUGAGAAUUCACUUCUUUACAAAACUGUCCCCCAGAGCUACCACCAGGCUGUUUCUUUCCCUUGUCCUUCUCGAACGCCUCGCGCUCCUCUCGGACACAAGCGUUCCCGUGCUCGACCCAUAGAGCACGAUCUAACACCUCCGCGAUAGUGCGAAACUUGAAGGCAUGCACCAUUCAAAAAAUAUCGGAGCGGAGUUCCCGUACGAAGCACUCUGCCCGGUCUUGCUCGCCCUUUGCCACAUCCAGAACGCAAUUCAGGAGAUGAGUGAACUCCCGCUCGUACUCCCGAAGUGUAUGGUUGCCUUGCUUAAAUUUUCGAAAAUCCUUGUGCAUCUUCCUUUUAUCACUGUCGGGAAAAUAUUCCACGAACAUCAACUCCCGAAACUCCGCCCAAUCAAUCGGGAGAAAGUCCGGAGAUCGAUCCUCCUUCACACUCCUCCACCAUACUCGGGCCCUCUUAUCAAAACAGUGAGCGGCCAAGUGUACUUUGUCUUGUUCUUGGGUGUAGAUAUCCUAGAACAAGGUUUCUAUCGCGGCUAACCAAGUCUGCACUGUCCAAGGGUCAAUCACCUCGCUAUCAAAACUGGAGGAUGAAACUUCAUGAACCUUGUGAGAGCCGUGUAGCCACGCUCUCGCUCUGCCUCCUCAGCCGUCGCAUCGGGCGUAGGAGAUUUAGACGCCGCAGGAGGAAUAUCCACCGAUGGGGGUUGCGCCGCCACCAGAACCGGCGCAUCACCCACACCCUUAGCCGCAUUUGGAGCGCGAACCGAAGGAGCAGGCGGNCCCGCCCGGUGCGUGUCCAGACCCGCCAUAUGCCUACACAUAUAAGGCGUCUACAAUAAUAGCGAAUAAAUGAAGAAUAAAUAGAGUGUAUGUAAAGAUAUCAGAGCAAGUAUACAGCUAGAUUCUAACAACAGGUAGAAACAAGGGAAACUAAACCACUAAGGUAAAACGUAAAAUAAUACAUCAUAAGUCUCAAGCUACAUAUAGGGGGUGGUCUCUAUAAAAAUGGUACAAGUCUCUCAACCUCUCCAAACAAAACUCAGAAGAGAGGUAGACCACCUAUCGUCGAAUUCCUCGCUAGCUAACUCGAGGCGAUUCCUUUCCCGCGAUCUCGAGCCUCUCCCGGGGUGGAAGGCUCUGAAAGAAAACAUAAAACAGGGGGGCGUGAGAACUAUAAUUUAUAGUUCCCAGUGGACAAUUACUGACCAUAGCCGAAUGCACCACUAGGCCUAAAAUAUGAGCAGAUAAGAGAGUAACGAAAAGUAACUGCGGAAAGUAAAAAGCAUAUAAUGAAAUGCUAUUCUACUAUGCCACAAGCAUACAUGAUGUCAACAUGGUGUACAUCUACUCCAUCCUGAUCCAAUAUGCCAAUACGUACAUACUAUGUUCUAUCAUGGCUAUCAAGUAUAUUAUGAUGCAACAAGUAAUACUAUCACGUAUACUAUCUGUCCAAAUGUCCAAUACUAUGCUAAAAGCAUGUCCAAGUAAACCAACUACUAAGCCUAUUUAGUAGUGAUUGUUAUACACUGGUUUAAUGUCAUUAUUCAAUCUUGUUUUAGGACCUACACAAGUGUAGUCCGUCUUGUGCCGCCUAAGUGCCAGUGGUAGCUCUAACAUUCCUCCUCGAGGAAUGAGUCUAACCCUCCAGGCCCCCGUAAGCUUCUCAAUAGCGCACGAGCGAGCAUAAGUAGUGUAGGCUAACUCCGGAGUGCCGGCUUGUGUCGCCUAAGUGCCAGUGGUAGUUCCAACAUUCCCCCUCGAGGAAUGAGUCUAACCCUCCAGGCCCCCGUAGGCUUCGCAAAACAGCACGAGCGAGCAAGCAUAGUCAUGGUCACGACGAUCCGGUCAUCAUGGCUCAACCAUAGAAAUGAUCGCUAGCAACUCAUAGGUCUAGUUUAAUAUCCCCAAGUGAAGUUCCAACAUUCACUAAGUCUAGUGCCUCUUUAGGGCACUAGAACAUUACUAUAUCCAAGCAUGUUCCCAUUUCCAUGCCUUUUUAUGGCAUUAAUUAGUAGGUUUAUACAUGUCCCAAGCUCAAUGUCGCUUUAUGACAUUAGUUUAAUAUACCAAUUCCAAGCCCAAUGCCUCUUUAUGACAUUAGAUUAUCCUAUCAAUAAUAGGUUAAUACGCAUGCUCUAUAGCAUGAUCUCACAUUGCUAAUAUGUACCUAGCAUGUAUUCCAUAAUACAUAUAAAUAUUAACAUGCAUCUAUUCACUAGCAUAUGGUUUCAAUGCGUUCGUAUGCAACUAUCAACUUAGCAUAGUUCUCAUAAUACUACAUGCAUACACUUUCCAAUGCAACUACCAACUUAGCAUAAUUCUCAUAAUAUUAACAUGCACAUACAAUUCACAUAUCAUUCAAGUCUAAUGCCGCUCUAUGGCAUUACUUUGCUAGGCUCAUUCAUAGCUCAAGCCCGAUGUCGCAUUACGACAUUAGCUCCCUAAUUCACAAGUUAAUCAAGUCCAAAGCCACUUUAUGGCCUAAAGUAUUCUCCUAUGUCCAAAUGAGAUUUAUGUCCAAGGCAUAUUACAUUUGUCAUGUCUACUAUAUGGAGCAUGACUCCAAGUCCCAAUUAGAAUGCUAAACCCAUGCAUAAGUCUCACUUGCAAGCUCUCUACUACAUAGAGGUCCGAAAAUGCAUUGUAUAUAACAUAAGCAUUUCAAGCAUUCUAAAAAUUCACAAAUAAUGCAUCUAUCAUGAAAAUGCGUGAUUUUCUAUUUUACGAUACUUAAAUCCACAUAAAUGAGAUUUUCUCAUUUGUAGCGAGGUCAAACCCACCGAGAACUCCACGCGAUCCUUCGUGCCCCCGACUCUCUUAGCUCCAAGACUUUAGGUGAUAUCACGAUGCUACGAUUCGGGUUUCGUGAUUUUUGGAAGCUUACGUCGCGAGCAGCAACAAUCUGUACCGAAAUCGGCCUUUUCUUCAAUAUCUUCGCGUAGCCUCGUCGUAUCGCCGAACCGACUUCACCAACUCAUCAGAAAACCUAGCAAUUAGGUUUAUACAUGCUCAAUUUAGAUCAAACCUCUAUAUAUAGCAAAACCCCAAUUUGAGCCUUAACAUGCUACUAUUGCAAGAAAUCACCAAAUUGGAACUUGAUUCAUGCAAUUAACAUGUUAUUAGCAUCUAGGGAGUUCUCUAAACCCAUUCUUAGAGCAUACGAAUCAUUCCUUAGCAAUCUACUAUAGUUACUACCAAAGCUUACCUCCAAAGCUUUCUCUAAUAGAGAGGAAGAAGAUGAAAGCUUGAGCUCCAAGCUACUCUCCAACAUUCAAGGAUUCUACUCCAACUUCUUCUCCAAUUAAUCCUCUUUUGUGGAGAGAUUAGAAGAGAAAAGGAGUGAGGGGUGAGAGCUAGAGAGAAAGAGAGAAAAGGAGAAAAGAAACUUGCUCUCCAAGUCUCUCUCGGGUUGGGCACAAAGGAGAAAAGAGUGCAAGUUCACAUAUAUAUAUAGGCCCCCAAAAUACUUCAUCUAGCAGUUAAGCAGUUCGGAACAGUCGGAGCCCUUCUGGAUAUCCAAUGGUGCUCAAAUUUUACAGUCAGUCUCGGUUUUCCUUACUAAGAAAGAGUAUAUCUUAAGUUUUCAGUUUCGACCACGUUUGGUCACCGAAAGCUCUACCGAACUGUAAUCUUUAGCAGAUAGCAGUCGGAUUUAAUUUCCUACCUUCCGGGUGUCAGAAUGUCAUGAAACUUUAAAUCUAGCCUCAUAAAAAUAAUCCUAACAUAUUCCCAGAUUUUUGAAAUUUUUUGACACUAUGCAUUUUCUGCUAAAUAACAGUCUCGAUUCACACAGAAAAUUCAAAAUCUUCUAUUCUCGCUCCGAUUUCCGCACGAGUCGAUCCCGACUUAUAUUUUACUUCUAUAAGUCCAAUAAAAAUAGUAUCUCACACUAUUUUUAUUUAUACCCUAUUUUAAAAUCCGGUAUGCUACAUUCUACACCCCUUAAAAGAGUUUCGUCCUCGAAACUUCAAUCACACCUCAACUCGACCUAUCGAGCCAUUGAGGACAUUAGCAUACUUCUCCCUAGGGAACACACUUCGAUUCGAUCACCGGCAUUGCUUAGAAGCAAUAUCACAGGUGCAUCGCUCCAUCGUGAGCGCUCUAAUUCCACAUGGCUAUCCAAGAUCCAACACGUGGCAUUCUAUGCUCCCGGGUCUAAGCUCGAACUACCGUCCUGACCAAAAUCUCUUCCCUACCCGUAGGUAUCGAGCUGCUGUCACUCACAGCUGAUUGCACCUGCCUCAAGGGCCCAGGCUCCACAGUCCCCAAAUGGUCCAGGCACGGGUCGUCCCCUAAGCAACACCCGACGUCGUUGUCCUACACGACAUGCUCUAACGAGCCACAAAUACUAUCCUCCCCAGUAAUUAUCCGAUUUUAGGUAAGUGGAUAGUCAACACAACCAGUGAAAAUUAAUCCUCAAAACGCACUAUUUCGUGCUCAAAUUUCCAAGGCGAGUCAAGUUAGCUCGCAAGAUCAAAGGUACAAGGUACCCCAUAACUACUCCACACCAAGUAAGGCCAAUCCAUUUGUUGGCGCACAAAAUCAUCUCACAAGGUAGGGUGUUCAAGACGACACACCCGAUCAAAUGAUCAUGCAUCGAAAAAGGAUCAAUGCUAAAUAAUUCGGCGAACAGCCGCUCCAGGUAUGCAAAUGAUGCAAACAUCUCAAUCAUAGAAUGCAUAAACUCGAAUGCCAUAAUAAUAUAACGGUACCUGCAGCCACAAACUCGGCUACUGCCGCCUUCUCAGUCUGGGCCGCAUACAUGCGCCGGCUCGGGGCCAGUCGUGACCCCUCCGUCUGUCUCUGGACAGGUAGCCGCCCGGCCUGGUAGUGAGCAGAAGUCGUCCCCCGACUGGGAUCCGGUGAAGCUGGUGCCGAUGCUGAUGACGGCGCUAGAACUGGACCCCUCGGGCAGUCCGACUGGAAGUGACCCUCCUGGCCACACAGGUAGCACCUGCCCCGACUCUGCGAGCACUGCCGCGGGUAAUGACGACCACCGCAGAUCACGCAGCUCAGAGCCUGGCGACGAUCAGAUCCUCCAUGCAGUGCAGAUGAGCCACAUCCUCGCGAUUGGCUCCGGCUCCUGGGAUGUCUUGGCGGCCUUCUCCCGGCGAAAGAACUGCGUCCUCGAAAUCGGUUCUUCUUUACCUUCCUCGACGACUUGCCGACAUGCAAUAUAUCGCUCUUGGUGGUCUCCUUUGCCACUCCGGUAACCUUCAUGCCUUUCCCCGCGGGUAAGGCUUGAUCCAAACCCUCCUGGGGCCUUCCAAAGUCAGCCGUCUGUUUGUUCAACAGGCUCUCCAAACGCUUGAUUCCCUCGUCCUGUCGGCGUAAAGCUUCGGCCUGAAGUAGCACCACACUCAUCUGUCGCUCCACCACGCCAACUAAAGUGGCAAUCUGUUCCCUCAACUCCCGAAUCUCGCCGGAUCGGGGGGAUGCAGGCUUCCCCGGCUCGGUUGCCUCGGCUGCCAUCGUGAGUGUCGCCGACGUCACAAGCUGCAGCAAACAUAACAAGCAUGGGUGAAAACAACCCAUGCUAACGCAGCCCCGCUCAACUAACCAAUACCCAAAUCAUGCGAAAGUAAGGAAGUGUCCUUUACUACUAACUCACAAUGUUACGUUGUCAACCGCCAACGUAACCCUCCGCGAAAUUAGAAGCUAUACACUCCGAUCAAACUCUAACUUUUUAGAGUUAUAUCAAUACCCAAUCACAAUACUUUCGCUCAUCAAAUAGACCUCGUCUCUCAUGAGCCUAUUUCCUAUAGUCCAACCGGCCUAAGGUUUGCUAGGUCCACUAAGAUUCAACCCUAGGCUCUGAUACCAAAUUAAUCUGUCACGCCCCGGGACCCGGCCUAGGCCCGCCCGGUGCGUGUCCAGACCCGCCAUAUGCCUACACAUAUAAGGCGUCUACAACAAUAGCGAAUAAAUGAAUAAUAAAUAGAGUGUAUCUAAAGAUAUCAGAGCAAGUAUACAGCUAGGUUCUACCAAC